CGGAGACUGCAGUACGUAGGAAAAUAGCGGUUGAGAGCCCCAAGGAGAUGGAAGAGGUGGGCAAAAAUGAUAAAAUGUUUUUAUGGCAAUUGAUUUGUAAUUGUUACUGCCCACAUUUGGGUCUCAUUGGGAAAUAAUAGGUUUUCAGGAUAGUCACUAAGAUCAUGUGAAUUCUGAUUUAGAGAAGAUAAUUUGCAGAUUUGGAACUCAUUUUCUUGAAGAUGCCACAAAAAUAUUCAUAGAUCACUAUGGACAUAAAAAUACAGGAACAGUAAUGCUAACGAUAAUACAACAGUAAUUUCUCCUUCCUUGGGGUGUGGGAAGGUUGUUCUUGGCAUGCUGUAUACUCUGUCACGGGUUUUUCAUCCAGUAUUGUUCUGACAAGGAACAGAAGAUAAUGGUAUGAAAUAAAAGUGUGAAUGCAAACUUCAUUGGAAUAGCAAGCAAAAUUGAAGAUGAUUUAUGUGAUGUGGAUUCAAAUGAUUAGAGUUUGGAAUGAUGGCUGCUUUCUAUUAACUUUGCAAGUAACCAGGUUCGUUAAAAGCAAACAUUUGAACCCUCUAUAUAAAUGUUAUGUGUCUCAUAUACACGCAUGUAGAUAGUCCUAGCUGUAUAUGUUAUAUGUGCACUUCAGGCAAGCAGGAUGCAAACUUAUAAGGAAACGCCUUUUGAAAUGUGCUGUAAAGUUGAAAUGAUAAUAGAAAUUCUCACUUUACUAUAGACAGUACAAAAUCCACUAUUUAUUUCGAAAUGUUAUUAUUUUAGUUUGUUUAUUUCUGCUUAUAAUUUUACUCUAGAUAAAGGACAUAUUCUGAGAUAGGAAAAUGUACUGUUCUGAUAAAACCUUCUUCAGAUACAAAUGAUCUUUAUUUGUAGGAAAUCUUAAGGAGGGAAAAAAAGCUAGGUACCCAUCUUAUUGUUUUAGUUAUCGAGGUUAGCAAAAGACAACUCAAGCAACAUUUUAAAAGAAUGUUUAUUAAGAUGAUGGGGUGAUUAAAUCUAAAACAUUAGUGUUCAGCCACUUUAACACUGGACUGUAACUUUGGUCAGGAAAAUACUAAUCAGUGUUCUCUGCUCCGUAUUAGGAUCAUAUGGUAGUAUCAUUUUUUAUUAACAUAAUACAAAUAUCCUGUGCAGUGCUACACCUUUCAUUGCUUGCGGCUUCAGAAUCAAAAUGUCACAGCAAAUUUUACUUUCACUAAUAGAUUGAGACUUGUACAUUACAUCGGUAAAAGUGAACAGUAUUGUGGUAUUAUGCCAAAAUGGCAAAGGCAGGCACAUAUGACAAUAUCCUAAAUUACAGCUUGGUUCUCCUUUGUCCCCAAACAAUAGCAAAAAGGUGAGAAGUUGGGAAAGUAGUUUUAUUACCUUUUUGGAGAAAAGUUCACCUCUCUGCACCUUCUCUAUAUGCAUUGUCAAAAUAUCACAUUAUACAAUUCACUGGAAGUGAACUUACUGCUAAAUACCCAUUAGGUUCCCAGGAGAUGCCUUACAUUAAUUGUUUAGUGAAAGCACCCUUAGGCUAUCACCGGGGAAGCACAUUAAAUGCAUAAAAAGAGAAGUUGACAGAGAUCCCUGUAGAACAAGAUGCAUCUACCAAGCUUAAGACUUCUCCAGGAAGAAUCCUAUGUGGCCGUGUUGAGAAUGGUCAUUUGGGGUGGGGGUAGUUUUUCUCUCUCUUUUUUUUUCCCCCUACUUGGUACAAACAUAAAAUUAGCAUGGGAGAAAAAAAUGAUUCGAGAAAACGAUUAGAACAAGAGUGCUCUGGAAUUGUAAAAAGCAUUAGCUUAUAUGUCUUGGUUCUCAGGCAUCAAGGCAGUUUACAGACGGAAAAGGAAUUGUAAAUGUUGAGACUAAGGGUGUUAUCCACCUAAUGGUGUUAUAAAAUAGGAAUGAUGGCAAAUAACCGAGAGAGGAAAGAUAAGUUUUGAAGUAAAUGAGAAGGAAGUAGCAAAGUUUUAGGCUAAUGGCCAAAUAGGCUGAUGAAGGGAAAAAAGUCAAGUCACAAAAUGAAUGACAGUGAAUUCUGGCAAAAUAUGUUUUCAUGGUCUGUCUGCCACAUUGCAUCUGAAAACGUUUUCCGUUCUGAAUAUAGCACAGAUUUUUAUCACUCUCUUGUUUAGUUACAAUUGCUGGUGAAACUAUUGUACGUCUAUUAUGCACUAUUAUGUUUGUUUAUUUCACAUCAUUUUGUUUAGAAUGUUUCUAAAAAGGAAAUGUAAAAAAGCAAACAAAAUAUGUGCUUGGUGGCUGAAAUCCCCCCACCUCUUUUUCUGGUCUGCGUUGCUGUGAAAAUUCCACUAGAGGGGGCACUAGUAAAACAAGAAGCAAGAUCGAACCCGAUUUUAACUUUUUCUUUCUUUUCUCUUAGAGGUGAAAAAGACUCACUCUCCUGUUUCCUCAUACCUGGACAGGAAUAUUAUGCAAAGGUUUCAGGGAAGCAGUGAAUAUGUCCUAUGGAAGGAAUCUUUAGGUCUUUAAAAUGCUUCCAUUACCUAUAGUUUUUAAAUUUUAAUAUUAAUAUGCUGCAGUUAAAUUUUAGCCAAAAAAGCAAAAAUUCUUAGUUAAAUGUAGGUAGAAUUUGAUAUGUUUGUAUUAAGGUGGCUGAAAGCUGAGGUCUUAAAAGAGUUUCAUCCAUGUGGUUUUUCCUUAGUGACUGUAAUCGUUACAUAAGCAACUGAAAGCUGAGGAUUAUUCCCUAGUUGUCAAUUUGAAUUUACCCAAGGCAUAGACACGGUCUUAACUUUACUUCAUGACCGAGAACAUUUUUUAAAAAGGCAGUGGAAAAAUGUGUCAUUUGCUUGUAAUUAAUCUUCAUUAAAGGCCAAAAAUUUCCAAGCUUUAUAAACUUUCAUGUAACUAUUGAUGUGAUGCUGUCUUUUAUUACUAUUAUUUCUCUUAAGUCGUGGUCACUUACAAAACUCCCCUAACAGCUAACAAUGCUAACAUGACAGAGGCACUGUCAUAUCUUGAUGUCAUAUCUUGAGAAUCAAGAGCACAUCCCAUUUGACAUCAGUGAGAAAAGGCAUAUCCAGAAAGAGCUCAAAUCAACAUCUCUUCCUAACUUCGAUGCUUCCUAAACUUAUAGCAUUAAAAAAAAAUACAUUUUUUCAGUUUAUUUCUCAAAAAGUUUGUAAAGUGUAAAUUUUCUAUUGGAUUAAAUAAAACAAAACCAUCUCAAAUUUUUGUCAUAAUGCCAGGUAGAAUAUGUGUGCUUCAUAAAUAUUAGCAAAUUUUAUGUUAUUUCUAUUCAUUCAAAAUAUCCUAUCUUUGUCCCUUAGAAUAUGUAGUCUGGCUUGGCUUCAUGGUAUGUUACCAUUUUUAGUAUUUCUAUCCAAUCUUUUCUCUGACUUAGCUCAGCAUAGAUUUUCUGAAGAAAACUGGUUACUCCUUGCUUGAAGAUCUGCUUUCUACUCUGACACAUUAAAAUGUUAUGGAUUGGUAUUUCUUUUGCCUUGUUUUUGGUAGAUUGCCAAUAUUUUUAACAAAUGUCAGAAGUAUGUUUUAGAAGAUCAAUGUCUAAGUUUCCUAGCCAUGUAAAUUUCAUUGUCACUUCAAAAUAGCUCUGAAGAGAAUAACCAUCAUGUGCUAUAUGUCAUAGUCAUUAGAACAUUUGAUCUGGAAUACAUUCUUAGAAAUUAUUUAGCCCAAAUGACCUAAACAAAUGGAACCUGAAGACUAGGGUAGUUAGAUGACUGCCCAGGGUCACAUAGCUCGUGGUGAGCUGAACCAGUGAAAUUCACAUUUCUGUCCUCCUUUCUUCAAAAUAAUUUUGCUUCCCAAACUAUGGUAUUGAUCAUUUUCUUGUUUGAUUUGGGAAAAAAAAAAAGAUUCUGUGAAUAGAGAGAAGGUGGAGAAAUGCCUCAGAUCUAAUGUACAUUUGUGUAGCACUUUAGAGUUUAUGAAAUCUCUUUCCAAACAAGGUUGCCUUUCAUGAUGCCUUGGUAUGUGAGGGAACUUGCACAUUCCCUUAUACUGCAAGGAAACUUUUCUCAUAUUUCUUAGCAACUUCUUCAUUCUGUUUUUAUGAAUUCUAAUACUCAGUAAAGUAAGGGCUGAUGCCCCCAUUAUGCAAGCCAUUAAGCUUUAUACAGAUGGACUGUAACUGUUUUUAGAAAUGGUUAUUUAGAGUACUCAGCUCACUGGUGCCGAAUUACAGGUGCUUUUUCCUCCUCUGCUUUGCAGUUCUGUGACCUCAGGUGUGUAAUGGACGGGAAGAGUGGUGAUGGGGUUUGGUGCCUGGGGCGUGCCACCAUCAUGGAGAACUGUCAUGAUAUCCAUACACCUUUAAUCCCCUCCCUCCAGCCUAAAGAAGGGAGGGCAAAGGAAGGGUGCAAAGAUACUUCUUUGAUCCAAUUCCCUGUGGCCAACUGCUUUCCUCCAUCUCUAUUUCAGAACAUACCUACUGGCUUCCUUGAGGAGAGAUGGGUGAAUUACAGAAUUUCAGUAUUAGAAACUAUAGAGACUUCAUGUUCAACUCCCUCAUUUUACAGAUUCACAGUGAUUAAAGUGACCAGUCCAUGGCCAUUCACCCACCCCUUUAUCUAUUUAUUCAUUAAACAUGGUCUUUUUUUUUUUUUUUUAAUUCUACUUGGUUUUAAGGGUUGAACAACUACUUGGUAGCAAAGAUGGGAAUAAAAAUUACUUUUCUUUAGUCAAAGUCUCGUGUUUUCUCUUAGCCACGAAACUUCCCAUAAAACUAUGGACAGUAUUGUUACCAAUAUUAAACCAUUAAUUCACUUGUGAGUCUUUGACUUGACUUGUUUAGUUUUUUUUUUUUUUUUGACUUGUUUAGUUUUCAAAAGUAGGCUGAAAAUUACAUUUUGGGGAGUUGUUUUCCAAUGUUUAGGUAAAAUGCCUGAUUAACAGUAACAAAGUGUUUGAAGGAAUCUUAUUAGUUUAUGGGGGAGUGGUCUGUGAUUCCUUUACGAAUACCAGAAAUAUAUAUAUUUUUUCCAUAUUAUAAAUUUACUCUAAAACACUUUUCUUUGAUAUGUUUUAUGCCCCCUUUCUCUCAUUUUAAUCUUCCCUUCUUUUUGUUAAUUAGUAUAGAUGAUAUUAUUUCAAAAAUAAUAUGGGUUCAUUAUUUGAGCCUAAUAAAGAUGGCCAGCUCUAUACAACUGGGGAUGGCAAAGAGUGUAUAAUGCAAUUUCAGCAGCACUUGCAAAUAAGUCUUCUGUUCACUAGUUUCCAGCCAGUUUAUGUUGGGAAUUUCCAUUGUUUCACAAAUUCCAUAGCUGAGUUUAGGAUACGGAUACAGACAAGGAGUAAUCCAAUCGCUGGGUGGGUAACACAUUUAAAAAUAUUUUGUCAUCCGAUUAAGUAAUUAGGACUGGUUGUCAUAGGACAUUUGAUUGGCUGGAAGAGCACAUUUUGAUAGAGGAAAAGAGAUAAGAGUCUGAAAAUAAGGGGUGCCUGGGUGGCUCAGUCAGUUGAGCAUCUGAUUUCAGCCCAGCUCUAGAUCUCAUGGUUGGUGAGUUUGAGCCCUGCAUUGGGCUCACUGCUGUCAGCUCAGAGCUUGCUUCAGAUCCUCUGUCCCACUCUCUCUGUCCCUACCCCACUUGUGUUCUCUCUCAAAAAUAAAUAAACAUUUUUUAAAAAUCUGGUGUAAAAAGAAAAUUAUACCUGAGCAUAGGUGGAUUAUUGCAUUGGGGCCAAUCAGGGAGCAUUAUAGUGAAGAUAGGAGACACCAGGGGAUGGGAGAAGUAUGAUUGUCAAAAGACCUUAGGAAGAUAGUAAAAUGGAGAAAUCGAGGCCCAUAGAUUUUAAAGAAGUAACGCAGAAUCAAUGUUAACCCUCCUUUACUUUUUUAUUUAUUCAGCAAUUUUUAGUACCUACUAUGUGCAAGACAGUAUGCUUGUCCUUUAAAAUAAUGGUGGGUUUGCAUUUUCAUUCAUUCCCUGGCAUAUAACAAGUCAGCUGCCUGUGAAACACAACAUCUGAGAAGUAGGUAUAUACUCUAACCCUGCAGGCAAAAUCCACACUGUCUAUUUGCACCUUUGCCUCAGUCUGUCCCUCUUCCCUUCCCUGGCUGUGUUUUCAAGGGACACCAUUAGGAUGAAAGAGCAGAACGUUGGAAGGGGGAAUGAUGGGCUGUUUCUGCCCACAGAAUUGUCAACAGGUAUGCACACAGCAUCUGCCACUCUGGGAGAGCUGACAGGCUAGGAGCCACUGUGGUUUACACUUGAAAAUAAUAAUAAUACCCACUUAGGGGUAUGGAAUUAUUUAUUACUACUGGUGGAAUUUUUGCCAAAGGCAAAAAUGAAAAUAUCCAAUGAAAAACAUCUUCAGUCUACAGCCCAUGAUACUCCUGCACCGCAGGAACUGAUUAACUCUGUGACCAAGAAUAAACUGUACUAUAGUUAUUACUAUUAUUAUUUUGCUUUUUAAAGACAUUAGGAGUUAAGGAAUCAGAGCAAACAUAACAUUUGACACUUCGUAUGAGCAAUCUUUAUGACAAAGCUGAUACGCAUAACUGAUGCCUCUGAGGGAGUUUCUGUCCUUUCUUUUUUAUUUCCUUUCUUUUUCUCUUCCUUUCUCAUUCUUUUCCUAUGUACAGUCAUUCUCGGGCACAAGACAGGGAUGUGAAGACAAGGAGAGGUGGGAUGGAGACCUACUGACAGUGUUUUUAUGAAAACGGCAAGAAGGCCCUCUACCUGGCUGUGUUUUCAUGCUGAGUGUGUAAUUAAUACUUACGUGGGGGCUACUGUUAUGUUUCUGAACUCAGGUUGUCAUAUUCACUUAUUGUUAUUCUGAUGUCCUGUGUAUUGUGUGCUAUAAACCACUGCAAGGCAUAAGGAUAUAUGUGACUAUACACUUGGUGUGAGUUCUUGCCAGCUCUAUGGCUCUGCAAGUGGCUUUUUAACUGGAUAAAGGCCAAGCAACCUGCUGCCCAGAUAUGGGCUCUCUGUGAGCCUGGGCUACUGGUUUUCUCUUUCUAUAAGAGAAGGCCAUGUCUGAGGAUCCUGUUUCUGUACCAGUAUUCAGCCUACAUGGAUUAUGUUUGUGCCUUAUUUUAACUCUGGAUCUUAUUUGAGAUCCCAGCUUUAGAUUCUCAAGUUGGGUCUAAGAGCACCCAACUGUCUCAGUCUGCAUUUCCCCAUAGGUGGCCCUUGCUUCUGGGCAUACGGCUGCUUUUGUUAGUGUGGUUUUGAUUCCUAAGUGUCUAUUUCAGGUUCCAUUUCAUUUCAUGGAUAUCGGCAUUGUUUCCAAGCCUGAUUCUUUAGAGACCCUUUUUGAGCUUUCCUGGGUUUUUACAAAUAGUGCAUCCAUAGGGGACACCAUUCUUCACUUUGAUCCUUGAAGAGUUAGGGUCAAGGUGCCAAAGAACCAAUGCCUCAGAGGAAAAUCAGUCUGUCUAUUCUGCUUUUUCCUUCUUUCAUUUACCCUUUCCUUCCUUCACUUUUCUCAUUUUUUUUUCUCUUCUCUCUCUCUCUUCAAUUCAUGUGGGUAUGCUAAAAAAAUCCAGAAUGGAAUAUUUGGGACUUGCCUAAUUAUUGGGAUAUAUAUGGUAAUCAUGGAUAGGGAUUCUAAUUGUAUGACUUAAAUUUAAUCAGCAAAAAAGCCACAUUUUGCUAUUUCUUUCCUAAGUGAAAUAUAAUCCCUACAGGAACAAAUUUUCUAAUAUCUCAAGUUAGACUAACAUGCAAGGCUCACAUUUUUGGGAUGUUCUAGGUUAAGAAUAGAAAAUUGCUAUCUUAAAAAAAAAAAACCUUUGGAUGAAACCAAAUAAGUUAAUAAAAUUUGUGUUUCUCAAUCUUCAUACUUAAUGUCCUUUCAUAUCCCUGGGGCUCCACAUUUUAUUCUAUCAAAAAUAUUUAAAGUUUCAGGUUGUGUGUAGACUCUUCAUAUUUUUAAAAGUUUUUUUUUUAAAGUUUAUUUAUUUUGAGAAAGAUAGAGAGAGAGAGAGAGAAAGAGAAAGUGCAUGAGUGUGGGAGGAGCAGAGAGAGGGAGAGAGAGAAUCCCAAGCAGGCUUUGCACUGAGAGCUGGGAGUGGACAUGAGCCUCAGUCUCACGAACCACAAGAUCAUGACCAAAGCUGAAAUCAAGAGUUGGAUGCUUAACCAACUGAGCCACCCAGAUGCCCCUUAAAAUAUUUUAAUAGAAAUAUGGAAAAUAUUUAUGUGGAACAUAUUAAAUAAUUAGAGAUGUAGUGAAUCUUGAACAAAUUCUGAAUCCCAUAAGUAAUACUUUUAAAAACAUUAAAUAGUAUUUUAGUGAGAAUAGCUUUUAGAAUUUUUCAAAUCUUUUGUUCAUUUUUAUAAGUAAUAAGUAAAUUUUAUAAGUAAUAACUUAAAAAUAGUAAGAAAUUUCUAAAAACAUUUUCAUAUUUCCCAUCUUCAAUUCUGAAAUCCAAAAGCCUCUGGAAACCCUAAGUUGUAAGAAAUUAAUUUGGCAUAAAAGAUUGACCUAAACUGAGGAGGCUAUUUAAAAACUUUAUUCAUCCUAGUUAUUAUGAAUAUUCACAAAUUUCACUAUGGAAAUGUUAAUGUGUUCAUGAGGAUCCAGCCCUAGGCCCCACUGAGGGUUCUACAUAAUGUAUAGUAUAUUACUUUUAAACUUUUGUGAAAUUCUGAAUCAUAAAAUACAUCUGGCCCCAUGUUUGGGAUAGGGGAUUGCAGCCCUAUAUGUGGGUUAUAUUUCUAAGUAGAUGGCAGCUCUUAUUUGGAAUCUAAAGAGAACAAGUGAUAUUCAGAAGAGGCAGUUAUGGACUGUCACUGAGAAAUAUUGAUCACUAGAGUUUAUUUUCCUGCUUCACAUACUAGGUAAAACCAUUCUGAUGUAAUAGCACAUUACAGCCUUGUUCUCGCCAAGUUGAAAAGGAGACAGAUAAAUCACCUUUUGUUUAUAUCUUAGUGUUAUAUCAUCUUAAAAGAAAAAAGGCAAAGCAAAAUAUCAUAUGAAACUUUGAUACCUGGUUUAUUUUUGAAAAUUCCGUUCUAUAUGUUUACUUUUGUCAAAAGGUAUAUAUAUAUACGUACAUAUAAUUUUCUUUUCGGUUCAAGGAGCUUCUAUUAAGCAUGUCUUUUGAAAUUUCCUGGGAAGUGUACAUUGCUCUGAUCAACCUGGCUCCUUUCUUCAUCACUUGCUAAAACUAUAGGAGCCUUUAUGUGAUUAAUCAAGGGUCUCUGUUCACAAAAUCCAAUGAUGAAAACAUUUGACUGCUGCUCAUCUGGGCGAACAAGGAGGUUUUGAUCUCUGUGUGCUCUGCUGAAGCUUAAUACUUUACCUCAGAUAUAUAUCAAUAUUCAAUCCAUACUUCUCUUCAUAUACAUCUGAAGAAGCUCGGGGAACAUGAAUGUUUGUGACCCUAAAAAUGACUGUCCUUAACUUUUGGCUACUUUGUGAUUACCACAUAUUUUAUGCACAUGAAAUGCCAUUGCAUGUGUAAAAAGCAAUUUUCAAAACAACAUUUAAAAUUUAAAAGCACAAUGUUGUUAGUCAUGAAACUUUGGCAUACCAUCUAUGUUCAAGAAUCUGCCUUGUGUAGGUAUUUUAAUAUGUUCUUUAAUUUUCCUUUAAGGCAUCAAUUUUUUUGAAAAUUGUUUUGAAAACUCUACAAAACAAAGUAUUUACAAGCAUCUUUUUUGGGGGAGGUUCAGAGAUCUUCAUUAACAUGAAAAAUGAUUUGUGUGCAUGCUAUCUGGAUAUAUACCUUUGGAUAUAUAUGUAUGUAUAUAUGUGUAGCCAGUAAGUAUGUAUACAUAAGUACAUAUACAUAUAUACAUAUAUAUAAUAUAUGCCCAUCCUUAUUUGAGAAAUUACUGUCAUGAUGCAUUGUCAGGUAUGUUUUGUAAAUUAUAUUCUUCACUUCAUUCUCAUUUCCAAAGUGCCUGUUGGUAAAUUCUCCUAGAUAUACAAAAGAGAAAAUGGACCAAGUAAUUCAGAGAACAAAGUGCUUUCAGUGAAUGUCAGGGGAUCCAGUGGUUUCUGUCAACCACCUGUAAGUAUCAUUUGCAUCUCCUCUCCUUAUACCUCUUAAAAUAUGGCCAGGUUUAACUUUUCUGACCAUGGCUUUUCUAGUCUAGACAGCCUGGUCCUCCUGCCUCUCCCCACCACUCUGUUUUCCUCUCUUUGCCUUAAUACAACUUACUUUGUAUAGUGGGAUCUUCCACAUGGUUCUUCUCUCUUCCAGUCCACAUGCAGCACUGUCUUUCACCUCAGCUGGGGUCACCUCCGUUUAUAUACAUAAAUGUUUGCUAAAGUAGGGGUCUAAAGGCUACAUCAUUUAUCCUCACCAUCAGGAUACAAGAAAUGAAACAGAAUUCUUUGUAUUUAAAUCACAGGAAUUUGUUUCAAAAGGUGAAAAUCUUAUUUCCUAGUUGUUUAUUUUUUUACUGUUUGACUCUUUUAAAAGAGAAAGAUUUCAGAGAAUCAAUAUGGUUUUAUUUUAGCCAUGAGAUAUUUUUCCUUUAGGAGAACAGCACGUUGUAGAGUCCUUGUUACUUCGGAGACACAGUGAAGCCUCAUUCUAUUAACGAUGGCAUCAGUUUUAUUUUUCUGAGAUAAAGGGGCACACUAAGGCUUUUUCCAGCAGCUGGGAAAUUAUGCCAUGAUACGAAAAUAAAUAAAUAAAGGCAUUCUGUUUCCAGUAUGAGAUUCCCUCCGGGAUUUCCGUUCUGGCUGUGAUUACGGGAGGAGUGAUAAUGGUUUUGAGCCUAUGGUGCAUUUACUCCUGUGUGCAACUGUGCAAUCUGUUCCGUGCUCAACCUUUCCAUAUUAAUAUCCUUAGAAGUAUGAACUGUGAAGCCAUAUUCUAGGCCUGAAUCAUCAGAAAACAGGAAAAGUUAGGCCAUACAAGGCCACUUUAGCAACAAGGCAGAGGAGCGUGUAUCCUAACUGUGAGGUGUAUCUAUAUCUAGAAGCGUGGGUUAUCUACCAGGAUUCUAUGAAAGAUGGAUCAGCAUGAACAUGUGUUCUUUAAAAUUUUUUUAAUGUUUAUUUUUGAGAGGGAGACAGAGCAUGAGUGGGGGAGGGACAGAGAGGAAGAGAGGGAGGCACAGAAUCCGAAGCAGGUUCCAGGGUGAGCUGUCUACACAGAGCCCAUUGUGGGGCUUGAACUCACAAACCCUCAGGAACUGAGAGAUCAUGACCUGAGCUGAAGUUGGAUGCUUAAACUGACUAAGUCACCCAGGUGCCCCUGAAUGUGUGUUCUUAAUGCCUUAGGUAUCAGCUGGUCUUUCUUUCUUUCUUUCUUUCUUUCUUUCUUUCUUUCUUUCUUUCUUUCUUUAAUUUUUUUUAAUCUUUACUUAUUUUUGAGAGAGUGAGAGAGAGACAGAGUGAGAGCAGGGGAGGAAUAGAGAGAGAGGGAGACACAGAAUCCGAAGCAGGCUCCAGGCUCUGAGCUGUCAGCACAGAGCCUGAUGUGGGGCUCGAACCCGUGAACCCUGAGAUCAUGACCUGAGCCAAAGUCGGACACUUAACCNNNNNNNNNNNNNNNNNNNNNNNNNNNNNNNNNNNNNNNNNNNAAAAAGAGAGAGCAUGGAGGAGAGGCAGAGAGAGAGGGAGAGAGCACAUCCCAAGCAGGCUCCAUGCUGCCAGCACAGAGCCCGAUGCAGGGCUUGAUCUUAGGAACGGUGAGAUCAUGACCUGAGCAGAAAUCGAGUUGGAUGCUUAACAGACUGAGCCAUCUAGGCGCCCCAGCUGGUGUUCUUUUCACAGAGGGGCUGGGCUGUAUGUUUUUACUUUAAAUGAUCAGUGUAGCCUGCAUAUAACUAGACCACUAAUAAAACUCCAGGGCCGGGGCGCCUGGGUGGCUUAGUCGGUUAGGCGGCCAACUUCGGCUCAGGUCAUGAUCUCGCGGUCAGUGAGUUCAAGCCUCUCAUCAGGCUCUGUGCUGACAGCUCGGAGCCUGGAGCCUGUUUCGGAUUCUGUGUCUCCCUCUCUCAGACCCUCCCCUGUUCAUGCUCUGUCUCUCUCUGUCUCAAAAAUAAAUAAACGUUAAAAAAAAAAAAUUUAAAAACUCCAGGGCCAUGCAGUGAAAUGAAACCACAGAGAAGCAGAUAGGAAGUGCAAAACUUGAAAACUCUUCCAAAGAUCUACAUGCUACUACUACUGCUACUGCCACCUCCAAAAAAGGCUUUUAUCUUUUUGGGGGGAGUUUGGUUUUCAGAUUUUCAAUCGUUUCUUAUAAACCUUGAAAAGUAGGACGAGAAGGAAGGGUGGUGUAUUACUGAUUCCUUCCAAGUGUGGAGGACUAUAAGCAGGAGGAAGACUCACGGAGACCGUCUGUCAUGCCAUCGCUGGGGGGAGUGAGGGUUUUGUCUUCAGGACCUCACAGCAUGCCGGGGACAUGAUGGUAUCUGAGCCCCGCAGCUUUUGCUAUUUCAGUUGUUUACUUUUUUGAGUCACUAAGAAGUCAGAGUCCCGCAGCUUCACAAAGCUAAGGCAGCUCCUCAGCCCAGUUUAAUCUGAGCCAUGCAACCCAUCCCUAGUCUAAAAAAUACCACUUUGGGGGUGCCUGAGUGGCUCAGUCGGUUAGGCGUCUGACUCUUGGUUUCAGCUCAGGUCAUGAUCUCACAGUUUAUGAGUUUGAGCCCCGUGUUGGGAGCCUGCUUGGAAUUCUCUCCCCGCCUCUUUCUCAAAAUAAAUUAAUAAACUUUAAAAAAAUAACAAUUUGUAGAUUUCAACUAUAAGAGGUUUGUCCAUUUAUGACCAUGGUGCUGCUGGGCAUUCAUUAAAUAAUCACUAGAUAGUCAUUUGCUAUACUGAUGCCACAAAAUCCCCAAAGUUACCAAUGCAUAAUGAAAAAUAUUUUAAACGUUUCAGAUGAAGAAAAGAAUUUUAAAUUAGCAAAAUACUCUGGAAAAUUCAGAAUUUAUGUAUUUUUGGUAAAUUUAUUUGGAAGUGGUAAAAAGCAUGUAACAUCUAUUCUCUCAUAAUCUCUAUCUGGAGACAUCUUUGUACCUGUUUUUUCCACCAUGAAAACUCAAAAACAGAGAUUAAGUGACUUGUCUAGUAUUACCCAGUGAGUCAUCGGAAAGGGUCCUGUAUAUUCUAGAACUGAUUUUCAAUGUUUUACACAUUAUGUUUCUCCUAGAAUAGACAUCACAUUUUUAUACCAUUCUCCUUGGAAUGUAUUUAGUGCCUUCUGUAAGUAACUCCUGUCCCCCUGCUAAUUUCAUUAAGUACUGGUACUUGAUAAGACAUUUUCAUGAACUAUCAUGGGUCCCAAUAACCCCACUCAACUCAAUUUGAGAAUUCAUAUCUCUGUGUAAAAGUGAAAUUACUGACUUACCCUUGAAGAUCUCUAAUCUUAACCCUCCUUCAGACAUUGGUUGUAGCGUGGUAAAGAUUACAAACUGUUCUGGGCAGGUGGAUCAUCAAAAAUACAUUAUGUCCCCAAAUAACUUCCCAGAAUAACCUGAGUUUUUUCUCUUUAGCUCUGAAAGUCAAGUGAUCCCUUAGGAAAGAAAUCUCAAAAUCCAUCCAAGCUAAAGUUCUAGAAAGCUUAGAAAAGAAAUCAAAUAUUCCACACUUGCAGAUCAGACUCUGCAAAAUAUCUUGACUGCUAGAGAAUCCUUUGGGGAUAUCACAUAUUAGAAAAUAUAUUCCAGUGCAAUGCUAUCUCCUGAGGAGGGUGAGCCACACAGUGACUCUCACAUCCUGAAAAUAGGACACUCUCCUGGCACUAGUGCUGAAAAAGAGCUACUUGUUGGAGUGGAAAAAAAAAUAACCCUGCAAUUAUCCCAACACCAGACAACUUCUUGAAUCCAGCUCACCUAAGCUAUUUUUUUUCCCCCUCUACUCUGAGAGCAAAAUGAAUACUGCAAGCAGUCAGAGUACUAAUGGUCUUUUUUUUUUUUUUUUUUUUUUCUCUACAUUGUUUCCCUUCCUCCCCACUAAAACCCGAAGCAAGCAAGGGACUGGAGAGACUUCAGGAGCCUCUUCACGCUAUCACUUCACAGGCUAGAAGGUGACAGCUUCGCCAGGGACUAAUGCAGUCCGACAUAAUUGAAUGUGGCCUGGAGCAAGGCAGCUGCCUGCAGCCACUCUUGAUUGUAGCUGUCAUCAGGUAGCGCCUGCUGCCGGAAAAUACAUUCCAGUGGAACGCCAUCCCACCACUCAGCUCCAUGGUGAUAGCUUAUUUACCCUUCCGCUGCGGCCACAGUUUUGUAGUUAAUAAUUGUCAGUAUCACACUGCUGCGUGAGUGCAGACGCUGGGCCUUUGAAUUAUCAAUAAUCUUUUUAGUGAUCUCUCUUUCUUGCUCUUUCUCUUUCCCUCUCUGGCUUUCUUUUCCUCUGGAAUUUAAUCACACCCCAGAAUUCCCUUUAUAUGGCAGAAUUUGACCUGAUUCAAAAGUACGAUUCCAUCCAUUCUUGAGUUUGUUUCAUUUAAUGGAUUCAAAUUUUCUUUGCAAACAAAACAACAGAAAAAACAAAAAAACAAGGAUACUCCUGCUUUUUCUGUGUAUUGAAACAUCUCAGAAAAUUAUCUGCCAGAUUAAGUUUUAUGAGUAGUAUUAUAAGUAUUUGACAUUUUUGGAUUUCCCUUUAAGUGAUUUAAAAGCUCAUUAAAUGCAAAUGAAUAAUGAUUCAAAGUAUUAUAUUUCUUCUUCCAACUAGAUAGAUACAGAUUUUAGGGGAUCAGGUUAAAUUCUAUGCAAAUAAUUUAACUUAAGGGUAAACAUUUAAUAUGCAAAUAAAAUAAUGUGCAAUAAAAUAUACAUAGCUAUAUUUAGUAUUUGUGUAUUCGCAUAUGAAAAAACAAGUUGUGCCAUUCUGUAAAUUGAAGAUGGAAAAAAAAUCAUAUGGUCUGGAUUUUGAGAAUUUUAUUUUAUUUUGUAGUUAUUCUUGAUAUAAUAAUUCAGUGUUUUAAAAUCACACGUAUUUCUGACUUAUUUGUACCCAUUUGACUUUGAGAUAAGCAUUAAAAUCCUCUUAUGACAUUUUCUGCAAUUAAUCUUUAGUUAUAAUUAAAUUCUAAUGUCAGAUUGUGGUGUGAGCCUUAUUUCACAGAUAUGUGAGUGAAGAUGCUGAGUGUUUCCAAGGCUGAUGCAAGCAUACAGAUGUCAGAUGUUAAUGCUAAAAAAUAAAAAAAAAGAAGAAAAGAAAAAAAGAAAAAAAAUCUAGAUUCUUGAAACCAACUUUAAAUGAUAAAAAUCUACACUUUUCUUAGAAAGGUCUAUCAUUUUUUCACUACCACACCCCUAUCCAAAUACCUAGUUUCUUUAAUCAAAUCUUGUCUAUAUCUAUCUCCUGUGGUAUCAGUAUCCUUCCCAACCCUCCCUAUCCCCCAAACUGGGUUCUGUGUGGCUCUCAGGAAGGUAUUUGAUAAAAUAUUCAGAUGAGUGGCUUAGGUAGUAUCUGCAUGAUGAGGUUCAAAUGCAGCCACCUGUCAUUUUAUUGGGACGCUAGGCCAGUAUUUUUGUUCUUUGCUAUAAAGUGAAGUCGUGGCUAACCCAGCUACAUUUACUCUUCAGUCUCAUAUCUCCAUUUCUUUAAACUUAACCGAAGAAGUUUAGAAAGUUGAACUAUUAUCUGUUGAAUUCUAACAACAGACAAUAAAAAGAUAAAAUAAUGCUGGACUUUUCAAAUUCUAAAAUAUUCCCCUUUCAUGAUCAAACCAUUGAGAUAUAUUCCCUAUGUUGCUUGAAUUUCUUGAGAUAGCUACUCAUCUCUCUAAUAUAUGGAAUCAAAUUUAGGAGAACUUAGAUUAUUUAAUUCUUUUCUCUAUUAGAAGUAAAAGAGGAAGAGAAGGUAAUGGUUUACUGUGUGUGGCUUACAGAUUUUCAAAUUUUACGAAAUUUGAUUCUCUCAGUAGUCCUUCAGUGAAAUCUACGUUGGUUGGUUGUAUUAAAUCAGAAGGGUAGAUAGGGUUAAGCCCUGAUUCAGGAUUUCCUAGGGUUACUAGCAGAACCAUAGAAUAGAAUAUAGAUGUGGAGCAGAUUCUACAUGAAUAUAAAAUCUUACUAUUAAAGUAAGUUGCUACAAAUAAGUGUAUUGUAAUAUUUUGCAUGGUAUUUUUUUUUCCAGGAAGGAAUUUCCUGCUUGCCCCUUUCGGUAGAUGUUUCACUAUAUAGAUGGUUCUAUGAGCUAAGGUUUAAGGUAAUUGCUUCAGCAAUUUCAUUCUCUGGACUUCUAGUAUGGAAAGAUGGGUGUGGGGUGAAUAUUUUAUUUGCGUGAAUAUACUGCUCUAACUUGCACAGGACAUUUCUGUUAACCAAAAAUGUUAUGACUAAUCCCUUCAACGUGGACAUGUGUAGAGGGCAGUGACUAAGAUUUAAAUGCUGAGGUAUAAUUUUAGAUAAAAGUAGCUUCUGAAGUGGACAAUUUCUUUUCAGUAUUCUGAGGUGGGAAUACUGAAUUUUAAUGGGUGUGUACAUUGCUGAAGGCUGAGUUAAAACUCAUUUCUGAUUUGUAAAUGUAAAUCACCAAAGUGCCCUCUCCUAGUCACCCUAGAAACAAAUUAAGAGAUAAUGUUAUGACCCUCCAUCCCAAUUCUGCUGUUAACCUGAUCAUUGAGAACCAGGAGAGAACAUCAACAUUGAAAUUCCAGCUGUCUCCAGAGGCUCAAUUUCAUGAGCUUUGUUCAUGGACUACUUUGUCUCAGAAAACAUAAUGGAAAUCUAGCAUUGUCUUCUAGAUAUUAAUAUGCAUCUAUUUAUAUGUGCAUAAAUAUAACUAUAAUAUAUAUACAUGUGAUAAUAUAAACAUUUCUCACUGAGAGGAUAAGAAAUUAGUAAAUGAUCCCCAGGUGUAUUAGGAAGAGAUAGUGGUAGCUAGCAUUUGAUGUGGAAACAUUCUGUCACCAAAAAAUGGCUCUACACGGAGAGUAGAGAAAGUGGUGUCCAAACAUUCUUUUGUCUUAAAAAUUUUAGCUAUGUUGCAUCCACACUGCAGUGUAAUAUCAACCAUGAUUGUUUCAUAGAUUCUCUCUUUGCCAGGAUUUGUUCAUUUCUAGUCAUAGUCAAAAUCAUUUGCUAAUGGUUCUUCUGUUUUAAUUUUAAAAUACAUAGUUUGUGUUCUAUCACAUGUGCUGGGCAAUAGUAGCCUUUUUCUUUUUUUUUUUUUUUUGUAAAUGAAUGAAGACUCUAUUUUUACUUUGUCAUUUAGGUGCAGGCAGUCUGUAUUCCUCUUGUAUUUUGCUUUAAAACGCAUUGCAUUUCAUCUGUCAGUGAUCAGCCAAAUUGCUAUUAAUCAAGAUAAUACCACCAUCAGCUGGAGCUCUUUUUUUACUUAUCAUUAUUUAGUAACUUCAAAAAUAUUUGGCAAUGGAGAUAUAUAGAAGUCCUUUCAAGUAGUUAACUUAAGAGUUUUACUCUGAAAGAGUAUAAAAUGGUCACAAGCUACAAGCAGAAUUGUUCCCCAUCGUACACUAUUUAAGAUGGAUUUUAAAAAUAGUAUCAGGGCUCCUGAAAAUGGGAAAGACAUCAGGCAGAAGCAUCAUCUUUUAAAAAUAUGACUUCCAUGGGGUGCAGCUGGUUGCCUUGGUGAGAGCAAGGGGAAAAAGAAAGGCUUUUGCCUAGCGCUUGCUUCGCGGCCACGGAAAAUGAGAUUGCUCUUGUCCUAGGAUUCCGGGGUCCAUCACUGCAAGUGAGACACAAGUUUGCAGUAUUUCCGUGAACAUGAAAAAGUAUAUUUUUAGGAGGCGGCCAAGUAUGACUAGUCAGCUGUCGGAUUGUAUUUAGAUUUGGGGAAGGCUCUCAGAGGGUUGAAACCACUUGUUUCUCUCUCUCUUUCUCCACUUGUCACUGCAGUAAAGUUGGCUCUGGCUCCAGGGAGCCCUUGGUAAAGUACAAUGCCCAGGGCUAUGGGAGACAGAGGCCUCAAUAACUGAUAUGAAAGGUCCUUAAUUAAGCACUUAGCAUUUCAAGGCAGUCAUCACUGCUCGCCCACAGCCCGAGCUGGCAGUCCGUCACCGCCGAUAGGCCACCUAGAAGACUAACGUGAGUUGAGUCGACUCUUUUGUACUUGAGGCGAGCCGCCCGGAGGCACAGGCUGAUCCGGUGACCCUCCCAGAUACACUUUCUCUGCCGGAAGGAACAGGAUAUCGGAUGUGACAACACUGCAGCCAGGGAAAGGAUUCCCCUCCCCGCUGUCCACCCCACACCCUCUGAAAGAUCAGGGAUUUGAGGAGAAAGUUAGAAUGACAGUGGCACUUUCUUGGCUCAGCACAUCAGUAGGAAUAGAACUGAACCCAAUGAAUGAAUAAUGACGAAUGUAUUAUGAAGCAAAAGGGAACCCCUCCACCAUUGUAAAAUAUCAAUUAUUUUGCAAUUACCCAAAGCCUCGAAAAAGUUAACUAGGAAAGAAACAUUUCCUUUUUUUUUUUUUUUUUUUUNCCCCCCCCCCCCCCACCACAGCACGUAAUUCUCUGGGCAUGAGAAACUGGAAUACACAUAAAUGUUUGGGGGAAGUUUAUCUUUAUAUUAAGGAGCUGGGAGACUUGGCAGCAUUAAAAUGGAAAGGGUUAAUGGAAUGAACUAUAGAUUAAAUUGUAAAGCAAUCAAAGAAAACCAAACAGUUUAUAGCAGACAACCAUCUUCUGGUGUUUGGGUCUGUGUCAAGCCAUGGAUGUGGAAAAUUAAAGCCAUACUGAGAAAGGAAAUGAACCAUGUCUAAUACAUCCCCAGCAAUAAAAUGUUUUCACUAGGACUGUAAAACUGUGGCUUACAUUAGGAAAAAGAAAAUCAAACUAUAUGUCAAUUCCACAUCAUGGGACAUGAAGUGUCCACAAAAAUUUAUAUUACUAUUUAGAAGUGUUUCAUUCUGGUGUUUUAUUGUGAUUGGAUGCGCCCUCCUCAGUAUCUUUUGACUGGUAUGAAAAUGAUUUGAACUACUUUUUUAGCAUUUAUUUUACAUCUAUUACCUGUUCUAUUACUUUUUAUUAUUUUAUUGUGCUUGUGUAGAGGAUUUUGCACAGUUUUCAUUAUAAUGUAACAUUAAGUCAAUUUAUUUGUGUAUUACAUGCUGUAUAAUUGCACCUUUUUCUAGAACAAUUUGGAUUUCAUUAUCUAACAAAUCAGCACUGUUACAUUUCUAAAAGCUCUUGUUAGAAAUCAAGUGCAUUUUCAAAGUAGGACAACAGAGGUCAAGUUUGCACCAAAAAGAUUCCUCAGUAACAUUAGAACUAUUUGAACAUCGGGUGAAGGUCAUAUUGAAAAGAAGGAAAGACUUGUUUCUUUGAGGAAAUAUUUAAUUAUUCACUAUUGUACUAGGUUAAGAUCAAUAAGGAUCAAUACUGCAAGAAAAGGAAUCUUGUAGAACAAAGGGUUCUGACAUGGAACAGAUAAGAGUGAGCUAUAGAUCAGGGAACGAACAAAUUAAUCCAGGAAAAAUGUCAAUUGUUACUGUGUUUUGUUUAUUAUGAUAAAGGAUAUCAAGAUAUCAUUUGGAUGCUUAGUUUACAAGGGCUAUAAAUUGCAAAACUACCAAGCAUGGUGAAGUGUACAUAUGUUUUUACAUAGCUAUCUUCAUAAACUGAUCUAUGCUUAACACAGAGGUGGCAUAAAUGAUUUCAGCAGUCACAUAGGUAAAGUGCAAAACACUAAAACAAAACAAAACCAAACCCCGCAAUCACUAAGAAGUUGAUUAAGCUGUGAAAUAAUUAACAGAAUGUAGAUUGAUGUUUUAUAGGCAUAAUUAUAUUUUACAUUUUCGAUGAGUAAGGAUGUAGGGAUGAUAAGUUAUUCGACACUACAUUUCCUAGAUGGCACACUUGGUAUUUUUCCCAUAUUAUUUUGGGUUGUUUGUUAACUUCUCAUUAACGUUUGCCUUUUUGUUCUUAUUAGACUCUUAAUGGCCUCAGGAUAGUGACCAUGUGAUACUUAAUACAUCUCCACAGCCCUGUCUGUGACCCAGCAGAGAGAAUAGUAAUAUUGACUUAAUACUAUUAAUAGCAGUAAACAUCAGGAAAUAUUAUCCCAUUGGUUAAGACAGUAAGUCACGUAUUUUAUUUAGUUUAUUUAGUUUCUAUAAUGGUAACCAAUACCAUUUUUUUCCCUUUAAGGAUAUAUGGUAUAUGGGAACUUUAGAAAUCUAGAGAAAAUUCCAUUUUCAUUUGUAGGGUCAAUAUGAAAUUCUGUUUUGAUGAAUUUGGUGAUGUAUUUACCAAAUAAAGGUUUUUCGAUUUCAAAUAAUUCAUUAUACAAAAAUGGAAUGUAUUUUAUUCAACCUGACAGUUUUACAUGUUAUUGAAAUUUUACCCACAAUCAUGAAGUUAAGUAGGAUCUCUUGGUGAGGGGUUUUAUACCCCCCUCCACACCAAAACUGCAAGGAAUGUGGGAGAGGAUGCUUUAGCAAAAAUUUUAGCACAGUUUUUUGGACAUGUGAAUAAUAUUUCAUUAAGUCUUGGCCUUUUUAAAAAAUAAAUUGCUCUCUUUACAAAUAAUAGCUUUUAAUAAUGUUUCUGUGAUGUGCUGCUUUGUCUUACAUAGCAACUCAAGCUGUUGGGAGACAAGAACAAACAACAAACAGUAAUAAUAAAAUGUAUCCAUGCAUUCGAUGGCUUAAGUAAGCUUGUGUGAAGCCUUCAAUUUAAUAGCUUCUUUUGUCCUUUUCUGGUCAAUUUUCCUUUUUUUUUUUUUUUUUUUAGCUUCCUGCUUCAUGUUACACUUUUGCUCAUUUUGUGAUCUAUUUAUACCCUUGGAUUUUAGAUAUAUGCUAGUGAUAGGAAAGUCAAUAUAUUUAUUGGCCAAUAUAUUUAUUGGAUUUUAGAUAUAUGAUAGUAAUAGGAAAGUCAAUAUAUUUAUUGGCCUUUAAUUGGUUCUUCAUUCUUACAGUAAAACUGGCUGGUGCUGGCAGCUAAUGGCCUUCAGGAUAAUAGCCUUGCAUUUCUGUUUCUAUCAAUUGAGAUGUAUGGUUACCACACAUGAGUUCUGUUUUCCCAAAUUUGUAUUUUUCACUAUAAUUAUAUCAACCAAUAAGAUCUAUGCUAAAUAUUUGUCUCUGUGACAACUGUUGAAUACUUAAAGAAUACUUGAUAAAAUAAAUUUCAGUACAAGAUUUUGAACUCUCCUGUGAAUAUGAUAGAAAAAAGGUAAACAUUUUCAAUUCUAUACAUUGCUUAGCAGAUGUGAUCAAGACGCUCAAUUCUAAAGAAAUCCAAACUAAAAAUACUGGAUAAUACUUUAUGGGUAUGGUUUUUGCUUUAAAAAUAGUAACUUCAAUCAGGAGAUCCAUACUCAAAGAAGAGAUCUUGGCCCUACCUCCAAGUUUGAUGGAGAAUGAAUAACUAUUAAUACAAGUUAAACUAAAUUAUAGAUGGAUGCAUGCAUCAUUUUUAUGAUUCCCCUGAUAAUAGAGCGAUACAUAGUGCUAGUUAAGCUUAUGCAGUCAAGCUGGUUGAGCUUUCUAGGAUUCCUAGGAACAAUAUUUAUACCAAAAAUCAAUUUAGAUACAUACCACGACACAAACCUAAGUAUCUAGGUUUAUAUGCAUCAUCCAAAUAUUUAACCAAGCCAAGCAAAAUAUAACUGUUCAUGGAAAAAGUGAGCUAAUAUUUAUAUCUCUCAUGUUGAGAAAUUAACAGACACAAUUUUAAUUUUCUGGUUAAAUUGUGAAAAAAAUAACGAAAUAUAAUUUUAAGUUAAAAACUAAUAACUUAAAAAACAAAUGAACAACAUAAGCUAUAUUAUGAAAUUAUUGAAGGAGAAAUUAGAGAAUAAAGACCUAUUGCCAAAGAUAGGAAAAAUAAACUAGUUACAAUAGAAAUAAAAUGACAAUUAUAAGACUGAAAACAUAAUAAAAAAUUAUAGAACAUGUAUAUGUUAUAUAUCAUACGAAGUAUAUGAUAUAUGUCUUGGGAUAAACAUAGUUUUAAAAGAAAAAGAAUAUGAAAUUGUAUUAAAAACAAAAAUGAUUGCCACCCAAAACAAAAAAAAAUCUCAGUUUACAAGUAGAAAAGUAAAAAAUAGGAACAAACCAGUUACUAAUCAGUAACUAAGUUAUUAUAAGUUGAGUUCAGGUUAAAAACUUAAAAUGUAGGAAGAAAAACCCAACCACAUUAAAAGUAAUGAUGAAAAGUAUGGCUGAAGAAAAAUUACAUCAAAUGUAAUGAACUUACAUGUUUCAAAUUACAAAGCACGAAAAUACGUGAAACUGUGUUCUGAUAUUUUAAAAAGAAUUGAAUGUAUAGUGAUGAUUAUGUAAAUAUUAAUAUACUCUUGAUUUCUUGAUAAAUCUGGGACACAAAUUAUAAAUUACGCUAUAGGUAUUUUAAUAAUUUAAUAGAAUUAAUAUCAUUAAUCUAAUAAUAAGUGUGUUAAAUUCUCUGUCAUAUAGAAACCACAACUUUUUAACAUGUUUGUGAAACUUUUUUUAAAAGGCUAUAUAUUAGGCCCCUAAAGGGAGUCCUAAUAAAAGCAAACAUGUUACAAACCACAAUUAAUCUGUAUAUCAAUAGAGUAGAUGUAGGUACCAAAUUGGGAAACAGUUGAAAACCUCUCAGUCAUUUGGAAGCCCACACCUCUGUUCACUCAACUUUCUAAAAAAUCUUUUGUCAAAUUCAGUUUAUCUAGGACAGUUUUCCUCAGGGUGUUCGAGGACCACUGUAUUAGAAUAAAUGUGGGAGUGUUUGUUAAAAAAAAUGAAUAUUCACUUUAGCACUAAUGCAGUCAUUCCAAAUCAGUUAGUAAGGGUGGUGCCUGGAGAUCUGGGUUAGCCAUCUAAGGGAGUUUAGAUCAACAGUGAUCUAGAAAAUUAGUGAUACUAGCUCUGAACUUAAGUUUAGAAUGAAAAUAGAGGCCCCACUGGAAGACGAGAGAUAGAACAUGUUUAUCUCUUCUUCCUCUAAAGGCCUCUCUGAAAUGCUAAAGAAAUAAACACAUGUAAAUUUAUAGAGGUAGAUAAUAGCAUGUAAAGUUAGGUAAUACUAGAUAAAAGUUGAAGAAGAGAGUGUCCUUUAGGCAUCAAGAGGUUUCAGCAAUUCUGGAAGAUGAAAAGCAGAUAGCAUGGUAAUUCAUGUAGUAGGACAAAGAAAGAUGUAGCUUUGAUCUUCAUAAAGGAGAAUAUGGGCAAAGGAGCCAACUUGCCUCUUAGAAUCUUACAGAGGCUUAGAUCUAAGAGAAACCAGAGUGCAAGUUGAGAAAUGUGGAUAAAAACAGGACUUGUUGAAAUUUAUAUGUGGGACAGCUGACUCACAGCCAGCCCCUCCUUCAAUCAAAAUAUAUAUAUGUAAUACAGUCAUAAUUCUGCUCCCUCCCAGGCCGGAAAUCACAGGUAGGAGAUUGAAGUUUUCUUCUAUUGGAGAAAGUGAAUGGCCUCAGAGAAAAGGACUUCACAUUCUGUAUUUUUGUACUCCCCUAUCAAAUUGGCUGGCAUUCUGAUGAUCCUAGAUCCAAAUGCAAAGUCAAUAAUACAGGAACACAAAGCUCCCAAUCAGAGGCUUAGUGCUUUGUAAUUACAAAUAUAUUCAAUCAAGAAUCAUCAAGCAUUUGAGGCAACUCCUCAACAUGAAAGAGGGGCACUGAGGUGGGGAAAAACAUAUAUUAGAGUAGCCCAGAUGUAAUGAAGUUCUAGUAUAAGAUGUUUGUAAAAGUAUUUAUUGAAUCAUAAUUUUAAAAAAGACCAAGAAGGGAUAAGUAAGAAAAAAAUCAAAAAACAAUUCCUGAAAUAAAAAAUUCAGAGAGAAGUGAUAAUAUAAGGUAGGAGAAAUUUGUUAGGAAGUAAAACAAAAAGACCGCGAGAAGGCAAACAGGAGAAGAAAUAAAAGAGAUGUGAAUGAUUACCCUUUAAAAUUCAUUACCUGAUUCGGGAGUUUGAGCCCUACAUUGGGCUCUGUGCUGACAUCUCAGAGCCUGGAGCCUGCUUCUGAUUCUGUAUUUCCCGCUCUCUGCCACUUGCUGCAAACAGUUCCAUACACCUACCCAAAAUAACAUCAAAAUAUGUUCUCUAUAAAGAAACACGAAUCACACAGACACAGAUUUUCCAAAAUAAGCCAGGAAGCUAAAAGUUAAUGAGACAAAACCUUCCAAGUUUCAAGGAAAAUGAUUUGUAACCUUAAAAUAUAAAAUCAGACAAAUGCCAUAUCAAACCAUUUUUUAAUAUGAGGAAAGAAUAUUUUCUGACCGUCAACAGUAAGUAAAUUUGCUUUCAAUGUUCUCUGUCCUAGGCAGCUACUCGUGGAUGUGUUCCAACAAAAUCCAGGAAAUAGGAGGAUAUGAGAACCAGAAAAAUGUAGGUUCAGCUUAGAGCAUCAGGUAAGCAAAGUUGCAAGGAAAAUUUCCCCCCUAAUCUCCCUAAUGUGAAUUACAUGAAAAAUUCAUCUAUCUCUGUUUCAGGCCUUUGAUUCUAUUUCUUGAAAAUUGGAUCAUGAUGUUAAAAAGAAGCUUACUACCAUCCUGCCUUGGGUUAGAAUGCAAAGCAUCCCUAUUAUAGACCAAGGCCCGAAUUGUUUUCCUUUAAUUUGAAUGCUUUCCUCACGAUUAGACUAGGAGGUAGAAAUGUUUACCAUAACAUAUAUCUUACUGUGUCUGUGCAGAAAGAUGUCCAAAAGAUUAUUUACUAUAAAACUGUAUUAUGUUGACUCUGGGUGCUGGGACUUGGGGAGAAUUAGUUUUUCUCUUCUCUUCAUUGCUUGAAUUCUUUUUGAUGCAUGUAUAUCCCUUGUAAACUGGAUUAUACAUUAUAAAUUAACAGAGAAUAAUAAAAGAUUGGAAAUAACUUAAAUGACCAUAAAUGGAGGGACUGGUUACAUAAAUCUGGUGUAUUGGUACAGUGGAAUAUUUUUAAGUACUGAUACAUUGUUAAGUAAAUCAAACUCUGUGUAGUCCUCUCAGUGUAUAGAGUAAGGUACCCUUAGUAUAAAAAGUAUAUAUACAUCUAUUUAUGUGCAUAUAUCUCUGAUAGAAUAUAUAAAAGCAGGCAACAGUUGUCUCUAAGGAACAAAUGAUUUGAGGUUAGGAGUGAGAAGAAUUUUUACUAUAUGCCCUUCUAGAACUUCUGAAUUUGGAACUAUUUGCAUGUACUACUUAUUUAAAAAUAGCAUUUAAAAAUUAUGACUAUAUCCUACAAUACUCAACUGCCUUUCUCCCAAUUUUCAGACUAGAAAACUCCUUAAUUUAUUCAUGCCUCAUCCUUUGUGUCUCAUCUAUUACCAAGUGCUAUGAAUUUAGCUUUUGAAUUUAAUCUUUCUUUUCUCUCUUGCUUCUACCACCAGAUAGUUCAAAGAACUCAUCAAUUAUUACCUGUAUUACUGCAAUCAAUUCCUAACUAUCCUUUCCAAUUUUCUUCCACUUCCAAGUCAGUAAUUACAGUGUGAUCUUUCUAAAAUACAAAUUAGAUCACCUUGCUUUUUAACAUUGGUCCUCCAGAACACAGCAACUGAAGCAAGCAUUUAAAGGAUAAUCCAUGUGAGAGGUGCCAACCUAUGGUGGAAAGAGGAAGAAAAAAGGAAAGUGAGCAAGAGAAGAUGUGAUGCAAAAUGCAAAAUGGUGCAAUACAAAGUGAUUAGCUAGGAUUACGGGGUGCCUGGGUGUCUCAGUUGAUUGAGUGUUAGACUCUUAAUAUCAUCUCAGGUUGUGAUCUCCCAGUCUUGAGAUCCAGCCCCAGGUUGGGGUCUGCACUGAGCAUGGAGCCUGAUUGGAAUUCUCUCUCUCUCUCUCUCUCUCUCUCUCUCUCUCCCCCCCUCUCUCUCUCCCUCUCUCUCUCUCUGUCCCUCUCUCUCUCCCUCUCCCCUGUUUUAGCUGCUCUAUGUCUCAAGAUAAGUAAACAAACGUUUAAUAACAAACAAAAACUGCGAAAGUGAUCAGCUAGGAUUAAAUAUACAAAUUGUGUUGUUGUUAGUUUCCUGGGAGAAAGAAAAGGAGGGGGUAAUUUCAACUGCUUUCCUGUCUCCCAUUGUUCAAUGUUCAUUCCAUGACAAAUCAGUUACCCUGCACUUAUGGGUCUUUUUAUUUAGAAACUUUGUGGUCAGAUUCAGAUUCAGAUUCAAACAGUUGAAAAACUACUAUGGAUAGUAGUUUCCAAAUGGAUGUUAGCUAGUAUUGCUGAUUAUUUUUGUUACUACUAUUAUUAUGUUUCAGAUGACAUCAUUGGGAGAAAGAGAAGGAGUGCAUUUUGUGCCCUCUUGCAAGCUUCAUAUUUGGGGGCAAAGAGGAAUUUGAGAAUUUUAUUUGUUUUUAUUUUUUUAUUUUUUAGAAAGUGUAUUUAUUUUGAGAGAAGAGAGAGAGUGGGGGAGGGGUAGAGAGAGGGAAAGAGAAUCCCAAGCAGGCUCCAUGCUGUCAGCGCAGAGUCCUAUGUGGGGCUUGAUCCCACAAACUGUGAGGUCAUGACCUGAGCCAAAAAUCAAGAGUUGGACGCUUAAUGGACUGGGCCACCCAGGAGCUCCUGAAAGACUUUUAGUUGAAUGAUUAAUUUGUAUGCAAUUUUCUUCAUUAUGUCAUAGCAUCAGGAAGAAUUUCCAUAACUCAGCCACAGGAGCACUGUUUUCUCAAUUUUUUGUCAUAUUUCUGCCCCAAAUAAGUCUGACUUCAGCUCCCUCUCUGCCCUGCUUCACUGUUGUAGUUUCAAGAAUGUAGACUCUUCAGUUUCUUUUACCAUGUUUUACUUGUGUCUUCAUGUAACUUACACAUUAUAGCAACAUAGAGCAUAUAUAAUACUUAUAUUAAAAUGAAAGUUUCUAAAUACAAACCACAUAUUUUGGCCCAUAUUAUCUUUGAACUCAAAUUUUAUGUGUUUAUUAUUAAUCAUUUAUUUUUCCUCAUCUAGUUUCAUGGAAGUAAUUAAUUCAUUAUUUAAAAUAUUGUAUAUAGUUAAGGUGGACAAUGUGAUGAUUUGAUCUACAUAUACACAGUAAAAUGAUUACUAUACUCAAGCUAAUUAACAUGUCAUCUGAUGUAGUUACCCUUUUUUUUUGUGUGAUGAGAGCUCCCUGAAAUCUACUCUUAGCAUACUUCUAAUAGUCAAUAUAGUAUUGUUUUUAUUUGAGAGAGCGAGAGCGCACAAGUGGGGGAGAGGGGCAGAAGGAGAGAGAGAGAAUCCCAAGCAGUCUCCACGACCAGCAUGGAGCCUGAUGUGGAGCUUGAUCCCAUGACUCUGGGAUCAUGACCUGAGCUGAAAUCAAGAGUCAGAUAAUUAACCAGCUGAGCCACGCAGGUGCCCCUUAAAGAUCUUUGUACAGACCAUGAUGUUUCCACAAAUUCAUGAUUUUACCUCUGUUGUUUCCUUAGCUUGAAAUUGACUCUCUCUCUCUUUCUUUGUCUCCUACAAACUCAUUUUUGAUUCUAUGAAGUACCCAGUACUUUGAAGUACCCAUCUCAGGCACCAUCUGCAAAAGAAAGCUAUCCCCAUAUAGCCCAGUUUUGUCAAUAUGCUGUUCUUUUGAACUCUCUUAGCACCUCGGUAUAUACUUAUUAUUAAGGCUAUCAAUUUACAAAAAUAAAAAUGGUUUUAUUUUCUUGUUUGAGUCUCUUACAUAUUUAUCUUCAAGACCCCUUGAAGGAAAGGGAGGUUUAUAAAAUCAGAGCAGGAAAUCUGAAAGGGGUGAACAAUGCAGACACAAAUGCAUGGUGUUGGGAAGGAGCCUUCACAUGUGUGGAUGUGUUUCCCAAUGAAGUUGAGAACUGAGGAUCUAUGCUUGCACCUAUAUGCCUUCUCUCCAGUGAGAAAAAUGGAAGCUGACAUCUCAGGGCAAUUCUUUGUCAGAAAUAUACAUCUGCAUGAAGAGAAGAGAGUUAAAAAUUUAAUCUGCAAAGCUAUUUAGAGAGUGGAUAGGCCUUGACAGGCCUCCCAAAUGUAUUACAAGAACAAGAAGAGUGGAGUUAUGAAAAAAAAAAAAAAAGCUGUUGCAGCAAACAGAAUGAAACUAAGCUUUCUUGACAGAAUCAGUUUGCCAAAUGACUUUAAAAUCACACUUGUCCUUUUUUUUCCCCCUUAAAUAUACUCUAAUUUAAAUGUGUAAGAGAAACUUUCAGAAUGUAUGUGGUACCGUUAAAGAACUCUAAGGUAAAGACACCACAAUAAUAUGCAUUGUGCUAUUUGGGAAAAGGGUGUGUGAAACAAAAUUAAAACCUGUCAAACCACUAACUAGUCACAAAAAAGUAAUGAGGAUUCUGGAGGCAUCUAUGAUAAUCUGACUGAUAAUUUUCAAACUAUCACCUUAUGUUGAAAUUACUGCUUGACAUGAAUGAACAGAGUAAACCAUUGCCAAUCAAGUUCCAAAGAAUAUGACAGUUUGAUGUCACUUUGUGCUCCAUGUUCAUUUUAUUCUACUUAUUACUUCAGGAAGUUUAUAUUCCAGCCCACAUUUCAUCAUUGUUAUAGGGAAGAGUGCUGUUCUAUAUUCUGACUUAUACUUAGUAUUAAAUUUCUUUGUCUUUUUUAAAGUUUAUUUAUUUUUGAGAGAGAGAGAGAGAGAGAGAGAGGGAGAGAGAGAGAGAAUGAAUGAGUGGGGGAGGUGAAAAGAGAGAGGAGACAGAGAAUUCCAAGCAGGUUCCCCACUGGCAGUGCAGAGCCCGAUAUGGGGUUGGAACUCACAAACCGUGAGAUCAUGACCAGAGCCAAAGUCAAGAGUUGGAUGCUUAACUGACUGAGCCAACCAGGUGCCCUAAAUUUCUUUGUCUUUUAAUUUCAUAGUCAUUUCCCUGUAUGGUAAAGAAACCUACUUUUUUAAAAAAUUUAAUUAUUUUUUUAAAUUUACAUCCAAGUUAGUUAGCAUAUAGUGCAACAAUGAUUUGAGGAGUAGAUUCCUUAAUGCCCUUUACCCAUUUAGCUCAUCCCCCCCACAACCCAUCCAAGUAACCCUCUGUUUGUUCUCCAUAUUUAAGAUUCUCUAAUGUUUUGUCCCCCUUCCUGUUUUUACAUUAUUUUUGCUUCCCUUCCCUUAUGUUCAUCUGUUUUGUAUCUUAAAGUCCUCAUAUGAGUAAAGUCAUAUAUUUGUCUUUCUCUGACUAAUUUUGUUUAUCAUAAUACCCUCUAGUUCCAUCCACGUAGUUGCAAAUGGCAAGAUUUCCUUCUUUUUGAUUGCUGAGUAAUGCUCCAUUGUGUGUGUGUGUGUCUGUAUCGCAUCUUUUUUAUCCAUUCAUCCAUCAAUGGACAUUUGGGCUCUUUCCAUAUUUUGGCUAUUGUUGAUAGUACUGCUAUAAACAUGGGGGUGCAUGUGCCCCUUCAGAACAGCAUACCUGUAUCCCUUUGAUAAAUACCUCAUAGUGCAACUGCUGGGUCAUAGGGUAGUUCUAUUUUUAAUUUUGUGAAGAAUCUCCAUACUGUUUUCCAGAGUGGCUGCACCAGUCUGUGUUCCUAACAGCAGUGCAAAAGAGAUCCUCUUUCUCUGCAUCCUCACCAACAUUGUUGUUGCCUGAGUUGUUAACAUUAGCCAUUCUGACAGGUGUAAGGUGGUAUCUCAUUGUGGUUUUGAUUUGUAGUUCCCUGAUGAUGAGUGAUGUUGAGCAUUUCUUCAUGUGUCGGUUGGCCAUCUGGAUGUCUUUUUGGAAAAGUGUCUAUUCACGUCUUUUGCCCAUUUCUUCACUGGAUUAUUUGUUUUUUGGGUGUUGAGUUUGAUAGGGUUUGGAUACUAACCCUUUAUCUGAUAUGUCAUUUGCAAAUAUCUUCUCCCAUUCUGUCGGUUGCCUUUUAGUUUUGCUGAUUGUUUCCUUCACUUUGCAGAAGUUUUUAUUUUGAUGAGGUCCCAAUAGUUCAUUUUUGCUUUUGUUUCCCUUGCUUCCUGAGACAUGUUGAGUAAGAAUUUGCUGCGGCCAAGAUCAAAGAGGUUUUGCCUGCUUUCUCCUCAAGGAUUUUGAUGAUUUCCUGUCUUACAUUUCAUCCAUUUUGAGUUUAUUUUUGUGUAUGGUAUAAGAAAGUGGUCCAGGUUCAUUUUUCUGCAUGUUGCUGUCCAGUUUUCCAGCACCACUUGCUGGAGAGACUAUCUUUGUUCCAUUGGAUAUUCUUUCCUGCUUUGUCAAAGAUUAGUUGGCCAUACGUUUGUGGGUCCAUUUCUGGGUUCUCUAUUCUGUUCCAUUGAUCUGUCUGUUCUUGUGCCAGUACCAUACUGUCUUGAUCAUUACAGUUUUGUAAUACAACUUGAAGUCUGGGAUUGUGACGCCUCCUGCUUUGAUUUUCUUUUCCAAGAUUGCUUUGGCUAUUCAGGGUCUUUCUGGUUCCAUACAAAUUUUAGGAUUGUUUGUUCUAGCUCUGUGAAGAAUCCUGGUGGUAUUUUGAUAGGAAUGGCAUUGAAUAUGUAGAUUGCUUUGGGUAUUAUCAACAUUUCAACAAUAUUUGUUCUAUCAGGAUAUGGAAUCUUUUUCCAUUUUUUUUGGUGUGUGUCUAAUUUGUUUCAUAAGCUUUCUAUAGUUUUCAGUGUAUCGGUUUUUCACCUCUUUGGUUAGAUUUAUUAUGAAAUAUUUUAUGGUUUUUGGUGCAGUUGUAAAUGGGAUCGAUUCCUUGAUUUCUCUUUCUGUUGCUUCAUUGUUGGUGUAUAGAAAUGCAACGGAUUUCUGUGCAUUGAUUUUAUAUCCUGCAACUUUGCUAAAUUCAUGAGUUACUUCUAACAGUUUUUUGGUGGAAUCUUUUGGGUUUUCCAUAUAGAGUAUCAUGUCAUCUAUGAAGAGUGAAAGUUUGACCUCCCCUGGCCAAUUUGGAUGCCUUUUAUUUCUUUGUGUUGCCUGAUUGCUGAGGUUAAGACUUCCAAUACUAUGUUGAAUAAUAAUGGCAAGAGUGGACAUCCCUGUCUUGUUCCUGACCUUAGGGGGAAAGCUCUCAGUUUUUCCCCAUUGAGAUGAUAUUAGCAUUGGUCUUUCAUAUAUGGCUUUUAUGAUCUCGAGGUAUGGUCCUUCCAUCCCUACUUUCUCAAGGUUUUUAUCAAGAAAGGAUGUUGUAUUUUGUCAAAUGCUUUCUCUGCAUCUAUUGAGAAGAUCAUGUGGUUCUUGUCCUUUCUUUUAUUGAUGUAAUGAAUCACAUUGAUUGUUUUACAGAUAUUGAAUGAGCCCUGCAUCCCAGGUAUAAAUCCCAAUUGAUUGUGGUGAAUAAUUUUUUUUAAUGUAUUAUUGGAUCCAGUUGGCUAAUAUCUUGUUGAGGGUUUUUGCAUCCAUGUUCAUCAGGGAAGAUGGUCUAUAGUUCUCCUUUUUAGUUCUCCUUUCCAAAACCUUUGUCUGGUUUUGGAAUCAAGGUAAUGCUGGCUUCAUAGAAAGAGUUUGGAGGUUUUCCUUCUGUUUCUAUUUUUUGGAACAUCUUCCAAGAGAAUAGAUUUUAACUCUUCCUUAAAUGUUUGGUAGAAUUCCCCUGGAGAGCCAUCUGGCCCUGGACUCUUGUUUUUUGGGAGAUUUUUGAUUACUAAUGGAUUUCUUUACUGGUUAUGGGUCUGUUCAAAUUUUCUGUUUCAGUUUUGGUAGUUUAUGUUUCUAAGAAUGUGUCUAUUUCUUCCAGAUUUCCCAUUUUAUUGGCAUAUAAUUGCUCAUAAUAUUCUCUUAUUAUUGUUUUUAUUUCUGCUGUGUUGGUUGUGAUCUCUCUUCUUUAAUUCUUGAUUUUAUUUAUUUGUGUCCCUUUUUUUUUCUUUUUGAUCAAAGUGGCUAUUUGGUUUAUCAAUUUUGUUAAUGCUUUCAAAGAACCCACUUCUGUUUUCAUUGAUCUGUUCUACUGUUUUUUUUUUUUGUUUGUUUGUUUUGAUUGCAUUGAUUUGUGCUCUAAUCUUUAUUAUUUCCAGUCUUCUGCUGGUUUUGGGUUUUAUUUGCUGUUCUUUUUUCAGCUCUUUAAGGUGUAAGAUUAGGUUGUGUAUCUGAGACCUUUCUUACUUCCUUAGGAAGGCCUGGAGUGCUAUAUACUUUCCUCUUAUGAUUGCCUUUGCUGCAUCCCAGAGGUUUUGGGCUGUGGUGUUAUCAUUUUCAUUGGCUUCCAUGUACUUUUUAAUUUUCCUGUUUAACUUCUUGGUUAGCCUAUUCAUUCUUUAGUAGGAUGUUCUUUAGUCUCCAAGUAUGUUACCUUUCCAAAUUUUUCUUGUGGUUGAUUUUGAGUUUCACAGCAAAUUAGGUUUGAAAAUAUGCAUGGUAUGAUCUUGAGCUUUUUGUACUUGUUGAGGACUGAUUUGUGACCCAGUAUGUGAUCUAUUCUAGAGAACAUUCCUUGUGCACUCGAGAAGAAUGCAUAUUCCUCUGCUUUAGGAUAAAAUGUUCUGAAUGUACAGUGUGUUAUUCAAAACCAUUGUUUCCUUGUUGAUUUUCUGUUUUGAUGAUCUGUGCAUUGCUGUAAGUGGGGUGUUGAAGUCCCCUCCUAUUAUGGUAUUAGUAUCAAUGAGUUUCUUUAUGUUUGUGAUCAAUUGAUUUAUAUAUUUGUAUGCUGUCACAUUUGGAGCAUAAAUGUUUACAAUUGUCAGGUCUUCUUGGUGGAUAGACCCCUUAAUUAUGAUAUAAUGCCCUUGUUCAUCUCUUGUUACAGUCUUUAUUAUAAAGUCUAGAUUGUCUGAUAUAAGUAUGGCUACUCCAACUUUGUUUUGUUGACCAUUAGCAUGAUACAUGGUUCUCCAUUCCUUACUUUCAAUCUGAAGGUGUUUUUAGGUCUAAAGUGGGUCUCUUGUAAAGAGCAUAUAGAUGCAUCUUGUUUUCUUAUCCAUUCUGUUACCCUAUGUCUUUUGCUUGGAGCACUUAGUCUGCUGACCUUUAGAGUGAGUCCUGAAAGAUAUGAAUUUAUUGCCAUUAUCUCUUUUGUAGAGUUGAAAUUUCUGGUGGUGUUCUCUGGUCCUUUCUAGUCNGUUUAAACCAAGUUCUGGACUCCACUGCUAUUUUUAUAGUCCUAUUUUUUUAUCUGACCAGGCCUCAGCCUGGGCAAAGGCACACUAUUACUCUAGCAAUAUCCUGCCUAUUAAUAUUGUAGAAUUUUUUUCCAUUAAAGUCUUCACAGCUACUGAAGCAUAACUCUUAAGUCCUAAGAUGUAAGUCUAUCUUAAAAUAUUGCUUUAAAUCUUUAAUAUCUAGGGCUUCACCAUGCUUUCCAGAUUUCCUGUUAAAGUAUCAACUUGUUAAAUAUAAAUACUGAUCAUGUGUCCCCCAGCCCAACAUAUCUGCUUUUCUUAACCUACCAUGUUCUUUGUUAGUGGGUUCUGAGCUAGCUUGCACUCCACUCAGAUGUAGGUAACUUAAUGGAAAGAUUCAGGUUUAUCUCAUUGUAGUAAUUAUGAGGGCUGUUUAUAAAUAUAUUAUUUUUCCUCCUGCUGAAUGUAUGGUAGCUUUGCAUUUCUCUAGACUAUUUUGACUAUGGUCAUGUGCCUUACUCUGGCCAAUGAGAUGUGAGAAGUGAUGUGUUUCACUUCCAAGAAGAAGCCAUGAGGCAGGGCAUGAUAUCCCAUGUUUUCUUAUACUUCUCUGGAAAUGUUGGAAAUAUGUAUUAAGAUGACUCUUCCAUUAGAGUUGGCUUUUGAGCACCAAGGUUAAUAUAGUCCUCUUCUAUCCCCCAAUCCCUACUGAUGACAUCUGUUGGCCUUUUAGUCUGAGAGAGAAAUAAACUUUUGCUGUCUUAAGCCACUGAAAUUUUGGGGUUUUCUUUUAGCAGAGAAUAACUUAUUCUAUCUUAAUUGAUGUACCAUCCUUUUGGUUGCAUGGAAUCUGGCUCUUAGGGAGACAAAUUUUGAAAGUUAAUUUUAUUUAUUUUUUUUUUAAUUUUUUUUUUUCAACGUUUAUUUAUUUUUGGGACAGAGAGAGACAGAGCAUGAACGAGGGAGGGGCAGAGAGAGAGGGAGACACAGAAUCGGAAACAGGCUCUAGGCUCUGAGCCAUCAGCCCAGAGCCUGACGCGGGGCUCGAACUCCCGGACCUCGAGAUCGUGACCUGGCUGAAGUCGGAAGAUUAACCGACUGCGCCACCCAGGCGCCCCUAAAAGUUAAUUUUAAAAUUAUUCAUCUGUUACUGAAUUUUGUCAUCUACCUUCUCUGAAUGUAUUGAUUUCUUCUUUUAUUUUCUUAAUGUGAUAGGGUAUAUUGACUGAUUUUUAACAGCUUUAUUGGGGUAUUAUUUACAUACUAUAUAAUUCAAUUCUCUUAUGUGUACAAUUCAGUGAUUUUUUAAAAUAUAUUUAUAGAGUUGUAAAUACUCAUAACCACAAUCUAAUAUUAGAGCAAUCCCAUUCCCCUAAAAACAUACAAACCAACCAACCAACAAACAAAAACAACUAAUGGCUAUUUGCUGUUAUUUGCUAUUGUUGCCUCUCAUCCUAGGCAGCCACUAAUCUGUUUUCUGUCUUUGCAGAUUUUGUCUUUUCUGGACAUGUUAUAUAAGUGAAUCAUACAAUGUGUUGUAUUUUUGUGACUAGUUUAUUUCAUUUAGCAUCGUGUCUUCAAGGUUCAUCCAUGUUGCAAGGCACAUAAGUUCUUCAUUCCCUUUCAUGGAUGAAUAAUAUUCUACUGUGUGGAUAUACCAAUUCUGUUUAUCCACUCACCAGUGGAUGAGCAUUUAGGUUGUUUACAUUUUUUGGCUAUUAUAAAUGAUGCAGCCGUGACAAUAAAUACAGGUAUUUAUGCACACAAAUGUAUUAAUUUCUCUUCAUUAGAUACCUAGGAGUGGAAUUAUUGGGUUGUAUGGUAAAUUUAUGUUGAACAUUUUAGGAAACUGCUAAUCAGUUUUCCAUGGUGGAGGAAGCACCAUAUGCAUAGUUGAACAGCACUGAUAGACCCAAAGCACUAUUAUAUCCUUUGGAUCUUAAAGGCCCUUAUAUGGCUGUUCAGUAAAAGUAUUCAGGUAAUGAAUAGAAGAUUCUAUUUCUCUUUACUUUCUUUUCAACUCAUACAUACUCACACACACAAACAUUCUUCUUGGAGAGUGAGUACCAGUAUGUUCUGGCUGGUUAAUGAUUCCUGGUAGACAAAGAGUCAUUGGAUUCUCCAUUUGUUCCUGAACCUGUCAUUUAUUGAAUCUUAUAUGAGAAAUAAUUCCAAAAGGGAUUGAGGUCUGUGCUGGAAUAGUCUGACACGCAGAGUUAGGUGUCAUUGCUUCUCUCAGAUUCCUAUUUACACCCUUUGACCUAUCAGUGAUGCUUUAACUGUUGAAAAAUCAUCUGUCCUGCCUGAUCUAAUUUUUAUCAUGUGCAUACAGUAUUAUUCCUCAAAGAACAAAGAGCCAGCUUUUUUUUUUUUUUUCAACGUUUAUUUAUUUUUGGGACAGAGAGAGACAGAGCAUGAACGGGGGAGGGUCAGAGAGAGAGGGAGACACAGAAUCAGAAACAGGCUCCAGGCUCUGAGCCAUCAGCCCAGAGCCCGACUCGGGGCUCAAACUCACGGACCGUGAGAUCGUGACCUGGCUGAAGUCGGACGCUUAACCGACUGCGCCACCCAGGCGCCCCAAAGAGCCAGCUUUUAACACUAUGUAAAUAUAAAUGUCUUGAUUAAGUUCUUUCAAGUCAUUUAAGGAAAAGACCCACCCAUUUUGUCAUUUAUAUACUUUAUCUUUUGCUUCAUUGUUAAUUUUCAUUUAAGUUGGCUGAAGGUAUUAAUUCAUUUUUUAAAAUUUGUUUCAAAUAAAUACUCUAAAUAUUUCCAAAUAUAUGUAUAUAUCCUGCAUACAAAGACCAGGCCAAGAGUGAAGACCUAAAUUGUAAUGUUUUCUAUGUAACUGAAACAGGUGGCCAGUGGAAGAGAAAAUGAGAGGGAGCUCAAACAAGAAAAGCAAGAUGAUUAAGUUGGUAAUGGAAGGACCAUGGCAACAGAGAAGUAAGUCCAAGAGCUCAAUUUGGGUUUUGAACUCGUUGCUGCUCUAAGUUCUUUCUGACAUGUGGAAACAAGGUGUGUUUUCCAUGUACUUGCUGCUCAAAAGCAGGCUCCAAACUGAGGCAAAGUUCAGUAAUGUCAUAGGGUGUAAUCACAAGGCUGGCUGUAGGUAAGCAGGAUGGAACUAAGGUGUACCUUUGGAGUUACACAUCUCCAACUAUCCUCUACUUCUCUGAAGUUGGAAUGUUUCUCUGUCCAGAGGGAACUGGAUCUGAUAAGCUACUCACACUGUGGUAUCAUUUAGUUUGCUUGAAUGGUUGGCAGUUCAGGGUGUGGCUAAAAGCUUAGGCUUUGAAGGUUUGGAAACUCAUUGUCAUCUUCCAGGACUCUUGUGAUCAUGGGCAAUUUACUUAACAUUUUGUAUUCUGGAGUGCCUGAGUGGCUCAGUUGGUGAAACAUCUGACUUCGGCUCAGGUCAUGAUCUCAUGGUUCAUGGAUUCGAGCCCUAUGUUAGGCUCUGUGCUGACAGCACAGAUUCUAUGUCUCCCUCUCUCUCUGCCCCUCAUUCACUCGGUCUCUGUCUCUCUCUCAAAAAUAAAUAAACAUUAAAAAAAUUAAAAAAGAAUGUUUUAUAUUUAAAAUGGGUAUAAUUCCAGAAUGUCAUAGAUCUUUUGUGAAGGUUCGUGGAUAAUAUAAGACAGUAGACACAGUGUCUGCCAGGGAGUGAAUUCUCCAUAAAUAUUGGUUGUUAUUAUUAGUGAUGAGUGGUUGCCAUUCCGUAUAGUACUAUUUUUCAUUCUUUUUCUUUUUAACAGCUUUAUUGAUAUAUCAUUUAAGUACUAUACAAUUCCCCAUUAAAGUGUAGCAUUCAAUGCCUUUUAUUAUAUUCACAGUUGUGUGCAAACUGUACAACUUCAGAACAUUUCAUUACCUCAAAAAAAACCCCCAAACCCUUUAUCUACCACUCCCCUAUCUCCCAUCACACCCCCACCACUAAGUAGCCAUUAAUCUUCUUUCUUUUCUAGGUUUGCCUUUUCUAGAUAUCUCAUGUGAAUGGAAUGCUAGAACAGAUCUUCUGAGACUAGUUUCUUUCAUUUAGCAUAAUGUUUUUAAGUUUAUCCAUGUUUCAGCACAUAUCAAUCAGUAUUUUGUUCCUUCUUAUGGCUGAAAAAUAUGCCGUUGUAUGGAUAUACCACAUUCUGUUUAUCUACUUAUCAGUAGAUGAAUUGUUUCCUUUUGGCAAUUAUGAAUAUGAUGCUAUUUUUUUGUGGAAAUAUGUUUCUAUUUCUUUUGGCUAGAUGCCUAGUUAUGGGAUUACUAGGUCAUGCGGUAAGUUUGUUUAAUUACUUGAAGAAUUGCCAGACUAUUUUCCAAAGCAGUGCCACCAUUUUUUUUUCAUCCCCACCAUCAUGUACAAGUGUCCUGAUUUCUCCACAUCGACUGUGUCUUUUCUGUUUUUUAAAAGUGAAAUGGUUAUAAUCUAUAAAAACUUCAUAAGGACUUAAACUGAGAGAGGAUAAAGUUAGAUCUUAUUGAAUUUUAUGUAUUCAUGGAAACAACAUAAGAGUAAAGAUAAUGGGCCAAAAUUGUACUUUUGUGGGAAGUUUUGAUGUCUACAGUCAUUUAAAGAAGGCUUAUUUUAUAGGACAUGCAUGUAAUUUAUUGUCCAAACUAUAAAACAUUAGAGAAUGGAAGGAGUUCUAUGUAUAAUUAUGCUGGGGAACAAGGGUAAGUUGAGGCUGUCCCAGACACACUGGGGCAUGUGGUCACCUGAUGUGUCAUUAAAGGCCUCACUAUGCCUUCACUCAUUUGGAAAUAUAUUUUAUUUUCUUUUUUAGCAGAAGUGAUAGUUUGUAUUUAUCUCACACUUGGAGGCAAGAGUACAUGAAUACAUUUGUUGUUUUAAGUUUUUUUAAUUUCAAGAUACUUUAUUGUUUUAUUUAAAAAAUGUUUAUUUAUUUUUGAGAGAGAGAGAGCAAGCAAAAGUGAGUGGGGAAGGGGCAGAGAGAGAGAGAGAGAGAGAGAAUCCUAAGCAGGUUGUGCUCUGACAACCUGUGAGAUCAUGACCUGAAUCAAAAUCAAGUCAGACACUUAACCAACUGAGCCACUCAGGCUCCCCAAGGUACUUUAUUUUUAAAACAGGUCAAAACACUAAGCUUUUGGCCCAUUCUGCCAAUGUACAAGCUACAAACGCUUGCUCAGCUGCUGGGAGGCACUCUUUAGUAGCAUGUUCGACAAGUGAAUAAAAAUCCAGAUGAAACAAAUAUCCAAAUGGUUUCCAUAGGAACACACAUAAGUGACUCCAUCUCCUAGAGUUCUCUAUUGCUGCAUCCAUGCCAACCCUGCUUACAAAGACAUCGCAAAAAUAGCAGUGAUUAAGUUCAACAGUUCCCCCAAAUCUCAUAAUUCAAGCUAAACUUGCAUCUAACAGUUACAGGAGUGGCAUGUACUUGUUAAUGCUAAGUAAAGCACAGGCAACAGGAGAAUGCUCCAUCCCUCUCUCCCAAGCACAGGACACAGGUAGAGUGCUGAUAUCCUGCUCUUGUACUUCUAGUGGAAAGUCAUGGUUGUAUCAGUUGCCAUGUUGGUGUCAACAUCACAUAGAUAGUUGGCCUCUGGAACCCACUGAAAGUAGAAGCAGCAGCAACAGUGUAAGCACCUAUGUUUUCAAAAAGCAUCCACUUGCCUGCAUGCAUCUUGGGCAAGUGACAGUGCUCAACAAUGCCAUCAAGGCUGUUACAUGUCGGUCCCCAUACACUGGUUCAAUAAUAUUUCUCAUCUCAUCUGGUUUGGGUCUCUCUGCAUAAGGGGCUUCAUGUGUGCAUGAUCAUAAAGAAUGCAAUUAAAUGAUCCAUAUACCCCAUCAUUCAUGUAAUACAUAGAGAUUUGUUCACUCGACUCAUCUCAUCAUCAGAGCAUGUCUAUUCCUUUAAUACGAGUUUUUUGGCAAUGAUAUUAACCGUGAUCAUGAAAGCUGAUGCAACAUAACGUCUGCUGGUCUCAGCUAUGAUUCUCACUCCUGAGUCUGACGGCAAAUACUUGUUCAGUGCUGGGUUGAUAACACAGGUGAUUGUCUUCAAAUUUAAGCUUUACAUCUUCAGAUCCAGGAAAGCCACCACCGAUAUCAAGCAGAAACAUGUUGAAACCAACCUCAGCUCCCAUGUCAAAGACACAGCGGGUAUCAGAGAUGGUCUGCAUGUAGGUCUCAGGAUCAGUACAGCCACUUCCAUAUGGAAGCUGACACUGAUGACAUCAAUGUGGAGCUCUUUUGCCCCAAAAGGAGCCUGCUGGUUUUGAGUGUGGCAUCAGAUUUAACACCGAGGCAACAGACUGCUUUGGAAUCAUCAGUGGCAAUCUGCAACACUAACGUUGCCUUUGGAUGUGCCCUGGCACCUUCCCUCAAUUUGACUUCACUAUCAUCUUCUGGACUCCCAUUAUUGAUAGAAUACUUAAUCUGAGACACUUGUUUGGAUUUGCAUAGAUAAUCCUCUCUAGAGGCACCUAGAGACUCUGUACCAAUUGUACUUCAGUCUUGCUGGCUCAAUCAAAUCCUGUCCCUAUGGCAAGGAGCGUCUUCACUAUGGUUCUAUUAUCAUUGCAUUUGACUGCAUAAAAGGGGAUGAUCCAAGGACGAGCUUUUAAGCAUCUCUGAUGUUUCUUUGGAAAGUCUCCCAGGUCUGCGACAUAGAAGGCAUCCUUAUCAUUGGAAGACAAAACUUCAUUAAUUUUUUGGUCCAACAUGCCCUUGGCAGUAAGGCCUUCAUGGAGGAAAUGGCAGUCAAACUGCAUUACUAGAGUUGUUCAUGGUUUCUUGAUCUUUCCAUGGAAAACUAAGAGACGGAAUUUAAAGAAAUUAUUGCCACCAUUUCUCAAAGGCCAUUCUUGGGAAUUCCAAGUCCCCCCGAAGAUGCGUGUGCUCUUGGUGCAGCAGUGGUGAUGUUCUAAUAAACACAGAAUUUGCUGUCUUAGAGCACACAGGUGCCAUGGGCUGGCUCAUGGCCCCUAGUACAAAGGACAGCUCCCCCCACCCCAGCCCACCACCUUGCUGCCUCCCUGGGGGGAAUGCCAGACCCAGGUGGCCCCUGAGCUCUGGCAGAGGGUCACACCAUAGAGGCUGAGGGCACUUACCUGUUGUUCCCUCGGAACAGAGCCAGCAUAACUGAUGCAUACGGGAAAUGAAGCCUAGCUGUUCAAAUAGGCUGUAUUGUUUUUGCAGCUAAUCUGAAGCAGAUUGCAUUAUGGAUUUUACAUUUUAUAUAAUGUUGACAUUUUAAAGAUUUUUGUGGACCCUAUAUCAUUUUUUUUAUUAUUAUACAAAAAUAAACUCCUCCAGGAGUGCCUAUUACUAUAUUAGGCAUAUAAAUGUUGCCUUCUCCUCCAAUAUAUAUUAAAAAAAAAUAAUUCAGGUCACAGUGCUUAGUGUUGUGGAAACACGCACGGAAGUCAGUCUGCAUUUCAGGGAUUGGGGUUUCUGAAACAGAUUCUCCCAUGCAAAUCCUCUUUUCCAAAUCCUCUUUUUCCCCCAUUUUUCUUCCAUUCUACUUCCCUGCUAACCAACCAACCAAACUGAACCCAAUAUCUGCAGUACUAUUGACUCUUAGAAAAAUAACAACUGUCCUAUUAAUUGGAAUUCUGAUUUCCAUGAAUAUACAGGGUCAGUUCAACAGCCUAUAAUGCUAGAGCCUGGCAGAGUAUCACCAUGAAAAUGACAAACAAACAGAGAGGCACUUGUUACUGCCCCAGGAGGGAAGGACCAAAUACCAUAGUCUUACCUUAAUUCACCCUCUGGAGGACCUAUCUUUGCCAGCAGCACAAACCGAGUCAUGACCAUUAAAGAACAAACAACUGUGAGAGAAAAGCAAGCUGAGAGGAAAACAAUUGCUGUCCACUUGAAUACACAGGAGGGCUUCUUCAAGAACAUUUGAGUUGCAUGGAAGGUUGACCCUCAAACAGUUGCCUAGGUCAGCAGGACCUGAGGCGAUCCCUGGGGUGAGGACUGGUCAGGUAAGUUAAAGCCGCCUUCAGGGCACUUUCAACUUCCGGCACCAAUUUCCUCAAGACGGAGGAUGAGAAAGCAACACUGUUUGAGUUCAACUUUCUCCUUCACUGUUCUUUUUUUUUUUUCUUGUUUCCUUUGUUCCUGUGAGUCGAGUAUAUCCAAGAGUGACUUCUAAUAGUUGGGCAAAUUCUUUAUAAGGAUGUUGCCUCCUGGUCUGAUCAUGGACUUACUUUUUAGCAAUCCAAACUCAUUUUAUAGGCUCCAGGCAUGAUUGUGCAGAAUGUUUUUAAAAGACAUUUUUACUUCCAACCCUCUAAGUUCUAGGUUCCCUUUCACCAUGAACUCUACAUAAAUUUUCUCAGUACCUACUUAUGUGUCGGGGAAGCUGCUAUUUCUUGCUAUAGUUUUCCUUCCCAGUUCUUGACUCAUCUCAUGUCUAUUGUCUUCUAUAUAGCCCUGAAACUGCCUUAUGUCUGUUUGGGCUGAUCUCACUCCUACCUUGAGGAAUUCAAAACAGAAUCUUUUUUUCCAGACAGAAAUUAUUCUAUUUUUAUUAAUUGACAAAGUAGGAUAUUUACAGAAAUACUCUUUCAUGUAUGUAUUUUUUUAAACAUUUAUUUAUUUUUGAGACAGAGAGAGACAGAGCAUGAAUGGGGGAGGGUCAGAGAGAGAGAGAGGGAGGCACAGAAUCUCAAACAGGCUCCAGGCUCUGAGCUGUCAGCACAGAGCCUGACACGGGGCUUGAACUCACGAACUGCGAGAUCAUGACCUGAGCCGAAGUCGGACGCUUAACGGACUGAGCCACCCAGGCGCCCCUCAUGUAUGUAUUAUUAUAUUAUAUAUUAUAUAUGUCUCACAUGCCCAUCACUGAAGAGAAAAAAUACUCUGUGGUUUUACUUACACUACCAUUAACAAGGCUAAUCAGAACUUUGCUUUGAAUAAGAUUUGGUGAUCUUAAUAUCCUCACUAGAUCUCUGCUGAAUUUGAAAGUUGUUAAUCACUUAUUUCCUUAGAAAUACUUCACUUUUUAGCUUUUGUGACACUGACAUUUGUUGAUUCUCCUGUUAAUCCUCUGGCUAUUUUUCCUGUCUCCAAUGGCUUCUCUUUCUCAACGCAUUUCAUAGUUCUGUGCUUGUAGCCCUGUGCUUCUUACUCUAAUCAAUGGAAUAACAUAUUCUGCAGCAUUCAGACAAAAACUGCUUCUUAGUUACCCAUGAAAAUCUCCUAAGAAGGUGCCACACUGGAAAACAAUAUAGCAUAUAUUAUCUUUUCCUCCAACAUUGAAACUCCAGUUCCUACUGAGGCUCAGACAAAGUAGUGGUUUGCCCUUAAGGGCCAUGCUGUAUGAAACAUACAUAACCUUAAAGAUAAGCAUCCUUUUUAACAAAGCAAGACAUCUAUCAUAGGAUAGGAAUAUGGGGACUGAGACUAAAGGAGGGUAUAUUUCUUUUGGAAUGGCAGGUGGAGUUGCUGUACUUAGUAGAUUGUGAUCUCUUUCUGUUUUGUAAAGCAUGCAAAGUUGAAUUUGCAGUAGUGAAUUUGCAGUAGUGUGCCUGAUCAGGUUUUGUUACUCUCCUAGAAUCAUCCUGUCUGUGCUCGCCAUUUCAUGUACCAUCUCUCUCUCUAUGUGCAUAUAUGUGUAGAAGCUGGUGGUAUUUAUACUAGUAUUAGUGUAGUUUUAACAUUCUGAUUGAAUGCGAUAGGUUCGCAGAUCACAAAAACAUGGGAAACAGUUAUGACUAACUACUUAUUGAUAUAUAAGUAAUUUUCCCAUUCAUUCAACAAUUAAUCCAUUCAGCUCACUGUAUGGAAGGCUCUAUGCUAGGUAUUAGUGCUACUAGGACAAAUUAGGAAAACAAUCCCUGUUUAACAGACCAUAUCACCAUAUAAAGAGUGGUGAGUACAUGCAUUCAUUAACAGUUUACUGUGCAUUAGGUACUGUGUAACACCCUGACAAUAUAAAGAAGCAUCGUUUCUGAUUUCUGGGGGCUGCCGAUUUAGGGUUCAUACAAGAGGGAAAAAGAAUACAUAUAUAAAAUGGUCAUUAUGCUACAACAGAUACAUGCAGUAGCAUCAUGCAGAAAGUUAUGUGGUAUUUGAGAAGAAAGAAUAUUUUUGCAGUAAACUAACCUGCAUCAGGGAGAUAUAAAAAGAAAUCUUGACCUAAGAAUUUUCUUACUUGUGUGAUUUAAUUAUUGAUAACAUUGACUUGUUCUUUUGGGGUUGAUCACUCCUAAAGGCAACCACUGCAGAGGAUUUGAUGGCUGGUGGAUGACUUUAUACAAGAGGUAGCACUUAGUCUGGGGCUUGAAUACUGUUAUUAUUUUAAAUGUGGGGACACAGUUAGGGACAGUGGGCACUGUCAUAGGCUGGAAGAUCACCAUAAGCUAUAACAUAAAGCUAAGUAACAUGAAGUAGCAUAACGUAAGUUAGUAAUAAGGUGAACUUCAGCCUUCCUGACUAUAUAGAGGUUGUAGGCAAUAGGGAAAGGUAAAAACAAGAUGAGGUAGUUGACAGGAGGUCAGCUUAUAGGGAUGACUUAUAGAGUAAGCUACGUAGAAGGAUAUGUAUUAGUGCAAUAUCCAUCUUUCCCCACAUUGCUCCAUCCCAGCAGCUUUUAUUAAGUGUUUACAUUGCAUGUGCACUGCUGUUUUCUGAAAAUACAUUCGACAAGAAGAGAGAAAGAAAAAAAGACAGGAUUUACCUCCAAUUGUAUAGUUUAAUUUAAAAAUGGAUAAACAAAGUAAGAAACACAGCACAAUCUCAUAACUGGUGCAGCAUGAAAACAUACAAAGAAAAAAUUCUGGAAUCUGCCUGGAGGAGUCAAGGAAAGCUGUUCCCAUUUGGUCACCUUGAAUCGCAUUAUGAAGGAGCGGUAAGAUGGUAAGGUUGAGGGCACUGCAGACAGAAGAAACAACAAAGACCAAAAGGUAUGACAGAUAGUGGCUUUCUCAGAGGAACUGUGUGUAUUUCUAAAAUGCUACAAUUUACAAUGUUUUUCUCCUUGGAAAGGGAAAGGAAUCAGCACUGGUGGGACAUGAAAAUGGUCAGGAGCUGUUGAGCUUUAUCCUCCAGCUUUGUCAUGCUCUGCAAGGGAUUAAUAUGGUGGAUUAUUAUACUCAAAUUUGUAUUUUACAGCUUUAACUCUAGACAAAGUGUGGAAGGCAUUUUGUAGUGGUAAUUCUAGAAGUGAAGCCUGUCUACAAGAGGACAGUUAGGGGGUUCUUGUCCCACGGUGUGGUAGCAGAAAUGGAGAUGUAAGAGACAUAAAGUUGAGUAGUCCGACUUCAAGACUGAACAUAUAUCUAGGAUGAGGAAGUAGAGAGAACAUAGGAAACUCACACAGUUCUUGUAAUACCUGACUAAGUAGAUAGUGGCACCAUUAGGUAACCUAACAGGUGAUUUAACCAGGCUGCAUCAGGGACUCCAAAGCUAUGAAGUUACAUGAUACCUCUUCUCCAUAAACAUGUUUGGUGUGAGUUGCUAGGCAGAGGGCUAUUUCGCUGAUUGGAGAGACAAGACCUGGAGCUGUGUCUUCCAAACAGUAAGAAAUUAAGGACAGUGAAGAAGACAGCGUGAAGCUAAGACCACUGGAAGAAAUUACAAGUAUUUAUGACUAUGUUGUCUGUGCCUACCUAUUAUAAAUUCAAGUAGAACUAGAAAAGGAAUAGUGAGAAGAGAUUCAACCACAGAUUUGCAAAACUCACUCUUCCCUAUAGAGAAAGAUAAGCAGUAGGUCUUUAUAUGUUUUAUAAGCGUGAAUUUUUCAAAUUAUUUGUUAAUAUUUAGGGUAUGCAAAUUUUUAGCUAAUCCAUUUUAUAAAGAACAACUUUUUCCAAAUGUGGCUUUGCAACAAGAAUUUUCAUUCAAAUUCUAAAGAAGAAAUACUCUGAAAUACUCAAUAUGAUUUGAUUUCAUAGGGAUAUUUAAAAAAUAGGCAAAAAAAUGUGGAGUAUGGUACACAAAGAUAAUUCAUUCUAGUAUAUGUAAAGAAAAAAUAUCACGAAUCACCAUUAUUUAUCUUCUGCUACGAAGUCAAACAUGGAGAAAUGCUUUGAAUUUGAUACGCAUUUAAACUGCAAAAAAAAAAAAAUUAGAGCUUGGUUUUUUUUUUUGAAAUGUAGAAAUGUAGAAAUUUGUUUUUGUAGAGUCUGUUACGUACUUUUUUGAUGUUUUCAAGGUUUUAUUAAAACAUGAAACAACAAUCAUCAAUCUAAUUAGGGGAAAGUCUUCACAAUAAACAUCUGUUGGUUUUGCCAGUCAGCAUCCAUAGAACCUUUAUUUGGUAAAAAUUUCCUCUGGGAAACUGCCUUUCUUUUACUCUUGACAGUGAGAUUAAGUGGUAAUAAACCACACCUUGCUCUAAGGAUGCAUUCUGAUUGGAAUAAGGCAAUCAGCAGAGCCCAUCUCCCUGACUACAAAAUGAUCAGUCAGUUCAUACAUGGGCACACAAUUCAAGAGUUAGUUGAGGGCCCUUGGAAAGAACAUUUUCUUCUCCUAUGGGCACUAUGUGAGGUGACUCUAGAGGAAUCACUACAUAGAACCAAAGAGGAGGCUCCCACUCAGAAGGCAGAGCAGAUAAGCUGGAUCUUUGUGACAAGGUUGAGCUGCAUUUUCCUGUGUGUCCUAAUAUGCUAGCUAAUUUAGUUAAGAACCAGUCUUCUACUGGUCUUCAUGAGAGUGCCAUGGGGCCUUUAGUAACUUUCAUCUUUAAUAACUCUAGGUAGUUUAUGUACUAAUUCAAGCAUAUCAUGUCCAUAAUUAUCAGAUCAUUCAAGAUAAUGAAUAUGAAAGGAGAAUUAUUAGAGAUACCAUUUUAAUACUUUAAUAGAGGUUAUUAAUGGGAGUGCUUUUAAUAGGAAAUGUAAUUGAAUUAAGGUAUAAUUCAGCUUAUAAGAGGGAGAAAUAGUCAACAUGUGUCUUUGAGUAUAUAACCAAAGCCCUUUGAAAGCUGAUGUACUGUGCUUUAGAAAGUUUCCUGUGUCUAAUUUUACAAUUUUCCCAACUGUUAAGAUAUAGGAAGUGGAGCAAACAAGGGUGAAUGUCAUGGCUUUCUAUAAAGUCUCUUUAUUUCUUGAAAGAACAAAGUGAAGAACUAGUCAUUUAGAGUCAUAUGAUAGGAGAACUCAGGAAAGGUCAAGAUUAAUAGACCUUUAUAGCACUUUAGAUGAGUAUUGCAUCUUAUUGGCCUCUAAAAUGUUUACAUAGAGUGAGCAUGAGGUUUAUCCUUAGAAGGACACUGUGACUCAUUUCUGGGAUAUUGGAGGCUUCUCUGCAUUUAGACCUUUGGGUGGCUGUGUUGGGGCCACUUUGCUGGGCAAUGUGCGUGGGUCAUAGACAAUAGUAGAAUGUGUGAUAAUGGCAGGAGGGAAAGUAAAAAACAGAAUUUUAAGAAACAAAUCAUUGGCUAUCUAUCAUAUACCAGCCACCAAUGAUACAAAGUCAAUAGCAAAAGCAUGUUUCAUCUGGAAACUGUACCCAGGCCUAUUACCUGAGGACAGGAACUCUUGUUCUAACAGACCCAACCUUCCCUUUUCAUGAUAAAUCGUUUGUAAUCUUCUCUUUACUGUCCUUGAGUGAAAAUUAUAGAUAAUAUAAAUUUAAAAAAAUCAAUGUAAUUAAAAAAUCAAUAUAAUCAUCUAACUGUAAUAUCCAAGGAAUAGUAUAUAAAAAUAAUGUAUAUUUUUUCAGUAUGUAAAUGCUUAGGCUCGACUACACUAGAUGAUACGGUGAGGUAGUCAGGUGCUACAGCUGUACAUAGAAUUGUGAAUACAGAAGCUACAAAUAAAGAAAUGCUAUGAUGUGACUUAUUGGUAACUGAAAUAUCAGAAUAGUGAUGUGCUCUUCAAAACACUGAAUAACUCUAGGAAAAUUUCAAACCAAAUAAAGCUUAAUCUUCCCUGGAUUUGCAUUCUUGGAAAAUUUAAGAUACUAAAAUUCAGUAUAUUAAAGUUGCAAAAGUUUUAUAUUUAUAUAUGAAAUGGACUUAGGUUCUAGAUACAGAUAUUUGUAAAGUGAUUUUAACCUGGUCCAUUAUUUGUGGUUUGUAACAGAUGUUGGACAAAUUAUCGUUGUGUGAAUACAUGGUAUCCACUCACUAACUGCCAGUAGCACCCCUUAAUCAUUAUGACAACCCCAAAACACCCCUACCCAUUUCUAAAACUACCCGUAGAGAGCUGUAAUGUCCCUUUGGUAAUCAGUGUUUUAAAUGUUCAUAGUUACCCAAGCCCUAAAUCACGAUGAAGUGCGAAGCUCCACGUAACUGUGUUAUGCACAAGGCCGAAUGGGGAUGUAGAAUAAGGAUUUUGUCAAACAUAUAAUUCGUAUUCAUAUACCUUUUAAAUUAUUUCCAUAUAAAUAUACAUAUCUUGUUCCUAAAAGAAGUUUUUUUUAGUUUUUCUUACUCUAAAUUAAAAGAAUCGAAUGAGAAGCAAAUAGUAGUUAGGGGCCUACUUGGCAUUUCAAAGAAAAACUUUAUUUUGAAACUAAAAGGUCUCUUCUUUUCACAUGUUUUAUAUUUGGUGUAGAGCUUGGAGUAUGCUCAGAUUCAAACAUGCAACUCCAAGAAUGGCUUUUAUUUUGGAAUUGGGUUGUACAGCCUCCAUUACUGCCCGUGUGGUAUGCCAGCCUGAUCAAUAGCCUGAUGAGGCAUGUGUGGCCUGCACUGCCCAGCCCCACCAUUUUCAACCUAAUUAGCAGCUGCUCAAAGAUGGGAAACAGGUGCAGAUCCAGGGCCAGACCAGGGAAGUCUGCCUGUAAUUAACAAGGAAAAAAGGGUCAGAUAUUGGGAAGAAUAUCAAAUCGGCCCACUGGGGUUAGCAUGCUGGCCUCAAAGGCAUAGUCACCUGAGAUCUUAAGCAUGCUAAUGUAAAUUAUGCAAGCUUUCAAACAACGUGUCUGCAUAAUCAGUUGGCAGAGAGGAAAAUGAUUUUUUCUUUCUUUCUUUCUUUCUUUUUUUUUUUCAAUAGAGAAGGGAAAAGGGCAUCUACAAACUUAUUUUUUUCUCACCAUGUUGUGGACUUUCUCACCAUGUAGUGACAUUUCCUGAGAGGCAAUCAUGAGUCCUUAGAAGAAGCUGUUAAGCAAUUACAACUCUUCUAGAAAUAAGUGAAGUUUGGAGGAGAAGCUAAUAAUCAGGUUGUUGAGAGAAUUAUGUACUAACAGGUAAUUGAAAGAAGACACAUUAUGCACACGUGGUUAUGUAUAAUAAAUUUAUUUUGGUCAUUGGCAACUUUCUCAAUUACUCCAUAAAGUGAAGCCCAUUUAAGAUAAGCAAGGACUUCCCAAGGGCCACGUAAAUUUGAAGAAAGCUAAAAACCAAAUUUUUGAGCAAAAAAACGAAGGACAAGUCCACAUGCCGUGUUCUGAUUCUGGCUUUAAUAGUCAAUGCUUUCAGUACCAAGGAAUUGGUUCUAUUCCAAGUCAUGGAGCUUUUUCAUGGACUUUAGGCUGAGAAGACUUUACACCCUGUCCUUUUUAGCAUUUAGCCUCCCAGUAAACUGUCACCUACAUGGUGCCAGAUUUCCUAGGCUAGAAGGGAGUUUUAUAUUUCUGGUUGAGCAAUUGGUGGCAAUUUCAUUCAACCUAGUGAAAUUAACAUGGGAAAAACAACCCCUAAACCUUAGAUACUUAGCAAAGGCUUAUUUCUUACUGUCAGUGCAUGUCUUGUGGAUUAAGUAUGGCUCCCUAUUGACUUCAUUAAAAUAUUAAGUGGAAGGAACUGACUUUCUCUGGGACGUGGCUAUCUUUGUGACAGAGAGGAUACAACAUGGCAGAACCUUGGGAGUGGUUUUCAUCCCACUUACGUACCACUUGAUUUCCAAUGAUGUCAGUGAGGUGGGAUAUAUAAUCCUCUCUUGAGGAGGGAUAGUAAAUACUUUGGGUAAUAAUAAAAUCAACUACAGUGAUUUGGACUAAAUCUGUAUACAUUUUUAGAAAGGUAGUCCUUACUGUGGCGUGAAUACAAGUACCGAUGGGUCUAAAACAGUGAAGUUUGUAAAAUCAGAGUCAGAGAAAAUGCUACUAGCUGCCUUAUUUUUGUUUUCAAAAAUGCACCAUUUUUGUUUUCAAAUAUGGAUAAAGUGUCCAGGUACUUUAUCAUUUUCUUUUGUACACUCAUAGCAACCUUGGAAUCUUGGAGUUAUCCCUGUUUUAUCAAAACUGUGGCUCAGAGACUUUCAGUGAUUUACUCAAAUCUGUUCGGCUAACAAAGUUGCAGCAUGGGGAUUCCAACCCAGCUCUGUCAUAGAAUGCCCUCUUCUGAAUGCACCACAUUGCUUCAGAAGAUGUGGCAGGUCUGGCAGGUACCUUAUCUCAUGGGCUCAUAACACAAUCUGUUGCAUCUGUCACAUUGUGAUUGUGAGAUUCUUGGGGGCAUAAGAGGGAACCUGUGCUGUCUGGAGAGCAUCAGCCAGUAACUCUGGGCUCAGUGCAGUGUGCUUGAGUACUAAGCACAGAACACACACUUUCAGGAUUGAAGUCAAGAUGACUGAAGUCUUUCUAGGGUCCCUUUACUUAAAUAUCUUUGUAUUAGGGUUCCUCAAUAUUGCAUUGUGGAUUUUUUUUUUUUUUUUUGCACUGAAUAGUCUUUUGCUCUGUGUGUGUGUAGCAGGGCUGUUGAGAAGAAUCUCUGGCCUCUACUCAUUAGAUGCCCNNNNNUAACAACUUUCCCUUAAUUGUGAAAACUAAAUUGUCUCCUGACAUUGCCAAAUGUCUUUGAUGUGUGUGUGUGUGCAUGUGUACAAAAACACCCCUAGUUAUAGGAACAACUACUUUACACCCAAAUGAUAAAUUUGGUACAGAAUUACUGUAUAUGGAUACUGAACUCUAUUUUAUAUGAACUCUAAUCUUCUUGUAUUAUAUAAUAAUUAUCCAUUCUUUAAACAACAUUAAGUGAUCACUAACUAUAUUCAGGUACUUUGCUACUUUGGAUGGGGGAGGAGUUGCUAUGGUAAUCAGUAAGACCACUCAGGUCUUCACUAGAUGAUAUGCUUUGUAAUUCUGCAUCUAUAAAGAAGCUAAGAAAGAGAGAAAAGUUGGAUUGAAGUUCUUUACGUGGACAAGAAAAGACCGAGGGUUUUUAAAAAUAUAUCAAAUACAGCAAAGAAUUUUGAGUAGGAUUUGAUAGGAAAAAUGCAGGAAAGAAAAUAAUGCAGUUAGCUAUCCCUCUCUCUCUUCAGGAUCAACUCUGACCACCUAUUUUUGAGGGUCAUCCCAAAGCCUAAAAUAUCUUUAAAUAAAUCUCUUGCUCUCGACAGGCUCAGGGAUUGAUAAUGCUAAAUCUAGAAAGAACCUUAGCCUCAUCUAAACCUUGGGGCUGAGACCUGCCAGGAAAGAUGGUAAGGUGAAUCAAAAAGUCUCUUCUUAAUCUUAGGAAGAUAAUGAAGAAGAAAAGAAGGAAGAGAAGGAGAAUAAGGAAAAAUGCAGGAAGGAGAGGAAAAUGAGGGACUUAGAAUGUGAUAUAGCAGGAAGAUCAGAAAAUUUAGACAAAGUUGAGGUUCAGACUAUGAGACCUUAGGCCAGUUGUGCAUUAGAUGUUAUAUCAUCUCUAGAAUGGGAGGAAGAAUUAUUGCCUUCCACAUGGGUUACUGUAAGAAUUAGAUAUGCCAUAUUUCCUCUUGAGACACAUUUGAACAUUUUAAAUUGACAUGCACAUGUAAUGUGCUUUUUGUUAGUCUCCUCCCAAUUUUGCUACCUAUUAUUAUCAUGGAAGGCUGGAAGGAAACUAGACUUUCUGACUGGAAAACUGCAGUUUACCUAUAAGUUUUAUGUACCUAUUUGGAAGUCAGGUCAAGGAGCUUUGGGAAAGGUGAGGAGGAGAUGAAGUGGGUUCCUAUUAAAAAGGACCUACGUUGGGGGUGCCUGGGUGGCUCAUUUGGUUAAGCAUCUAACUCUUGAUUUUGGCUCAGGUCAUGAUCUCAUGGUUUCUGAGUUCAAGCCUUGAAACAGGCUCUGCGCUGACAGUGAGGAACCUCCUUGGAUUUCUCUCUCUGCCCCUCCCCUGCUUGCAUGUUCUCUCUCUGAAGAUAAAUAAAUAAACCUAAAAAACCCCCAAUAAAUAUAAAAAGACCUACAUUGGCUAAAGAAUGGAAUCAAUGAUGGAAAGAGAAGACGUAGUUUGAAGCAAUCAAUUAGCAGGGUUUAAACAAAUAAACAAAAGAGAAGCCAUUAUACAAAUUAAGACCAUUUAGCUUCAGAAGAAUGUCUGAUUACUGACCAUGACAAAAAGCCAGGAAGAUGGGGCACAUUUCUGUUUGAGUGCCCUCCAGUUCUGUUAAUAGACCAUGUAUGGUGGCUAUCAGAACUUCACUCUCAGUGUCCACCUUUUUCUUGUUGAAUUCCACUGAAAAUUUUAUGUCUACUGGCAUUAUAAAUGACUUGGAUGUCUUAGUGUUUCAUCAUUUAGUUAUGAUUCUAAUUAUAUCUUAAAUAAGAAUGUGCUGGAACUUGUUUUAGUUGGAGACCAAGGCCCAUGAAACAUUAAGACCCCUAUUUUGAUUGCAUUACUUCGCAUGUAGGAACAGCUUAGUGAAUAUCAGUUGAUUGAGACAUUGAUUCUACACAAAUUGAAGUAAAGUUCCAUAUAUGGUUAAGGCUCUCUUUGAAGUCUAAAUUUCCUGUUGUGAUGCUUGUUUUUAAGUGCAAGACAUUAUUUUUAACUACAAGACAUUCAAAUUUAAUAGUUGGGUGAACAAGGAAAUAAGCCAUUUUAUCUCUAUUUAACACAUGAAAAAACUUAAGUCUAGACAGUACAGUGUUUUAUUUAAAGUCACAUGGAAAGUAAAUUUAAGCCGGUACUCUGUUUCUAGGAAAUCACGAAUUACCCAACCACAGCCACUUUCUCAGCCUUAAUCUAACAAACACCAGGCUAAAACAUGUCCCCUGUAGGACUGAAAUGAUUACCUAGGUGCCCUACAUCACAGUGCAUAUUUUUAAUACUGGGAGAAAAUGGCUAUAUCUUAUAAAUUACAAGGAAAUAGAGUAGCAUCAUUAGAUAUUUCAGCCAAGUUCAACAGCUGGCCUCAAUUCUUCUUUUAAAAUGCAGAGCCUCAAAAUAGACAGACUAAGAUUUAUAAAAAUAGAUCUGUCUGUCACUUCUAAUUUUACAUUUUGCAAACAAGUUGUGCUUCAAUGAAAAUUUGCAGAUAGAUUGAGCAUCUGGCAAUAGAAAGAUUGUCAGGAUUUCUGUGGUUUGGAUUCAGACUACAAAGGAUAAUUGGUAAAGAUAAUCUUUUGUUUGAAUCGCCUAAAUGAUUUUACCUCACUAACCCUGACAACAGAUGGUGAGUAUAGUUAUUAUCAACUCAUUUUUAUGAGAGGGAGGCCACUGAAGAGCCAAAGCACUGGAUCCCCCCUUGCUGCUGAAGCCAUGUAUCAUUGUGGAAUAAGGUCCAGCCUGGGUUCGCAAGCCUAGCUUUGUCACUAACUGGCUUUGUGAUCCUUGACACAUCUCUAAUAGUUGGAGCUUCCUGUGCUGAGCUGUACUACAACAGAGUAGAUUAGACCUCCCUACUCAAAGUGUGGUCCAUGGACCGGCAACAUUAGCAUCACUGGAAGCUGGUUAGAACUUAGACUCUCAGGCCUCACUGUAGACCUUGGGAAUCAGAAUGCACAUUCGAAAUAGUUCCCAGGUGACUUCUAUAAAUGUUGCAGUUCAAGAACCCCUGGGCUUAAGGCUCUUAUGGCUUCUUCUAGUUGAAACACUAUUAUUUUGAGCACAGGGAUGGUGGGGACUGUCCUACAAGCCCUAAUAGAGCCCUUGGCAUAGAGUGCAUUAUGGGAUGAAUAAACAAAUGAGGAGAAAGGUGUUCUAACCCAGCCAACUUCAAAGACAAGUCAUUUUGACCAACAAGGCCUUGAAAAUCUCAGAAAGCUCCUUUUGUAAGUUGCGCCAAUUGUUCCCCCACAUAGAAGCAUGAGAACCCUGUAUUCUUAUAUCCAUUUCUUCCUUUUAAACAAAAUGAUCUUACUUCCACAUUAAAAAAAGAGUUGCCUCUCACCUCUCUCUGCACUUAGCUGAUUCUAAGCGGUACAAACACCAAACCAAUCUGUCCUUUUCCUUGAAGCUGCUUUCUUUCCCUUUCUCAGUCCACCUGCUCAGGCAUCACAUUACUGCCAGCCCAUUUGCACCAUCUGCUCAUUUAAGUGUCCGUUGAUGGGAGGACAGAGGACACCUGGUGACCGUGAAGUCGGCCCAAUACACUGAAGGAAAUCAGCAAAGUGGCAAAAAGGCAUGAAAUAAAACAGACCUUGGGAAUCCAGAGGGUAGAGUUUCAGAGGAAGGAGGGAUGAGCAAAAUGGGUUGAGCUUCUGAGGCCCUGGGCAGUCUUUUAAUUUCCUGACCUUUUGCUCUGUGAGCACUGCUCUGUGAAAGGAGAGAGAUUCCUAAGGAAGCAAGAACACAUUUAUUUUCUGCUGAACAGCUGCUUCCUGCAAAGCAAAUCGUACAUGGUGAGCCUGUUCUGGGUACCUGUUGGAGUGAAGAUUAUUAAAUGUCUACAAGGCCACCUGUAUGUCUAAGCUGCUAGCUAGGUCAUUGCUUCUAAUUCUGCAAAGCAUCCGUAGUCAACUGUUUAUCAUUUCUGAAAGCAGAUUCAGAUGGAAAGACCUAGCUAUAACCUGCAGAAAUAUGGCCAGAGGGCUACUCUGGAAGUUUGGGCCUCAGAGAACCACACAGAGGGCCCCAGGCCAAAGUUAGGACACACCAUCCUAGAUGUACUCCUAGGAGCCUCAACGGUCAAAUGUCUCCUCAGCCCAGAGUUACUUAAAACCAACUGUCACACAUUUAGGUCAUGGUUUCAAUUCUUAAUAGAAAGUGACUGUUUUGUUUCUCCUCAGCUGGUAGUAUGCAAGUUCAUUAAAAGCAUUAGUAGUGGUGGGCAUGAGGAUCUGAACCUUAACAGAAUUGCUUCAGAAUUCACUGCAAAUAGUUAAUCAGAGCCAUUUUUACAAAAGAAGUGUAGUGAUUAAGAGAGUCAUCUCUGGGAAUAGAAUCCUGACUUAAUAAUGUACCUGUGUGACUAUGGGUGAAUUCAUGUUUUUCUCAGUUUUCUUGUCCAUAAAAUGGGAUGAUGAUAGUAACCCACCUCACAGCAUUGUUGUAAAGACUGCAUGUACCAUAUAAAGAAAUAGAAUCUGGCAUUCAGUUAACUGCUACACUGUUUGCUAUUAUUGGGGAAGAGAGAUUGUUCUGAAACUUGUUUUCUCUUGUCUUUUUUACCCACAGAAGGAAGAAGCUAAUUACGGAAACUGUUAGGACUCGCAUUUUGCAUGGAUUCCAGGUGAUAAACCUCUUCCACCUUUCCACUUCUUGCCAAGCCUUGUUUCCCAUUACCUUAUUAUUUGACUCCUAGCUCUGUCAGAGAAAAUAAGAAAGAAAUCUAUCUAAUGAUUCUUUCCUGUAGUGUCUUCCUUGUCAGCAUCUGCUCAAUCACUAGUAGAUAUUGACGUAUUGAAGGUUCCCUCAAGCUUGUUCAAACAGGGAAUUAACUCUAAUUCUCAGCGAUGAGAGGGGGCUUAGUUGGAGCCAAAGUAUCUUGCUGGCCUUAAAACUAAGUCCGGACCCUCACAAUGGGGUAAGUCAAGAGUCUCAAACUCAAAUGCCCACAGGGGCCUGAGAGCAAAGUGCUAUCAGCCUCUCUUCUAUUGCUCACUUUAGACAAAGGCAGGCAGAUAAUUGUGCAAGAGCAGGAUCAACAGCCAUUCACACCAGAUCUUAGUUUGGGAGAAAUUAACAAGCGGUGAGGCCUGUGGAGAAAUGGCAUCCAUAUGAGCUAAAGAGGGAAGCUGCUCUCAGUUCACGUGAGCCCAAUGUUGCUCGAUUUUCUGAUCUUUAAAGAGAAGAAGCCCUCAAGUGUGAUUUUUUUUUCAAGUGAAAUCUCCAGAUUUGUUAUCUGCUGAAAAUUGCAGAUGUCAGAACAUGGAGGGAGACAAAUAAAGCGUGUUUAUGAGUGGAAUCUAAUCUGUAGGCUUCAAUUUUGGGUUAAGUUAUGUGCACUUAGAUCCUUCUCUGUGCCAGCCAGUAUGUUAUACAGAAUGCUUAAUGUGCCUGGUUGAGGGCUGGGUGCUGUAGGGAGAGGGGAAAAGCUUCAUCUUGGUCAGGAGAUAUGAGUCUCAUGAAUGAGGGAUUUUUUUGACUUUUUCCUCUAACUUUUGAUUUUGAAAUAAUUUCAGAUACACAGAAAAUUUGAAAAGUAGUACAAAGACUUUCCAUGUAUAAUUCACCUACAGUCUCUAAAUAUGGCUAAUAUUUUAUCAUAUUUACUUUCUCAUUGUCUUGUUCUUUUUUUUUUUUUUUGAGAGAGAGAGAGAGAGAGAGAGAGAGAGAGAAAAGAACGAGUGGGGGAGGGGCAGAGACUCUUAACCAGGCUCCAUGCUUGGAGCCCAAUGCAAGGAUCAAUCCCAUGAUCCUGGUAUCAUGACUUGAAUCAAAAUCAAGAGUCAGACACUUCACCAACUGAGCCACCUGUGCCCCAUCUUUGGCUUGUUCUUGAUCUCUAUUCCUUUCUUCUUUUCUGGGUGUAUCUUUUUCUAUGUGUGUGUAUGUGUGUGUGCACGUGCCUGAAAAAUUUGCGAGUAAGUUGAAGAAUUAGUGUCCUUUUACUUCCAAAUGGUUUAGUGUAUUUUCUAAAAGCAAGAAUAUCUUCUGACAUACCACAGUAUAAUAGAUCAAGAAAUUAACAUUAAUGUACAUCUAUACAGAUCUGAUCUAUAAAGAUCGUUCAAAUUUCAUGCCACAGUGUCUUUAUAGCAAAAGAAAAAUUUCAGUCCCAGAAUCCAAAAGUGUCCAUAUUGCUUCUUUAUAUUCUUGUUUGUUGGCUGAGGUGGGGGUGGGGAGGCAGUUUGUCUUUCAUCAGAAAAGACAAAUCUCUCUUGUGUUUUAUGACAUUAAUAUUUUAGAAGACUACAGGCCAUUCCUCAAUAAUUUGGAAGAGUAGAGAUUACCUUUCAUUUUGGGUUUGUUUAGUAUUUCCCAACGAUUAGAUUCAGAUCAUGUAUUUUUGUCAGGAAUACCAAGAAGUGAUGUUGAGUCCUUCUCAACAUGAGAAAGACACAAUGCAAGUAUUUGGGGGAACACUGUCCAUUUGGUUUCUUUUGUUUGUUAAAAUUUUAUUUUAGAGAGAGUGCUAGCAGGGAAGAGGUUCAGAGGGACAGAGAGAGAAUCUUAAGCAGGCUCCACAUUCAGCAUGGAGCCUGAUGUGGGGCUCAAUCCUACAACCCUGGGAUCAUGACUGGAGCUGAAAUCAAGUGUCGGAUGCACAAUCGACUGAGCCACCCAGGUGCUCCAGAAGACUGUCCAUUUGUUUUGGGAAGAGAAGUAUUAACUGUGCAAGUACUUGCCUUUCAAAUUGGCAUUUUGCUAUUGUUUUUGUUAUUUUAGCCUUGUUAUUAAGAUCCUAUUCAAAUUCAUUCAGUCUACAUAAAGGUUUCUCCUCUUGCUCCUCUUCUCCCACUCUACAUUUGUUUUCAUGAUGAAAUAUCCAGAUUCUUUGGGUCCAUUUGGUAUUGAGAUUAUAUGCAAACCUGUGAAGUUUGAUGAAUUGGUAGCUGAAAGGAUAGCCAAAAAAAGCAGACAGACUCACUAUUGAAUUUGGUAACAGGAGCCUUUCCCACUACUUGGGCCCCCAGAGACUUUAUAUAUGAAGCAAGAAGCAGACUGUGGGUUAAAUGGAGUGUAGACAUGCCUACCUACUUCCUCUUCACUUUAACAAAAGAAAUAAUUCCCUGCAUUUAUAUAAUUUUUGAAAAAUUCUCAAAAAUUUAUCACAUUUGUUAUCUCCUGUUUAUAAGAGAAAACAGUAGACAGGUAAAGAUUUAAAAAUACUAGCAGGAGACAGUCCCGCCCUGGAUUCCUAGUUUUGUUCCUUGGGACAGUCAUUCUGUGGAAAUGCCUUAUGAAAUCCCCAAAUUUGAGCAGCAUCAGAGAGCAGCAGAAAGGCACAGGCUUUUGAACUAACAGGUUUUAGUUGGAGCUUCAGAUUUACUGUCCAGUAUUUGUGGAAUCCUAGACAAUUUGCUCUCUGCAGCUCAGCUUCCUCAUUUGUAAAAUGGAGGAUUAUCUUGCCAGACUCUCACAAGAAUUAACAAGAUAAACAAAAGGAAAACAUUUAACUCAGUGUACUUGGUAGAUAGUACAGUGCAAUAAAUGUGGAUUUUCUUUCAUAUUCCUUUUUAUCUAGGCACGUUCAAGGGUUUACUAAUUCCUUCCUUGUUACAAAGUCCAUUGGGAGGAAUUUCAGUAUCUAGUAAUACUAACAAAGAUUUGGUAAAAAAGAGGCACAUAAUUUUAUUUAUUUUUAUUUUUAUAUGUUUAUUUAUUUUUGAGAGAGAGAGAGAGAGCAUAUGAGCCGGAGAGGGGCACAGAGAGAGGGAAAUAGAGGAGCCGAAGGAGGCUCUGGUGCUGUCAGUGCAAAGCCCCACUUGGGGCUCAAACCCAUAAACCAUGAGAUCAUGACCUGAGCUGAGGUUGGAUACUCAACCACCUGAGCCACUGAGGUGCCCCUGGAAUUUUAAAUAAUUUUAACAACCUGACAUGUUGGACAUAUGCACACUAUCCUUACAGUCCUAAAAUCAUAAAAGCAAAUAUCAAUGAUUGGUAAGUUUUAUAUGAAUAUGAUGCAUUUAACCACAAUAUUUGCAGAAUCAAUUUGGCAGUCACAAAUAGGAAGCCUCUGGAUCUUGGUUCUAUGUAGAAAUGCCCUUUUUGUAAUUUAAACAGUUCAUUACAAUUGGAACUCAAGCAUAUGUGUGACAAAGUAGGUGACAAAGUCUUUCAUGUAUUGAAAGAGAUUAUCAGGAACUGAAGGAACAUGGUCCUACAUAGAGGAAAUUGCCACUCUUUCAGUUGUUGAAUGUGGAAUGACAGUGUGCAUGGAAGCCCUGGCUUCGGGUUCAGCGGCUUACAGAUUCACUUGUGUUCACUUUAGUUUUUUUUUUUUUUUUUUUUUUAAUGUUUAUUUAUUUUUGAGAGAGAGAGAGAGUGAGAGAGCCAGAGAGUGAGUGGGGGUGGGGGUGGGGGAGGGGCAGGGACAGGGAAACCCAGAAUCCGAAGCAGGGUCCAGGCUCUGAACUGUCAGCACAGAGCCAGAUGCAGGGCUCGAACCCACAAACCGUGAGAUCAUGAUCUAAGCCAAAGUUGAUUGCUUAACCAACUGAGCCACCCAGGCACCCCUCACUUUAUAUUUUUCCAGGCAUAUGACAUCAUAGUCCAAGUAAAUGUAGAACAAUCUUGAAUUUCUUUUCUCUAACUUUUAUAGGAAGUUACCUUGUUAUAAAGCUAUUUUUGCUUUCCUUCUAUAUUUGUAAGGGAAUAAGUCAUCAGAAACGGUAGGGAGGAUGGAGGCUACAAAUGGGAGCAUUGGGUACUUCCUAGUUGAAGAGAAAGAACAAUAGUGACAUCAUCCACAUUUUUUUUUUUUAACACUGCUCAUAUUCAGGAUCAACAUAUGACUGAUGAUCCAAACUGGGUUACUUGAGAGAAAGAGGGUAUUAUUAGUAAUUUUACUGAGACAAAACAAGUAAACAGACUAACUGAGCCAAACCAGGGCAUGCUAUCCUUGAGGACUCCCGUCAGGAAUUAAAAUUACCAGAUAGGUUAAGUUUCAUAGAAUGGCUAAGUAAAUAAAACUGCAGAUGGGCAGUAAUUCCCCUUACUGCUACCAUCGCUCUCUGUCCAGUGCCCAUCUUUUCCAGGCUGUUUAGGGUACUCCAUUGCAGACAUCUCCCCACGAUUCAGACUUUAACUGGCUUUUCUAGAAGAAUGUAUGUAUUUGGUACCCCCCCCCCAUUCUCUUGACUCAUUUCAGUGUACUGAAAAUUUAUCUUAGAGACUCCUUCACAAUAAGGUGUUUAUUUCUGGUGGACUUAGUGCGGUGGCCUUUUAGAACAGAACUCACGGUCAUAAACAACAUGGGAAAUCUGGCACUAAAAUAAUUGGAAAGUGACUAUUUUUGUUUUAGGGAGAGGGGUUGUUUGUUUGUUUUACCAUGAAGGCAGAAGUCUUCUCCCCUUCACUUUACAAUCCUGUGUACUUGUGAAGCAUGGGCAUCUGUAGCCUUUUCAUGUGCCUUUACUCAAUUGUCCCUCCCCACAGGAGGAGCAGGUAGUCUAUGUAGGGUGGCUUAGUCACGGAGCACAGGCUUCCCAUUCUAAAGAGGAGUACAAAUGAGAUCUGGAGAGGCAAAGUGAGAUGCUCAGUGUCACAGCAAAAAAAAUUAUUUCUGACGUGCAUAGAUUUGGGUCCAGUUGAUGGAGGAGUCACAGGGACUUCUGAAUUAAUAAUAGGGGUACUAUAAUAAUAAUAAUAAUAGCCAAAGCAUAUGGUGCUCACCAUGUACAGGCAUUGUUCUAAGAGCCUAAUGCCUAUUAGCACUUAUACCUAACAUAUUAAUCAAUAUUUAAAUUUUUUCCCUAAUGGUAAGUGCAAAAUUUAGACUUUUUUCCUUCAUGGGGAAUAGAAUUAAUUGUUUGCAGCACAUUAGCUCUGUUUUGUUUUAUUUGCAAAGAAAGCUUUGGGUAGAUAGUUUCCUCAUGUAACUUAGUGCUAUUAGCCUUUUGCUUUUACAUUAGAUGAAUAUUUUUCAGCACACAUCUUGCUGCUUUCGGUUCAAGGCUGAAUGUGGCUUUGUCUCGCAAUGUUUAUAUUUGUGCUGAAGUAGUGUGGACUCAUAUGAUUAGGUAAGGUUUGUUGCUCGAGGCAAUAUUAUGCAAUUGCUUAAAAUCUUACUCCGUUCCUAUGGUUGAUGGUCUUCAGUGGCAUUUAACUCCUGUUUUGUGUUUAGUUGUAUUCAAGUACUUUAGGACAGGAGUUUAGUUAGCUUCCUGGGCUGGACUUUCUGCCUGAUAUUAUUAUUUAAGCUACAUUUCAGAUAUAGUGAGGGAGGCAGGGAGGGGAAGGUAAAAAGAAAAAGGAAGGGAAAAACAUGGGACACAUUGUCAUUCAUUACCCAUUAAAUGUUUAGGAAGUAUUGUUUUCCUCAGUAUGAACUAGAGAUACAAUUAGCCUGAAGGGUAUCACUUUUUUAUUUUUAUUUUUUAAUGUUUAUUUAUUUUUGAGAGAGAGAGAGAGGCAGAGAGAGAGAAAGAGAGAGAGAGAGCACAAGCAGGAGAGGGGCAGAGAGAGAGAGAGACACAGAAUCUGAAGCAGGCUCCAGGCUCCAAGCUGUGGGCAAAGAGCCAGAUGUGGGGCUCAAACUCAUGAACUGUGAGAUCUUGAUCUGAACCAAAGUAGGAUGCUUAACUGACUGAACCACCCAGGCAGUCUUAUAAGGCAUCACUUUCUAUAUAAAUCCAAGUAAAGGCUUGUUAUGAGUGUUGGAGUGAUGUGUGGUUGGCUAUAGGCUCUUCACUGUCCAGUUCAGGUUGCAGUGAUUUUUCUUGGAGUUCUAGCCACUGAGUUGGGCACUUAGUUAAUGCUCCAUAUAUAAUGGAAUGGAGGGAUUAAGACUUAAGAAGACAACUGAAAUAUGGUAGAAUAUUAGGAAGGGGUGGUUUUGUCAUAUUGAAAGAUGCCAGGACAGGCUUUACUGUAGAUAAAAAAAAAAAAAAAAAAAAAAAGAAAUAUUGAUAAUUAGUUAUGGUAGGUGCUGAGCCAGAAGACCCAAGUACCAACCCCAAGUGAGGACUCCCCCACCACUGGAAGACAGCAAAGAUCAGAACACAGCCAACCGUUAAGUAGGAGCCCACAGACCUCUCUACCCACUGCCUCAUGUAGGCUUCAGAUCCCUGCAGAGAACUCAACACACAAGGCACUGGUCAGAAGAGUAGGCUACUCAGAGAAAGAAGAAAUGCAGCAAGAUCAGUGUCUGUAAUAUGGCUAACAGGUCUCUCUGAUGGCCGCUCAAGGUAGUGGACUGUACAUAACACUCUGAUGUUGCUGGCAAAGACCCGGUUCUCUUCCUCUGGAGGCAGAUGGACUAGUUGGACUGGCCGGGUUCUUUAUGACCCACAAGCUUAUGUAGUACAAGGACAUUCAUGUGUAUUGAGUUGUAUUGGGUUGUAAUGGAUUGUACUGAGUUGUACUGGGUUGAGUACCCAGAACAGAGGAAAAGUUUCUCCUAAUUAGGAAGAAGAAUAUGGGGCUCCGUGACAGCUCUCACCAAGCUUCCACAUAGGUGAAUGUUUCAGGUCCAGGAUGCUGAUGGGGCAAGUCUAUUGCAGGGUAGCUGUGUCCCCAACAGUAAGGAAGAGACAGAGGGGAGUGAAGGAUCAAACUAGAAAUGUACUCCUUGAAAAUGAAAACUAUUUCUCUCUGUCCCUCCCCUCAAUUUUAUGAAUGGCAGACAUUACUAAUCAGUCAUGAGGGUGUUUCCAAGUGAAUUGGGAUACAGUCAGAAUCCUUUUGCUCUUUUCUUCAGAAUCCUUAACAAUCAUUUCAGGUGGGCAUUGUCAACUAUAGGGAGUUAGUGUAUGAUUUAAAAUCUGUUUAUUAAAAGACUAAAGAUCUGAUCUUAUGAAAUUAAAGACAUGUCAACUUUGAGGAAGGAAGAGAGUGGAAGACAGCUAUCUGUAUUGAAGCAGGUCUGUGAAAUGCGGUCAGAAGAAGAAGAGAAGAUCCCAGUAGGGGAGAAAUGGAUUGUACAAACUCAACUGGGUUGGCAUGGGUGGAUGAAGGAAUGAAUGAAUGAAUAAAUAAUGAGAGGUACAUUUGAAUUAGUCAGAAUGUCUGUAUUCCCCUCAUGGCAUUUUUUUCAUUUUUAAACAACCUUGGGCAAGCCCCAUAUGUCAGAUAUUUCCUAGCAAAACAAAGAUCGGAAGUGUGGCAAUAUCCUGAUAAUUCAGGCAAAACCUCCACUUCUGUUUAGAGUACAGAAAAUACCACUGGGAAAGAGAAUUAUAAAUAAAAACAUGUUUUUCUUUUAUAACAGCAUGUCAUUAUCAUCUUUAUGAAUUUAUAUGACAUCUUUUACUUAGGAAAGUAAAUGGAAUUCCAUUAAUGUUUAGAAAUGAUUACUAAAGAACUAUCCAGUGUAGGAUGGCAUUGAAAUCCAAUACUCAUGUGAGGAGACUUGAGCUCUUGUUCCUGAACAAUUAAGCUGAACUCCCUGUCAGUCAUAUUUUGACUAAAGCAUUCCAAUAAGAAGUGUAAAAUUUUGUAAAUUGUAUCUUGAAGACCAAAAUAGGCAGCUAACAGAGAAUGCCUUCAUUUUGUAUUUUUCUUAAGUUAUUUGGGGUUAUGUUCAUAUAGCUUUUAACCAAAUAAUCUUGGUUUACUUAGUGAUAUGGGGCUCAUAAUUUUAGUUCUCUGCUCGCUGCUGUAGAUGACCUGUGCAUCUUUACUUCCUUGUGAACUGUUCAAUGUAAAUUAAGAAGAAAUUAUAUUAUGUGCCUUUUAGUUGUCAAAAACUAAAAAUAUGUAAAAUUCUACAACCAAAGCAUCCCCUGGUAACAUUUUGGUGAUAUAUACCUUUUCAAAAAACACAGCAGAGAUUAUUUUUAUGCAUUAAUUUGUAAAAUGGCUUUGUAUUCAGUAUGUUAUGUGAUAAAUACCUUUUUUCCAUAUCAUUAAAUUUACUUUUACCUAAAACAUAGAUGCAUUAUUUUUCAGGGUUGCAUGGUGUUUUAUUAUGUGAGUUUAACACAAAUUACUUAACCGAUUCUUAUUUUUGGAUAUAAUGUUUAUUCCCUGAAGCUAAGGAUGGAAGCUGGUAUCCAUCCUUCAUACUUCAUUGGGAAUAAACCUUGGAAGUGCUAUUGUAGGGAACAAGGAUGUGCACAGUGUUGAAACUUCCACUGUAGCUUAGUGAUUGGCUUUCAGAAAGGUUGUAGGUGUUUUCACCUUGAAUUGCGAGUUGCAUGUGAAAGUUGGAGAAGCCUUGGUGUGUUCUUUUUUCUUUAUUUUUUGUCUCUGCCAAUCUGGUAAGUUUUGCUACUGUAUCUCAUUUUAAUUUAAUAUUUUAAAUCUCAGUGGUGAGUUGAACACUUAUCAGCCAUUUGUGUUACUUGAUUUGUGCAUUGCCUAUACAGGCUUUUACAAUUUUUUUCCUGAUGUGUUGUCUUUCUCCUUGAUUAAAAAAAAGGUAACUAUUAAGCAUACAAACCCAUGGGACUGUUUGAAUUUCAUAAUUUUAAUAGGCUUCAAAAUAUUCUAUAUCAGGAUUUUGAAUUGUAAGCGAGAAUCCACACUCAUUCCUACUUUCUUAAACCAUUCUCACCACAAUGACCAUUAGCAAAAAAAUAAUACUGAACUUGGCAGAAAUUGUUCUGAACCAUCCUCUUAAUGGUCUUUAAUAGUAAUGAACUAAAUUGUAACUGAGCAGAGAAUAAAACUCAGUCCAUUCCAAAGUAAAAUAGAAAAUUGAAUCAAUUAUGUAUACUUUUCAGCUAAUAGCAAGGUCAUUUUUUCUUCAUUUUCUAAAUAUUUUAGGCUAAAGUAGAUUUGUCUCGUGGAGUUUUUUUUUUUGGGAGGGGGAGUGGGGCUGAUUCGCCAGAUAACUUCUUCAAUUCUGCAUUGCUUAAUAAUGCUGGUGUGGACAUAGCCAGAGUGUUAAUGAUCCCAGGAUGUAAACUUCAGAUGAAACAAAGAUCACAGAUCAAAGUGAUUUUGCCUUGCGGGGACUUGCAUCCAGGGUCAAAUGCAGGCUCUUGGUAGGUGAUUCGGGAAAGAUGGUCAGAAGAGGAGAUGGGUUUCAGGUUCUUCGCCAGCACUGCCGCAAAGCACUUUCUGAGUGUGACCCCCAUGCUUAAGAAUCAUCGUACUACAUCGUGAUUCUCCACCAGGCUCAAAUCUCAGAGCUUCAUCUUUGAUUCAGCUGGUACGGGGGAUGGAUAUUCAUAUCUUUAUAGACAUGUUGCCUUCCCACCCCUAAUUUUUUUUCCUCGUGGUGUUUGGUGUUAGGGUGAAGGGCGAAGGCCACAUUUGAACAUAAGUCAGGUUUUUUUAUUUUAUGUGGGGGAAAGCCGGGGGCGUUUGCAGAACUUAAAACAGAAAUCAAACCUUUAAAGGUCGACUGUAUAUGUCCUGCCACUCAUAUUCUCUUCUGGCUUCUAACUUUCCUUAGGCUUAAAAUACAUCUGGAGUUGCUGCUUCCUUUGUUCUUCAGAGAGUUCAUUUCUUAUUCUUUAAAAACAUACACACACACACACAAAACAAGAAAACAAUUUUUUUUUUAAAAAGGGUAACAAACAAAGUUUUUGUUGAUCCUAAUUUCAAAGCCUUGUUGCCUGUAACUCUAUAGAACAAAACAGGGCUUGCUGUUAUCUCAAGGGGUGCCAUGCUGUACCCUAACUUGGUAGGAUUCUCAGUGGGCAGUUCCUCAGCUGAGUGGUUUGCUGACUGUAAAAUUAGGAGGAAUUGGGGCAGGAGAGAUAGACACCACAUUUUGAAAUGAAGACAGGUGAGGAAGUGCCUCUGGAAAGAACUGUAAUUUAGUACACCCAAUACAAGCAUAUCCUGGAGAUACUGUGGGUUUGGUUACAGACCACCGCAGGAGAGGAAGUAUCACAAUGAAGUGAGUCACAUGCAUUGUUUGGGUUUCUGAGUGCAUGCAAAAGUUAUGUUUAUACCUUACUGUUGUCUGUUAAAGUAUGCAAUAAUGUUAUGUCUUGGGGAAACUGGGUGGCUUAGUGUCUGACUUCAGCUCAGGUCAUGAUCUCAAGGUUCAUGUGUUCAAGCUCUGUGUCGGAUUCUUGUUUCCCUCUGUCUCUGCCCCUCUUCUGCUCAUGCUGUCUCUAUCUCUGUCUCUCUCUCUCAAAAACAAAUAAACAUAAAACAAUUUAAAUACAGUCCAAUACCCCAUGGUCCCUAUCUUCCUUUACUUCCUUAAAAAAAUAGUGUGCAAUAGUGUUAUGUUUUAAAAACAAGGUACAUACCUUAAUUUAAAAAUAUUGUUAAAAGACGCCAGUCAUCAUAUUAGCUUUCAGUGAGUUAUCACUGAUCAAAGAUCACUAUAACAUAUAAUAAUAAUGACGAAGUUUGAAAUGCUACAAGAAUUACUGAAAUGUGACACAGAGACACAAACUUACCAAAUGCUGUUGGAAAAAUGGUGUUGAUAGACUUGCUGGAGGCAGGAUUGCCUGCAUAAACCUUCAAUUUGUAAACAAAACAAAACAAAACAAAAAAACAAAAAAACAACCCCCCCCAAACCCAGUAUCUGUGAAGUGCAGUAAAGUGCAAUAAAAUAGAGUAUGCCUGUAUCUUUAAUAACACAGCUACAAAGUUUGGCAUCAAACCUGCUUCUAAUUAUACCUCUUAGUGGUUAUAUCAAUACAAAUAUUGUAGACUGAAAGUUCAUAGUUCAUUAAAGCAAUUGGUUGAGUGGUAGGAAGGCUGCUUAAGGAUUUCAGCCACAUUCAGAAUGUAUUAUAAAAAAUCAGAAUAAAUAAAUCUUUAACUUACUUCUUAUUCUACAGUAUACAGAUAGUCUUAUUUUUUAAUAGUUAUCUUACUUAAAUGUGUAAAUAACAAAGAUGUCCUAGGCUGCUGUGAGGAAAAAAAAUACUAUAACAAGGUAAGUACAUUUUCUAUAUUAAAGACACUCUAUGCUUUCAUUUUGAUGGCAAAUUUGAUUAAGUGAACAUUUUGGUAUAUUCAGUCUUAGAGAAAUGUAUAUUUCUUAUCCCUGCCCACUUAUCAGUUUUUCCUCCUCUGCUGAGAGAUUCCCAUGUCUCUCUUCUUGUCCAUCCCAUAUUCCUAAUCCUGAUCAUGGAAGUCUUGACCUUUCUCAUUAAUUCAUUCUCUAUGGCUAUAUUCUGGGAAGAGAGUAUGAGCCCAAACAGACAAGACCCCUGUCAUCCUUGAGUUUAUAAUCUAAAGAAAUCUUCCUUGAUUUUCUCUUUCUGCAACUGCUGGUGUUCCAGUUAGAGUUAUUUGCUUUCCUUUCUGUAUUUCUCUUAGUUCUUUGAAACUUAAAUCUUUAUCAUAGUUAUUUCCCUACUUUAUUGAGGUCUAAGUGUUGAUCAAUUAAAUUGUACCCCUCUUCUCCCUUGAGUUAUGAACCAAUUAAGAUCAAACAAUAAAGUGAGUGGGAUAUAAAAUGUAUUUAUUUGGAUAAAGCUCAAAAUGGGCAGUACCUUAUGGGGCCCCUGAUACUGAACUCAAAAACUAGACAAUUAACUUCUUAGUAAAAAACACCCUAGAAAAAGCAAACCCUGCCAUGUGCCAGCUCUUCUAGGUGUGGCACAAUGUGAGAGAACUUCCAGCAGAUCCCAAAACUUAUAAGGUAAAGGGACUAGGAAGAGGGGUAGCUAUCCAUGUCCAGUUUGUCUUCUCAAGCUGGACAUGAAUGAAAGAAGAGUGUGGAUUAGGCUAGAUGUGGGCUCCUUCCAUAUCUGGAGGGGGAAGAAGUGUGUUCCCUUCCCAACACACUCUGCAUAUUUUCCUACCAGUGGGUCCUUUCUGAAUUUAUUUUUUCUUCUUGCAAAGUUGCUAGUACACAAGAGGCAUUCACAAAAUAUUGAAUAAGUUAUCAGAAGAUAAACACAUUUCAUGGACUUGAUCUAAAAUGAAGAAGAAUUACAAAUUCUUCGAUUGAGUAAAUUCUAGUAUUUACUACCUUGUGAAUAGUAUAUUCUACAUCAUGUAUAUUUUCAUGAUAUUUACAAUGUCAAGAUAAGCCCUUCAAUCAUUAUAUUCAACCAUAUCCAGCCUUGUGUACAUACUGAGGUGAAAAUAUGAACAUGAGUAUCUUAAAAAGUUCUCAGUGUAUAUGGUGGCAAUAAAAACUUCAAAUCAAUGUAGGCUGAAUUAUAUGAAAAAGGUCUGAGAAGACCUCACUGUGACUCAAAGAGCUUUUUAGAAAUCUUGAAACCUGAUAGCUUCUUGAAUUGAAACCUGGGAUGUGGUAGAAAGGAGGAGAAAUGUAGAAGAGAAAUUCAGGAGAUAGGGAAACUUCAGCAACUUAGCUUAAGAAACUCUGAUGCUAUUUCAGCCAUACAUUUUAAGUAUUCUUAAUUAAUCUAUGUCCCCAUCCACCACCUUGUGAUGUCAGUCUUUGUUGAUAAUAGAACAUCUGCUGACUUGGUCAGGAAAGCAACCUUUCAUUCAAUUGGGGAUAUGGUCUGAUUUUCCUAACAGCAAAGUUUGCCUUAGGGUUUACCAUUAAUUAAUUGUGUCUAAAUAUUAACUGACAUCCAUUCUAGGGUGUGAGCAAAACUCCCCUCCAGGGCACGUCCUCCAUGGAAAAUUUAACAUUUCCAUUAUGAAAGCCAAGAGGAUGAAAUACUUUUAGAAUGUGGCCGUUGAGUGUAAAGGAGGAGGCAAACAUCUCAUACCAACUGAGGAAGGAGAACAGAAAGAGUAAGAGAAAUGGCUCCAGGGAAGGGCUGGUUAGAGAACAGAUUCAUGCCAACUUUAAAAAAAAAAAAAAAAAAAAAAAAAAAGAAAAGAAAAGAAAAGAAAAGAAAAGAAUCAAAAGAAGGAAGGCAGAUUUGCUGAGAAAUCUUCCUGUAUUAGAGCUACAGAGUCCAAGUUGCCAGGGAGUUGUGAUGGACAGGAAGAAGAGCUUUUAUGAGAACUUCACCUUGGAAAUGGUUUCCUUCCAUAGGGGAGAUGUUUGUCUGCAAGAAUAACUAAGAGCUGAUGGUCUUCGGUCAUUUAGAAGAAUUAUAUCAAGUCUGUUGUCCUUUAAUUUCUAGAGAACUGACUUUAGUUUGAGAUCCAAUUACAAACUCAUGUUCAAGAUCUAAAUAAUGUGUUAGAUCUGAUGCUAUAAUUUCAUACUCCUCACAAGGAAUGAUUUUGUCCUGAGGAAAUCAUUCAAGCAGGAUCUUUUCCCCUUUUGGUCAUCUCUGUAAACUGAGAUCCUCUGUGUCAACAUAACUGCACUUAAAAUUUUUUUAGCCAGAAAGAUCAGAGCAUACCGAUAAAUAACUUCACUCUGCUUCAGAAUAUUCUCUGUAUACCAAUUUAUCUCGGUAGACAUUGUGCUUACCUGGGAAAAUAGCUAUCUAAACAGGACACUAGAUUUCUUACCUGGACUGAGAGCACAUUUAUAAGGACAACAAUCAGCUCAUCAAGACUUGCUUCAAGACCCUUCCUAUUAUGUCACGAACUUUGUCGAGUCUAAGCUAAGACCUCUUGAAAGAUCCAUCUUCAAUCAUUUGACCCUAGAUCCCCAAAUUUUACAAACACCCUUUAAUUUCUUCCUUCUUUUCAGAAGCAUUUAGGACUCCACCAAAGUAGUGUUUUCCCAUACUACAGUAAGUUUAAUAUACUCACCUUUGUUUGAUCCACAGCACUUGUUGGUCUUAGAAAUAACUGAGGAUCUACCUAAUUUGUAGGUAGAAGCAUCCAUAUGGACACUAAACACUCAGGAUAUCAUCCAGAUAUUCAAUUUUAGUGUAGAGUAAAUUUGGCAUCAGAGUUGUCAGUGAAAUUGGGGAGUGACUCAGUGAAGAGACAAAGGAGGUGCUGUCCUUUAAGAAGAGCCUCAGGAGAGCAGGUUUUGAGACAUUAAAAGAAAAUUAAUGGUAUGUGAGGACUGGAAACCAGUAACCUGUUUUUUCUCUUGACUAUGUGUAAUGCCCAUGCUUUGUGAAAGAAUGAGAUUCUCCCUCAGAUUUUGAAGGAGGCAUCCAGGUUUUGUGUAGGAUCCAACAGUGGAAAGAAUGUGGUAAAUACCUAUCUUAUUCCAUAUNUCAGGAGAGCAGGUUUUGAGACAUUAAAAGAAAAUUAAUGGUAUGUGAGGACUGGAAACCAGUAACCUGUUUUUUCUCUUGACUAUGUGUAAUGCCCAUGCUUUGUGAAAGAAUGAGAGUCUCCCUCAGAUUUUGAAGGAGGCAUCCAGGUUUUGUGUAGGAUCCAACAGUGGAAAGAAUGUGGUAAAUACCUAUCUUAUUCCAUAUUCUAUGAGGGACCCAGAUGUAUUAGGAGGAAGUUUUCAGAGAAACAACAACCAAAUAGUGAGUCCUUCUUAAAAAGUGAGGAUAGAAUAAGAUUUGGCAAUAGUAACUCAGAAACUGGACCUUUUUAGGACUUGGAACUCUUUUAUUUCUGAAAAUGUAUUAUAGACUUCCAAUUCUCUGAUGACAUGCCAUAUAUUUCCAGCUGUCUCAAUUCAUUCGUCUCAUUACAUCUUAUAUUUUGUGUGGUUAAUAUCUUAAGUUUUUGUUUGUUUGAUCAACUCUCUGCAGUCUUGCAUUAUUUUAUUUUUGACUUAGGAUCAUUGCUUCUAAUGCUUACCAAAUUUCUCAACUCCGUUCUCUUUUAUCAUUCCAAAAAUCCAUUCCUAGAUGGAUCCUACUGACCACCUCUCCAACUUCUCUGUUUGGAUGGAGUGCUAAGUUUUCUGAGUAUUGCUGGAGAAUAACCUUCAAAUAUAAAUACAUGGUCUCCAAUAUCUGUUGGGCCCUUGUCACUGCCUAAGAAGUUCUCUAUAGGUUCUUGAAGCACUGCCUCACUAAUUUCCCACAGCUAAAUUUUGAAAUCUUCCCUGUUCUCCAAAGGGCACGGAUCCUUCUGCCUUCUUUUUGCUUUCAACACUGCUAAAGAAACAAAACCACACCACCACCACCACUAACAAAAAAUGCAUCAACAACAGUAAAAAUAACCAUGUAGGGGAGUUUCUUAACGUCUUCAACUUACAGUAAUUAUUUUUUAGAGUUAUAUUUGACAUACAACACUGUGUAAGUUUAAGGUGUACAACAUAUUGACUUGAUACAUUUAUAUUGUAGUCUGAUUGCCAUUGUUGUUAGUAGUAUCUCUAUACCAUCACAUAAUUAACAUUCCUUCUAGUGUUGGGAACAGUUAAGAUCUAGUCUCUUAGCAAGUUUGAUGUUUAUAAUACAGUUUUGUUUUCUAUAAUCACUAUACUGUGUAUUAGGUCUCCAGAACAUAUUUAUCUACUAGUUAGAUAUUCCCCUAAACAGACCCUCCCGUUCUUCCACCUGCCCCCCCCGCACUGUCCCUGACAGUUAUAUUUACCUAUAUUUAUCUUGUCUUCAUCAUGUGAAAUAAUGGAAAAUGUGUAUAUUCCUGAGACUGACCCCCUCAUGAAUGUUCUAACUCUAAUCCGUUCAUACCUUUUCAGGUGUUUGGUCCAUCUAUGACCUUAUUCCUGUGUCUCCAGUUUCUCCUAUAUUGCUCCUUUUGAGUCAGUCUUUAAAUAUGCUCAAUUGUUUUCAAUUUUGAAAAAGAAAAGGUAUCCUUCUGCAACCUAUGCUCUUGUCUACUUGCUACUCCCUUUUCCUCCCUUCUGUCACUCAUUAUGUUUUUGAGCUGUACUUGCCAUCUUUACAUGCCAGUCUUCCACUCACUUCUCAACCUGCCUUCUAGCUCUUCCUUCUGAAAUGCUACUAAAACGGGUCUGGCAAAAGUCACCAAUGAGCUUUUCAUGACUUCAGUCACUAGGAGUUUUUCAUCUGGAUUUCUUUUGUUUUACCUGCAGGGUUUUAUGUUAUUGAACAAGGAAAUUCUCAGAAAAGAGUGAAGAUAGACAUUACGGGCAAGGGGUCAUGCCAUAAACAAGGAAAGGUUCAUGGAAUUAAGGGAGACAGUGAAAAGAUAUUUUGGCCAGAGCACAAAUUUUCUGUAGAAUACAAGGAGAGGGGAGGAAGGUAUGUUGGUAUUAGAUCAUUGGAAGAGCCCCUGAAUACCAUGCCAAGGAACUCAGCUAGUAUUCCACAGUGAUCAAGGAUUCUCUUUUCAAACUAUUGUAAAAGAAAACAAUACAUGGUUAGGAGAUAUCCGUUGUCAUUUAUCUGCCACUGUGUUUCAACCCAGGUGACUCAGGCUUACUAAUGCUUAUAAGUCAUGGGCAGUUUAGGUAAGGGAAACAUAAGGAAUACUUUUGCUUUGAGUUUGAGGCUGGGUAAAAAUUUCAGUGAAAUCCAGCUGAAGAUACAGGACUAGCCCUGGAAAAAGGACAGGUCAGACAUGCUGAUUAGGGAGUUAUUUCUGGAGAAGUGAGUGUUGAAGUAUUCACCAAGAUCUCUGUUGACACAAGCAACUCUUAUUAGAUAGACCCUUCCUUCCUUUCAAUUUGCUUUUUUUUGUUUUUGUUUUUUUGGCACUCAGAGAAUUCCUUGCAGUACAUUUGUACAAAGUUCCAUUUUAUCCUACAUUUAAAACUGUUGUCAUUCAUAGAUGAUACCGUUUUUGUUACACUGAUAGGUCCUUUAGUGACUGGUGCAUAAGGCAUGUUUUUCCUUUUGACAGUUGGCUUACAAUUUUUUUUUUCUGUAUAUGCUGAAUUGCUUUCUUGCUCUUACAAAUAUAUUCAACAUCACAGUUCUUCCACAUGACAGGCAGAGAAGGCCCUGGCAGAUUCCAACCUCAGGAAGAAAUUAUGUCUGUUUCUAUAGUAUUAUCAACAGAUCCACGUAUGUAUGUCAGGAGACACCAUUGCACUCACAGUGCACUUCCAUUAAAUGAAAGGCAUACGAUGUCAGAUUCUUUGAUGUCAUUUUAACCAACUGGAUCAUUGUGUUUUAACUUAAUUGUUAAAGAGUGGAUUAAAAAUUGGAUUCUAUAUGCUUCUUAUAUGAUUCCAUAAAUAUGUUUUAAAGUAAAAUGUAGGGGGCACCUGGGUGGCUCAGUCAGUUGAGCUUUGGACUUUUGAUUUCAGCUCAGGUCAUGAUCCCAGGGUUGUGGGAUCAAGCCCCAUAUCAGGCUCCACACUGAGCAUGGAGCUUGCUUGGGAUUCUCCCUCUCUUUUUCUCUCCCUGUGCUCCUCUUCCCUGCUCUCUCUCUCUCCCACUUUCUCUAACAAAAAAAAAUAAAAUACAGUAAAAUGUAAAGGUUGAUGAUUGUAUUUGAUUAUUAACUGUGAAGUUUGGGAUCUAUAAACAGACAAUUGUAUGGUUCUAAGUAUUAAUGACCAAAUAUCAAGUUUCUGAUGAUGUAAGUAUACAAGUAGAUAAAAACUAGAAUGUUCAAAAUAGUCAAUAAAGUCUGCAACAGUUUCUAAUCUAUUUUUGUUGUGUUUUAUGCAGAGAUACUGAUCCUCCUUAGGUGCUCUGUGAUAUCUAUGAUUCAAAUUCGUCAUGAUUACAGUGCACUAGAUUUGUCACUGUUGUUUCUUUCUGGAAAUGUUGUAUUUGUUAAAAAGUCUUUCAAUAUUCAUUCUGAGAGACUUGUUUAAAUUUGCCCAGUGUAAUGUGUGUAUACAUACACAUAAAUAUAUAUAAUAUAUAUAAUAUUAUGUUCAGCAUCUAUUUAAUAUCCUUCAAAUGUCAAUUACUUCAAGGUUUUUGAGAGUAGGGCUGGGCCUUUCUCAGCAUCUUUCCUCUUUGUACAGUGCUUUGUACAUAGUGGUUGUACAGUUGUUUUUUGUAUUUGUAUUCUAUUCCAGUGGAAUUCAGUUCCCCCUAUUUUAUUCCCUCUUCUCUAUUACCUAUUGAUGUUUUCUGUGUAUAUAUCUGUUUGCUAAAUUCUGUACCUAGACUUUAGAUACUCGAUAUUGUCACAAUAUAAUUGUUAUAUUAUUAUUUCAAUUUGGGGAGGGAAAAAGACAGCUGCAUAAUGUCACCUUUAGUUGCAUUAAGACAAAUCCUAAUGAUCCACUUUGCUCAAAGGCCAGGAAAUUUUCACACUGGGAUGGGAAGCAAAUGAUCUCCAGCUCUCAGCAAUCAUUUCAGCAUAGCCAUAUCAUACCUGUCUAGUAAAGAACACUUUAGUUUCUGAAUAGAUAGAAUUGUUCUAGCUGUGUGAUUAUAGGCCCCUACUAUCCCAGUAUCUCAGAUCAAAUGCUCUUUUUGGAUCAUUGUACUGGUAUUUCAGGGGAGGGUCCAUUUUUUCCCCCUGAAAGGGGAUUUGUUGGAGUGGGAAGAUUUAUUAGACAGAAGGUCUAUAGAGCAGAGUGUGUUCCCCAGUCCAGCAGUGUCUUCAUCACCAGGGAGCUUGUCAAAAUAACAGUUCUCUGGUCCCAUCCCAGGCCUAUGGGAUGAGAAGUUCUGGGGGUGGAGCCAGCAGUCUGUGUUUUAAUAAGCCUUCCAGGUAAUUCUGAUGCACAGAAAAGUUUGAGAGCUGCUGGUCUAGAGAAUGGUUGGUCACUGAAAGAGGUCAUUCAAUUUUGAGAAUGUGUGACUUAGAGGACUUGUUCCUAUUUUCAUUCCUGCCCUGAUUCAGUUUACAACUUUGGGUCUGAGGUUUCCCAUCUAUAAUACAAGGGGUUAUCGUUGCAAGGUCAUAGUUAAUAUGUCUUACUAACUCUCAGCUCUGACAGUGUGGCUGCCUUCCUAAGGAGGAAGUUUUCUCCAGUUAGUCUUAGGGCUGCAAUGUAAUAAAUAUCUGGUUUCCCUUUCAGUCUCCUGACUUGGUAUUUGAAGUAAGAUUAACCUAAAUGAAACAUGGUAACUUUAUAACUGGAAGCUUGAUUUAUUCUUAAACUUCAGUGACCUUUUAUGGUGAGAGACCUGCUGUAAUUCUUAGCCCUGUGUCAACAUACUUGGUGAGAUGGUAGGACCGAUUUCUUGUUUCAACCUGCUAACCCAAGAUGUUCUAGCAGAUAAGAUGACUGGGUGCUAGUAUUUCUCAUAAAAUUCAUCUCUUAUUUUCCUUUUUCAUAUAUAUAUAUAUAUAUAUAUAUAUAUUAUAUAAUAUAUAUAUAUUAACAGAGAAAAAAGGGUGGGAGUAUCUAGAGUAGAGAAUUGCUGUCUUAUAAAAUCAGCAUAUUACAUAUUAAAGUUUAUAGUCUAUAAUUUUCUUAAUGUCUUUAUUUUAUAUUUGAGAGAGAGAUAGACAGAGUAUGAGUGGGUGAGGGGCAGGGAGAGUUGGAGACACAGAAUCUGAAAGAGGCUCCAGGCUCUGAGCUGUCAGCACAGAGCCUGACGUGGGGCUCACACUCACAGAUGGUGAGAUCAUAACCUGAGCCGAAGUCAGAUGAUUAACCGGCUGAGCCACCCAGGUGCCCCUAAAGUUUAUAGUCUAGAUGUGAGUGCCUAAAAUGAGUUCUAAUGGAUAAAUGCAAAGUUUUACAGCAGCUCUAAAACAAAUACAGCUAGUCACCUAGGUUAAAAACUUGGAAUCUUGAAAUAGUUCAUCUCUCUUUUUUAUACCAAUGGUCAUUAUAUGUUGUCCUAUCGAAUAAUUUUUCAUUUACAGUUUGAAUUCGUAAUUUUGUCUAGAUUUUCCACACUGCUGCCAUUGACCUCAGAGUCCCUAUGGGAGGUUUUCUAAUGAACACCUCUACUACAACAAUAGCUUCUUAGUGGCAUUUGGCAACAUGGGCCUCAAACCUUAACAUGAGACAUGAACUCGACUCUAAAAAGGAGACAUUUCCAAUAAGCUAUUUUUGCCUAGUGAGAUUUAAGUUUUAAUUAAUAAAUGUCAUACAUUUUACUGAAUAAACAGAAAUAAAUUGUUUAUUCUUCCUCAGAUGCUGCCUAUACAGGAUGAAUCUAAUUCCAGAGCUCACUUUAGUGGAGAUUUUAAUUGACUCUUUCCAAAUUAUACUAAUAGCCUAUACGAAUCCUUGACUUCAGUGUCUCAGACUGUCUGUCUGUCAGUCUGGCACUUGUUCCAAAAAAAAUAUUUUGUUUGGAAAAAAAAAAGUCUGAGACCCAAAAUAGAACAGGACUGAUAAAAUUGUGUUCCAGUUUGUGUAAAUGAUCUAACCUCCUUUUAGUCACCUGGGUCUGGAAUGGCUGUUUUAGCAAAUUUCUUACUCCAUCACCUUGUUAAAAAUACAGACGGUUGUAUAACUUUGUCUAAGCUCAUGCAUUAUUGAGCUGAUAAAUCAUAGUGGCUUUGAAAGAGCCAAUAUGCUCCAGCUGCCUCUCAUGCAAAUUAACUGCAUGUGCUAAAAUUCCUUAUGGAAAUUUCAAUGGCUAAAAAUAUUAUACACAAUUAAAACCCAAUGUUAUUUUUGCUUUUCCCCUACAAUAUUUUCUCAGUUAGUAGACAUUUUAAGAGGUUUUCAAUUGUGAUAACUUCUGGAUUUUGUUUUAUUUUAAAGGCAAAACCUACACCCCCCCACACACAAAUAUAAUAUAAUAUAUAUAUGUAUGUGUGUAUACAUAUUCUCAUUAUUAGCAGUAAUUAUGUUCUAUAAGUCACUACAAACACUGAAUUAGCAAAUACUGAACCAUUGCUCCUAGGGGAAAUAACAGGGUUAGGUUCCUGUGAGCCUCUGCUCACAUUUGGUGAACUAAUCAAUACCUAACUUUAUUUUAUGUGAUUCUGUUUAAAGACAUUUUAUGUAAUAUCUAUUGUUGAUUUAUUGACAUGGAAUGUGGCCAAUGGUACUAUAACUCANAGCGGGGGAGGGGCAGAGAGAGGGAGACACAGAAUCCAAAGCAGGCUCCAGGCUCUGAGCUGUCAGCACAGAGCCUGACGUGGGGCUCACACUCACAGAUGGUGAGAUCAUAACCUGAGCCGAAGUCAGAUGAUUAACCGGCUGAGCCACCCAGGUGCCCCUAAAGUUUAUAGUCUAGAUGUGAGUGCCUAAAAUGAGUUCUAACGGAUAAAUGCAAAGUUUUACAGCAGCUCUAAAACAAAUACAGCUAGUCACCUAGGUUAAAAACUUGGAAUCUUGAAAUAGUUCAUCUCUCUUUUUUAUACCAAUGGUCAUUAUAUGUUGUCCUAUCGAAUAAUUUUUCAUUUACAGUUUGAAUUCGUAAUUUUGUCUAGAUUUUCCACACUGCUGCCAUUGACCUCAGAGUCCCUAUGGGAGGUUUUCUAAUGAACACCUCUACUACAACAAUAGCUUCUUAGUGGCAUUUGGCAACAUGGGCCUCAAACCUUAACAUGAGACAUAAAUUCGACUCUAAAAAGGAGACAUUUCCAAUAAGCUAUUUUUGCCUAGUGAGAUUUAAGUUUUAAUUAAUAAAUGUCAUACAUUUUACUGAAUAAACAGAAAUAAAUUGUUUAUUCUUCCUCAGAUGCUGCCUAUACAGGAUGAAUCUAAUUCCAGAGCUCACUUUAGUGGAGAUUUUAAUUGACUCUUUCCAAAUUAUACUAAUAGCCUAUACGAAUCCUUGACUUCAGUGUCUCAGACUGUCUGUCUGUCAGUCUGGCACUUGUUCCAAAAAAAAUAUUUUGUUUGGAAAAAAAAAAAAGUCUGAGACCCAAAAUAGAACAGGACUGAUAAAAUUGUGUUCCAGUUUGUGUAAAUGAUCUAACCUCCUUUUAGUCACCUGGGUCUGGAAUGGCUGUUUUAGCAAAUUUCUUACUCCAUCACCUUGUUAAAAAUACAGACGGUUGUAUAACUUUGUCUAAGCUCAUGCAUUAUUGAGCUGAUAAAUCAUAGUGGCUUUGAAAGAGCCAAUAUGCUCCAGCUGCCUCUCAUGCAAAUUAACUGCAUGUGCUAAAAUUCCUUAUGGAAAUUUCAAUGGCUAAAAAUAUUAUACACAAUUAAAACCCAAUGUUAUUUUUGCUUUUCCCCUACAAUAUUUUCUCAGUUAGUAGACAUUUUAAGAGGUUUUCAAUUGUGAUAACUUCUGGAUUUUGUUUUAUUUUAAAGGCAAAACCUACACCCCCCCACACACAAAUAUAAUAUAAUAUAUAUAUGUAUGUGUGUAUACAUAUUCUCAUUAUUAGCAGUAAUUAUGUUCUAUAAGUCACUACAAACACUGAAUUAGCAAAUACUGAACCAUUGCUCCUAGGGGAAAUAACAGGGUUAGGUUCCUGUGAGCCUCUGCUCACAUUUGGUGAACUAAUCAAUACCUAACUUUAUUUUAUGUGAUUCUGUUUAAAGACAUUUUAUGUAAUAUCUAUUGUUGAUUUAUUGACAUGGAAUGUGGCCAAUGGUACUAUAACUCAUGUCUGAAUGAAGCUCCUCUAAUACAUAUGUUUUAUCCAUGGGGACUAUCACAGGCUCCUUGUGCUUAGGAACACCAGAUAACUCUUCAGUGCUAUGGUUGAGGGCCAUUUUAAACAGUGAAAUCCCCCCAACAAGCACAAAAAUGCAAAAAAAAAAAAUGUGGCAGUAAAUAUACUAUGAACAGGACACUUGUUUGCAGUCUGAGUGCUAAAACAAGAAAGCAGGCUGGGUGAGUCAGAAGAUUCAAAAUUGCUGUCACUGUGCCAUGUUUGCAAAUGACCAUGAAUGCAGUUAUGAGAACCGAUUGAUUUUGGGGUUACAAAUACAUUUUAGCAAGUAGGCACAUUUGUAAAUAUGAGAUCUAUGAAAAAUGAUCAAUUAUUUGAUAAUUAGAUGCAAAUGGAAUAUGUUAAAAAUUUAGAACUGUAAACUCAAAAUAAUAACAAUAAGUCUCAAGUAUGUUCCUACAAGUUUCUAAGUGCUCCAUUCUGAGAGUUCCUAUUCAAUGAAAUUGAAUUUAUCACAUAUUCUGACCAAUGUUGUCUUUGCUACUUUUUUCUGCUAUAUACAUAGCUCAUUAGUUUGAUGACCAAGAUUGGUUAUUUUUCCUUUGUUCUUUGAUUGAUUAGUUGUAUCUGGUUAGACAGUGCCAACAUUCAAAAGACAUUGGAUGAUCUCAUUGAACCACAGUUUAUUAGUCACCUGUGAUUUUUUUAUAUGAAUUGAAUUUUUAUAUUUUAUAAGUAGAUUUAUUUUUUUCUCUUCAACCUAUUAACCAGUCCCAUUGUCCUAUUGACCUGAAGUUACUUGUCUACUUUGAGCUUCCUUUCUUUGUCUCCAAAUGCAACCUGUAAAAGAAUAAAAACUGGAAAAAGGAAGUAACUUUCUAAUUCAUUUUAUGCAUAAGCCAGGUCCCUUUAGAUGCUUAUUAUUCAUGAUAAUAGCUAUUUUUAAUAAAAAAUAUUAUCUCUUAUUUUGAAGUUCUCCAGGUUUUCCAUGGAAGGAUAAAACCUUUGUUCCCUAUAACUUACUGUGGUGAAAAUGUACAAACACCUCAAUGUUAAUUUUAUAUCUUCAAGUAAGAAUAUAAGAAUAAGAAUAUAAAUAAAUCUAACCAAAGUGAAGUAUGUAAGUACUGAAUAUCAUAUACAUUUUCCCCCCACUUGACAAUUUCCAAGUGGAUAAAAUGUUCAGAUAUACUGAGAAAUUAUUAGCAUUCUAUAACAGAAUAUAUUUCAAGAUUGGUCGAAACUAGUUUUGUUGUUAUGGAACACUAAUUUUGUUGUUUUCUUCCAAAGAAGCUGGAUUUUGGUAUAGAUGAUACAUUUUUCAUUGACAAAUGCAGUAUCUAGAAUGUAACCUAUUUAAGAAUGUUCUGUGUGAAUUUGAGAAGAGCAUUUUCUAAGCUCCAUAGACCAAGCAGAGUAUUAACAAUGCAGUACUUAUGGUGUCAUGUUUAUUAACGCCUCGAUAGGAGGGACAGACAUGAAGCAAGUAUAGAUGUAAUUCAUUCUUCAUACUAUCUUCGUACUGUAACAAACCAACAGGAUGAAAAUAUUUGUAUAAGUGAUGUGCUUUGUCUGAUGUAUACUUUUAAAAUUGCCUUGGAAGCCCCCAGAUUUUUCAAAAUAUUUCCUUUUGUUACAUUUUUAGGUAAGGCAAAUACCUUUUCUGUGCUUAUGUGAUAAACUUGCCCUAUGUUUGCCUAGACCUAGAUCACUUGUCAGUAUGAAAGCAAUGUAAUGGUGUUUAUGAAUUAAAUGAGUUCCUCAGGGACAAAAGAACCACAAGGAAUUCAUAAUAAUUAUGUCACGACUGGAAGAACAUUGGGAGACAUUUUGCCUAACCUAUGCAUCUCUCAAAAGAGGAAACAGAGGUACAUUUUAACUAGAAAUCAGAAAGAACGUGCACACCAGCAAAAUAUUUGCCUCUUCCUUUUCCAGUUUUUGUUUAGGUUGAAACCAAAUCUUUCAUAUUCACAUAAGCUAGCAUCAUAAGGAAAUCAGGGGAAUCUCAAUGGUGGUACAUCUAUAUCCCUUCUGAGCAUUCACAGUACUCCAGGGUUGGGGAAAAAAAAGAAUAGUAUUUCUGAUGAGACAAGCCAGGAAGUGAUCCUCCUGGGGUUGCUGAUUCCCAAGAGAGGCAGAUUAACAUUCCAGAGAAGAAAGUGGCUAUGUGGCUCACACAGCAAGAGUGUUAGACUUGGCUCCCAGGCUACAGCCAGAGAGACAGAGAGAGAAUAACAAUACAUUUUAGGAAUAAUGACACAGCUUUUAUAAAUAUGUUCAUUUAAGGUCAGCCAAAUAAUGUAGUUUUUUUUGUUUGUUUGUUUGCUUUUUGGUUCUGUUUUAUAGAGUCCUGACUCUAUACCUCUUAAGUUAAUGUUAAAAAGCUCUGGACACAUUAAAUUUUUCCCAUGAUUGACGACAUUCAUUUUAAGGAUUUGAAUUCAGAAAGACACAAAGAAACUUGCCCCCAGUCCUGUGAAAUAAGAUCAUUUAUCAGCUCUGCUUUAUUUGCAAAAGAAGGUUCAGUUGCCCUUUAUAUUAUUGUUAGAGCUCAAGACAAUGUUUCUUUACUUAUGAGCAGAUGUUUGAAAUCCUCCAGGAGGUUUCUAUAAGACUAUGGAAAUGAACUUGGCAUGGGUACUGGGCUCCCAGGUGGAGCGGUGCACAUGAGCCUCCUUAGAAGUGUUAGAUCAAGGCUAGUCCGGGAGAGCAACAGAGCCUAGCCACCAAAAGCCGAGCGCUUUGGUGAGUGACAGGUACAGGCUCCUUCUGAAGCAUGAAAAGGAAUGCUAAAUGAUCUCCCUGACAGAAUAAAUCUUCUGUUUGUUUGGUCUGGACCAGAUGUGCUACAGGCUGAUGUGGAAAUGUCUGCUCAUGCCAAUUUCACUUUAAAUCACAAUUUGGCAGGCCGGGUAGUUUUGAAAGUUGCAGUCCAUUUAGCACUUUAAACAGAAAUGUUUUCUAAUGGUCUUUCCAGUUAAUUUGCAAAUCCAUACCAGGGCCCAAAUAGGGCUGUAAGAAGCUGUUCUCUAGAGAGGUGGGUCAUUUGAUCAAAGAAUUCUGUCUGGAGAUUGAAUGGGAAAUAUGGCUUUAUUUCCUGUGCUCAACUGAAUAAUCUCUAAGUAUGGACAGAGUAGUUCUGUGUGUCCAGCACUGUGCUGAGAGCAUUACCACACAUUUGUCUCUUAUUGCUGUUUCACAUGCAAGUUGCUUUAGUAUUGUAAAAACAGGAGUAAAAUGCUGAUUACCAGCUUCCAAAUGUUCUGAACAUUUCUCAAAAUCUUCAGUUAGGAAAGACCUAAAAAGACUCACUCUUCUCAACAUAUAUCAUGUACUUUGAAUCUAUGGGCGCUCUAAGUUCCAUCACAGAUGUGGCCUGUAAAGAAAUCUAUGAGGAAUUUAGAAGUUUAGAGAUAUAAAAGAUUCUCCUUGGAGAAGAGAAAUUGUGUUUUGAAUUACUUGAAAGUAUCAUGAUCUUACCUUCAUGUUUCUUCAUGGAAGUGAUUUUCAGAGCUCCAGUUAGUGAACAGACAUUUACAUUAGUAUUCACAAUCUCAUGAUGGUAGGAAUCUUGCUGUUUUUAUUAAUUUCUGUAUCCUAAGUGCCUGGCAAGAAGCCUGGUACACAGUAUCUGCUUGAUAAAAUUUUUUUUUCUUUUUUUAUGAAAUUUAUUGACAAAUUGGUUUCCAUACAACACCCAGUGCUCAUCCCAAAAGGUGCCCUCCUCAAUACCCAUCACCCACCCUCCCCUCCCUCCCACCCCCCAUCAACCCUCAGUUUGUUCUCAGUUUUUAACAGUCUCUUAUGCUUUGGCUCUCUCCCACUCUAACCUCUUUUUUUUUUUUUUUUUUUUUUUCCCCCCCCCCCCCCCCCNACACUCUCCAGUUCCAUCCACGUUGCUACAAAAGGCCAUAUUUCAUUUUUUCUCAUUGCCACGUAGUAUUCCAUUGUGUAUAUAAACCACAAUUUCUUUAUCCAUUCAUCAGUUGAUGGACAUUUAGGCUCUUUCCAUAAUUUGGCUAUUGUUGAGAGUGCUGCUAUGAACAUUGGGGUACAAGUGCCCCUAUGCAUCAGUACUCCUGUAUCCCUUGGAUAAAUUCCUAGCAGUGCUAUUGCUGGGUCAUAGGGUAGGUCUAUUUUUAAUUUUCUGAGGAACCUCCACACUGCUUUCCAGAGUGGCUGCACCAAUUUGCAUUCCCACCAACAGUGCAAGAGGGUUCCCGUUUCUCCACAUCCUCUCCAGCAUCUAUAGUCUCCUGAUUUGUUCAUUUUGGCCACUCUGACUGGCGUGAGGUGAUACCUGAGUGUGGUUUUGAUUUGUAUUUCCCUGAUAAGGAGCGACGCUGAACAUCUUUUCAUGUGCCUGUUGGCCAUCUGGAUGUCUUCUUUAGAGAAGUGUCUAUUCAUGUUUUCUGCCCAUUUCUUCACUGGGUUAUUUGUUUUUCGGGUGUGGAGUUUGGUGAGCUCUUUAUAGAUUUUAGAUACUAGCCCUUUGUCCGAUAUGUCAUUUGCAAAUAGAUAAAAUUUUGUUGAAUGAAUUAAUUCAGAUACUUGAAUGUACUUUUAUUGUUCAGUUGGUGAUUAGAGAGUUUGUUACCAAAACUCCAGAAAGAAUAUUCAUUUCUGUGGAGUUAGAUGUAAAACUUCUGCUCUUAUCAAUAUUUCUUGAUUAAAACAUCUCUGAAGACUUCCCAUCAAUAAUGGGAAAUGAACAUGAUAUUUGUCAUUGGGUCUUGGGACAAUGAAUCUGUGGUUCCAUUGUAAAAUUUUAAUUUGGACUCAGUCUUAUGAAGAAUUAUAUUAAAAAGUUAUCAUUUGUUUUUUAUCAACCUCUACCAUCUCUGUGAAGAGUACUCACAGAAUACUAAUGAUUAAAGUAAAUUUAACAUUUUGCUAUAGAGACACUGUUUAUAUAGAUAUAAAGACAUCCUCACCUUCAGAAAUACAGGAGAGGUGUUUUAGUUUUGGUUUUGGUUUUAAUAUUCAUCUCAAAUGAAAAUACCUUUCUAGUCAAGACCAAAAACCUAGAGGUCUUAUAAAAAAAAAGAAUUUAAAUUAAAAUACAGAAACCAUAACUUCUUCCUGUUAAAAAAAUAAAUGAAAAAAGUUAAAAUACAAAUUGCAAAGUAGAGGAAUAUUGUAACAUAUUUGAAAGCUCUGCUUUAAAAUCUUUCUAAGUCAAUGAAAAAAUAUAUAUAAAGCAAAAGGCACUCAAGCUCAUAUUUAAUGAGAGUAAGAUUAAUUAAAUCUCUGUCAAAAUAUCAUGUUUUCACUUGAUCUACUGAUAGACACCAAAAUGUUUGAUAAUAUACUGAAUAUAAGGAGUGAAGAAAUAGGUACUCUCAUGCAUUAUUGCUGGAGGUAUAAAUUGCUAUAUCCUAUCUCAAGAGAAAUUUCAAAAUAGACCUUAAAGUCAAGAUUAAAAUCACUUGACCUAACAGCUCCACAUCAGAGAAUUUAUCUUAUGGGUAUACCUGUACUUAUGUCUAAAAGUGCAUGUUCAAGGAUAAUCAAGAAAACUUCAUUAAUAUUUUUUGUAGUAGCCAAAUACUAAAAAUAAUCUACUGAUAUAUUAGUGGGAGUAAACUAGUUAAAUGUGCUAUGCCACACCCAUAUUAUAGGAUGGUUUGAGCCAUUAAAAAAUGUAACUUUUCCAUAUGUUCUAAAAUGAACCAGGUUUGUUUAAAAAUGAAUCAAUAGCAUUUAAAAUGCUGGUUUCUAUUCUUCAUUAGCUCUGUGUAUUUAAAAAUAUACUUUUUACGAAUGAAAUCUUGCCAUUUGCAACUAUGUGGAUGGAACUAGAGUGUAUUAUGCUAAGCAAAAUUAGUCAAAGACACAUAUAUGACUUCACUCAUAUGAGGACUUUAAGAUACAAAACAGAUGAACAUAAGGGAAGGAAAGCAAAAAUAAUAUAAAAACAGGGAGGGGGACAAAACAGAAAAGACUCUUAAAUAUAGAGAACAAACAGAGGGUUGCUGGAGGGGUUGUGUGGGGGGGCGGUGGGGUAAAUGGUUAAGAGGCAUUAAGGAAUCUACUGUUGAAAUCAUUGUUGUACUGUAUGCUGACUAACUUGGAUGUAAGUUAAAAAAUAAAUAAACAAAUUAUAAAAUUUCAAAAAAAAUCAAAACAUAAAAAUACCUUUUUAAUAUAUUUGUAGUAUUCAGAAAUAUUGGAGAAUCUGUGUGUGUGUGUGUGUGUGUGUGUGUGUGUGUGUGUGUGUAUGAUGUUAUGUGUAUCAUGGAAAAGUUAGUAAUGCCUAAUUAAACUUCACUUAACUGUCUCAUAAAGCAAUCUGUAAUAUAGCCCUAACUUUUAGUCACAUUUACACACAUUAGAAUUUGUCCAGAGAUUUUCAUUGAUAUGGUGUUUUAUCUUCCAGACCAUAGGGAGAAUAUGUUAAAGUUUUUUCCUGUGUGCGAAACUUUUGGGGCCAUUAAAGUGCCAUUUUGUAAAAUGACUGUUCCAGUGCAAUAAAUGUUGCCCUGGGAACUUGAAAAAGUUUAUUAUCCUCCUAAAAAAAUGCAUAUUUUAUUUUUUAGUCACUGCAGGAAUGAACCUCAUAAACUGGAUGAGUUUAAUGGGCUCACACUGAGCUUAAAUGGUGGUAUCCACUUUUUCAAUGCCUUUUAUCUGCACAUUGGAGGUGCCAGCCCCCACGAGAUUCUCCACAAUGCUGAGCUCCACUAACUGCUUGGCUGAUACAAUUACCCUCUGAAGGAGAAAGGAUACCUGUAAAGCUGAGGUGCCACUCAGUACCUGAACAAUUGCGUGCUGAUGUUAAAAAAGUAAAUUAUUGUCAAUCACACAAACACAAAUAUUGAAAAUGAAAUUGGAGAUGGAAGAAAUGCAAUCCUGGAAGCCCCCUUUUUCUUCUUAAUUUGUCUAUGCAGUGAAUAACCUAGUGCUGUAUACAGAUGCAGGGAAGUGUUCUUGUUGUGGAGUGUAAUCCUAAGAGUGGUCGCUGUGAUUAGUUAAUGCUGUAUGACUGAGUCUUCCGGCAGUUGUGUAGGAUGCAUUAGUAAAUUAAUGUACAUGGGUUGGUAACCUGGUGAAUGAGGUGCCAAGCUUCUCCUUGUUUUAGGUCAUGUGGGAAGGAAGGAAGUCAAAAAGUAUGGAUGAGGAGAGAGUCUGAAGUUUUAAUUGUGGAAAUUGGCAUUUUGUUUGGAAUGAUUAGAGAGAGAUGAUUUAGAAAUAAGGGUGGCAAUGACCUGUGUAUAUGUAUUUAAAACAUGUGUCUGUGUUUAAUGUAGCAUUUGUCAAAGAUAGGUUGCCAAGUUUUACUCACUCAUUUGCAUGGUUUCUCACCAUGGUUUCAAGCAUCCUUAGAAGAUUUGUGGAUGGACUUCAGGAUGACAGUGAACUUCUAGAAUUGAACAGGAGCUUUUUCUUCUAAGUUCAUUUUUCCCCCAUCACAGAGCCUAUACAAUUCCUCAGAUUCUCAAGGAGGUGAAUGUAGCUGAUGAUAUACAUAGAUCUAGUUUGUUGACAUGCACAAAAAUAUUCAAGCUACUAUAUAUCCUAGCAAACUCUUCAGAGAAGUCUAACAAAUCUGUAGAGGUACAUAGCUAAGGGGAGUGUGAAAAGAAACAGGCCCAGAAGAUUUUAGGAAGCCUCCAGAGCUGUACUUACAUAACUUCCUGGUUAUAGAAGGCAAAAGUGAUGCUCAUCACUGUUAACAAGAUACAAGUGAAUACAUCCACCUUUCUAAGCUACAGAUGCUGCACCCUAAUAGAGUAUGUCUAAAUAUAUGUAUCGGCACUCAAAAAAAAAUGAAAUAUUGCUAUUUGCAACUACAUGGAUGGAAUAAAGGGUAUUAUGCUAAGCGAAAUUAGUCGGAGAAAGAUAAAUAUCAUAUGACUUCACUCAUAUGAGGACUUUAAGAUACAAAACAGAUGAACAUAAGGGAAGGGAAGCAAAGAUAAUAUAAACACAGGGGAGGGGAAAAACAUAAGACACUCUUAAAUAUGGAGAACAAACAGAGGGUUACUUGGAUGGGUUGUGGGGGGGGAAUAGGCUAAAUGGGUCAGGGGCAUUAAGGAAUCUACUGAAAUCAUUGUUGCACUAUAUGCUAACUAACUUGGAUGUAAACUAAAAAACUAAAAGAAAGAAAGAAAGAAAGAAAGAAAGAGAGAGAGAGAGAAAGAAAGAGAAAGAAAGAAAGAAAGAAAGAAAGAAAGAAAGAAAGAAAGAAAGAAAGAAAGAAAGAAAGAAAGAAAGAAAUGCAACGUAUUUAUCCUUGUGAACAGUUCACUGAGGCUUUUCUGGUCUGGAAAUGAAUAGUUCACUGAGGCCUUUCUGGUCUGGAAACAUUCUUUUUUUUUAAAUUUUGUUUUUUAGUGUUUAUUUAUUAUUUUGAGAGAGAGAGAGAGAGAGAGAGAGAGAGAGAGAGAGAAUGAGAAUGUGAGCUGGAGAGGGGCAGAGAGAGAGGGAGACACAGAAUCUGAAGCAGGCUCCAGGCUCCGCGCUAUCAGCACAGAGCCCGACUCAGGGCUCAAACUUACAAACCAUGAGAUCAUGACCUGAGCCAAAGUCAGAUGCUUAACUGACUGAGCCACCCAGGCGCCCCUGGAAACAUUCUUUAUGGGAUCCCUUCAUUAAGCUGCCCCCAAAUUUGUGAUGAUAAAAUGUUGAAACAUUGUCAUUGUUCUAGUGUUAAAGCUUCUAUUUUUGUUGCUUUUCUUUUUCAGUAAAAAUGAGGGGUUGAAUAUUUGGUGCUGCAAAUUCACAUAUCCGUCAUUUCCUUGAAAAUGCUAAGAAGAAUAUAUGGGAAUUCAUUGCAUGCAAGAUUCAUUAUUUGUUCCACAAGCAUUUGCAGAAUGCUUAGCAUGUACCAGCAACCAGAUUUGUUGUUGGGAGUGCAAAGGUGAACAUAAUCUCUGUCUCUGUGAAGCUUGCAGAUUAAUGGAGCUGGGGGCUGGAAGAGACAGAACAAUAAGCUUUUAAUAAGCUCAUGAAUGUCUCCUGUUUUAUAUCAAACUUUCCUAUCAAUCCCAUAUUUGAGAUUGGAAUAUAAAUACUUCUGGCAGCUCUGUGUUAAGUUAGUGGGUAUUUCAGUGAUUUGCAACCUUUGGUGCCCAGCAGAUCCCCUUGCAGCAUUUUAAAUACAGUUGCCUGGGGCUGCACUCAGACCUUCUGAAUCAAUAAUCCUGGGGUUGGGGUCCUAGUGUGUACAUUUUGAAGAGCUCUCCAGUGCUUCUGAUGAGUCAUAGAUUGAGGCCCUCUGAAGUUUUAUUACAUUUUUAUUAUCUGAUCAGAAGUAUGGCUGUAUCACAAGAGUACUUAGAAAGAAAGUCAGGCCCAUUACUAGGAACCACAUACCAGUUAGGCUUUAUCCUUGCCCAGUGCCCAUAAGUCCUGUUGACAUUUUAACCUUAGGCAUGGAGUAGUCUUGCACGUUUGGUAGUUAUGUUGCUAAACUUUGUUUUUCUAAGCUGAUUAUAUUGCACUUGGUUACCAGAAUCCCGUUUACUCCAAAGGGAAGAUAAACUAUGUCAACUGUUCGAAAGUCAUUAAAAUAUACCUCGAGGAAUAGUUAAGUCCUUAUGGAAAACCCUGACACCUGUUGUCUUUUACAGCAAUCCCAAGCCUACCUCAUACAUUUUCUUUAUUUUUUUCUCUCGUUCUUGGGAGAUGAUUUCCAUGAAAAUGAGAUCUUUAUUUCUUGAGAGUUCAUCUGUUCCUGCUGCUCAGAGGGAAAAAAAAAUGCUUAAAAUUUAAGCUCGAUGAGUUGCAUUAGAAUGCGUCUCAGAGUUUUCCGCAAGGAUCAGUAGCUUUUUGUGGUCUAUCAGGAAUUCAAGCCCUGCUGCCUACCAGCUGCUGUUGGGAUGAAGGUUUGCUGGUGUCGUUUUCAUGUGGACAUGACGUUCUCAAGAGCGGCAAUUCCAGCUCCCGUGACUGCAGUAAGGGAGAAGGCUGCAUUUUCUUCAGUCUGCGCUCUUAAACUUUACCCUCCCUGUAAUCUGGUCAUGCUGGAGUCUGACAGCAGCUUUUCCUCAGAGCAUUAAGUUCCAGAUGAUGGACAUAAUACUUUAUAAACUAGAAUUUCUUUUCAUAAUUCUUUUUUUGUGUGUCACUUUCCCCUUUAUUUUAUAUCUCUUUCUAACUACAAAGUAAGUACCAAUGCAAGGAAAUGUAACAGAACUUUUAUAAUUAGGCACUAUCCUGGGUUGGCAUUUGCAGAUAGAUGGAUCAACAAAUGUUUUCUCUUUCAACUAGCUGUUUUCUUUUUGUUUUCAGUAUGCUAGUGGCUGAAAAAACUUUGUGCUGUUGUUUCAACUUAGAGUGUGAUAGGAAGGGAGGAAAAAAGUGCUAUGCUUAUGUAACAUUGUGAUUUAUUGCCUUUGGAUUUGCAUAGAAUUGGUGAUUAAUUUCUUUAACAGAGACUCAUGGGAUUCUAAAAGCUACAUAUAGCAAAUUGCAUUUUAAUAGAAUUUCCAAUAUGAGAGGAGUUAAUGCGCAUACCAAAAAACAAAAACAAAAACAAAAUAAUAUAGUUCUAUCUUUAACAUCCCCUAAAUAAUCAUGUUCUUGAUCUAUAUGGAAUUUAUAAUAAAAUGUUAUCAAAAACUGAAGCCAUGCAUUCAGAUUAAUCUAUUAAUUUUCUCUAAUUGGUUACAGAAAAUAAUACAAUGAAACUAUAUGUUCUGUUUUACAACUUUAUUAGUGAGAAAAAAAAUCCAUUUCUUCAAUUCAUAUAGUAAGGGUCCUGAGACAAGUUGGAAAGAAGUUCCUAAGAAAGCUCUUGUUUUUUGGAACCAUCCUGAAUUUCCUUUUUGCAACAUUUAUUUUUUUACUAUAUAGUAGCUUACGCUGAUGGUUACCUACUCCAGAGCCAUCUCCUCUGUCUUCUCCCACUGGCCAAACACAACAACUAGGGAGAGAGCUGGAAAAUACCAGAUACUGACUUUCUGAAUUUCCUUCCAGCUAAAAAAGACCACGUGAGCUAGAACUUGUCUGUGAUGCAUGAAGGAAAUUAUGCUGGAGUUUUCUGGAAGAAUAUUCCUCCUUGAUAAAGGGAAAAAGGUAAGGUAUAUGAAUGGGAGCCUUUGUCUUCCCUGGUUGGUUUUGUACACACCUUGUGUAAGGAUGUAAUACUUAGAACAGCUGCAUGCUUUCUGCAACCAAGAGGAGAAAUCAUUGACUUCUUGAGUGUAGCAGAGCAGAUGGAUAGACGAUCCUGGGUAUUUGAUAACAUAUGGAGUCACUGAAUCAAUCCUGAAACUGUCAAUAUUUUUGUUAUAUGAGUUGGUAAUAAAUACCCACUCUUAUAUUGGUAUGAGUAUUUUUUACUUUGGUAUUCCACACCUUUCAAUGAAAAGUAUUUUGUUUUAGUUUUUUAAUAUAUAUAUUUUUAAAGUUUAUUCAUUUAUUAUUUCUGUUAGGGAGAGAGAGAGUGAGAGCAUCACAAGCAGGAGAGGGACAGAAUCCCGCACAAGCAGGAGAGAGAGAGAGGGAGACACAGAAUCUGAAGCAGGCUCCAGGCUCUGAGCUGUCAGCACAGAGCCCAAUACAGGGCUUGAACUCACAAACGGUGAUAUCAUGACCUGAGCUGAAAUUGGGUGCUCUUAACCGACUGAGCCACCCAGGCACCCCUCAAUGAAAAGUAUUUUAAUAGAUAACUUGGCAAAUGCUAAAAGACUUACAAAGGACAUUAGAUCUGCAUAUUUAAGAGAAGUCUCAAGAUUCAGAAAUUGUCUAGUUUUAUUUAAUCGAUAAGAAAAUUAGAUAAGCUAUGAAGGAAAAGUCAGUUGAUAGACGGCAUUUCUGCAACCAAGGACAACAAUUGCAGUACAAAAAUGGAUUAGAAGCCUGUACCAAUGAAACUGAGGUGAGAAUGAAUGCACAUCAAGUGGUACUCAGAAAAGCCAGAAUCCCAAUAUUAAAGAUCAAGGGGAAGUGACAAGUUAGACACUUAAUGGAAAAUCCAAAUUGAGGUCCAUGUACUCUUUUAGGAAACUAAGCCUCUUAUAAUUUUUUGUCGAGCUUACUGAACUGGAAAAAGAAAGAAAAUCAAGUAAAAACAAGGGAUACUUUAUACAUUACAUGGGUGGGCCAUGCAAUUCAGUUUGAAAAAGUGUUAAGCUUUUAAAGUUUUUGAAAGUUUUCAAAUAAAAGUGAUUUAUCAAAGGCAUGAUGCUUUUAACAUAAGUAUGGAAAUCAGGGGAAGUAUUUGACCAAAAUUGAAUUGGAAACCUACAUAACAAUACAUGUAUUUGAAACAAGUAUAUCUGUGGAUACUGAUAGAAUUAUAUGUGGGUCUGCCAAUAGGCAAGUAGAACUUGACACUAGACAGAGUAACUCAGGAGAGAAAAACCUACACAAACUGAAUGGAAUAUAAGGCCUUCAGUGAAGGGGAAAGGCAUUAGUUAGCAUACAAUCUAAGCUGCUAUAAGGGAGAUACAAAAAUACAGUAGCUUACAUUAAACAAUUUAGAAGUGUAUUUCUCUCUCACAUGACAGAGUUAGGUAGUCUAAGCCUGGUAGAGUCAUUGUCCUUCUAAAAACAUGGCUUCCAUCCCUGGAUCCAGGUCUUGCGAAGGGAACAUAGAGAAGACAAAGGAAGUUCAUUUCUUUAAAGGGUACAACCUGGAAGGGACAAACAUUAAUUCUGUUCAUAUCUCCCUGACAGAACAAAAUCACAUGGCCGCACUUAGUUGCAAGCGGUGUUGGGAAUUCUCUGUAGCUAAGGGGCAUGUUCCUUUAUAAAACUCAAUAGCACUCUUCUUAAUGGAAUGGAGAAUGAACAUUGCAAGACAAUAGACAAUAGUCAUUUCUGAUCCAGGAAGAGUCACAGUGUAGGAAGGGAUAGUGGGGCUGUAGAGUCUUAGCUUUUAACCCCGAUGUUCACCUUGUCUUUGGGGAAAUUUUCCUGACUGAAUCUGUGAUGCAAAAUCUGUGAUUUUGGAACUAGCCUUAAUCAAGUACACCUCCUUUUUAAUGCUCUAGCACCAAUGUAGAUCCCAAUGUUACCAGACUGGAACAUUUGUGUCUUUAUUUUAGUAAUUAAAAAAAAGUUACCGAAGUAAUACAAAAAUAAUUCCCACACAUGGUUACAAAAGAUCAUAUAGGGUGUAACUUAUAAGGAAAAGCAUAAGGUUCUUGCUCCAUAGUGGCCUUUGGAACAGUGGACGCCUUUUCAAUUCCUUUGUCUUCCCACAGGUAUAUAUCCAUAUUGCAAAACAUUAUUGUGUCUAUGAGCUUUAGAUUAUUAAUUUUAGACAUAUGUUGAGUCUUAACUCACUUAACAGUAAUGGCAUACCUCUCACUCAAUAUAAUUAUGUUAAAAUUUUAGUUCCUUUACUCAUUGUCUUUGUAAUUUUAAGUAAUAUGCUUACAUCUUCAUUUCUUAUUUGGUAAAUUAUAGACGGUAUUCCUUGGUUCUCUACUUUGAAGGUGAAGAUAGUAGCACUUGUAAACAUUUCCUUCCUCUUUCAUCUACCAUUCUAACCCAAACUUUUGUCCACUUUAUUCUUACAUGUCAAGGUUGAUUAUGUUAAAUUGUAUUCAUAAACCAAAAUUAAGUAUCUUAUGAUUUGUUAUAGGUUGUUUCUAAAAGUUGAAAAAUCAAUGAAUAUUGUUUAUAUUAUUAUGACUAGUGCAGAGGAAAUAGGUUAGCAUUGGGUUUGUAUGCUAUCCUUCCUACUCUGGGGACACAAUGAUGGAGAAGGGAAAAGUGGAGGGGGUCAGAGGGGAGAAAGGGAGAAGUAACCCAUUCUGAAGGGAAACUUAGAAUUUAUAGAUUUAUGACCCAUGGCUUAUUGGAAAAUGUUAAUGUUGGAUGUGUCAUGAUCAGAGUAUAAGAAGGAGUCAUUUUAUGAUGGAAAGGGCUCCCUUUGAGUAAGUGAUGCAUUACUCUGAGAUCUUAUAUGUUAAAUCUGGGCCAGGACAUGUCCUAACAUUGUUGGGAAGGACCUGGGAAAACUUUUUGGUGGUUGCAGACUUCUCCAUGCACCUCUGUGUCUUACAGUUAUCUAUAUUCUUUCAAUUAACACUACAUUUAAUACUAGAUAAGAUCUCCCUGUUCCUUGAGAGUCUGAUUUGACAAUCCAACAAUGUUUAUUCUUAUCUGUUUCUUAAUGAUGACUACAAAAGCAAAAAUUGUGCCAUGAAUAUAUUUUCUUUUUCAUUCAGCCUUUUUUCCCUUAGAGUUUCUAUAUGCCUAGUUUUUUAUUCUAUUAUUAUAUUUGAAUAUAUGUGUUUGAGUAUAAUAGUAUAUAUUAUUAUAUUUCAGAGUAUCAUUACAUUUUUAUCAUGCCCUCAUUUCUCUUAUUAAGAGAUGCCUUAUUAAGAAAUGUUGAAUGGAAAGCAUUUUCUGAGUCCUUACAUAUUAAAGGUAUCUGUAUUGAUUUUUCACAUUUGAUUGAUCCAUUGGCUGCUAUAGAAUUCUAAUAAAAGAUAACUUUCCCUCAUUAUUGUGAAGUUAUCAUCACACAGCUUUUGAAUUUGAUGUUUACAAGUGUGAGCACAUGAAUGUAUGUUAGCACAUCCCCUUAGUAUAUUUCACAAAUGAUUUUAAUUUUAUUAUUUACUUAUUUACUUAAUUUUAAGUUUAUUUUAUUUUUAUUUUUAGAGAGAGAGAGAGAGAGAGCAAACAAGCAGGGGAGAGAGAGGGACAGAAGGAAAGAGAGAGAGAGGGGGGUAGAGAGAGAAUCUUAAUCAGGCUCCAGGCUCAGCACAGAGCCCCACACGAGCCUUGAUCCCAUGACCCUGGGAUCAUGACCUGAGCCAAAUUCAAGAGUCAGACACUCAACUGACUGAGCCACCCAGGUGCUCCAAAUGAUUUUAUUUUGAAAAGAGCUUUGGUUUUCAUUAACUCUUUAAAAAAAUUCUUUUUAAGUUUAUUUAUUUAUUUUGAGAGAGAGAGAGAAUGCACAAGCAGGGGAGGGGCAGAGAGAGGAAGAGAGAAUCCCCACCAGCCUCCACACCAUCAGCACAGAGUCUCACAUGGGGCUUGAACCCACAACUGUGAAAUCAUGACCUGAACAGAAACCAAGAGUCUGGCACUUAACUGACUAGCCACCCAGGCACCCCCAUUAGCUCUUUUAAAAGUUGGCCCAGAAUUGCCUGGAGUCAUCUGAAGUUAAGCAAGUCAUUUCACCUCUAACAUCUCAGAUUUUUCAUCUAAAAUUGGGGACUGGAAAAGUUUCCUUCCCAGUUUUAUAAAUGAUGAUAAUGAUAAAUACUAUUUUUUUUUCCCAAAGAGUUUUGUUAUCUAUCUUUUAUUGUUCUAACACUCCUUCAUGAAUACUGGAAUAGUAGGUAAGACCAUUUUUGUUAUUCCCAUUUUAUUAAUGAAGAAACUGAAGUAAAAAAACCAUUAAAUAACCUGCUAAAGGUAAAAAUGGCUUUGUUUUAUUUAAAAUACUAUGUUAAAAGUUUGAAAGAUGUUCAAAUCAUAACUUGGCUUAAAAUGAAGUGUUCUAUGUUAAUCUUUUGCCAAAAGUAUUCUCUUAACAUUUUCCCCUAAGGACUUUCCCCUUGUAUCAUAAAACAAAAAUCAUGCUCUCUAUCUACUAAAGAGGUUUUAAAAAUUUUGAUCCAUUGGUACAUUUAUGAGCAUGAAAUAUGUGAGCAAAACACACACACACACACACACACACAUACAUACAUGCACACGCACACACAUACCACCAGCAAACAGGAUUUUACUGAGCAGUACAGAUAAAGGGAAGAUAAAUAUUUUGUAUCUUUGGUACAUGAGAGUGGGCUUAAAAUUAUACUUAAAUUUUUUUGUUGUAAUAAUUUAAUGUCAUAGGACAUUUGAAGAGACAUUUUUUUGUGUGUUUACCUAUGCAUAGCUAUAGAAGACUGGUUACUUCAUUCCUAGCAAAGAAAAGAGAUCAUUAAACACCACAGUUUUUGUUUUUGUUUUUUAAAUGAGCUAAAACUUAAUUAGAUCCAACAUUACUAGGCACUGAAGAGAACAUAGAUUUAAUCCCUGCAUGUGAGCUUAAAGAUAGGAGUAAACAAGUCUGUAAAGAGGGAAAAUGAGAAUCAUCUUCUAUUCCUUUUAAUAAUGAACUUUUUGAUUUUUUUUAUGGUAAGUCAUGUAUAUUAUAGACAAUUUGAGAAUACAAAAGAUAAGACAAAACAAUAUGUCACCCAGUGAUAUAGUUAAUAUAUGGCAUGCUUACUUUUUUUCUUUUGUCAAAAUUCACUUUUAUUAGUAGAAAAUAAGCAUUUAUUCCACUUUCAAAGUUGUUAAAGUUCCUAAUAAAAAAUUAAUUUAAAAUGAUAACUUAAAAAUCCUGUUUUGACUAAGACAGUGAAACUGUAGAUUAAAAAAUGUAUUCAGCUCUAUUUACUCAUAGGUAUUUCAGAAUUUAUCCUUAAAAAUUUCUGGUACUUUCCUGUCUGUAAAGUAUCAGAAUCAUUGACCUACAUGAGAUAGCUUCUCUGGGACAUUCAAUAAGUGAAGCAGCCUUCAUAAAAGGAAUCAAUGUUUGUUCAACAUGGUGACUUGGAUUGUACAACGAUCCCCUCCUACCAUUUUUUUACCCUCCCACCAUUUUAGUUCAAGAAGAAUCUGCUUCUAACUACUGAGGUAUGAGGAGUUGGGCUGUUAUUUGCUUUUAGAAUUGGUCUUUCUGGCUAAUAACAGUAACUCUGGCACUGAUGCUAUUGGUCCUUAAUGUGUCAAUUUUAGGAAAUUCUGUAAAUAGUUUGGAUUUUGUUCCAUUCAUUCAGAAAUUUUUAAAAAAGGAACAACUCAGAUAAAAUAAAAAUAAAUCAAUCAGUAAAAAUAUAUGUGCCCAGUAACAGUGUUUGUUUUUAAAAUAUUGAAAUACUUCCUUACCUUUCACCUAGAUAUCUGUUUUUUAGAGAUUCUUGAAUGUCCCACACUGCCCUAGAAACCCUGGCCCUUUGUUUCUUUCUAUCUAUGCCUCACUAUUCUGCAGUUCAUGGACUGAUGCUUCAUACCUGGAGCAGCAUUAUUCUUAAGUAAUUCUUAAUGUCUUAACUCGUUCACAAAAUGCUCUUUAUAUCUUCCAAAUGGAAUGAAUAUUUCACUCAUUCCUACUAAUCCUUUCCACUUUGCCUUCUGGAUUUCCUGAGAUAUGAUUUAAAAACAAAAAAAAAAUCCACUUCAUCAUGAAUUCCUUGGAACAUUCCCUUCAUCUUGCCUUUUUUCUGAAGAUUCUGUUUCCUUGCCACCUCUCACAUGGAGAUUGGUUUUUCUUUCACAUCCUAAGUACAUCAGAAGGCUAAGAGUUUGGAAAAACAUCAUCCUCACUACUUGUUUCUUCUUCCUUCUUUUCUACUCCUUUGAUACUUUUUUUUUUUUAAUUUGAGGUUUAAUUGGUAAUAGUUUGCUAAUGGCCUUGCCUUCUUCAGUGGUGUCAUCUACUAGCUCCCUGGUCAUUCAUUUCAUUUGUGUUCUUGGCUCAGUCAUCUCCUCUUCUAGUUCCUGAUCAUUCUCAUUGGCUUCAAUAUCCAAGAGAUGAACAAUCCAACCCACUGGCCUGGGCCACUGAGAUUGGACUUUGUUGGCACCAGCAGCACCCCAUCUCUGAAUAUUGAUUUCAAUCCCCCUACUUUCUUCUGCCUCUUAUCCUUCCAGCCAUUUUGAUUUACUGUCCACUACUGCCAAUAUCCUAUAACCUCAUGGAUCCACCAGUCCCACUGAUUCCACCACUCUUCUUUUCACACCUUCCUCUCUUCACUUGUCUCUUUGUCCAGCUGAAAUGUUGCUCCCUCAUGAUAUUCACUAACUUGAACAUUUUUUCACCUCUAAUUUUAAUUUUCCCUUCGUUGGUGCUCACCAGUGAAUUCCAACCUGAAUUGAACCAAACAUUUACCUUCUCCGUGCCUCAAGAAAACAGAAAAUUCCUAGAGAGACUCAUACAUUUGAGCUGAUAAUAUUCAUUUUAUAUUAGCUUAUUUUCAGAAACCUCACAGGAUCAUUCAAUAAUUUCCUGUAAUCCUACUGUUUAUCCAGAAUGUUGUAUUUCUUACUUGCUGCAUAUACUAUUUUAUUCCUUCUUUAGUCUCCUUGGUCAUCACACAUCUCUUCUGUUCAUUCUUAUCACAAACUGUGUGCCAUACUUUCUGGGAAAAAGGAAGCCAUUCAGUGGGAACCCCUUUAUUUUCUACCACAGAAUCCACAAACCUCAUGUGUCCUCACACAUUUCCUCAUUCCUCUCUCUUGUUCCUUACAUUAGGGAAGCUUUUCCUUUCAAAGAUAGGUCUUUCCUCUUUGUUCUGCAGUCCAUCUGCUUUUAUAUACUUCAGGGUUCUGCAUGCUCAGCUUUUCCUGUCUGCUGCAUAACUAGUCUCUUCCUGUCUCUGGAUCAUUUCUAUCAAAUGUAAAGCUACUCUAGCAACUUCCAUUUUACAAAAACAAAAAUGCUACGUUUUCAUUUCUACUGCAUUUUUUCAUUUCUUGAGUUGUUAUUUGAUUCUUAAAUAUCAGUCUUUUUUCUUUUCUUUUAAUAUUUUUUAAUGUUUAUUCAUUUUUGAGAGAGAGAGAGAGAGAGAGAGACAGAGCAUGAAUGGGGGAGGGGCAGAGAGAGAGGGAGACACAGAAUCUGAAGCAGUCUCCAGGCUCUGAGCUGUCAGCACAGAGCCUGACAUGUAGCUUGAACUCACAGAUCAUGAGAUCAUGACCUGAGCCGAAGCCGGAUGCUUAACCGACUGAGCCACCCAGAUGUCCAAGUAUUUUUUCUUAAUUAACCUGUUUUCUGGAUUUUAUUCCUUCCUUUAGCUUUUUGAACAGUUUAAAGUUCCUUUUAGAUUGCUCUGGUUGUACAGAAUCAUUUAUGUAAUUAUGCAAGUUCCUUUUGCCUGCCAAGACAAUUGCCCAAUUCUGAAUGGGUUUUAUUUCUGUGUCUCAGCUCAAGGUUUCAAGUUCUACACUGUAUGAGAUUGCAGACAGAUCCCAUAUAGACUUGUGGGCAAAGUCUGAAUGCUCAUCUCUCAUGUCUCUUUCCACUCAUGAUUUGAGACAAGCAGUAAGAUGCUCUAGUCCUAUGCCAAGGAAUAGAGAUUUCCUGUGCAUUCUCAGUAGAUUACCCCUAAAAAACAAAGCAAAAUAAACUUAGCUACAUUCUGAGUUCCCUCCCCCCAGAUGGACUCCUAUUCUUGGUAGAAGUGAAGUAAUUGUCAAGGGUCAAACUUGGUUUUGCUUAUCUAUAGUCUGUCCAUCAUGGAAAGAUAACCACUCUUUAAAGGUCAGUUUUCAUGUGCUAUCCCCAGAGCAGCCUAAGAGGGCUCCACUCCAGACCAACAAGAUAAGAAUUUACAUUUUAACAAGAUCCCCUGGUAAUUCAUAUGUACUUUGAGGCCUCUGAGGCUAAAUUCCAAGAGAUCCAUGAAAAAUAAAAUUUAAGUUUUAGAAAAAUUUCUCUAUUCAUCUGAUUAUAAGUGAAAUAGUCUGUAAUAGUCACAUUAUGAUGAAGGCAAGAGAUAACAGUAUCCUUUCUUUCUGAUCUAAAAUACACAAAUUAAAUGGGGAGGAUGAACUAUAACAGUUCUAAUAGAAGAAUAAAAUUACCUUUUGAUAUUGCCAUGUUCUGGUUGAUAAUACUCUAUUCACUGUAUACUUUUGUGGUGUUCUUGAAGUUUCCCUACUUUUGGAGAAGUGGCUCGUGGGAGCCAAUCCUUUUUUCCUUAGGGUGUUUUGUAGAUCCUCACUGUUUCUGUGGCAGAUCUUGUUCUUCAUAUCUUUAGAGAUGAUUUUCUCUAUCAUGGGAUAGAUAUAUAUUUUUAACGGGGUAAAAUACCAUCAAAAUGUGACCAGUCACCUGGGCAAACGGUGUGCCAUUUUAGAAAGGAAUGCAGCUCUUGAGACAAAUUAUGACUAAUGUUAUAAAUGCUAAACCCAAGCAAAACUAUAGUUGGGUCUUCUCCUAGGAAGAAAGUUUGGCAACUGAACCAGAGCGGCCCUCUCAAUGUUUUCCUUUAAGAGAGAAAAAGGAGGCUAAACUGUUUUAAAAUCUUAAAUAGGAGAAAAAGAGUUUUCCUGAAAUCCAAGUUUUUUUUUUUGUUUUUUUUUCAACGUUUAUUUAUUUUUGGGACAGAGAGAGACAGAGCAUGAACGGGGGAGGGGCAGAGAGAGAGGGAGACACAGAAUCGGAAACAGGCUCCAGGCUCUGAGCCAUCAGCCCAGAGCCUGACUCGGGGCUCGAACUCCCGGACCGCGAGAUCGAACUGAAAUCCAAGUUUCUUUAGGGUAUAUACUAUUAAAGCAUGAAAAAUUCAUGCAUAAAAAUUUUAACUUUCAGAUCUCAUAUACCUAUAAUGCAAUGUUAUUAAUAAUAAUUAAUGAUGAACAUUUAUUGAGAUUGUUGCACUAUGUACUUAAUAUGACUAUAAUGCUUGAUUUUCACCUAUCAGGUAGGCACUAUUCUUUUCAUCAUUAUAUGGAGUCAGAAACAGAGGCCCAGAAGCUAACUCAUUCAUUGUCUCUGUUGGUAAGGAGUGUAGUUGAACUAUGAACUCAGGUGAUAUGAUUUUAGAACUUGGGAUUAGAACCCCUGUGUUAUACCAGAGGGUUUUUUUUUUAGCAGAUACACACAAGGGACAUAUUUCCCAGACUUGCCUAUAGGCAUCACCCAGGAAAGUUGUUCAAAAUAUUCCUUUCUGGGUCCCUCCCUUGAGGUGGAUGCCAGUAAUCUGUAAAUUUAAGUAGCUUCUUGAGUAAUUCUUAUCAGGAAUGAUUGGGAAAACAUGCUCAAGGGAUCAUGAAAAAAAUGCAAAUAUGUGAGCAAUUUAAAAUCAACUAAAAUCAGGUUCUUUCUCUUUUUCAUAAUAUAAGGAGGGAAGGAAGCUCAGAGACCCACUAGGGAGAGUUUCCUGGGAAGGAAGGCAUAUUUAACUAAAAAUAAUCAUUAUAUAUGUUAAAAUAUUAGAGACAGUUUGAUAAUAGAGGAGAGUCUGGUUGCUGGACUUCUACUGUACCUCCUUCUUUGUAAUAUCUACCAAGAAUUUUGUCACUGAUCAUAGUCAGAUAAGGGGUAGACAUUCACAAGGGUAAACUCCUAUCUAAAUGGUCAAGUAGAAUAUUCUUUUUCCCAUGAAGUUUCUUAUGAUAAUCUAUUAUAUAUUCAGGAAUCAUGGAUUUUAGAACACUUGCACCUGAUAAAAAGAGAAAAUAAUACUAUAUCAAUAAAGUACAACAUUCCUGUAAUUCAAAUGUACUUUCUACACAGAGAAAAUCAAUAUUGCUCCAGGAAAGGUUUUAGGUAUAUGGCUAACUGAAAUUUCUCAAGGUGAGAAUUUUUUUGAAGAGUCAAUAUUUGAAAGAAAUGGAAUGCCAUGAUUAAGCAAUCCCAAAAUCCAAAAGGUGGAACAUUCUACAGGAGAACUAUCUUAUGUCUUGAAAGCAUGAAAAGAAACAAACCAAAAAGAGUGAGGCUGUUGUAGAUUAUAAGAGACUAAACAGAUAUAAUAAAAUGCAGUGUGAAAAUCUAGACUGGAUCCUGGUUCUGCUCAAAAGAAAACAGUUACAAAAUUAAAAUUUGGAGAAUUGGAGAAAUUAAAAUAUGGACUAAAUAUUAAAUGUUAUUAUAGAAUAACUUAAUUUUCUUAGGUCAAAGUGACUUUUGGUUCUUUAGGAGAUGUGUGCUAAAAUAUUUAAGGAUAAAGUGCCAUCCAUAAUUUUUCAGCUUUUAAAUGGUAUAGAUAUAUGUAUACACACACAUACAGAUAUAUACAUAUGUAUACACAUACAAACAUGUAUAUACAUACAAACAUAGCAGCACAGAUAGGGAGAGGGAGAGAAAAUAUGGUAGAGUAUUCUGUCAGCUAUACUUUUUCCUAUUGAAAGAAACAAGAACUCUUUAGAGAUAUGGGUGAUUCUAAGUCUGAAGUAGAAAUGUACAAGAUGAACCUCGAUAUUUUAUUGCAGCAGAUACCAAAGGGAACUGUCAAAGACUACUAGCUUUGUGUAAAAAGACUCAAGAGACAACUUGAAAGGUUUCCUCUGGCCAAACAUGGGACAAUUUGAGUAUAAAUAAGGGUAAUAACUUCGAUAGAAUUAAGUACAUCAAAUAUGUUUCAAUCUAUGAGUUUUUAGUAUAUAUUAAUGAAGAAACAGUCAUCAUUUAAAGGAUGGACUAAUUUGAAAGGUAAUAAAACAAAGGAUAGAAUAUUUAUUUUGCCUUUUAUAUACAUACAACUGUACUACUGCACAAGUAAAUGGUAGAUAAGGGGACAUUGCUUUUAUAGAAGUUUAUUAUCUAAUAAAUGAAGAAAUAGAACUAAAAUAUCAGUGUUUUAUAACUCCUAAUGAAUUAAUGGAUCUGUGUACUGCACAUAAAUGGUCGUUAACAUCCAUCAUAAGAAGAGAGACAACUAGUGGGUACAAGCCCCCAAUGGAGCAACAUACCAGCUACUAGGAAAUACCCAAAGAUAUCACUCCUGAAUCUAAGUGUUUAGGUCCAACUACAAAUUCACAAGAAAUACAGAAAUCAGGGGAACAUAUUUAAAUUUUUUUUUUCAACGUUUAUUUAUUUUUGGGACAGAGAGAGACAGAGCAUGAACGGGGGAGGGGCAGAGAGAGAGGGAGACACAGAACCGGAAACAGGCUCCAGGCUCUGAGCCAUCAGCCCAGAGCCCGACGCGGGGCUCGAACUCACGGACAGCGAGAUCGUGACCUGGCUGAAGUCGGACGCUUAACCGACUGCGCCACCCAGGCGCCCCUGAGGGAACAUAUUUAAAAACAAACACAAGAAAAGCUUCACAGGAUGCACUCAGAAAAAUCCAGAUUGUAGAAAAAUCUACAAAAUGAGUACCUAAUUUUGUCAACAAAUAGAAUAUAAAUGAGAUGGAGAAAGAAAAUCAUAGACUAAAGGAGGCUUAAUAGAUUAAUAUUUAAUUGCCAUAUGUGGGCCUUAUUUGGAUCCCGCUUCAAACCAACAAGUGAUUAAAAAAUAUUUAUAAUAUGAUGCAACUUUUGAGCAUUCAUGGGAUAUUUGAAGUUAUUAAGCCAUUUUUUUUUUAGGUAUUAUCAUGCUUUUGUGGAUAUAUGGUUUCCAUUUUGAGCAGAGUUUUUCUCUUUUAGAGAAACAUGAAAGUAACUACAGAAGAAGUGGCACAAGGUGUAGGAUAUGUUCUAUAAAAAUAUGGAGAGGGAGUAAAAGUAGAAGCAGCAAGGCUUGCUAUGAUAAUGUUUAAAUCUUUUGAAAAUAAGAAUUUUAUUGAUACUCUGUCUAUUUUUAUAUUGAGUGGCUAGAAUUUAGCUUGUAAUGAGAGAGCAAAAAUCUUCCCGGCCAUUCAUUUGGUUGAGUUGACAGGCACAAAUGUUAGCUGCAGAGUUAAUAAGGAGUUUUUCUCUUCAGGACCUGGCUGUGGCUGUUCUUUUUCUUCAAGAAAAAGCAAAACAACUAUGAAAUUGUUACUAUUGUAAUCUGCAUUUUACAGAAUGAGGAAACUCAGACAGAGGGGGAUAAAGGCAAUUGUCCAAGUUAUACUCCAAUUUGCAGUGGAGACAGGUUCCAUAUCCAGGUACUCUGUAUUUAAGGCUCUGUGCUUAACCAUGCUGAUGUAUAUCGCUGGGCUGAGAUUUUCACUGGGGUGUUGUGACCUAGCAUGGUUGUCAAAGUUUUCUUCAUAUGGAUCUUACAAGGAACUUCAUGGCUUAUUUGAUGGGUGCAGAUUCAAAAUUAGGUGUAGGCCAAGGAAAAAGGUCAUAUGACAGGGUUAUGCCUCUAGAGUCCCAAGACUUAUGAGUUGAAUCCAUUUUGAUAUAUGGAAACAUGUACCAAAUAGAUAUAAGUAUGAAUUUUGGAGAUGGUAGGGAUGAGUAAUCAUGUUAUUGUUUCUUUUAUCCAUAUGCAAAAUUGGGAAUGAAAAUAUUUCCUUUAGUGUUAGAGAAAUGCUAUUUCCAAGAAGUGAGAGUCGAGAAAAUAUUUUCCCAUUGCAUUGGCCCUAGUAAAAUUGGUAUCUUCAAGCAAGAUAACUGACUGAUCAGAAUGAAUCUAAAAAGAAUCCCAGCUUAUUAAAAACCUUCCCUAUGCUAAUGUGUUUAGAUAUUAGAAACAAAUUGAUUACAUCUCUAAUAUAGAAAAGAAAGAAAACUGAUAUCCUCUAGGAAUCAUCAGGGAGAAUUUAAUAAGCUGCCUUAAAUCACUCAACCUACAACAUAUCUAAAAUGUUAAUUAAGCAACUUUUUUUUUUUUUUUUUUUUUAUCCUCACCUCUGCUCUGCUGGCUUUAGUAAAAGCCUGUCUGCCAGCAUAACUCUCUACAGGUAACUCCAAUUCUGUUUGAAGUUGGUGAUCUGGGUUUGGCUCAUAACAUUCACAGUAGAUUUACCUGAAAGAUCAAUAAAAGCAUGUUCAAAGCUAGAUUGGCUUCAUAGAGCUCAGGAUUUUUAUUAAUUCAUAUAAACUUCCUAAAACUUUCACCGUAAAGAAAAAAGAAGGAAACUUGAGAAUAUUCACAUCGUAAGAAAUUGAAUUGGUAUCAUGGAGUUUCAGAAUUGGUUUGGAGUCCGUGAAUCCCCUCACAUGUCAGAAUUUGUGGAAGCACCAAAUGCUGUCUUUCUUAAAUCUUCUAGGAGGUCCUAGAAUUGUCAAUCACAUCAAAAAGAGCUUGAUAAGCACCAAUCUCUUUGUCGUGGAUGCUGUGCAAGGUUAGUAACAUGGAUUUUGCCCUUUGUGAACAGAUGCCACCGAUCUCAGUAGACUAUGCAUAUCUAGGUGUUAACUGUAUGCUUGACUAAUUCUGUAAAGGACUUGUAAAGACUGUAAUAAAGAAGUUGACUCAGUUAAAGAAGGUAUAUAGGUUUUAUAUGGACAAUGAGAGGAGGCUGUGUCCUCGUACUUGGGAAAAGAAGGGUCAGGUAACAUUUUAGGAGGCAUCUAGUAAUAGAGUAAAAUAAAGCAUGGCUUUUUAGAGCCAAAUAACAAUCUAAGUUAAAGAGUUCUGCACAAUUUGCUAAACUCUUUGAACUUCAGUUUCUGUUAGUUAAGGAUAAGAAAAAAUAAUUGUUAUUUAAAGGAAGUAAUCUGUUUUCUCAUUUAAAGAAUUAAGGAUUUUGAAGGACUAUUUUGAAAUAAUAGCUCAUGAAUUAUAAUUAUAUAUUUUGAAAUGUGGGGUGAUAGAAGGAAGGAUAUUUAUUACAUAUUCUGGGGUUUGGAGAGGCUUUCAUGGAAAUAGCAUCACUUUUAUAGCUUUGUGUUCAAUAUAAGGGUUCCUGGCCAAGAAAAGUGGGGAGUUUCAGCUACAGAGAAUGGAGGGGGAUAAUUGAUGUGUACUUUGACUGGCAUUUAUCACUUUCUGGAAGAGUGAUCUCAUGUAAGGACAAUUAUUUUCUUUUUGUUGGGAGAGGUAAUAUUCCUGCUUUUUCAAAUUUAGGUUUUUUUUUUUUUUUUUUUUUUUUAAGACUGUAUGGUUUGACUAAGAGUGUAAAAUUAGGACCUAGAAACUAAUCAACCAGCAGAGAAGCUUUGAUCUUUAAAAUGCUGGAAUUAUCUUUAAUCAGAGGAGAUUUAAAUUGGCUAAAUAGUGGGAUUAGGGCAAAAUUAUCAUCAUUUUGUGCACUAAAAUGUUGAUUCUUUUUCUACUAAUGAAAACAUUUCUAUGAAUAAGAAUACAGUCUUCUUUUUUAAGGAAAUGAUCUAUUGCUUUCUAAUUGGUUCAGUUUUAAAAAUGAUUUUACUUUUUAGCACAGCUUUACUAUCAGUAUCUACCAUAGUGAAAUAUAAAUGUUGACAUAAGAUUUAUUAUACUCACCAAUGUUUUAACUCUUCUCUCCAAUAGCAUACUGCCAGUAAUUUAUGUGAGGAAGUUUUAUCACAACUAUUUUUACCUCUAGAAAAACAUGUUGGUAUCUGAGCAUGAAUUUCACCUUUUAUUCUAUGGGAUCCCUAUAAGGGACUCUAUGGAAGAUUGAUUUGAAAUUUAUUUUUUAUAUAUGUUUUAUAAGCUGUAACAAAAGCAAUAUAUAUACUCAACAUUGAUAUAUAACAUACUUGACUACCAGAUUAACCAAAUUUGCACUGAUCAUGGAAAUCAGUGUCCUGAAACAUGCGUAUAUUUGGACAUCUUGUAAAUGGGUCAUUGGUCUUUUAUUCAUUUAUAAAUAUCACUGAUUGAGUUUCAGCUAGGUUUUUAAAAAAGUUUUUAAAAAUAUUUAUUCUUGAGAGAGAGACAGAGUGCUAGCAGGGGAGGGCAGAGUGAGAGAGAGAGAGACAGAGAGAGAAAGAGAGAGAGAGAGACACACACAACCAGAAUCUGAAGCAGGCUCCAGGCUCCAAGCUGUCAGCACAGAGUCUGACACGGGGCUUGAACCCACAAUCUGUGAGAUCAUGACCUAAGCCAAAGUCGAGUACUUAACUGACUGAGCCACCCACGUGCCCCCAGUUUCAGUUAGGUUUUAUAGGAGCUGGAUAUGUGUAUUGGUUUCCUUAAUUUCAGUGCAGUUUGUUCACAAAUUGUCCCCUGUACACAAGGACAGGGGAAACUGAAGAAAAAGGCAGGCCACUUUAGAUUGGUAGUUUUAAGAGGUAAGUGUUGGAGGAGGUCAUUGAGAGAACGUGACCACCAGAUGACCCCAGAGCUGGACCUGAGUGAUCAGAGGCUCUUUUACUCCCUCCCCCCAUCCUUAGAAUGUGCAUUUCAUUUGCUUUUCCCACUCCCAGAAGCUGCCCCAAGGACAUAGUCUUGAGAUCGUAAUGUGAUGUUGAGACAUCUGGGUGGUAUAUGUGGCUGAGCCCGGUUAAAGCCUCUGUUUAGGGGCACCUGGAUGGCUCAGUAGGUAAGCAACCGACUUCAGCUCAGGUCAUGGUCUCACGAUUUGUGAGUUUGAGCCCCACAUCGGACUCUGCUGUCAGCACGGAGCCUGCUUCAGACCUUCUGUCUGCUUCUCUCUCUCUCUCUCUCUCUCAAAAACAAAUAAACACUAAAAAAAAUUAAAGCCUCUGUUUAAACAUUUAUGAUUCUGGUGGAAAGGUGUGGAGAUCUACUCCUCUUGUGGCGGCUCAAGACAAGCCUCAUUUGUAAGUUCUCUUGUUUAUUUCUUUUUUUAAAAUUUAUUUUUGAGAGAGAGACGGGGGCAGGGCUCAAACUCACAAACCGUGAGAUCAUGACCUGAGCUGCAGUUGGACACUUAACUGACUGAGCCACCCAGGCACCCUGUUUUCUCUUUCUUCUGUGUCUCCCUGUCCUCUGUUUAUAAAUUAUCUUUUCUCUUUCUUCUGUGUCUCCCUGCCUUCUGUGCAACAUGGGCCAGUUUGAGAUUAUUCUCGGGAAGCUUCUGGAGGAGGUUUUGAACCAACAACAAGGAAACUUAACUGGGUUCAGUCGUGUGUACUGUCCCGAAAAUCUCAACAAAACAUUACUACCUCAAGGCUCUACCCUUGUGGCAGCUUCUCCAGGUGGGUUGUGGGGAGGCAAGCGGAACACACGUUUUAAGGAUAAGGGAGGUGUGUGAGGAAGCUCCAAUUGCCUGGAUCCAGUUCCUGAGCCAACUGACAGUUACAUCCUCUUGGUGAUCUCCAACAGGUAGAAAACUUUUUGUCUAUUUACUUGAUUAUUUAAUUUAUCCUUUUAUUUUUUUUUAUUUUUUUUUAAAUUUUUUUUUUAUUUUAUAUAUGAAAUUUAUUGUCAAAUUGGUUUCCAUACAACACCCAGUGCUCAUCCCAAAAGGUGCCCUCCUCAAUACCCAUCACCCACCCUCCCCUCCCUCCCACCCCCCAUCAACCCUCUGGAAAGCAGUGUGGAGGUUCCUCAGAAAAUUAAAAAUAGACCUACCCUAUGACCCAGCAAUAGCACUGCUAGGAAUUUAUCCAAGGGAUACAGGAGUACUAAUUUAUCCUUUUAAACUCAUGUUGCUAUUCAUCUCUCAGGUGACAAACAACUCCUUAAUUUAUUAUUAAUUCAUUCAUUUAUUCAUUAGAUAUUUACUGAGAAACUUCUUUGUGCUAGAUUUCUAGAAUUGCAAUAGUAUACAAAAUAGUGUCCCUACUCUUACAGAACUUACAGCUAGCAGGAGAGACUUUAAUAAGCACAGAAGCAAGUAAUUACACACUGAGGAAUGCUUGCUAUAAAGGAAAAAAAAAGAUUAGCAUUAAGAGAGUAUAAUGGACUACUUAAUUUAGAAAGGAGGGUCAGGGGAGACCCUCUUUAUAAAGGAGAGUUUAGACUGUGACAUGGAAGUUGAUAAAGAAUUAGGUAAAAAAAAGUCUCUGCACAGGUCCUGAGAGGGAACACUCUUGGACCUUUGGGGGACUUAAAGAAGGCCAGCAUGUCUGGUGAAGUAGGUGAGGGUGAAUGAGGAACAAGAUGGUAAAGAAGUAAUAGGGCCAGAUGAUGAAAGGUCUCAAAGGUAAAGGAAAGGAGGUUAGAUCAGUGAGAAUCCCUUUAGGAGUUUGAGUAGGAGAGUGAUAGUAUAUUUAAGGAUUACUUUCAUAAUAUGGAGAAUGGAUUGGAGGUAGACAGGAAUGGUAUGAGGCAGACCUGAUAUGAGGGUAGUAUGAGUCCAGUUUGAUGGUGACCUACACCAGGAUGGUGAUAGUGGAAGUGGAGAGAACUGGGCAGAUUUAAGAUCUAAUCUGAGAAUGAAAUGGCUAUAACUUGAUAAUGCAUAGGAGUAUGCAAAGGGGAGGAAAGUGUCAAGUAUAGCUCCUGGGUUUCUGGUAUGAGCACCUGGAUAGUCAGAGAUAGAGAACACUGGAGAAGGUCAUUUUGUGGAGAAAGAGGGAAGAAUUCAAUUCUGAACAUUUUAAACUUAAGAUGCUUGAGAGUCAUCUGAGCCGAAGUAUCAAAUAAGGAGAUCAGUCUAGAUCUUAGAAGGAAGUUUUGAGAAUUGCAAAUACAUUCUGGAGUUAUUGGUGGGUGAGGGGUAUAUGAAGAUGAGGGGGUGGGGCAGAAUUAUCUUUUGGACACAGAAUUUGUGGUUUAAAAAGUUGUAUUUCCAUCUUUAUAUACCUUACAUCUAAGUAUCUGCAUCCAAAUGUUCAUGGCAAAUAGGCUUUGUUAAACUGUGUUACUUAAAGGGAAAUGGUUACAAUAAUUAUUGCUGUCAAAUGUCAUUUGCUUGGGGUAACUGGGUGGCUCAGUGAGUUAAGUGGCCGGCUCUUGAUUUUGGCUCAGGUCAUGAUGUCACAGUUUGUGAGUUUGAGUCCUACAUUGUGGAUUCUCUCUCGCACACACACACACUCUCUGCCCCUCCCCUGCUUGCUCUCUCUAUCUCUCAAAAUAAAUAAAUAAUCUUAAAAAAAAAAGUCAUUUGCCUGAGUCAGAUCUGAGUCAAGGAAGAUAGAACACUCUGGCCGGUUUUCCUAUAUGCCCCCUGAGGCUUUUGUGUGUAUCCAAAAUGUAAACAUACAGUUCCAAGGACUAGGAAGGGAUUCUUUUAAAGAGUGACAUCUAUAAAUUAGGUGAUAGUAAAAAUUAUUUUGUUAGGUUAUGUUAUUUUCUUUACUUUUCAAAAAUCCAAGAUGGCUUAUCCAGACAAGUGUGAGCAAGAGAUUAAGUCUACGUCCCUUCCCACUUGUAGCAUGGUGCUAGUUGCAAUUAGGACUUGCCGUCUUCAGAGAACAUCAAACAGCUUUUGCCUUGUUUUGAUUCUCCUCCUAAAACUUUAAUAUCAUGCAGGGUUGUCACUUGAAGCAUAUCACAAGGUGAGAAACCGUGUAUCACAAAUAUUUGUAGCUGUUCCUUGGCUCAGCAAAGUAUCUCACAAAAUGUUUUGGAAAUAAUGUUGGUUUGUUUUUUUGGGUUUGUUGUUUUGCUUUGGAGACCCAUGCACCUCAUGGGGGAUGAAAAGGUACUUUUUACAAACAAAAAUGACUUUACUUUUUUUUUUUACUUAAAACAGUAUCUUUCGGGUAAAUAUUUAGAUUCAUUUGAGUAACCUGUCAGUCAGUUCAAAGCUAACACAUACUGAGGGUUUUUCUUCUCUAAGGGAAACUUCCUUUCCUGUCCUCCUCCCCCAGAAUGGUGUCUGGUGCAGGGAAAUGUUAAUUCACCAUGAUUCCAUCGGCAUGCACCUAUGUACAUCUUUGCUCUCUUCUUUGGCCUCAGGUAUGGUGCUGCCAGUUUGGAAUGGUUGGUUUGGUCUUGUCUCUGGACUUCUGGAACUGGUAUUCAGUGGUAGGUGGCUGAUGUCACUCACUUCUUUUGGACAUUGCUCCAACCUUUGUUACUAAAGCACGUGGCCACUGUCUUAAUCUCUGGUUGUAAGGUUUCUGAGAGCUAGCUUGUGAUCCAUCUUGAUCCAGGACGUGUUUUAGGACUCUGAUUCUCCGAGAGCCUCCAUGCCCCUCUUUAGGCUACUACUUCUACAUCACUCUGGAGUCUCAAGAUCCUGCAAGGCUCUGAGCAACCACCUAAGGAACUACCUCACUUAUUUGUAAGUUCCCACCUGCUGCCAUGUUGACUGUAGCAUCAUGCCUCCUUCCUGCCUUCUCAAAGAUGUUUGCUGCCUUCUGUAUGCCAUGUUCAGGUAGGGUACAUUAUUCAUGGCUUCAGAUUUUCCUUAGAUCUACUUGGAUGCUUUCACAUCCCCAACAUCCAUUUCCCUUACAGAUGCUCAUGACUGACCUCUUGCCUUAGCUUUCUUCUAUGUUUUUCAUAUCUCCACCAGACACAGAAUGGCUCUUAUCUGCUUUGUCAACUCUUUCACAUUUACUCUCCAGUUCUUUGGUAGUUUCCUGCUUAGUUUUUUUUUUUUUUUUUUUUUUUUUAAGAAAUUGCCAAACUGGUUUCCAAAGGGGCUAUACUAUUUUACAUCCCCAUCAGCAAAGUAUCCUAUUCUCAUUCUACUCUGCUGAUGGCAACUCUAAAUACAGAUUCUGUAAAAGUGGGGUUCUGCUCCAAGUUUGUUUAUUAACUAAUUAUAAAGAAUUUAUCAAUGACACCAAUUUUCCAACUCCUGUUUUCCUCAUUUACACAGUGGACGUGAAGAGAAGUACUGUAUCAUUUGGCUUUUGAUUAUACAGUGAGAUGAUAUAUCUAAAGUAUAUGCCAUUUGGGAAAGACUCAUGUUUAAGUGGGAUUUUAUGCUUCAAAAAGCUUUUGAGAGUUUAUUAUCUCACUUAAUUAAAGUACAAGAGUGAUACACAAUUGAAAAAAAUAUAUGUAUCUUUAUGAGUUACACAAAGUGAAAAUCAUUGAGAAAUGGUAUAAAUCUAACAUUAAAAAAUAAAAUUAUGUCAAACUAUCUCAUAAUUUGCUUCAUAUAUUUAAAGUAAACUCAUUUUGAGAUGAUUAUAUAUUUUUAUUAAAUUAAAAAAAUGUUUAUUAGUUUUUGAGAGACAAAGAAAGAGAGUGUGAGCUGGGGAGGGACAGAGGAUCUGAAGUGGGCUCUGUGCUAAACAGCAGUGAGCCCGAUGAGAGGCUCAAAUCCAUAAACUGUGAGAUCAUGACCUGAGCUGAAGUUGGACACCUAACCACCUGAGCCACCCAGGCGCCCUGAGAUAAUUAUAGAUUCACAUGCACUUGUGAGAAAUAAUAGAGAGACAUCCAUGUACCCUUUGCCCAUUUUUCCCCUAUGGUAAUAUCCUGCAAAACUAUAUAGUACAAUAUCACAAAUAGUGUAUUGACAUUUCUACCGUCAAGAAGCAAAACAUUUCUAUUAUCAUGAGGAUCUAUCAUGUUGGUUUUUUUAUGGUCACACCUGCUUUACCCUCACCAAUUCCCCUCCUCAUCUUUAACCCCUGGCGACCACUAAUGUAUCUCUUUGGCUACAAUUUUGUCAUUUCAAGAGUAUUCUACAGAUGGACUCCUACAGUAUGCAGCCUUUGGGAUUAGCUUUUUCUCUAGCUAUUCAUCCAAGUUACUGUGUGUUUCAAUAACUCAUUCUUUUUUAUUGUUGAAAAGUAUUCCGUGGGAUGGAGGUAUCACAGUUUGUUUAAAUUUCCUCCACUGAAGGACAUCUGAGUUGGUUCUGGUUUUUUGGCUAUUAGUCAUAAACCUACGCUGAACAUUUGUGAACAGCUUUUUGUGUGAAGGUAACUUUUCACGUCUUUGGAGUAAAUGCCCAGGAGUAUAAUUCCUGGGUUCUAUGGGAGUUGCACAUACAUGCACGUGUAUAUUUGAAAGAAACUGCCACAGUGUUUUCCAGAGUAGCUGUAUCAUUUUAACUUCCACCAGCAAUUUGUUAUGGAACUGGUUUAUUUCUAUCCUCACCAGCAUUUGGUAUUGUCACUAUUUUUUAUUUUAGACAUUCUGAUGGGUGUGUAGUAAUAUUCCAUAUGUUUUAAAUUUGCAUUUCCCUGAUGGCUAAUGAAAACAAAUGUCUUCAGAUCUUCUGUGAAAUGUCUGUUCAUAUCUUUUGCCCAUUUUCUAAUUGUAUUUUUAUUUUUAUAUAUAUAGAGUCCUUUGUUGGCUAUGUGAUUUGCAAAUCUUUUCUGUCGGUCCUUUCAUCUUCUUAAAAUGGUCUUUCACAGAACAAAGUUUAAGGUUUUGAUGAAAUCCAGUUUAUUUAUCGGUAGUUUUCUUUUAUGGAUUGUGCUUUUGGCAUCAAGUCUAAGAAAUCUUUGCCUAUCUGUGGAUGUCAACGACUUUCUUCUAUAGUUUCCCCUAAAAGUUAAUAAUUUUUUUGCAUUUUAUUUAUUUUUGAUAGACAGAGACAGAGCACAAGUGGGGGAGGAGCAGAGAGAGACAGAGACACAGAAUCCAAAGCAGGCUCCAGUCUCUGAGCUGUCAGCCCAGAGCCUGACAUAGGGCUUGGACUCACGAACCGCGAGAUCAUGACCUGAGCCGAAGUCGGAGGCUUAACCGACUGAGCCACCCAGGCGCCCCUAAAAGUUAAUAAUUUUAAUCUUACCUUUAAGUCUGUGAUCCAUUUUGAACUAUUUUUUAUGUAAGAUGUGAUAUUUAGGUAGACAUUCUCCUUUUUUUUUCUUCCCCCCCCCCCCCCCAUGAAUGUUCAGUUGCUCCAGCACUGUUUGUUGAGAGAGAUAUUUUUCCUAUUGCAUUGGUUUUGCACCUUUGUCAAACCUCAGCUGGGCGCAUUUGUGUGGCCCUGUCUCUGCAUUCUCCAUUCUGUUCCAUUGAACAGUGUGCCUGUCCCUUCACCAGUAUCACAGUUUUGAUUAGAGCAGCUAUACAGGAAGUCUUGAAGUCAGGUAGUUUGAUUCCUCUUACUUUAUUCUUCUUUUUUCUUUUCUUUUCUUUUCUUUUCUUUUUUAACUUUUAUUUAUUUUUGAGACAGAGAGAGACAGAGCAUGAACAGGGGAGGGGCAGAGAGAGAGGGAGACACAGAAUCUGAAACAGGCUCCAGACUUUGAGCAGUCAGCACAGAGCCUGACACGGGGCUCGAACUCACGGACCGUGAGAUCAUGACCUGAGCUGAAGUCGGACGCUUAACCGACCAAGCCACCCAGGCGCCCCUAUUCUUCUUUUUUUCAAAAUUCUUUUACCAUUAAGUUUCCUUUGCCUUUCCAUAUCCUUCUUUUUGAAACUUAAUUAUUUUUAGAGCAGUUUAGAAUUCACAGACAGCAAACCUAAAGUACAGAGAUUUCCCAUAUAUGCUGUGCUCUACACACACAGAGCCUCCCGUAUCAUCCACAUCCCCCACCAGAACGGUAUGCUUGUUACCACGGAUGAGGCUGCACUGACGCAUCAUAAUCACCCAGUCUGUAGUUUACCUUACGGUUCGCUGUUGGUUUGGUCAACUGUGUAACAGGUUUGGACAUGUAUCUAUCAUUAUGGUAUGAGAGUACUUUCAUGGUCCUCCAAUUCCUUUGUGUUCCACCUAUUCAUCCCUCCCCUCUCCCAAACCCCUGGCAACCCCUGAUGUUCUCACUGUCUUCCUGGUUUUGCCUUUUCCAGAAUGUUAUUUAGUUGGAAUCAUAGCAUAUAACUUUCUCAGCUUGACUUCUUUCAUUAGUAAUAUGCCACUCCUGUUUUGCUUUGAUUAGUGUUUGCAUAAUUUAUCUUCUCCCUGUCUUUUACUUUCAACUUACCUUCUUGUGUACACAUAGAAUUGGCUGAUGCUUUUAGUCCAUUCUGCCAGUCUCUGUCUUUUAGUGGGGAUACUCAGGCAAUUUACAUUUAAUAUAGUUGUUGAUAUGUUAGGGCUCAAAAGUUGGUUUCACCUUCAUUCCUGACAGAUAUUUUCUCUAAAUAUAAAAUUCUGAGUUCACAGUUGUUGUUUUUUCUUUGAGUACUUGAAAAAUAUACACUUGUUUCUGGCCUCUGUGAUGUCAGAUGAAAAAUCUACUGUUAUUCAAAUUGUUUCCCCCCCUAAAAUGAAGGUGUUAUUUCUCUCUCACUGCUUUUAAGAUAUUUUCUUUGCCCUUAGUUUUGAGAAGUUUGAUUGUGAUGUGUUUUGGUGUGGAUUUCUUUGGGCUGCUCCCAUUUGGGGUUUGCUUAGUUGAAUCUGUAACUUUAUAUCUUUUGCCAAAUUUUGGAAAUUUACAGCCAUUAUUUCUCUGAGUACUUCUUUACCUGCCCUCUUUGGACUCCAAUGACACAGAUGUUAGAUCUUUUAUUAUACUCCCACGAGUGCAUGAAGCUCUGCUUUUUUUUAAAGUGUAUUUUCUUUGUUGUUCAGAUUGGUUUAUUUUUUAUUUUUAUGUCUUAUCUUCAAGAUCGCUGAUUCUUUUCUCUGUCCCUUCAAUGCUGCUAUUAAGUCCAUCCAUUGAGUUGUUUUCUAAAAUUCCAGCUCUUGUAUUUUUCAGUUCUAAUAUUUCCGUUUGGUUCUUCUAUCUUUCCCUUCUCUCUCUUUUUAACUUGAGACUUUGUAUUUUUUGUUCCACACAUGUUCAUAAUGGCUUGUCCAAGCCUUUUCUUGAUGGUUGUUUUAAAUCUUUAUCAAAUAUAUCUUAUACCUCCUUCAUCUUGAUUUUGGCAUCUAUUGAUUAUCUUUUUACGUUUAAGUUGAGAUCUUCUUGGUUCUUGGUAUGAUGAAUAACUUUUAUUUGACACGUGGACAGUUAGAAUAUUAUAAGACUCUGGUCUUAAUUCAACCUUUUGUUUUAGCUACCUCCCAGUCACACUGCUCUGGCAGGGGAAUGACAGGGGUGCUGCCAUGGUAUUGAUAUUUAAGAAUGGACCUCCAGUUUCUCCACUAGGCUUCCUUUGACACAGAUGGAGAGGGACCAGGGGAGGGCUCCUCAGUGUUCCUGGGUAGGCUGAGUUUCUGUUUGCCUUACUGGCCCUCUACUGCUAACCAUCCUGACUGAGAAAGAUAGGAAUGCCUCUUAUUACAUAUUACUCAUCACAUAGCCCUGCUGAUAUCACAGAGGGUUGGCUCAUUACUGCUGGGUGGUGGUGAAAAUCUUGACUCUUUGCUAGGCCCCUGACACCACUCAGCCAUGGAGAAUGGAGUGUCUGAUUAAUAUUGGAUGAGAGUGGAAGUCUGGGAUGCCCACUUGGUCUCCACUAAAACUGAGGGGGGUGUCUCCUUACUGGCUCAGUGUGAAUGGAAGUCCCAGCUCCCUGCUCAGUCUUCUGUGACAUCACCUUAUUGGGGUAGUAUGUGUGUGUGCUGGGGGGAGCUUUGGUAUACCUCAGAUAGCCUGGUGAGGGUAAAAGUCUACAUUCUCCACUUGUCCUUUGCUCGCCUUGGUGUAAGUGGGGCCACAGGGUUUUUUUUUUUUUCCUGUGGUAUUUAGGUGCAGUAAUGUGGUUGAUGUCUAAAAGUUUUCUGUUCUGAUAGGCUUCCCUCUUCCUGCUCCUUUGGCUAGAGAGAGACUGCUUGUGUUUUGUUUUGGUUUUUGAUCUGCAUCCUUUGGCAUUUUUCAAGUAUCAGCAUCUUUGGCUCUAAGUCUGGGAUAUAAGAGAUAAAAAGAAAACAGGUCUCAUCACCUUGUCUUUUUGGGGGUUCUGAAGUCCCUAGGUAGUCUUAAUCUUCCCAUCUUUCAGAGUCUUCUUUUUCAUUUCAUUUUUAUUUUAUUUUAUUUUAUUUUUUAAAAAAAUUUAAUGUUGAUUUAUUUUUGAGAGAGAGAGACAGAGCGUGCCUAGGGGAGGGGCAGAGAGAGAGGGAGACACAGAAUUUGAAGCAGGCUCCAGGCUCUGAGCUGUCAGCACCGAGCCUGACAUGGGGCUUGAACUCGCAGACCAUGAGAUCAUGACCUGAGCUGAAGUCAGAUGCUCAACUGGGAGCCACCUAGGCACCCCUUCUUUUUUAUUUUAAUAUAUGUAAUGUAGAGAGGUUUUAGCUGUACUUAGUAGGAGGAAUGUGUAUGUCUACUCUAUCUUCCUGGAAGGAGAUGUUUGAUUUUUUUUUUUUUUUUAAGAAAAGAAAUAUUGUAAUUUGAAAUUUUCCUGUGAAUCUUCCCUGGUUCCAUUCCUCUCUCUUUCUUUGGUUUUUAAUUUUUCUUUAUUUAUGUGUUUUUGUACAGUAGCUAUCCUAUAGGGAUUUUUACAACUUGAUUUGUUUAUUUGCUCAAAAAUAUUUUUUGAAAACCACACAUGUAAAUAACAGACUCUAAGUUCAUUAAGAUUGGUGGCCACUUGGAGUUUAGGGUGAUAAGAAACUGUUCAAAGCUGGGUUGACACAUACAUCUCAGAGAAAUGGGCUAUGAGUGUGCCAUUUGCGGUCAGGAAAUAGCUGUGACAUUAAUGAGUAGUAGCUGCUGGCAGAAGGAGAGGCCGUGCCUGGUAGGUGUAGGAGAUAUUUGGAUACUUUCCCAGGACUGUGCUGUCAGACCCAUGGUACCACCACUGGACUAUGACAUGGGUGUGUAGAACAAUCGCACAUCUUUCUUGACCUCAUGAAGUGUUCUAAAUGCAGGCUGCAAGACCCUGGCAAAUGUGUGUACUGAGUAGGGGAAGGCAUAGGCUUUCCUCUAGACGGUCUCACCAACUGACUAUGACAGAGAGGCUGGGCUUAGCCCUUCAAUUAAAUGUCCCAAGUUGCAAUGGCUCUUUUACAAAACUAUUAGCAAGUAUUUCCUUAGGGGUGGUUAUAUAAUAUGAUUUAAAAAUAUACAAAUAGGGGCACCUGGGUGGUUCAGUCGAUUGGGCAACUUCGGCUCAGGUCAUCAUCUUGCCGUUUGUGGGUUCCAGCCCUGCAUCAGGCUCUGUUCUGACAGCUUGGAGCCUGGAGCCCUCUUCAUAUUCUGUGUCUCCCUCUCUCUCUGCCCCUCCCCUGCUCAUACUCUGUCUCUCUCUGUCUCUCAAAAAUGAAUAAACAUUAAAACAAAAUAAAAAAAAAUACCUAAUAUGCCUAAAUGCUGAUUGAUGUAUGUGACUAGGGUCUUUUGAAUUCUUUGACUUUUCUGGGCUUUUCUUUGGUAUUCCAGAGGCCAGUUUGGACUGAACUGGAAGAUGGUAAGAUAUUCUUGGCUUUCUCGGACACUCAAUGACAUUUAAAGACUACUGGGGCUUAGCUUUGUGCAUAUCUCAACUAAUUAAUACCAAACAAUAAUUGUAGGGCUUUGGUCUAGAGAAUUCUAAUCAGCCUUGAAGCCAAUGAACCAUUAAAAAGAUUUCUACAUUGAAGCCCACUUCACAAAUGAGAGUUGUAUUUUUUCCGUGUGAGGCUUAUUCCCAGACAUCUUUGGGAUCUUAAGCAUCAUGAUUUUUCAUGACAAACUUUCAUUAGGUUGGGGAGAUAUUACAAUAAUAAUCUUUUUAUUAUAAUCUUAUUUAUAUUUUUCUAUUCCCUUAUUUCUAUAAUUGAUGGCUAGGGAUUCUUUACUGUUUUUCUUCUUUUCUUUCAUUUUAUGUUUUUUUUUUUAACCAAGAUUACAUUUAUGUACCUUUGAGCAAAAAUAUUUGAGCCACAUGACUGAGCUAACAUUACAUUUAGAAGUUAUUUUAUUAGGCUGCAUUUUAAUUUUAUUCCAUUUGUCCUCAUUAAACAACUGUUUGCCCCCUCAGGCAUUUUAGUGCUAACUUUCUGACUCUAUAUUGGUUCCCAGGCUGUAAAAGUUGAAGCUUAUUUGAAUUUUUUGCCUAGGACUCUUUUAAAAAUACACAUAAAAAAACAACUUGAGAUAUUCUAAAUGUUUUGUAUGUAUACCUGCUUUGGUAACAUAUUUGUUUUACACCCAAGGGAUAAUAUCCUUAAAUGAUAAUAGUAGCAUCUGAGUAAAUAAUUUUCUCUAAAAGGGAUGGAUGUGUGUAUGUGUGUGUGUGUGUUCCUAAAAAGGAUAUGUGUGUAUAUACAUUUAUGUUUAUACACAUGAAUGUGUAGAUAUAGAUAUCUAUCUAUAUAGUUGACUCUGGAACUAUUAAUAUGGGUUUGAACUGCAUGGGUCCACUGUUACACAGAUUUUUCUAUAAAUACAGUACUGUAAAUAUAUUUUCUCUUCCUUAUGAUUUUCUUUUUUUAAAAAACGUUUAUUUAUUCUGAGAGAGAGAGAGUAGGGAGGGGAAGAGAGAGAAGUAGAGAAAGAGAAUUCCAAGCAGGCUCUGCACUGUCAGUGUAGAGCCUGAUGCAGGGCUUGAACUGACUAACCCAUGAGAUCAUGACCUGAACCAAAAUCAAGAGUUGGACACUCAACUGACUGAGCCAUCCUGGUGCCCCAUGAUUUUCUUGUAUUUUUUCUCUAGCUUAUUUUUAUUGUAAGAAUACAGUAUAUAACAAAAUAUGUAUUUAGUAAUCAACUGUUUAUGUUAUUGGUAAGACUUAGUAGUUAGGCUUUUAGUAGUAAAGUUUUGGGUGAGUCCAAAAUUAUAUGCAGCUUUUUCUACUGGUGGUGGGGGGAUUGGUGCCCCUAACCCUUGCGUUGUUCGAAGGUCAACUGUAUGUAUUUAUGUGUAUGCAGUGUAUAAAUUUACAGUGUGUAGAUUCUGCCUAGGACUACAUGAAGCCAAUGGGUCCCUGUGGUGUUCAAACUCCAUCCUUAGACACCAUUUUCUCCCCCCUGCCAUUCCUCUGCCCCUUCCAUUCACUCUUCCCCCUCUGCAGUACUUCACUGGAGGAACAGGAAGGAACAGGAAAUAGGGAUGAAGAGCUGGAGAGAGAGGUUGUGGGCCAUUCUCAUAAUCUUUUCUGAACAGUCCACAUUUUCCACCAUGCUGGAGUUGUAUUUUUCCACUGCUCUUUUCUACUCUUCUCUGGGUUGGGGGUAGUGGUGGUGGUGGUGAGAAAUGAAUCUAGAUACCUGGUUCUUGCCAGCUUAAAAUUAUAUUGUUACAAAUUCUCAUUGUAUAGAAGUCCUUAAAUCUCUGUGGACUUUUUUUUUUUUUUAAAGUAGGCUUCAUGCUAAGCACAGAGCCCAAUGUGGGGCUUGAACUCACAACUCUGAGAUCAAGAACUGAGCUGAGAUCAAGAGUCAGAUGCUUAACUGACUCAGCCACCCAGGCGCCCCUCUGUGGACUUUUUGUUAAGGGAUUUAACAGUUGCUUUAAAUUAAGAGAUUGAUUUUCGUCUUUAGGGUACUUUUCUAGAUUUAAAUAUGUAAUUUAUCUUUUAUUUUUUCCUCUUUUUAUCAACAUCUUGGUACCUUAACUGCUUUAUAAUUUCCUUCCUCGGGUUUCUUCCUCUUCCCAAUCUUUUUGCCCUCUGAAACUAUUGUGGCAGAGAUCAAGUUCAGAACUAUAUAAAUAGCUGAAAAGAGUUUUCUUUUUUUAUGUUUAUUAUUUAUUUUGAGAGAGAGCAUGAGCAUGAGUGGGGGAGGGGUAGAGAGAGAGAAUUCCAAGCAGGCUCCAUGCUGUUAGUGCAUAGCCCAAUGUGGGGCUUGAUCCCAUGAACUUUGAGAUCAUGACCUGAGCCGAGAUCAAGAGUUGGAUACUUAACUGACUGAGCCACCCAGGUGCUCCUGAAAAGAGUUUUUCAAUAGCAAAGGAAAAUAAUUUCCUUUUUGUUGUUCAAACUAUUCAAAAUUCUUACUUUGUUUUCUGUAUUAGCGCCAUAUUCAUGGUAUGUUCAUUUGAAUUAUUUUUGUACAUUUUCUUUUUACUUAACUGGAAAGAAUUUUAGUCAGUGGGAACAACAAUUUCAUUUACUAUAUCCACACAUAUCAAAACUUCCUCUUCCAAUGAAAUCAGUUACUUGCCCGAGCAAAAAAAAACACUAUAUGAUCAUGAAUUUUAUACCUUGUUGUAAUAACUUCAUUUUUAUAUUUGUUGGUGGCUACUGAAUUUUGAUUUUGGAAUAUCCUACUAAUUAAGACAAUUUUCAUAGUGUAAUAAAAAAAAUUCUCAGCCAUAUGAUUAAGUAAAGAAAAGAAUGUAAAGUAACCCUACUGAAUAUGUGUGUGUUGGGCACGCACUAGAAGUAACACAGGUGUGAACUCUUAACCAUAGGUAGGUCCUGAAGAAUGUAAAAAGCUGAAUAACUGCUUAAUUGUUCUUAAGUGAUUAAAAUACAGUGUUGUGGGGCACCUGUGUGGCUCAUUUGAUUAAACUUCCAACUCUUGAUUUUGGCUCAAGUCAUGAUCUCAGUGUUCAUGAGUUUGAGCCCUGCAUGGGGCUUUGUGCUGACAGCACUGAGCCUGCAUGGGACUCUCUCUUUUCUUCUCUCUCUGCCCUUCCCCGUGGUUGCACUGUCUCUCCCUCCCUCCCUCUCUUUCUCUCUCUCUCUCUCUCUNNNNNNNUAUAUAUAUAUAUAUAAAUUAGUGUUGCCUAGGGAUGAAGAAUACCUUAAUCAAGGUUUAGGACUUUUAUUGAUCCAACACUUUAAACAUUUGGAACCCCAUCAUAGACAGUAUUAUAAUGAUAAUGUGAUAAUGGUAAAAAUGUUGUGAAUUUCAUGGACAAGCAGGCUGAUUUAACAGAAAGACUCCUCAUAGCUUUUUUCUGUUAUAAUUAUGUGACCUUGGGAUCGUCUUGAACAAGUUGUGAACGUCUAGUGCUCAUCUCUAAAAUGGGGAAGCAGUAGAUGGCACAGUGAAGUUGUACAUUGGUUGCUUUCUUACCUACAUGACAAAGAUCACAACUCAAAGUAACUGUUGGGAUAUUCUUUAAAUUUGCUAUUACUGUCACCAAAUAAAUUGGUUUAUGCCUCUCUUUGAAGUAGAAGAGAGAGAAUUUGGCUCUUCGAUAAUUUAUUGGAAGUGUCUUAAUACAGUUCAUAUACGGAACAAAAGCCAUGCCUACAUAAGAAAAAUGGCAGUAGGAAAAGAACUGUGUUUCUCUGUUUCUGUGUGUGGGGGGGGGGACACCUCUUUAUUAUGUAUUAGGAAAAGAAGCUAAGUAUGUUACACAAACUGGGUUCAUGUCCUAGCUCUGCCACAUACCGGUGUCAUUUAACCUCACAUUUCCUUGCCUCAAAACAAUGGUGUUAAUGCCUGCCCUGCCUAAUUCAUGGUAACAGCAUGAAGAUUAAUUUACAUUCAUUUCCUCUUUUAACUCACACUGCACAAGAUCACUUGGAGGUGCAGGAACCUACGGGUUACUCUCCCAUGUGAAACAGUGCUUUGCAUGGCUUGUAGAUUUUAAGAUUGCAUUUAUCAGUUACACAUUUUUGAAAAUUUGCUGUAUCCUUCAGAACAUCCUAUUUGCCAUAUUACUUCCAACUCUAGGCUCCAUUUCUUUUUCUUAAACAAGUGAAAUAUGCAUAAAAAUGUGAGGAUGCUUACAGUUUGUUCCAGAAUGAUAUUUUGAUGCAUAGUACUGGAAACAUAAAACCGACUUGGUUGGGACUAAUAAAAUUUCAUGUUUUUUCCCUUAUUCACAAAUGUUAAUGAUCCUUUCAAAAAAAAAUCUCAGUUUUACAAGAUAAAAAUGGAUAGUUUAAUGUCAUCUUAUUCCAAUCCUUGUUUUUGAACAUUUCAGUAUUUGUUAAACUGAAGUGUCUGUCGGUAAAUAAUAUUCACUCAUACUUCUUGCUUUUUCUUUUUAAUGUUUUGAAAAAUUUGACUCUGAUGGAAAAAUACUGAUUAACUAUUCCAAAACUAUUUUGAUCAUAUUCCAAGACCCAAGUGGUGCAUGAAUAAGUUCUUUAAGUUUUAUAUUUUAAAAAUAAUUGGAUCUUUCUAAUCCUAGGUGUCCAUGUCCCAUGUGUUAGCUGGCACAGAACUAAGUAAAUAACCCUUUUUUGUAUUUGCAUUUUAAUUUCCCCUUAACGGUUUUGCAAUCUAUGUUUUCAUACAGAGAAUAUGUCUGCAUUAUAAAUAGAUGUCACUUGAGCUGUCAUUUCAAAGAUCUAUGAUAGGAUUCUGAAAGUCUAGAGACAAUGUUUAAAGUGGCAAAUUUAGUUAGAGUUUUUGAAACAUUUUUUUUAACUGUGCCCCUUAAGAUGAAACAUUAUAUAACCCCUAAUUGAUAUCAUAACUUGUGGUGUACUACUUAUUAAUAUGAAUUACAUGCAUGCAUCAGUUUGAUUUAAAGUUUACAAGAUAGUUUUUAAACAAAAUUAUACAUACAGCAUAAAACCGGAUUGUCACCACACUCCCCUUUGAUUUUGUGCAUUCAUAAUACAUACAUACAUAAUGUUUCAUAAAUACAUUCUAUCAGUACAGAUAGAGUUUUCCCAAAUACAUGUCAUUCUUCUAAUAAAAGCUAAAGACAUUUUAUAUAAUCCAAAGGAUACAUCAUAUAAGUGAAAUAAGCCUUGAAUUAACUGUGACUUUGGUGGAUUUUUUCGUUGAAUUAUAUCUUUUUGUAAAUUUUGUUUUAAAAAUGAUACUACAUUGUUCCUGUUCCUUGCUGAAGUAUACUUUGCAGUGGGAAAUAUUAUAAACUAAACACUUCCCAUCUGGCCCUGCCAGGGUGAAUGUUUCCCUCACAGCCUUGACUUGCAGUCGAAGCUGAUGUGAGAGUAUGUCAUGGUUGUUUUGACAGUCCGGUCAUCCUAAUCCAGGGAUCCGAUCCCUAUGGUUUGUCAAUUAUCCUGCUAACCCUACAGCGAGAGCAACACUCAAGGCACUGAACUGUCAACCAAUAACCAAGAAAUAAUGUCAGGAGCCAGAGAGGCAGGAAUGAGAGAGGGAUGCUUUUGACAACAGAAGUCUGUAUCAUUCAACAUUUAUUUUAUUUGUGGGAGCUCGUAACAAAUUAAUUAUGGGAAUCACAUGAUGAAAUGUCAUCCAUUGCUUUGGACAUUCUUUUGUGUCUAAAUUUAAAAAGCAAGGGUUUGGCUGCUUGUAUAAGUUUUCCUAGCAUAGGGUUCUGGAACAUAACUCUAUAUAGAAAAUGGCUAGAUCACCUGAACUUAAUUUGAUUGUUAGUGAGUUUUGUUUUCUCACCUGCUUCAUGUUUACUGUAAGGUCUUUUAGGAAAAAAAAUAUAAUGCGCCUGGGGAUUAUGUGUGUGCUCAUGGAAAUAAUUUUGAAAGUUACUAGGAGUCCCAUUAAUAUGGAAAUGAACAUAAAUAUGGGGUGUGAAAUUGUGCCUUAUGUAUCACAAAAAUGCAUACAAAUCCAAGAAUUUCAAAGGGAAACGUAUUUUUGAACAAUUCUUGAUCAUUAAUAGUUUAAAAAAAGAAAUAAAAGGGACUUUUAAGUGACAAUGGUAUCUAUCUUAAAAUGAGAAAAUGAUAAUGAGGCUGUAAAUCUGUAACUGCUCUUCAAUAGGGCCCGGUGGAACUCUUGAGUGGCAUCAGCCAAAGUCUACAUGGCUUUUGAUUCUGCUCUAGUUUGCAGUCUUUGUUUUAUGCAUGUAUCAGUUCAAAUAUCUGUGUAUGUAUCAAUUCAAAUAUUAUGCGUACAUAAACUAAGUGGCAGACCAUGAUUAACCAACGCGAGCCUGGGAUCAAUUUUCAAAUACAUGUUUUAUUGCUGUAUCCAAAUGAGACUUUUUACCUGUAUGUCUUUACUUAGGAAAAUAUUGAAGGAGUCAAAAUUCCUGCUUCAUAAAGUGCAAAAAGUUUGAAAUUUAAAUACAUUUUGUGAAAUUCCAAUAAAUAUUCAUACUGGCUCUUGGGAUUUAAUGACUACAGAACUUAUUUUUCCUGGUUUGAAAAUUAUAAAGUUACUUAUAAAAUCAUGCUUAUUUUGGACAGUUCCCAAAAAUAAAGAAGAAAGAAAAACACAAACAUAAUGUAGACAUCCAUAUGUAUAUUCGUUUAGAAUAUAUAUAUCAGAAAAAAGAUCAUAUUAUAUCGGUAAAGUUGUACCCAACUUUUUUUUAUUUAAUGCAUAUGUUCCCAUAUUAUAAAAAAAUUAUUUGAAAAUAAAAUUUGACACUGUUAUAUUUUAAUAUAUGAAUAUAGCAUAAUUCCCUUAAGUAAGUCUCUAAUGUUGAGUUUCAUCUUAGUUAAAUUGGAAAUGAUAUAAAGUGAUUGCAAGGGAUAACUCUUAUUUCUGAUUUAGUUUAGACUUAUUUCUGAUUUUCAUUUUAGGAUGAGUUUGUUUCAGGUAAAAUUAUAAGUCAAGGAGUAUCAAUAAGUUUGAUCAUCUGGGAGGACUUCAAAUCUUAUUUAAAGUUAAUGAUUAGCUCUUAAAAAAAAAAAAAAAAAGAGGCUCCUGGCUGGCUCAGUGGGUGGAGCAUGUGGCUUUUGAUUUCCCAUUGUGAGUUUGAACCACCUUCUGGGUGGAGAGACUACUUAAAAAUAAAAUAAGGAGGGCACCUGUUGGGAUGAGCGCUGGUCGUUGUAUGGAAACCAAUUUGACAAUGAAUUUCAUAUUAUAAAUAAAUAAAUAAAUAAGCAAGCAAAAAAAUAAAAUCCUUAAAAAAAUUAAAAAAAUAAAGUUAAUAAUUAGCAUUAGAAAUUUCCAUAGCUCCUUAAUAUACUGUUAAUUUCUUCUUUUUAGGCUACUGCAGGUGUAGUUGAUUAGUAAUUAUUAGUUAUUUGUUAGGUUUUCUGAUAAAAUAGAAACAAGUCAUGGCUGAAGAAUAGCAUUGGGGACAUUAGAAGAAAUAUUUAUAUUUUUUUAAAGUUUAUUUUUAUUUAGGGGCACCUGGGUGGCUCAGUGAGUUAACAGGCAACUUUGGCCCAGGUCAUGAUCUAAGGGUUCAUCAGUUCAAGCUCCAUAUGGGGCUCUACGCUGACCACUCGGAGCCUGGAAACCUGCUUCAGAUUCUGUGUCUUCCUUUCUGUCUGUCCCUCCCCUUCUCAUGCUCUCUUGCUCUCUCUCAAAAAUAAAUAAACAUUAAAAAAAUGUUUCUUAAAAGUUUAUUUUUAUUUAUUUUGAGAGAGAUAGAGAGCAAGUGAGGGAGGGGCAGAGAGAGAGGGAGACAGAAUCCAAAGUAGGCUCUGUCAGCACAGAACCUGAUGCUGAGCUCCAACUCAUAAACCAUAUCAUGACCCCAGCUGAAGUCCAGGAGUCAUGUGACGCUUAACCCACUGAGCCACCCAGGCGCCUCAGAAAUAUUUAUGUUUUAAUCUAGGUAUUAUUUCUCUGUGCUAGUGGCUUAAUCAAAAAUUAAUAUGGUGGAUGGCAGAUUCCACGUUUGUGGGUUCAGAUUCCACUGUUACUUCAUGUAAAAUAUACUAUAUUCUCAGACUACUUAACCUCUGUGCUUUAAUUUCUCCUUCUGUAAAAUGAAGGAUUGCCCAAAUGAUUGCCCACCUCUUUGAGUUGUGGAGAGGAUUCAAUUAGGAAAUGUGCAUCAUCUCCUUCAUGCAGUGCCUGGCACAUAGAGAGCCUCCAGUGAAUGUCAGCUGCUGCUAUUACUGGAAUACAGCCAUUAGCAAAUAAAAAUGUAUUCAGAUUUAACAAGCAUUGCAUUUCUUGUGAGGAAGUCAAGAAUAGCAAAUAUUUUCAUUAGGUACAUAAUACCUGGUUAAAAAAGCUUUUCUUUGUAGCAAUACAAACUUUUUUUUUUUUUUUUUUAGAAAAGUACAAUGUAAUAUAGUAGCAAUUAUUCUUGCCUGCUGGGAGCAGCAGAGAAGAGAGAUCCUAGUAAGUGUCUUUGUGUUAUGUGUUCUAUGUCUUAUUAGCUCCACGUGUAAGGAUGCUACAUUGGUAUUAUGUAAUGUAGUCCAGAGCUGCUUCAACUUUAAUGAGUCAUUUGGGGAUCUUACUAAAAGGCAGAUUCCGUAAGUCUAGGCUAGGUCCUGAGAUUCUGUAUUUCUGGCAGAUCUCAGGUAAUGCUGAUGGUCCAAUAGGUACAUUGAGUAACAAGGAUUUAGAAUAAAAAAUGAUGUUAGUGAAGUUUGAUAGUGAGUUUUUAAAUUCAAAAGAAAAAUGUUGCAUAUUAUAAACUUGAGUCCUCUCAGUGUCUUGCAAAAGUGGGAAGUUAACACAGUUAUAUAAAACUAAUAUCCUCAAACAAUUGGCAGUGGGGGAGAAGAACAGCAUUAAAAAAAAAAAAAAAGAAAAGAAAACCAAAACUCUCCAUCCACUGAUCUUUGGCUGUCUGCAAAUACCAAAUGAAUAUUUGGUGCCAGGCUGGGUUUUGUUUUUUCUUCCUCUCUGGCUGCUUCUCAAUGUCACUGCCCUCACACAAUGGUGUGGUUUCUUUCAGCUGGCCUCCACCAAGACACAGAAGCAGUAAUCACAUCGUAUCAAUAUUGUUUAAUAAUGACCAUGAUGAGGACACACACAUUCCUCACAUCAGAAUCUUUGCUCUGACUGCUUUUGGCCCACUAUCCUCACCUGAUUAUUACAGAGUAGGUAUGCAGCCCGGAGGUGUAUAGAAUAUUGCACAACUUUUCCAAAUAUUCUGUGAACAUCCUUUACUCAAAGACUUAGAAAAUCCUAUUAACACAAAUAUGGAUCAUUUAUAGCAUAGAAUUUGUGUGCAUUAAAAAACAGUACGAAAACUUAUGGUAGACCACCUCUGUCUGUGUUCCUAUACCCCAGGGAUAUUAUUUCACAUUAUUGUGCCUUUAAAAGUAAUUUCAAGGAGAAAAUAUGAAAGCUAUUGGGAGUGAAAAGAACAAGAGAAGAAACCCAGGGAGGCACCAUGAUAGGAAAAUUGAUACAAGUCAAAAUACUUAGUUUCUAAUCCUUGCUUUGCCAUUCACAUCCUUGGCCAGGCUUUAUCUCUGUGGGCCUCCUCAGUUUCUCAUUUGCAAAAUGAAACAGACUGAACAGCCUCCAAACGCUGGCUUUCUAUGAUUGUAUGAUUGAAUUAUUCUUUUCUUCUGAGACUUUUACCCUAAUUCAUAGGCGGCCAGUUGACUAUUUUGCGUGGUAGAGCCUUCCCUAGCCCUGGAUCCUAUGGUAGUCUCCAUCUGUGACCAGCACUGUCAGUCAUUCUGUGAUUAUUUUCACUGUUCUGCAGAGUCAAAGGCCUACCCUAGAGAUGGAGUUUCAUUUGAAAUACAGUUGAGUGUACCUGAUGCUAAAAAACGUGUUACCCCACGUGCAAUGGGGUAAGUCUCUGAGAGAAUUUACCCCCUGAAUUUAGGGUAUCAAUGAGGCAGUGUAAACCACCAGAACAGCGACUUGACAAUUUGUCACUCAACUUCAGCAAAACUAUAGAGGAACAGCACAAUGAAUUAAUGAAUAGCAACAAAUCCCCAUGACAACAUGUUAGUUCAUUAAAAUUUUAUCAGCAUUCUUCCUAAGGAAAGUGUGCCUUCUGUUCUAUGUUGAGUUUCUUCAACAUUGUUUUACAGCCAAUUCACAGCAUUCUGGUGCUUCAAAAUUAGUUCCUGUGGAGAGUGAGAUACACAUAGACUCUAUAUUGUGUCACACAUGGGUCUCCUGGGUGUCACGAUGAAAUAUUGCCUGCAUUUUUGUGUAUCUUAUGGCUUAAACAUUAACAAGCAUUUCCCCACUGCCUUUUUUUGAGAGUAGGUUAAUUAGCUGAAAAUCCAUCUUUGUGUUAAUUUUUAGCAAAUGUAUUAAAUUGCAUUUCAUAAAUAUUUUUCUAAUACUCAACAAAAAAAGCAUCAAAUUGUAUGUGGUGGUGGUGGUGGGGGGAUAGCAGAACAUUUUUCCUUCCUGCCACAGUGGCAUUUUCCCUCUGGUUUUGGAAUACACAAAGUAACACAUGAGCCUGGAUAAUUUCCUUGUAUUCUUUUUCUCUCUUUGAAAAUGUUUUUAUGUAUAAUCCAGAUGCCAGUGGUCUGGGUGUUCCCCUAUCUUCCAGCAUAGGAAGGGAUAUAUUUCCCUUUUAUAAUUAAAAAAAUCUCAUAACCCCAUCCUAUAAACAAUAGGGAAUGCAGCACAAUUCUCAAUAUUUUCUAGGGCUUUGAGGUGAUUAUAUUCUGUCUAUUUAAUUUCUGCUAUGAGUUCUACUGAAUUCCUAAUUUCACGCAUGUCUCUCCUUUUAUAAAAGUAUCUAAAUGGACACCUAUACAGAAGUCAGCCUUUCUUUACUUUAUUGACCACAAAUUGAGGAUUACGGCAAUUUAGCAACCUCUUUAUUUACCUCCACAAAUUGAUGAUUAUGUAUUGCUGAAGAAUGUGAAUUUAGAACAUUCAUCAAUAUAUAUAUGACCAUCAUGAAAUCUGUUUUUUUUUUGGCACAGAAAUUGAAGGAAUGAUUUUUUCACAUGUCAUUAAGUGGGUUUACAUUGGACUUAAUUAUGAAUUUGUGAAUCUGUGUAACCUUUGUAUUAUAAAUUUUAGAGAAGUAUCUCAAAUAAAAUCACAGAAAUCUGUGAUUGACCUUGACCUAAAAAUCAUUUUCUACCAUAUGCUAAAAAUAAACAGACAUUUACACCAAAAUUUGUGUAUAAGGAUAUUAAUGACAAUAUUGUUUAUAAUAAGAAAAAUGGACCUAAUCUAAAUAUCUGAUAAAAGUUAGUUAAUAUAAUUUGUUACAUUCCUAAAUUGGAUACUAGUCUGUCAUUAAAACUAAUGAGAUAAAUCAUGAUUUCCUGACAUAGGGAAUUAUUCAUAAUAUAUUGGUAAAUUAUAGGAAAGUAUAACAUGAUUGUAUAUUUGUCCCAGAGUGUCAGUAAAUAUGUGAAUAUUUGUGUGAGAUAAAGUCUAUAAGACAAAACCAGAAAGUUAAUAGUAUUGACCACUAGGAUGUGGGACUCAAGGUUGAUUUUUUUUUCUUUACUCUUAUUUUCUAAUUUUUCUCUCAUGGCCACGUAAUACUUAGUAAAAUCUUAAAAAAUAAAAAAAGUGUUUAAUCAUAAAUUUUAGAAAUUUUAGAAAAACCAAUUGCAAGGCUCACUUUUUUUUUUUUUUUGAGAGAGCAAACAAAGGAGAGAGGCAGAGGGAGAGAGAGAAAGAAUCUUAAGCAGGGCUCUACACCCAGUGUGGAGACCAUCGUGGGGCUUGAUCUCAUGAAUGUGAGAUCAUGACCUGAGCUGAAAUCAAGAGCUGGACACUUAACUGAACCACCCAGGUGCCCCAAGAAUCAUUUUUAUGGGAUAAAUAAAUGCAUCAGAAUCUAUUUGCAUUAUAUAUGGCACGAUAUCUUAACAGCGCCACUAUAGGCAUUUUAGUUCAAAUAAUUCUUUGUUGUGGGAGCUGUCCUGUGUAUCAUGAGAUACUUAACAGCAUCCUUGGCAUCUACUUACCUGAUGCAGGUAGCAUCCUCCAGUUGUGACAGCCAAAAAUGUCUCCAGACAUUGCCAAAUGUCCCCUGGGUGGGAGGAGGGGCAAAACAACACCCAGUUGAGAACCACUGAUUUACAGGUAUUGAUUGAUUGAUUAUACUAUGAACCAUGAUUCUUAAUUUGUAUGUGGAACAAUUAUCUUCCCUUACAUAUUCAUUCUUCCAGUAAUAUUUCACCAUUUCAUGCCUCCAUAUUGAAGGGGAAGUUGCUUUUUCCUUUUCUCAGAGACUGAACUAGAGUAAAUUGACAAGGUGAUCCAAGGCUUGGAUCACUGAAUCUCAAAGGAUUAUCUGUCAGUGUGAUCACCAUGGCUAAUUGCUCAAAUCAGAGCCAUCACUUGUACUCCAAAUCAGAGCUUGUACUCCCAAACUCAUGGGCUCCACACCUGACAUUUACCUUAACAUAGGAGAAUGUCCAGCCAGCUCAUUCUAGAGUCCAAAAUUUAAAAAAGAUUUACUGUAAAUAUAGGUAUGUUAUUAUUUCCAAUAAUUAUACUGACUCUGAAAAAUAUAUGAUUCUUACGAUCAUGAGACAUGGCUUUGAGUUCUGAGCCUGCCACUUUCCUGUUAACGUGAAUAUGGACAAGUCUUUAACCUCUUUUAGUUAAAGUUUUGUCAUUUGGAAAUAAGGGUAAUAUUAGCAGUCCCGCUUAAUUACAUCAUUGUAAUAAAUAACAAGUGCAUUUAUAGCUUAAAAGUGCUGUGUAAACUGCCAAGGACUCCAUGCCCAUUGGGAAUUCAUUUCUCAUGAAGGUUAUUGGUAGCUGAGGUUGCUACGGCAACCUUUCUGGUUUGUAAUGUUCCGAAAGCAAUGCCCAAUAUAUACAUGGCAUGUAUUUACACCUAGAAAGCAAAUAGGGAUAAUUAAGGAAUUUCACUUGAAUUAUUUAACUGGUGUCUUCUGAAUGUCUCUGUUCCCUUUGUCAUGUUUCAGUGCUCAUAGUAGAAAUGAAAUAAGUCUCAGAUGCUGGUAGAUAUGGAAUAUAAAACUAAAGGAAAUAAGAAAGGGAGAGAAAGUAAAAUAAAGGUGAAUUCUUAAAAAUAUAUAGCAUCACAGAAAUUAGGAAACACAUGUUUGAGCUCAUUUCGAGAAUUACCAGUGUGAGAUUUCCUCUGAUAGUUGUUUUCCCUGCUUUAUUCAACCCUGUUAAAAUGAAUCAACCAAUGGGGCUUCUGCCAUAUCCCCCAGGAGCCUCUGCUACACUGUAAUAUAACUAAACAUUAGAAUAUCUUUUUCUGAUUAGCUGUCUCACAGCUUCUCUCCAAAACAUCCCCUGUGGAUUUCAGAAAAUUAUAGCAAGCUAGCAUCUGAACAAGAAUGGAAGAUAUGCCAACUCCUUUGCCUGAUAACUACUAUGCCUGCUAAGUUCAAGAUUGUACAUUGACAACUUUAAGAAAGCAAUAAUAAAAUGGAUUUUAAAACAUAUAUCAGCCAACUACUUGCUUUGACUUUCAUGUAUUCUUACUUUUCAGUUCUUCAAAGUUAAGAUAUAAGGUCAGAUUUAGAUAUGGUGCCCAAACAGAAGAGGAUAAUAAAUACUUGAGUAAAAUGUGGGAUAUAUUCAUGUAUGCAUGUGUAUGUGUGUGUGUGUGUGUGUGUGUGUGUGUGUGUGUGUGUGUGUGUGUAUUAAAUAAUCCCUGCAAAAGGACAUAGGGGUAUUAUGGUCCCAACACGACAAACCUAUGUAAACUAAUAUUACUUUGCUUUCCACCAUGUGCAAAGAAAAUGCAGCAAGUUCUCUGAUUAGCAAGAAAAACAUUUUCAAAUUAGUUUCCAAAGACAGGGAAUAAAUUUGGGAUUAACUUCUUUUGUUUAGUUUUGUUUGGUCUUCAUGGGGAGUAGCACACAUUUGAGAAAUGACCAAGGAAUAGGUUUAAGAGAGUUAACAGCCAUAAACUUAUAGGUAUACAGAUCUAGAAGGGAGUUAAUGUAAUUAACUGAGAUGUGAGAAAUGGCAUGAGAAUCCUCAAUUUGUCUGGGGAAAUGACUGGAUCCAUUUUUGAUAGUUAUUCUGUUAUUGACAGAAUAUGCACAUAAAUAUCUAAUCAUUUAGCAAGCAGAUGGAAUUGACAAUGCCAUGACCAGGAAUGAAAUAUAUGGGAAAACUGAUGUGGACUUGACUGCUUAUGCUAAUUGGAAUUUUUAAGAGUCAGUGAGAUGACCAAGGUCAAAAAGUAAGCAUAUGAAAUUGUCAAACUUGUCCCUAUUAUCAUUUAUUGUUAUUACUUUUUGCAUUUAUUGUCUGUCUUUCACACUAGACCUUAAGCUCUGUUGCGGAGCCUGCAAUAGUCUUGUUUACCAUUGUAUUCUAGAGCCUAGCAUCAUGCCUGGGGAGUGGCAUCCCUGAAAGAAUGAACAAAAGCAGAGGUUAUUCAUAAGUUCAUACAGAAAGCAACUUGGGUUUUGUCAUUGCUGUUAGUGAUUUUACCUGGAGUGAUCUCAUCAACCAAAGGAUUUAAAGGUCAUUUUGCCUCUCCCAUCAUAUAGGCUUUUAUAUUUUUUAUUUAAGGAUUUGUGAGUGGCAUUGGGUCAGGAAUAAGAAAUUAUGUCUCUCUGUUUCAGGACAGAUGGAGCUUGACUGUCAUGAAAACACCAUUCUCAUUUUGUACCAAGGCUCUGUGCUCCACAGGCAGUUAUAUAGGUAGGAUGUACUUAGAAGAAAAGGGUGUGGUGCUUUGGUGCUUCUAUGUAGGAUUAAUCCAGACUCAGCAUGAGUCUCUCUUGACCAGGAAGGGACUGUGAUGGUGGAAUGCUCUUUUACCUAUUGCACUGAGGUCUGGGUGACCAUGGGUUCACCAUGUUCUGGUGAUUGGCAUGUGGGAGGAACUGCUGUGUGCCAUGACCAGGCCAGGCUAGACUGCUAAAUCUUCUGACACCAUCCUUCACACUUUCCUGGCUUCUGGCCAGAUGCAGAGGACCUGUGAGGAAGCUGGAAUCCUGCAAGAUAGCAGAGACAUGGAGGGAUGAUUGCAUGGAAAAGAGUUCCAUUCCCAAAAAACUGCCUGGAGCUGUGACAUGAGCAAGAGAUACAUCCUUACUGAAUUAAGAGCACUAGUAAGUUAAAUGGUCAGCAUGUGAGUGAGGUUAGUGCCCUGUGUCUUACUCAAGUCCUAGUACAUGAAUUUUUUUUUUUUAUUGAAGUGAUUCUUCCUCUCAUCAUUUUUUUGUCUCAAAGUGAUUUCUGAACACAUAGUACAACGGAGGUGGGAAAUAUGGAAGAACUCCUGUCUGUGCGUUCAACUUAUGUGUGUUAAUGUAUUACCUGCUCUGAGCAGGAGGAGUAAAAUUCUCCAGAUCUGCUAUUUUAGCUCUCAGAUUGCCUCUAACUCCUAGAAGGAAGGUAGAAGGUAACUCUUCCCCCUGAUAGUCUUCAUAUGUUAGAUGAUAAAUAGCUACUAAUUAAUAAAUGAAAUUUGUAUCCAUCAGUUAAGUUGGAACUUAUCUCCUUGUGUGGUCUUCAAUUAUUUGGUGAGGAACUUUCUGCCAACUAAGGACUUCUCCCUGAGUUUGAAACUUCUUUGACUUUACCAGGAUCAUUAUUCUCCUUGCAGAACAAAGGAGAGAAAGAUGUAGUUUGUGGAAAGAGAUAAUUUGACUUCAAUAAGGCCCAUUUUUACUGCAAUAUUGCACUUGGUUAUGACUGUAGCUUUAGAAUGUCCCUCCAGGGGCACCUGGGUGGCUCAGUCAGUUAAGCAUCUGACUUGAUUUUGGCUCAGGUCAUGAUCUCACAGUUUAUUCGAGAUCAAGCCCUGAGUUAGACUCUGUGCUGACAGUGUGGAGCCUGCUUGGAAUUCUCUCUGUCCCCUCCCCUCUCUGCUUCUCCCCCACUCACGCUUUCUCUCUCUCUCAAAAUAAAUAAACACUUAAAAGUUACACUAAAAAUGCAUCUUUACUUCUUAAAAUAAGACCUUUAUUGACUUAAAUACAGUUAAUUUAUUGUUUCAUUUUUUUUCUUUAUAGUAUGCUGAAACUCUUUUCUCUUCUCUCUCUCCUUUUACCCAUUAUCUCCAAUUCCUGAUGGGAAUCCUUUUUUACUCAGUGAUAUUUAUCUAUGUUUUCUUCCAUGAUCAUACCCUUUUUAAAUAGAUUACACCUUUCCAUUAUUCAUGUCAUAUAUGUUCUUUUGUUCUUCUUUUCCUUGUCCUUACUAUAUUUUCAUAAGUCCUUAUUGUUGAUGCCUCCUGAUUCAUCCACUUAAGCUUAUAUGUAUUAUCCAGCAAUAUUUUGGUUGAGAUAUAUGGAAAAUUAAUCCAAACUGGCAUAAAUAAAGAAGAUAAUGUUACACACUAAAUAAUGGCCCUCCAAAAGAUUUCCAUAUCUCAAUUCCCAGAACUUGUGAAUUAUGUUAUCAUAUGUGGUAAAAGGGAGUUUGCAUAUGUGAUGAAGUUAAAGACCUUAAGAUGGGGGGUUACCCUAGAUUAUUAAGGUGGGUCAAGUGUAAUUGCAACAAGUGUAAUCGCAACAGUCCUUAUAAGAGGGAAGAAAGAUCAGAACCAGGAAGUAGUUGAGUGAUGUGAGGAAGGGGCCAUAAGCCAAGGAAUGUAGAUGACUUCUAGAAACUGAAAAGGCAAGGAAACAGAUUCCUCCUCUGAAGGUGGUAAAAGAAAUAAAAUCCUGCCAACUGAGGACCAUACCCUGAUUUAGACUUUUAACCUCUAGAACCAAGAGAGAAUAAAUUUGUGUUGUUUUAAGUUGCUGAGUUGUGAUAAUUAUUUUCAACAAUAAGAAACUAAUAUAUGGUAUCUGUUUGCUUAUAAUUAUUGAAUGCAGUAUGUUUUGUUUUCAGUUCCUGAUGAGAGCUCCAUGUUUUCAUUUUUUCAUAAAUCUUUUAAUGAAACAUCUAUGAUUUUAAUGUAAAUAUAUUUAAAGUGAAGCAUAAACAUGUGACACAGCUGGAUCACAGAAACUUUAUGGAUUUUUAUAAUUUCCCCCAUCACUUGAUGAUGGUGUCUCACCUGUUUGCAAUUCUAUAGGAGUUUCUUUGAUCUAGUUUUCCUUUCAAAAGCAUUCAACUUCUCAUAAAAAUAACACAUAACUUUCCCCCCCUUACGUUUCAUUAGUGUAUUCAAUAUUUAAUGAUUACAAUAAAUUUGAGAAGAAACACUGAUGGCUCUUGAUAAUAAAUUGUUAAACUAGACAGACCACAUUUGGUGUGUAUGGUUGUGAGUUCACUAUGUUUUAUUGAAGGCAUGAAGAGUAUUAGUUAAAACAGAAAGUUGAUUAAAUACAGAUCAGUUAAGAGAACUCAUAUCAUAGUUCCAUUGGCCUGUCUUGGCUUCUACAUCCAUCCUUGACAUAAUCACCCUGGCCGAAGGAAGAUUGCAGAUAACAUCAGAUGGUACCCCCAAAGUGUUUCUCUUGAGCUCUUCACAUCCCCCCUACUAUUAAAGCUGAAUAAGCCAUAUAUUUGAAUUUCUAUUCUUUAUUGCAACUAAAGAUGGCCACAUGACCCAGUUGUAGCUAUUGAGAUGGAAGUGGUAUUCUGGGGGAUUUAUGGGAAAGGGUUCUCUCCCUGAUAAAAGGAGAGAUGAGUCAAGGCUGUGUUUCUCAUUUCACCCUGGCAUAUACUCUUCCCCCAUUUAUUGCUUAUAGGUGCAGUCAUAGGACUAUGAGGCAAAAGCUAACAAUCUUAAGGACAUCCAGCCCGAGGUUGGAAUUGUGAAGCUACUGUAAUAACCUGGAAUUGGUUUUUUAACUCUAAUUUAUCACUUUCAGUUGGUUUCCCCUUACUUUCAGAUGGAUGCUUCCUUACUGGUGGAGAAUGGAAUAAACUGAUAGGCUACAAGAGGGUUAUGUGUUCACUCCCAGAGACAGGGUGAGGUUGGGGGAGGGUCAUUUAUUCAAAGGAAAACAAAGGUGCUAUUAUUAAAAGAAAAUGGGAAAUGGAUCUUAGACAAAAACAACAGCAGUCAACCUCACAUGGGCAUCAAAAACUCCACCACUCCUAUAUGGAUCCAAAGUGAAAAUGCAAGCACUCAGUGUUGCUUCUAGACAAAACUGAAGCACUCAACUACUCUGCUUUCCUAAGCCCUGCUAAUGUUUCUUUUCCUCUCCCUUCUUUUCCUAAGAUGCUAGGCACUUGUAAAUUAGAAACCUACUUGGAGUAGGAAGAUAAGUUGACUUGAGCUAGAGUCAAAUGAAACUGUCAAAAGAAGAAUGCCAGUCACUUUAAGCAGCUGUCUGAAGUCUGCCUGCCUGUCUCCUUCCUGUAGUCUCUGUAAGACAGCUCUUGUUAAAGGCAUAUGUCAUGUCAGUCAAACACCAUAGGUGGUGUUUGGAGUUUGAGGUAUUGACAAUAGGCAUUUGCUUUUGUCUCACAUCAUCCCAUCUCAAAGGGAUGUGGUAGGUACAGAUGCCUCUUGAAAGAAAAGGGGACACAAAUGAUGGAUGAAAAACUGUCAAUGGUAGCCAGUACUACCUAUUAACUCCUGACUUUUAGAAUGGAUACUAGAUUUAAAAAAAAUGUUCCCCUUUACUUGAGCACAAGAUAAUUUUCAUGACCAAUUUUAUUAAAAUAUGUAGUUUUGCAGGUUUGUUGAAAAAUGCAUGGCUUGCAUACAUUUCAAUUCAAUGAAAGUUACUAAGAAUCUACUGGUUUUAAGUGCAUAAUUUAAGACUUUGGGAAGGGUAAUAUAAAAAUUAGAAGACAUAAAUUCCUGCCUUGUGAGUUACAAUAGGGGUGGAAGGUGGGGAAGAGGAAGGCAAGAUAAUUCCAUAAUUGUACUUCAAGGAAAUGGAUUAAGCAAUAGAGUAGAGGUACAACAUAGUAUGAAUUUUGAACUAACAUCUGGUCAUAGGGUCAGGGAGUCUUCAAUGUGAUGAUAUUUAAUGUUUUAUUUUGGAUGGACUAUGUUAAGAUAGUAACACCUGUGGGGGCACCUGGGUGGCUCAGUUGGUUAAGCGUCCAACUUCAGCUCAGGUCAUGAUCUUGCGGUCUGUGAGUUCCAGCCCCACUUCGGGCUCUGUGCUGACAGCUUAGAGCCUGGAGCCUGCUUCAGAUUCUGUGUCUCCCUCUCUCUCUGCCCCUCCCCUGCUCACCCUUUGUCUCUCUCACUCUCAAACAUGAAUACAUGUUAAAAAAAAAAAAAAAAAGACUGUAGUACCUGUGUGUUAGGUCCGGUCUUUAAUAAACUAGAAAAAAAAUUAUCCUUAUUAACUUUGGGAAAAUUAAUACCUGAGAAGUUUACCUUUAUUAACUCAAGAUUCACCUGUAGGAUGGGCAAUGUUUUAUUAGUGAUGACAUUAGCCUGAAAUAUUUUUCUUUUUUUCUAGAGAAGUGAUUAAAUUAUUACAUGAUAUAUAUUUAGGUCGAAGACUUUAAAUUGAAAACCUGAGGGUUACUGUAGGGGAGGUGGGUGGAGAGAAGGAUUAAAUGGUUUAUGGGUAUUUAAGAAGGGCACUUGUUAUGAUGAACCCUGGGUGUUUUAUGUAAGUGAUGUAUCACUAGAUUCUAGACCUGAAACUAAUGUUACACUGUAUGUUAACUAACCAGAAUUAAAAAAAAAAAAAAAAAAACUUGAAAAAAAAAGUCUUUAAGUGGGAUACAAAAAGGAAAUGGAGCGAUAGAUACUUUUAUAAAUAUGUGUACUAGCAUCUAUUUUUUUUAUAUAAAAAUGCUCUUAUAAGAUUAUAUUUAUUCCUUUUUGCCUCUGAAUUAUUUCAAAAAUUAUUUAGACACUUAACAAAAAGAAAGUAACUCAAUUUUUUAAAAGUAAAUUUAAUUUCUUGAUAUAUAUGAAUUUAAAAAAUUGAAAUAUUCUAAAAAUGGAAGGUAUUAUGUCAUGAAAUAUACCAAAAGCAGGUAAAAAAAAAAGAGGUAGAUUUUAUUGGACUUUUUUUUCACAUCUCUGUUUGCAGUGUUAAAUCAAAAUGUUUUUGAAUGUCCAUUAGGCAGACCUCCCUAUUGUGCUUCAUGAUAUCAGGAAGGUGAGGCUGAGAAAACAGGGUAGAAAGUGUUGGUCCCUUGAGGACCAAAUAGUCUACUGACAAAUAAACAAUAAAUAUUGGCUGAAGGAAUUAAUUCAGCAUGGAAUGUAUUUUCAAUAUCAUGCAAGGGACUGAUCAAGGGAUAAAUUCAAGUGAAUUCAUAAUUGCUUUGAGAAUUGGGCAAGAUAGUUGUUGUCUUUUUUUUUUUUCUUUUUGGAAAGGAUAAUUGUGUAUACUUACAUGUACAGAUCUCUUUUGAGAGAACUAAUGUUUCUCAAAUGGCAACAAUGUUUCAGGGUUUGUUUUUUUUUUUCCAAUACUCUGAUGAAAACAAAACCCACAACCUAAAGCUGAGUAGUAGACCAGGAAGAAAAGAUAAAGCAUAUACCAAUUUUAGGAAUAUUUUUGAAACUUGUUUUUCAAAAAAAUAGAAAAAAAAAAGAAAAAAGAAAAGUCAUUUAAACAGUCUGCUUUGAAAAUUUCUUUACUCAUGAUCUCUUCCUUAGCUAUUUUCUUUCCUUUCCUUUGGAUACACUGAAUAAUUGGCCUCACUCAGACACAGAUGAGGAGAGAAGGGCUGAACUUGGCUCUGACAGUAGUUAAAAAAUGUAACAAGGGCAAUGAUAUAUCAUUAUAUUCCCAGGACCACAUACACAAUCAAUGAGUGUUUACUUUGUGCUAGGCAUUAUGUUUGAUGUAAACGCACGUACACACCCGCACAUACACCGCGCGUGCACACACACACACACACACACACAUGCACUCUGUCUGUCUGUCUGUCUGUCUCUCUCUCAAUACCUAUGAUGAUACUAAAGGGCAGACACUAUUAUUCCCAGCUGAUAAAAGAAAGAGCUGAUGUAUCUGGAGGUUUAGUGAUGAGAUGCUGAAGUGGCAGUUUUACUUUAGACACUAAAGUGAUAUGUGCUGGAUCAAAGGGAGUUUUGAGACAUCCUCCAUGCAGGUGGUCUUAAAUCCCCUCUGAAUCUUAAAUCUGUCCUAAAGGUGGAGGGUCUAAAAAGCAUUGGGUCAUUGGAGAUGGCAUGGGGGAGGGGUUUUGAAGACCUCAGAGGUGUGAGUCUUAUGUCCUCCUCAAAGGGUCAGAGUUGGAGGUGUUUCCUCUCUGGAACGGGAAAAGAAUUGAUGAGUGAGGUGAAGAGGAGGCUGGAGAGAUGGUGAAGGGCAAGGUCAUGCAGACAUUCUAUUUGUCUUUGAAGGACAGAGGGAAGUUGUGAAGGAUUUUACUCAACAGGAUGGCACACUUACAGAUUCACUUUUGCUACUGUUAUUUUCUGCAGCAAAGAGUGAAAGCGAGGAGGUCAGUUGGCUGUGGUGGGUGUGGACCUGCUGAGAGCUGACGGCCUGGACCAGGAAGGGGGCAGCUGUAGUGAUAGAUUCUGUGCAUAUUUUGUGAAUAGAAUCAACAGAAUAAAUUAAUGGGGUAGAUGCAGAGGCGAGAAUAAAAAGCACAUUUUUAUGGAGCAAAUUUAAUUUAGAAGAGUAGACAAUCUCUGAAUCUUUUGGGUUCUCUGAAGCAACCUCAUUUUUAGGUUCAAUCAUACACUGAAAUCAACUUUAAUAAAGAUAUUUCAUGCCCACUUUCUAUGUAAUUAAAAAAGGAAUUUUAUUUUUGUAUUUUUUAUUUUUUUAAUUAAAAAAAAUUUUUAAUGUUUAUUUAUUUUUUAGACAGAGAGAGACAGAGCAUGAACGGGGAGGGUCAGAGAGAGAGGGAGACACAGAAUCCAAAGCAGGCUCCAGGCUCUGAGCUGUCAGCACAGAGCCCGAUGCGGGGCUCAAACUCACAGACCGUGAGAUCAUGACCUGAGCCGAAGUCGGACGCUUAACUGACUGAGCCACCCAGGCGCCCCAAAAAGGAAUUUUAAAGGAAAGUAUUUGCCUUGUGAUUCCAAAAACUACAUAUACAAGUCAGUCCUUGCUAUUUGCCAUUAGUUGCACAUAAUUUUCUUUAGGGAAAUAAAUCUGUUGAUUGUUGGAAUUGCCCACCAAACAUGACAUCCUUAUCUUUGGAAAGAUUAGAAAUGGAAUUUAGAGAGAAUAUCUUCAUGUGUAUCUUUUAGAAGUAAGAAAAACUGAGACAAGACCAAUGACACAUACAUAGUUCGUUGGUUGUCACAAAGCUCACAGAUCCAGACCCCAUCAGAUCUUUUUCUAUCAUCAUCAGAGCACAAGAUGACACUGACAAAGCUUGUCAGAUGUCAACGUCAAGAGGCCUGCAGUGGUGAGAAGCCAAGAUCAAGAAUGCUGUGGGUCAAAAUUAUGAGAAAGAGAAACAAAACGUUCAGGUUCAUAGGCUGGGAUAAGGUAAGCGCUGCCUAUUUGUAUCAUUGGACAAUAAGUUUUGGCUGCUGCAGUUGACCAAUGGGAUCCAGCUCAUUUGCUCUUUGAAUAUAACCCUUAAUUUGUUCUGCUGCUAAUUUGGCCCCACCCAUCUUUCCCCUUUUUACUUUCUUGUUAAAUUUAAACAACACUUAACUUGCGCUGAUUUGCUUUUGGUAGUAACUAAUUCAGUGCUCUGAGCCCUUCCUGAAAUUAUUAUUUCUUCCCCAUGAGACACUGCCAGAGUGCAUUUUUCUAGGGAGCACUAGUUGGCGGAUCCCUUUAUGUAGACAUAAGCAGACUUUCUACUCAUAUGUUCUCUCAUGGUAUAUUUAGCAGGAUGUAUUCUCUCAUUUUCACCUUCACAUAGAAUAAUGUAUAUAUUAAUUUAUAUUAUAAUUACUUAAUAAUGUUACAUAUUAUAGAUAGUAACAUAUAAUUAUAUAAAAUGUAUGUACUGUAAUUAUGUUACAAUUAUAUAUAUGAGUCAUAUAACUGACAUGAUUAAUUUAUCAUAACCACCAGAGAGCUGCUCAUUCUUUUUUUUUUUCAUUUUUUUUAAAUGUUUUUAUUUACUUUUGAGACAGAGAAAGACAGAGCAUGAGCAGGGGAGGGGCAGAGAGAGAGGGAGACGCAGAAUCGGAAGCGGGCUCCAGGCUCUGAGCUGUCAGCACAGAGCUCGACGCGGGGCUCGAACUCACAGACCGCGAGGUCAUGACCUGAGCCGAAGUCGGCUGCUUAACUGACUGAGCCACCCAGGCGCCCCCAGAGCUGCUCAUUCUGACUUGAUUAUUUAUUUAUUUAUUUAUUUAUUUAUUUAUUUAUUUAUUUAUUUAUUUUCGAGAGAGGGAGAGAGAGACGGAGAGAGAGAGGGAGAGAGUGUGAGCACGGGAGAGGCAGAGGAAGAGGGAGAGAGAAUCCCAAGUAGGCUCCAUGCCCAGUGCAGAGCCUGACACCGUGUUUGAUCUCACCACUGUGAGAUUGUGAUCUGAGACAAAAUCAAGAGUUGGACGCUUAACUGACUGGGCCACCCAGACGUUCUCUGACUUGAUUUUAAUUCACAGUUGGUAAUUACAAAUUACUGGCAUGCCUCAGUUCAGGAAAACCCUUUCUUCUUUCCUCCCUCUCUGCCUGCCUUCCUGUCCUUGUCCUCCUGCCUUGCUGCUUUCCUUCUGUAUUCCAUCCAGGCAUUCAACAAAUGUUGAGUUCCCUUUUUAUGCCAGGUAUUGGGCUAGGUGUCUGUGAUCUAACAGUAAAAAGACAGAUUUAGUUAUUUUCUUAGAGCUUUUACGAGUAGUAGAAAAAGAUCUACUAAACAAAGUAAUUUCAGAUAUUGAUAAGGGUUCUGAAGAAACAUCACUAAGCUAUGUUAGAGAGGGAUGGAGUAUGAUUUUACAUAGACUUCCCAGGGACAACCUCUCUAACGAACUGAUGUCUCCAUGGAAAGCUGAAGGAUAAAAAAGAACUGGUCAAAUAUACUUCAAGGGAAGUGUUUCUUUCCAUCAGAGGGAAUAGAAAGUCCAAAGGCAGCUGUACCCCAAAUGGUUUUUUGUGUGAUGUAGAAAAUGGUGUCCCUUCCUCAAGACGUUGCUAGAUAAUUACUAUAAUAAAUAGACAAAUAGGUGAAACAAGUUAAGCCUCUUAUAAUUUCAAUAUACACCUUGUACAAUUUUAUGUUGCAGCCUGAUAAUAGCCCUGACAAAAGAUGGGAAAGAAAUUCACGUAUUCAUGGUGAAUAAAAGAUGCCUCAUGAUUCGGGAUUCAACUUAACGUGAUGGAGAGAGAGACAAGAAUCAUGAUUAUGAAGGGUUUUUGUUGUUGUUGUUUAUUUAUUUUGUUUUUCCAAGCAACUCAGUAUCAGAGCAUUAAGUGUAUUUCUGCAAUUCUUUUCACUUUACUUUCAUGGUUGCAGGAUGGCUUCAGUGUCUUUCUGUGCAAUAUAUUUGAACAGUUUAUUUCAGAAGCAAGAAAUAGCAAACAGUCACGGAGAAGAAUUUUCUGUUUGACUCCUUUUUGCUCCCCCCACCCCAUUUCAUUCUUCUCCUCCAGCUUCUCUUCCUUCUUCAAUUCGGGGGGAUAAGAUUUCCCGGAAGCCCAACAGCAGACUUCAUCUUAUGCUGAUUGGCUAGAAUUGGUCACUCCUAUAUACCUCAGAUAUAUCAAGGGAUACCCAUCUAAACCUAAUACCUCCAAGACUUACCAUUCUAUUUACAAGGGAGAUAUGCAGAAUAGUGCCUACUAAAUUGUUUUGGGCUUAGAAAGGGGUCUGGAGCGGGGCGCCUGGGUGGCGCAGUCGGUUAAGCAUCCGACUUCAGCCAGGUCAUGAUCUCGCGGUCCGUGAGUUCGAGCCCUGCGUCGGGCUCUGGGUUGAUGGCUCAGAGCCUGGAGCCUGUUUCCGAUUCUGUGUCUCCCUCUCUCUCUGCCCCUCGCCCGUUCAUGCUCUGUCUCUCUCUGUCCCAAAAAUAAAAUAAAAACGUUGAAAAAAAAUUAAAAAAAAAAAAGGGGGUCUGGAGCAAUCAGAAAGCUCUAAGAGGUGUUCCUACAGCAAGUUACACCAUACAAUGUGUGUGUGUGUGUGUGUGUGUGUGUUUUACUUUACUUAUUUAUUUUGAGAGAGAGAGAGAGAGAGAGCGAGCGCAGGAGCAGGGGAGUGAGCAGCAGGGAGAGAGGGAGAGAGAGAUAAUCCCAAGCAGGUUCCAGACUGUCAGCAUGGAGCCUGAUGUGGGGCUCAAACUCAUGAACUACGAGAUCAUGAUCUGAACCAAAACCACAAAUCAGAUGCAUAACUGACUGAGCCACCCAGGUGCCCCUCUAAUGUGUGUUUUAAUGAGAUACUGCUGAAAACUGGAUGGUGAAUGUAUCAAAAGGCACAAAAGUAGAAGCAGAAAGACAAAUUAGGAGGCAUUUUCAGAAAUUCAGGUGAGAAUCCAAGGUCACUUACCCUGAGGUGGCAAUAGGAAAAAUGAGGAAAAGAGGUAAUGUAACCCCAGGAAGACAAAGCGAGCACAUAACUAUGUUUAUUUUGCAUCUCUGUCUUUUGAAUUAGAAAUGAACUCACUGCCAAACUAUUAUUAGGACAGAGAAGGGUAGACUAUUAUUACUACCUUAUUUUCCUUGUGUUUUAUGUAAUGGGAUGCUGUAAAAACAAAUCAAACCAAAUCAAAACAAGAUGGUCACUUUUCCUUUGCAUUAGAGAGAAUAACCAAGGUUUUUUAAAAGUUAUUUAUUUUUGAGAGAGAGAGAGAGAGAGAGGGAGAGGGAGAGGGAAAGAGAGAAUGAGAGGGAGGGAGGGAGGGAGAGAGAGAGAGAGAGAGAGAGAGAGAGAGAGGAAAUCUCUAGCAGGUUCUGUGCUGUCAGCACUGAGCUGGCAUGGGGCUCGAUUUCACGAACUGAACUGUGAGAUCAUGACCUGAGUCAGAUGCUUAACCAACUGAGUCACCCAGACACUCCAAUAAUUCUCAAGUUUUUAAGGAAUGUUUUCAAAAUCUUUGACUUAACUGGAGAUCAUGACAUCACCGAGUCUUAUGACCUGUCUGCUCUCUUCUCUUUUCUUGGUUCUUUUCCUUACCCAUCAUUCUCUUGCAUGCGGUAAGGCCUCUCAAAGACUCCUCACUCAGUUUUUAGAGGUGAAGUAGUUGAAACUCCUGCUCCAUCUGCUAUGACAGUGUGCAAAAGAACCAAUUCCUCAGGGAGCAUGCUCCUAUUACUCUCCCAUUGACUUUGGAGGGAUACGAGAAACUCUUUGUGUAAAAAUGGCAGCAUGCUGUAAAUCUCCACUCCCUGUGUGUCCUAACUAUCCAUGUCAAGUGUGCUGAAUUUAUUGACAAACCCCACACUGUUCUUCCUGACGGCAGUACAGAGACUUGGGAGCUACAGAUGGACAAGCUGUGUUUGGUUCUGCCUUACACAUCGGCAACAGAAUUGCCUCUUAGUUCACCUUCAUAAUCUUUAUAGUUGAUGGUGAAAACGUCUUGGUUUCAGCCACUAAGUUGAAGCCCGAAGCAUUAGCAACGUAAACAUUUUAUUUAAUGGGAUUUACAGAGAAGAGUGAAAUAGCUGUGUGGUUAUGUAAUUCUUUUAGGGUUACUUCUUUAAUUAACUAUUCAUGAGAAUAGUGAGAAAGUUUUAUGCUGUCUUUUAGAAGACAUAAUAAACAAUACAGGAAUUCCAACCUAGAUAAAGCUUCCAAAAAGCAUUCAGACCGGCCAGGAUAGAACCAGAAAAAUGAUUUCAGAGUAAAACAUUUUUGUUUAUUCUUGUUGAUAAUAUUUUAAAAUAUCUGCACUUAAUAUUUUAUUACCCAUUGGGUUUAAUGUUUUUGUUUAUUUGUUUGUUUGUUUUUUACCUUAGCUAGAAUUCACAAACAGUAUUUUAAGUGAACAACUUAAUAUGGUUUAUCAGAUAUGUAUUCUAACAUAACCCAACUUUCCUGUCAGGUGUAGAACAUUUUCCUUAUCCAGUAAAUCCUCUAGUGCUCUCUCACAGUUUCUACCCAUCCCACAUGUAGAGGUAACCUUUGUUGUGUUUUUUUAAUCAUUAUAAAUUAGUUUUGCCUGUUUUCUAACUUCAUCUGAUUCAUCUUUACUCUUUUGAGUUCAUUUUCUUUCAGCAUGAUAUUUUCAGUCAUGCACAUUAUUGUGUGUAUCAAUAGUUUACUCAUUUUUAUGAGCUGAAUGGUAUUGCACUGUAUAAAUAUAACCCAAUUUGUUUAUCCAUUCUCCUGUUGCUGAACAUUUAAGUUGUUUAAAUAUAUUUACUAUUAGAAAUAAAGCUGUAAGGAACACUCUUGUAUUGAUCUUUUGGUGGGUAUGUUUUCAUUUCUGUUGGUCAAAUACUUAAGAGUGGGAUUACUCAGUCAUGAGGUAUACAGUUAAUAUAAGAAAAUAUCAAGCCAUUUCCAAAGUAGUUAUAACAUUCACACUCCCACCCAGAGUUUUGGAGAGUUUCUGUUACCUUCCAUUCUCACCAACAUUUGGUGGUGGUAUCGAUUUUUGAGUUUUAGCCAAUCCAGCAGCUAUGAAGUGGUAUUUGGUUGCGGAUUUAAUAUUUUCAUUUCUCUAAGGAAUAAUGAUGUUGAGUCCUUUUUGUGCUUAAUAGCCAUUCACAUAUUUUCUUUUUGUGAAGUAUGUAGUCUUGACUUUUGCUCAUUUAUAUUGUAAUUUUUAAAAGAUAGUAUUUUGCAAGAGAUUUUUAUAUGUUCUGAAUAUAAGCUCUUAGAGAUAUGCAGUGAGUAUAUUUUCUCCCAGCUUGUUGUUUAAUUUUCAUUUUCUUAAUACUGUCUUUGGAUGAACAGAAGGUUCAAAUUUUGAUUAAGUCCAAAUUAUCAUUUUUUUUUCUGCUAUGGUUAGCCCAUAAAAUUCAGUACGUGAAUCUACAAGAUCUAUUUUUACCUCUAUGUAUUUAUCAGAAUAAAAUUCCAAAUUAUGUGUAAUUCACUAAACCAGAAACCUUUAUUAGCGAAAACUUUCUAUGAUACUUCACUAAUUGGAAAAAGAAGACAAACUUUUUUUAGCAUCAUGGUAGCCUCUAUUCAUAUAGAGCUACAUUCAACUACAAGCACAUAGAAAUGCUGUGUAAAAAUAUAACCAAAACAGGGGUGCCCCAGUGGCUAAGUUGGUUAAGCGUCCCAACUUUGACUCAGGUCAUGGUCUUGCAGUUUGUGGGUUCUAGCCCUGUGUUGGGCUCCAUGCUGACAGCUCAGAGCCUGGAGCCUGCCUCAGUUUAUGUGUCUCCCUCUCUCUCUGCCCCUCCCCCACUCAUGAUGUCUCUCUCUCUCUCUCUCAUUCUCUCUUUGCCUCUCUCAAAAAUAAAUAAACAUUAAUAUAUAUAUAUGUAUGUGUGUGUAUAUAUAUAUAUAUAUAUAUAUGACCAAAACAUUAAUUUCCCUGCAAAUUUAAAAGAACAGAAGGAAAAUUCCUACCUACCAAAGAGAAAAGAUAACAACCAAAAUCUCAAAGCCAUAGCAGUAAAAAUGCAAGUUGAUGCUUAACAGCUGAGUAAAAGUUUAGGGAUGCGUGUAAUGGCAGGAAAUUGGCUUUAAUAGCUACAGGUAGGGCCACGGAAGCUAUUGUAGAUGCUAUGGCUCAGGGCCUGUGCCAAGUCAUGAGAUGACACCAAACUGUACAAACUGGAAAAUGCUCUGUGAAAUGGAGACUAGAAAAGUCUACCUUUCUCAAGCUUGUUCCUGUUUGGGAGUAUGAUUGGGAAAAAGAUCUCCCACAAGGGGAAAACCAAAACAGCGAAAGAACCUAUAGCUUAAUAAUACAAAGGCGUAUUGAAAUCCAAGCUGAGAAAUUAACAUAAAAACUAGCCAUCUUCUGGUGGUGUUCCUGGACAUUUGGUGAAAGUAAAUGCAGAAUGUCUCUGUAGGGAACACUUUUCCUAAUCAGACCAAGCAGUACUUCCCACCCCCAACAAAGACAACAACAGCAAAAAUGAAAGAAAACAAACAAACAACAACAACAACAACAACAAAACUUGAUUGCAGAUUAUCUCAUACCAAAAGAUUAUCAAAUACAUUAGGAAAUAUUCCACAGGAGAAAAAGUAAGUGUCCUUACUAAACAAGAGUUAUAUUUUUCUCAAGAUUAAGAAGGUGAAACCCUAGAAAAAUGUAUGUUGUGUGUUUAAAAUGAUAAGGCAUAUAAAGAACAUAUAAGCCACACACAUAAGCCACAAUGAAAUAAGAGAACACUAUAAACAAAGAACUGGCAGAUUAAAAAAAAUCUAGAAAGGCAAUAUGCAAGAUAGAUAGAUUAAUCUGAAGUCUAUUAGUGUACUGAAAACCAGAUUUAAGGAAGUCCUUGGGAUUCUGGGGAAAAAAGAUUAAUAAAUGGGAUAUAUGAGAAAGACAUUAUGUAACAGUGGGUAGGGUAACAAAUUCCUACAAAUGUCCAAUAGAUUUUCCAGAAGAUGAACAUAGAAAACGGGGGGGGGGGCAAUGCUAAGAGAUAAUAUUUGAGAAUUUCCAUGAAUUACUGCGAAUCCAGAUCCCAGGACAAAGAAUACAUCCAGUCUAAAGCAGUGUAUUCAAAGACCAUUGCAUGCACCACUAGAAAUUUGAAAAACACUGAAAUACCAAGUACAGCAGAAAUUAUAAGGGCCAAUAGAAAAGAUGACUCACCUACAAAAAAAUCUUCAGCUAAAUGUACAUUUCUCUCUUACAAAGCUAAUAACCAGAACAUGAGAGAAUAGUAUAUUUAAAAUACAAAGAGAAAGUAACAUAUAAUGUGGAAAUUUUUACCCUGCAAAGCUAUUAUUUAGGACAGAAGUAAAAUAAAGAUUUAUCAAAGAUGAACAAAGACAAUUUACUGUGUAUUGAAUCUCAGCAAAAGAAGUACUAAAAAAAAUGUAUUCCUGUAAGAAGGAAAACAAAUAGAGAACACUGGACCUUGGUAGUGAUGUUGGUUAACUUUAAGUCAGUUAUACCAAUUAAGAAUAGAAAUAUUAAAUAUAUGUUCUAAAUCAACAGAAGGAAAAAAGGGCAAUAGCAAAAAUUUGUUUCAUCUCAUACAAGGCAGGAAAGAAAAAUAGGCAAAGAAAUUAUAGAAAAGAGAAAGCAUAAAAUGGUUAAAUAUAAAUCCAAAUCCAUCAAAAAUCACAAGAAAUAAACAGAUGAAACACAUAUUUAAAAACAGAUUGUCAGAUAAAUAAAAAACCCCAAGUAUCAUUUUUGUAACUUUAGAAGACACAAAAAGUUACAUGAUUUAUGGUUACCAAGAACAUCAUAGGAUAUAAAGACAUGUUUUGCCAGGAGACACAUCCUCUUCCAACUAUGAAUUAUAUCUGAGGAGACAAAAGCUGCUUCAACUAACCCUGUGAUGUUUUAUUUCCUAAAAAAAUAACAAGUCCAAGUCAAAUAGGGCGAAAUAUUAACAUUUUAAGUCCAGAGUAUGCAAAAUCCUCAGUCAUUUGAGAAGUAAUCUGUUCUGUCUAUUCUGUUCUUACUUCCUUCCAUUGAAAAUUGAACUGUGUUAGGAACAUUUUUGACAAGUGCUCAAACAAAACAAAAUUUCUCAUUAAUGUGGAAUUAAGUAGAAGUUAAAUUAACCAUAGCUUUGCAUUUCUUAAAGAUUCAGACUUUUGUUGGAAUUUGCUGUAAAUAUGAGUGGAUUAGAUAUGGGUCUUGCCCUCAUCCAAUGUAUUUAUUUCUGCCAAUAAAAAUUCCUAUGAAAUACGAGAUGAAGAUAAAAUAUACAUGAGAGAACAUAUUUUUUUUCUGUAAGUCUAAAUGCCCAACUCACAUUUGCUAUUUUUAAAAUUUCUUUUAAGUCUUUGGGAUUUUCUGUAUGACAGUGAUUUCCUAUUUUUAAUAAUACUAUGACUUUGCACAGAGACCCUUGAAAAGAAAGUUCCACUGCACUUCUUUAUUAGACAAAUUAUCCCCAUGGCCAAUACAGCUGUGAGAUGUGUCCUUGGACUUUGAGAGGUAUUUGGAUAAUCAUUCUGUCAAUUGAGGCUUUGAUAACCUCCCAUGUACUGCACAGCCGGUUGUGUAAGAGUGGUAUAAGGUGUUAAAAUGUUACCUUGUCCUACACAUCUGGUCUCUCUGUACUACAGACUUGGGUUUUCAGGGAUAUAUUUGUCCAAGAAAGUCAGGCACUGGGCAAACUGACUCAUGACAGCCAAACCCACUAAUGGGUUUGGAAACAUACUCUCUUCCCACAAAGAAAAGAAAGAAAUUCAAAUGAAAGAGGAGGCUGCUUAAUGAGUAUGUGAGGUUAGAUCUGGAAAGGAGGGAGGGAGGAAGGGAAGAUGAGAGGGAGAGAGUGGGGGAGAGAGAAAGAGAGAGAGCAAGAGCGAGAGAGCACCAUCAUGUAUUAGAUGAGUAUACAUCUGAUUUUGGCACAUAUGCGACCUAUGCUGCAAAUGGACUAUCCUCCUUUUACUUGCUUUUGUUACCUCAUUUGUGUCUAAAUGUGUUUAUCAUUGCUGAUGUAUUUUAAGGAGUUUAGAUUUGGGAUAUGGAAGAAAGUCUGGGAUUAGGAUAAAGGUAUCCGAGGAGUUUAUAUAAGAGUGUAUAGUAAAGUUGUGGAAAUGAGAAGACCAUGAAAGAAAAUCUGAAAAGUAGACUUGGAAGAGUUGAUAUAGGAAGGAAUCUGGGUAUAGUCUGCAUUAUUUUAGGGGUGCCUGGGUGGCUCAGUUGGUUAAGCGUCCAACUCUUGAUUUUGGCUCAGGUCAUGAUCUCAUGAUUUUUGAGAUGGAGCCCCUCAUCAGGCUCUGUACUGACAGCAUGAAGCCUGCUUGGGAUUCUCUCUCUCCCUCUCUUUCUUCCCCUCCCCUGCUCAUGCUGUCUCUCUCUCAAAAUAAGUAAACUAACAUUCCCACCCCCCCCCCCCCCCAAAAAAAGAAAAACUGGGGCGCCUGCCUGCGUGGCUCAGUCAGUUAAGCAUCCGAGUUGAUCUCAGCUCAGGUCAUGAUUUCAGUUUGUGAGUUGUGUCGAUGCAGAGCCUCCUUGGGAUUCUCCCUCUCUCUCUGCCCCUCCCCUGCUCAUGUGUGGUCUCUCUCGGUCUCUCUCAAAAUAAAAAAACAAACUUUAAAAAAAGAAAAACUGAAAAGUAGACUUAGAAGAGUUGAUAUAAGAGGAAAUCUGGGUAUAGACAGCAUUAUUUCUGAUGAAGACAUGGGUGCCUCUUCCUUCUUGUGUUGUGGAUGCUUCAUACCAUGUAGUUACCUUUGAAGGUGAAGACCUUCUGUUGUGUCCCAUUAGAAGGUUAUUCUUCGUACUUUCUAAAAUUAUAGCAUAUGUGUCAGGAACAGUAUAGUGAACUCUACAAACCCUAGACAAACCCCAGAUCUUUGGGGUUUAAUACAAUAAAGUUUCUUGGUCUCAUUCGGAGUCCAACACUGAUGUCUAUGGUUGACAGACAGGUCUUUGCUGAGCAGUGAUUAAGGUCUCCAGGCUCCUUCCAUCUUGUGGUUUUGCCAUUUCAACUUCUGUCUUUCAUGACCACUCUGCUUCUCUGCCUCAUGUCAGAGGGUGGAGGAUGGGGACUGUGCAUGAGAAGACUUAUGAGCAGGUUUGGAAGUGGCGUAUAUUAUUUCUAUCCUGGCCAUAGCACCUGUAAAGGAGGCUGCAGUAGGUGGUCUUACUGUGAGCUUGACAAGAAGACAAAACUCUCUUGGAAGAAUCUCCCAAAUUUUCAAGUAAGCAUUCCUGUGUCCUCAUUGAUGUCUGAUAUUUUAUUAAGCAACCCUUUCAAUGGGUUCUUACGUUUGUUGCCAUAUAAAUAAGAGAAGUAGGAAUUUGGGACAUUGAUGGAUAUGUAUCCUUUACUAUAAAUUAUUGCAUUUCAAUUUGUGAGUCAUAACUUAUUAGCAGAUUUGAAAACAAUUUAAUGUCAAGUUGCGACCUGCACUUGAAAAAGAUGCAAAAGGAGGGGCGCCUGGGUGGCUCAGUCAGUUAAGUGGCCAACUCCGUAUUUCAGCUCGCGUCACGAUCUCAUGGUUUGUGAGAUCAAGCCCUGCGAUGGACUUUGAAUUGACAGCCCAGACCCUGCUUGGGAUUCACUCUCUCCCUCUCUCUCCCCCUCUCGCUCUCGCUCUCUCUCUCUCUCUCUCUCUCUCUCUCUCCGUCUCUCUCUCUCUCUCAAAAAUAAAUAAACAUUUUUUAAAAAGAUGAAAAACGAUAGAAUGGAAUAAAAAAGUUCACAGUACAUUACAUAAUGUACAAGUAAGAAUUGUUUUAUAUAACUUUUGUUACAAUUAUAUAUUAUAAAAAUAUAUAAUAUUUGUAUUUAUAUAUAUAUAAUACAUAAUUGUAUAUUAUAUAUACUAAUAUAUCAUUAAAACAAAAGUUAUAUGUUUCUAUCUAUACAAAUGUAUGUGGGUUAUUAAGUCUGCUGUAACACAAAUUUCUUCCUAUACAGAUACAAAUUUCCUUGCACAAAAAAAUGUGCAGUAAUAUUAUAGCCAGUUUAUGGCCCUUUUCAUACAAGAUAUUACUUAAGGCGGACAUGGGAGAUAAGAUAAAGCUAUCCGAUUUCGCAAUUUUGCUUAGGGUUGUACAGGGUAAGUGAAAGGAUGCCCAUUUAAGUUCCAGUAUCACCUGCAUUUUCUUUUUCCUGUAAAUAACAGUACCAGGAUAGGACAUUUUUGAAAUAUCCUAAGAAAUUGUCACAUCUCUACACAAGGCUAAGGAUGAGUUGGUGGCAGAAUUACAAACUUAACUCUCAAUCUGUUUGCCUUCUGUCAGUUUUAGACAGAUAAUUUUUUUUAAUCGUUGUUUCAAGAAGUAUCAAUAUACAUGCAUAGUAUCAGUCCUGUCAUCUAAAGUUCUUUAUAUAAGCAGGUGGUUUCGGACCUUGCCUGCAGCAAUAGCCUUUGAUCAUUUAGGGGCUACUGAUGUACCCUAGGCAGCUCCAGUUAAACAGUUAUUUGUAGUCAUUUAGAUAUACACCUUUAUACUGUAUCUUUAAUCUUUUUGCACUUGUAAUAGGCUCACAGUGAGAGAAUAUUUGAAAAGAUUUUUCCCCCACAGUUAUACUUCACCUUUUUCUUUCUGGGGACAUACGUAGUGGUUUUUUUGCUGUAUGAAUGUAAUUGAGAUUAUACAUAAGCAUGAAUAUUUGAUAAAUACAAUUAGAGACAAGCCUAGUAAAAUCAUUUGAGAUGGUUUCUACUAGAAGCUAAAGGCAACUGUUUCUAUUUGGAUGUAACUUUUGAACCUAAGAUCUGGAGUUCCUCAGGAAUCCCAGAGUAAUAAAGAUAUCUGUUUCCCUCCAUAUAUGAUUUACGAAAAAUGGAAUAUAGUGUAUGAAGUGGUUAAGGAGGAGGAGAACACAAAACCAAAGGACUGGUCAGUUUGAUCCCUACUGUUUUCACAUAAAGACUCAUAUAUUCCCAGUUUGUAGGGAUCGACAGCCACAAACCCAGAGAUGCCACAACAAAUCCCAUGUAGUACAUGAAUGUGUGGUACAGCUCACGUUCAUGCUGGUGGGAGGAUGCGGGAUGAGUUCACCAAGAAACUUCUAGUCAGACGGCUACAUGAACUGGGAGGAAAAUGUAUCAAUAUUGGUCACAAGGAGGACUGUUCUUGAAUCUUGGCUCUGCCAUUUCUUCUAGCUACUACUAUAGACCAAUUAUUUGGCUUUUCUAUGAAUAACUUUCCUACUUGUACAACCAGAAUGAUAAUACUGUAUCAGUCAGAAGUGUUUAUUGUCAGUGACAGAGCUCAGAUCAGCUUAAACAGAAAUACAGGUUUUGUUUUUGUUUUUUGGCUCAGCUAAUAGAAAACCCAGAGGCAUACCAGCAUCAGAGGAGCUGCUUGAUUUAGGGUCAUAAGUCUUUUCAUGGUUAGGGGUAGGGGUAGUUUCCAGCUCUCUUUCUCUGCAUUACUCAGUUUUGCUGUUAUCUUCUUUUGAAUUUGGAUAUCAUACAAAUUGUAUUAACAGCAGCAAAAGUGACUGAAAAGCAUCCAAGUUAUACAAUCCCAGACUAAACAACACAGAAAAGAGGGUAUUUGAAAAAAUAAUUCCCACAGGAGAGUAGAAACCCAACUAGAACUUUCCUAUCAAAGGCUCUUCUUGCAAUAAAUGUGAUCACAUGACAGCCUUUGAAUGGCCACAUGAGUGGGAUACACUAUUAGGGUCUGACCCAGAAACUGAAGGUCAGUCUAUCCCACAGGUAAAUUCUGGCUGAGAAGUGGUUCUUCUGAAAGAAAUUCAGGUUUGGUUUAGAGGAAAAAUGCUGGGGAGGCUGGCAUCUGCUGGUUGUCACUUGACUACCCCACAUCCAUAUACAUUCCUCUUCCCAUGAAGGGAUGCCGAGGCCUAUGUCAGAUGUGCUUGAUCCAUCUGCCCUCCAGGGAGACCAUCCAGACCCGCACCCCUGAGUGGGCUUGGUGGUUCAGCACUAGCCUGUCUUCUGGAGGGCCUGCUGUGUGCCUGGCUCUCGGCCAACUCCUGGGAACCACCCUCGGGGGUUCUCCCUCUGUUACUAAUGAGUGAGACCGUUUUGUACACCUGGGGCACCCAGCCAUGCUUUAGCAACUUGUUAAGACAGCGUGUGCAGACAUCUGGUGGAUACUGGUUUCCUUCUAGGGCUCUUCGUUUCAGAAAUCAUGGCAGGGAAGUGAGCCGACAUACCCAGUCCCCGAUAAAAGUCCUGUUCUCCGAGGCAAGAGGACCUCCUUGGUCAGAAAUACUUGGCUUGUGCCACAAUUCUUUCUUGGAGGAACAGUGCACCCUGUGUGAUUCCUUGAAGGAGGGCUUUGGAAACCUGUGUGUAGGGGUGCAUGGGUGGCUCCAUCUGGUUAAGCGUCCGACUCUUGAUUUCAGCUCAGGUCAUGACCUCACAGUUCAUGAGAUCAAGCCCCAUAUGGAGCUCUGAGCUGACAGCAUGCAGCCUGCUUGGGAUAAUUUCUUUCUCUGCCCCUCCCCCACUUGUGCCCACACACUCUCUCUCUUUCUCUUUCUCAAAAAUAAAUAAAUAAAUAAAUAAACUUAAAAAAAGAAGAAAAAAAGAAAAAAGAAACCUGUACCUAGCUCCUGACAGGCUCCAUUCAAAGGUCUUGUCUCCCUUGCUGAUCUUGCUUUGUUUCCUUUUACUGUAAUAAACAUUAGUUCUGGGUUUUGUGAGUCCUUCUAGGGAAUCAUUAAAGGUGUGUGUGGUUGUACUACUUCCAAAAAAGUCACGUCUUACCAUCCAGAUCCAAAACUAGGGUUCUCUAGGUUAGUGGUAGGCAAACAUGUAUAUAUAAAUUUAUGCCAGAUCUUAAAUACAUUUGCAGGUAAUAACACUGUGACAAUUACCUAGCUGUGUGAGCUGUUGUAGUGCAGCUGUAGAUAAUUCAUAAACAAAUGAGUGUGGCUGUUUCAGUACAAUUUUAUUUAUAAUGCAAGCAGUGGGAGAAGGUGUGGGCAGAUCUGGUACACACACUGUAGUUUCUUGACUGCUACUCUAGUAGUGGGCCAUAUUCUCGACUUUGUUCAAAUCUAACUUUCUGUAGUGUGAUGAUCUGACCAAAUUUAGCUUGGAAGCUUAACUUCUUACAAUGCAAUCAAUAUAAAAUGGAGGAUAAUGCAUAAAAAUAUGUAUAUUAAUCAUAGUCUGUGACAUGCAUGUUUCUUGCUAGGCCUGCACAGCAUAGACUCCUUGAUCUGGGAGUAAAUUCUCAAUGAGCUCGCUGGUGUUUCUAAACCCGCCAAGAAGUAUCUCUCUCUCUCUCUCUUUUUAAUUUUAUAUAUUUUUAAAUUUACAUCCAAUUAGUUAGCAUAUAGUGCAACCAGCAAUCCUCUGUUUGUUCUCCAUAUUUAAGAGUCUCUUAUGUUUUGUCUCCCUCCCUGUUUUUAUAUUAUUUUUGCUUUCCUUCCCUUAUGUUAAUCUGUUUUGUCCCUUAAAGUCCUCAUAUGAGUGAAGUCAUAGGAUAUUUGUCUUUCUCUGACUGACUAAUUUUGCUUAGCAUAAUACCCUCCAGUUCCAUCCAUGUAGUUGCAAAUGGCAAGAUUUCCUUCUUUUUGAUUGCCAAGUAAUACUGCGUUGUAUAUAUAUAUAUACCACAUCUUCUUUACCCAUUCAUCCAUCGAUGGACAUUUGGGCUCUUUCCAUUCUUUGGCUAUUGUUGAUAGUGCUGCUAUAAACAUGGGCAUGCAUAUGUCCCUUCGAAACAGCACACCUGUAUCCUUGGAUAAGUACCUAGUAGUCAAAUUGCUGGGUCAUAGGGUAGUUCUAUUUUUAGUUUUUGAGGAACCUCCAUACUGGUUCCCAGAGUGGCUGCACCAGUUUGCAUUCCCACCAGCAGUGCUAAAGAGAUCCUCUUUCUCCGCAUCCUCGGCAACAUCUGUUGUUGCCUGAAUUGUUAAUGUUAGCCCUUCUGGCAGGUGUGAGGUGGUAUCUCAUUGUGGCUUUUAUUUGUAUUUGCCUGAUGAUGAGUGAUGUUGAGCAUUUUUUCCAUGUGUCUGUUGGCCAUCUGGAUGUCUUCUUUGGAGAGGUGUCUAUUCAUGUCUUUUGACCAUUUCUUCACUGGACUAUUUGUUUUUUGGGUGUUGAGUUUGAGAAGUUCUUUAUAGAUUUUGGAUACUAACCCUUUACCUGAUAUGUCGUUUGCAAAUAUCUUCUCCCAUUCUGUCAGUUGCCUUUUAGUUUUGCUGAUGGUUUCCUUCGCUUUGCAGAAGCUUUUUAUUUUGAUGAGGUCCCAAUAGUUCAUUUUUGCUUUUGUUUCCCUUGCCUCUGGAGAUGUGUUGAGUAAGAAGUUGUUGCGACCGAGGUCAAAGAGGUUUUCGCCUGCUUUCUCCUCGAGGAUUUUGAUGGCUUCCUGUCUUAUGUUUAGGCCUUUCAUCCAUUUUGAGUUUAUUUUUGUGUAUGGUGUAAGGAAGUGGUCUAGUUCCAUUUUCCUGCAUGUUGCUGUCCAGUUUUCCCAACACCAUUUGCUAAAGGGACUGUCUUUAUUCCUUUGGAUACUCUUUCCUGCUUUGUCAAAGAUUAGUUGGCUAUGAGUUUGUGGGUUCAUUUCUGGGUUCUCUAUUCUGUUCUAUUGAUCUGAGUGUCUGUUUUUGUGCCAGUACCAUACUGUCUUGAUGAUUACAGCUUUAUAAUACAGCUUGAAGUCCGGGAUUGUACUGCCUACUGCUUUGAUUUCUUAAUUUUUUUUAAUGUUUAUUUAUUUCUGAGACAGAAAGAGACAGAGCAUGAGUGUGGGAGGGGCAGACAGAGAGGGAGACACAGAAUCAGAAGCAGGCUCCAGGUUUUGAGCUGUCAGCACAGAGCCAGACACGGGGCUUGAACUCACAACCCGUGAGACCAUGACCUGAGCUGAAGUCCGCCGCUCAACCGACUGAGCCACCCAGGCGGCCUUUGAUUUUCUUUUUCAACAUUGCUUUGGCUAUUCGGGGUCUUUCUGGUUCCAUACAAAUUUUAGGAUUGUUUGUUUUAACUCUGUGAAGAAUGCUGGUGUUAUUUUGAUAGGGAUUGUACUGAAUAUGUAGAUUGAUUUGGGGAGUAUUGACAUUUUAACAAUAUUUGUUCUUCCUAUCCAGGAGCAUGGGAUCUUUCCAUUUUUUUUGUGUCUUCUUCAAUUUCAUUCAUAACCUUUCUAUAGUUUUCAAUGUAUCGGUUUUUCACCUCUUUGGUUAGAUUUAUUCCUAAGUAUUUUAUGGUUUUUGUGCAAUUAUAAAUGGGAUUGAUUCCUUGAUUUUUCUUUCUGUUGCUUCAUUGUUGGUGUAUAGAAAUGCAACCGAUUUCUGUGCAUUGAUUUUAUAACCAGUGACUUUGCUGAAUUCAUGGAUCAGUUCUAGCAGUUUUUUGGUGGAAUCUUUUGGGUUUUCCCUAUAGAGUAUCAUGUCACCUGCAAUGAGUGAAAGUUUGACUUCCUCCUGGCCAAUUUGGAUGCCUUUUAUUUCUUUGUGUUGUUUGAUUGCUGAGGAUAAGACUUCCAAUACUAUGUUGGACAACAGUGGUGAGACUGGACAUCCCUGUCUUGUUCCUGACCUUAGGAGGAAAGCUCUCAGUUUUUCCCCAUUGAGGAUGAUAUUUGUGUUGGGUCUUUCAUGUAUGGCUUUUAUGAUCUUGAGGUCUGGUCCUUCCAUCCCUACUUUCUUGAGGGUUUUUAUCAAGAAAGGAUGCUGUAUUUUGUCAAAUGCUUUUUCUGCAUCUAUUGAGAAGACCAUGUGGUUCUUGUCCUUUCUUUUAAUGAUGUGAUUAAUCACGUUGAAUGUUUUACAGAUAUUGAACCAGCCCUGCAUCCCAGGUAUAAAUCCCACUUGGUCAUGGUGAAUAAUUCUUUUUAAUGUAUUAUUGGAUACGGCUGGGUAAUAUCUUGUUGAGGAUUUUUGCGUCUGUGUUCAUCAGGGAAAUUGGUCUAUAGUUCUCCUUUUUAGUGGGGUCUAUGUCUGGUUUUGGAAUCAAGGUAAUGCUGGCUUCACAGAAAGAGUAUGGAAGUUUUCAUUCUAUUUCUAGUUUUUGGAACAGCUUCAAGAGAAUAGGUGUCAACUCUACCUUAAAUGUUUGGUAGAAUUCCCCUGGAAAGCCAUCUGGCCCUAGACUCUUGUUUUUUGGGAGAUUUCUGACUACUGAUUCAAUUUCCUUACUGGUAAUGGAUCUGUUCAAAUUUUCUAUUUCUUCCUGUUCCAGUUUUGGUAGUGUAUAUGUUUCUAGGAAUUUGUCUAUUUUUUCCAGAUUGCCCAUUUUAUUGCAUAUAAUUGCUCAUAAUAUUCUCUUAUUAUUGUUUUUAUUUCUGCUGUGUUGGUUGUGAUCUCUCCUCUUUCAUUCUUGAUUUUAUUUAUUUGGGUCCUUUCCUUUUUCUUUUUGAUCAAACUGGUUAGUGGUUUAUCAAUUUUGUUAAUGCUUUCAAAGAACCAGCUUCUGGUUUCAUUGAUCUGUUCUACUGUUUUUUUUUNNNNNNNNNNNNNNNNNNNNNNNNNNNNNNNNNNNNNNNNNNNNNNNNNNNNNNNNNNNNNNNNNNNNNNNNNNNNNNNNNNNNNNNNNNNNNNNNNNNNNNNNNNNNNNNNNNNNNNNNNNNNNNNNNNNNNNNNNNNNNNNNNNNNNNNNNNNNNNNNNNNNNNNNNNNNNNNNNNNNNNNNNNNNNNNNNNNNNNNNNNNNNNNNNNNNNNNNNNNNNNNNNNNNNNNNNNNNNNNNNNNNNNNNNNNNNNNNNNNNNNNNNNNNNNNNNNNNNNNNNNNNNNNNNNNNNNNNNNNNNNNNNNNNNNNNNNNNNNNNNNNNNNNNNNNNNNNNNNNNNNNNNNNNNNNNNNNNNNNNNNNNNNNNNNNNNNNNNNNNNNNNNNNNNNNNNNNNNNNNNNNNNNNNNNNNNNNNNNNNNNNNNNNNNNNNNNNNNNNNNNNNNNNNNNNNNNNNNNNNNNNNNNNNNNNNNNNNNNNNNNNNNNNNNNNNNNNNNNNNNNNNNNNNNNNNNNNNNNNNNNNNNNNNNNNNNNNNNNNNNNNNNNNNNNNNNNNNNNNNNNNNNNNNNNNNNNNNNNNNNNNNNNNNNNNNNNNNNNNNNNNNNNNNNNNNNNNNNNNNNNNNNNNNNNNNNNNNNNNNNNNNNNNNNNNNNNNNNNNNNNNNNNNNNNNNNNNNNNNNNNNNNNNNNNNNNNNNNNNNNNNNNNNNNNNNNNNNNNNNNNNNNNNNNNNNNNNNNNNNNNNNNNNNNNNNNNNNNNNNNNNNNNNNNNNNNNNNNNNNNNNNNNNNNNNNNNNNNNNNNNNNNNNNNNNNNNNNNNNNNNNNNNNNNNNNNNNNNNNNNNNNNNNNNNNNNNNNNNNNNNNNNNNNNNNNNNNNNNNNNNNNNNNNNNNNNNNNNNNNNNNNNNNNNNNNNNNNNNNNNNNNNNNNNNNNNNNNNNNNNNNNNNNNNNNNNNNNNNNNNNNNNNNNNNNNNNNNNNNNNNNNNNNNNNNNNNNNNNNNNNNNNNNNNNNNNNNNNNNNNNNNNNNNNNNNNNNNNNNNNNNNNNNNNNNNNNNNNNNNNNNNNNNNNNNNNNNNNNNNNNNNNNNNNNNNNNNNNNNNNNNNNNNNNNNNNNNNNNNNNNNNNNNNNNNNNNNNNNNNNNNNNNNNNNNNNNNNNNNNNNNNNNNNNNNNNNNNNNNNNNNNNNNNNNNNNNNNNNNNNNNNNNNNNNNNNNNNNNNNNNNNNNNNNNNNNNNNNNNNNNNNNNNNNNNNNNNNNNNNNNNNNNNNNNNNNNNNNNNNNNNNNNNNNNNNNNNNNNNNNNNNNNNNNNNNNNNNNNNNNNNNNNNNNNNNNNNNNNNNNNNNNNNNNNNNNNNNNNNNNNNNNNNNNNNNNNNNNNNNNNNNNNNNNNNNNNNNNNNNNNNNNNNNNNNNNNNNNNNNNCAAAAUGAAAUGAUGGAAGUAAAAUAGAGUUUGAAAAAAAUUACACAAAAGUAAAAAAUAUAGUAGAAAAAAUUUAAAAAUAUUUUAUUUCAUAUAGAAAAUAAAAGUGAAUUUUUUCCCUUUCUGUAUUAAAAAAAAAUAAAAGAAACGAUAAAGAAAAAAAAGGAAGAAAGAAAGAAAAUUGAAUAGAUAUACUGGCUAACACACUGAAAUAUGACUGAAAUUACUUCCUUUUCCCCUAGAAGUCAAACUAUUAAGCACUUUAUAGUCCAUAAACUAAGCUGGCAGUGAGACUUGUGUUCUUGAAGAGCAAGGUUGGCCCAGUUGGGUGGGGCUUAGUGUAAUGGCUCUGUUCUCCACUAGAUGGUGCUGCUAGCCUACUGGGGUGGAUUGUUUUGGUGCUUGUCGUGCGUAUGUGCAUGCGCGGGAGUGGUGAAAAUGGCGUUACCCAGGUACCCAGUCUCUAGUAUUGGAACUCUGUUCUUCCCAAUCAGCAAUCACACCCCCAUCCUUCGUCUUCGGCUUUGUCCGCUCCCCGCUUCCACACUGUCUGUGACCAAGCCCCCGGCAGCACCUCCCUUCUGAGUUUUGUUUCAGAUGCAGCUGCGUUCCCUGGCUCCUUACUUCUGAGGAACUGCGGUUUUGAUCUGUUCUGCCCCUCUGUGGAGGGUCUCACUGAGCGAUGAGCCAAAUGUCGGCUGCACCCAGGGACGCUUGCUGGGCCCUGCUGCUGCCGGUGCCCCUAGACUGCAGCCGGGUGCCAGCCCGCCCCAGAAAAAGUUUGCGAGACAGUGUAGCAGCAGUGUUUCAGGGAUUAUGGAAAAUCACAACACACAUCUGGCACCAGGCUUCACCCCCCAAUGACCUUGUUCCAGCACCAGUGAAUGUGGCUGUUCUCUGGGGUCUGCUAGGCCCAGGUGGCCUCACAGCCUCUACAAAAUGCCCUUCCAGCAGUGGAACGGCUUCUCCCAUGUGCCCCAAGAACCUCCCAGACCCCACUCUCCUCCUGGGGAUUCACCCUUCCCACCAGAGCACCGCCAGGUAUUGAGCUGCAGACUUUCAGACUAUGUGCUCCCCUUGUUUACAGUCUUAAUGGAAUUUAAACCCUCUCCUUUCUCCUUUCUCCUUAGUUCAGUUCCUGCGGCUGUUUCCAAUUUUCCACUUUCUCUCCAGCUGCUUUUGGGGAGGGGUGCUUUUCCCGAAUCCUCCCCUGUCUCUGUUCUCUCUCUGCACACAAAAGCGGCUCCCUGCCCUCCGCGGCUUCUGUCUCCCCAAGUUCACCUCUCCGUGCCACAUACCUGUUGAGUUCUGUGGUUCAGGUUGUGCAGAUUGUUGUGUUAAUCCUCAGAUCAGUUUUCUAGGUGUGCAGGAUGGUUUAGUGUUGGUCUGGCUGUAUUUCAUGGACUCGAGACACACAGAAAACUUGCAUGCUGUUCUGCCAUCUUGGCUCCUCCCCGGAAGUAUCUCUCUUAACCAUUGUCACUGUGAUCACCUCUUGUGUAGGCAUUUGAGUGGUAUUUACCUUUAGAGCUUCACACGGCACCCCUUGGGGGUACAGCCAUCAACAUCCUUAAUUUCUCACUAAUUGGUUGCAGGUUUGUCUUCAAACUAUUUCCUUCAUACUUUAAUUGAAUUUUAAGCAGGCUUUAAACUCCUUUUAUUAAACAUCAAAGGAUAGUGAACAAAACCAGAAAUGUUAUUAGAUAAUGGCCUUUGAGCAUAUAACCUGGCAUCAGUUUAUUUACCAGAAAUAGGUGUUUGUUUAAUGCCCUUUCCCUGUUCUCUUUUUGGGAGCAAUUCAGAGCAAUAGGUUGAUAGUUGGGGGGUGGGGGGGUCAUUUAUUUGCAUCUUUGCAAUGAAAGGGGAUGGUCCCUUUUGUAUUUAGAAAUGAACAAGAGUUUUCUUGGGAGGUGCCUAGGCAUUAGGAUUUGUUUAAGGCCCCAAUCUUACUUAUCACAUGCUAAUAUCUCUUCCCUAUGAUUUUUAUUGCAACUGAUUUUAGCUUGGGCUGAUAAUUCGGUUUUUUUCCACCAGUUGCAAAGUAAACUUCCAGUCAAUUUUGAUUGCUUGGAGUAGACCAAAACAAUCACUCAGAGAUCUGUGAAUCUUUUUUUCUGGACCACAUUAUUGUCUUUUCUAUAGAUACUUACAGAAGAGUGCUUUGGUCUUUUCAUCAAUAAAAUGGAGAUAAUAAUUGUAGCUGUGUUGUUAGUAGGAUGUAAUGGGAAGUUGCUCAUAUCAGAGGGCUAAAAGCUAUCAGCAGAAGGUAGGAAGGGGAAGGGACAGGGAAAGUCUGUGUUUUGUUUUGCACAACCAGAAAUUCCCACCCUAAAGCCUUCUAGGUGUUUCACCUGAUACCCCUGGCUAGGUAUUUCACUUGGUAGCCCCUUUUUUGAGCCAGUUUGAGCUGGUUCGGAGCUGAGGAUCUGCAUACAAGCCCCCCAAGUUCAUCCGAAGUUACCUUUAGCUCGUUAUAAUACUAAAGUCAGGGUUUUCCACGAUUUUUUUUUGAAUAUACGAUAUAUGCCCUAGCAUGUUGACAUGCUAGGCAUGCACAAUUGAACCAAAGUAUCUAUUACCAAAGUAAUAGAAUAUGUAUAAGUUCCUUAAUGUGUAUGCAAGUUCCUGGUCCCCAACACCAAUACACUGAAUAAAAGCCUUCUUUACCAACUCCAAGGGGAGACAGUGUUUUGAGAGCGAUCUCCCUGUCUCCUUACUUGUAACAAGUAAUGAAAGUUUGUUGCUUUCAGUAGUUUCUUAGGUUGUGUUUGAUUUAAUGCACCCCAAGAGGAAAACUCCUUGAAUCUGGUUACAGUGUCUUCAGUUAUUAUGAGUGUUAAAUGAGCUAAUAGAAGUAAACUGUUAGAAAAAUGCCUGGUGCAUAGUAAAUUGUUAAUAUAUGAUGGCCAAAAAAAAAAAAAAAAGGUCAUAAGCAGCCAACACACUCGUAUCUUGAAUAUUUCCUACUGAAUCCUUCAGUGCUUCAGCCUCAGUAGAUACAUGGUCUGAGCAUAAAGCUCCAACAGCUGCCAGUUUUCAUAUAGCAAAGGGUGCCAGUUUCUUAGCUCUAGUAACAGGAUCUUCAUUACUUUUUUCCCUACUUCAAUUUAGCCAGUGCUGUCUGUUAAAAUUCUCUUUUGAUACCCCAUUCCUGGUUCUCAACUCUAUAUGAUUAAGAAUCAUUUCCAAAAGGUGGAAAAUACAAAUCAAAAUGGCUUAUCCAAAAACAAAGAGCUGAGGAUUCUGUUAGCUCACAGAGAAGUUCAAGGGAAACAAAAGCUGUUGCUUAAUCUAGAGGUUCCUGAUAUCAUCAGAGCUUCAGUUAUAUAUUUCUCAAUGAGUUCCUUGGCUCUACUCUUCUUCAUUGAUCAGUGACAUUUUUAGGUUGUCUUCCAUCCAGUUGUUAAGAUAGUUAAAUGGCUAAGAGAAGUUAGAUCCUCCCCUACACUCACGACGCUAUCCAGAAUUUAGACCCAUGCUGGUUGCGACUGCCUGUUAAAAGCAUGAACUGACACGUAUUAAAAAUUUUAAGAGUUUAUUUGAGGAAAAAUUAAUUUGCAUUAGGCAGCACCAAACCAGAAGUGGUCAGGAGUGCUGAACAGGUGAGAGCCCAGGGAGACACUUUUAUAAAGAAAAGGUGGGAGCGAAAUAAGGAAGUUAUUGAUUGGCUAUAGCUUAAUGCCUAGUUGGUUAUUUAUGAUUGGUUGUCCUUAGAGUUUCAAUUUCAUAGCCUUGAAAUUUAUGGCUUUAGAUUUUAGUUUUUUACAUAGGCUCCUAGGGCAUUACAGCCACCUCAGUCUAAUGGCCAUCUUGUUUAUUUAUUUAACACUCAAAGAAGAGGGGAGGCUCCUUAUGAGGGCAUAAGCUCUUCACUUACUCAACUAUUGUGCAAGAUAGAGAUUCCAUCUAUCUUGUUGACUGUGUGUGACAGCUCUAGCAUACUGGAUGCAAAAACUCCAUUCCCAUUCGCGUGUAAUAUACUUUCCUUUGUUUUUGAGACUGGGAAGUUUAAGACAGUUUCUGGACCCCAUUUCAGAUGAUACAUUUCUGUCAACAGAGCCACUGAUGUAAGAUUUGCAAGGUAGGAAGAAGCCAGUCUCCACUUUUUGCUUCAUCUAGUUCUGUAGGUAAGCACAAUUGUGGAGAUUUUGUUUGUUUGCUCUUUCUUCAUCAAUGUUGUUAGAGUUUCCAGAAUUCAGUUUUUGUCUCAGGAGUGUCAAGAAACAGGAAAUGGGGUUUGAAUUUUAGUUGAGGUGAUGUGAUCUUGGGGCCAACAGCCUGGAAAUGAUACUGGAGUUAGCAAUUGAACGAGUAGCUUUCUGCUUACCCAGCUUUCUGGUAACAAGGUAAGUAACUAUGUUAGGACGGUUCUUUUAUAGUGAAUUUUCUGAGAAUGAUUUCUAAAGACUGAGACUUGGUUUGGCUUCUUCAGCUCCUCCAAUGAUUUUGUAAGCACCCUCUAUGUAAUGCCUUUCUGCUUAAACUGUCUAGAAUAGUUUCUGUUGUCUGCACCUGAAUCCAUGCCCUGCUGUAUUCGAAGUGCCUAGAAUGAUAGUUGGCAUAUUGUAUGUAAACACAAAUUACUUAUCACCUGGCUGAUUUUUCUUCCAGAAACCUCUACCACCAAACUUCUUGUUUUUUAUUGAGUGAAAUUAGUACCGAUAAGAUACCAGUUAUGGGCUGAAAUAUUAGGAUCAGGUGAUGGGCUACACUGAGCACUGGAAUGGAGGGUCGAGUAUAGUUAACCAUAUGGCUGAGACUGAAGGAACAAAAAUUCCCUAAAACAAUCUAGUUGUUUUCAAAGAGUAGGAAAUAGCACCUGGGGAGGCAAACAAUGAAUAUGUAGUAGAAAGGCCUACCUUAAAAUAUUGUUUAAACAUUUUAUUUAUUUUUGAGAGAGAGAGAGAGAGAGAGAGAGAGAGAACAAGUGGAGAGAGGGGCAGAGACAGACAGAAACCAAAGGAGGCUCCAGGCUCUGAGCUGUCAGCACAGACCCUGAUGCGGGGCUCAAACUAACGAACUGCGAGAUCAUGACCUGAGCCGAAGUCGAACACUUAACCACCUGAGCCACCCAGGCUCCCCAGAAUGGCCUACUUUUAAAGAAUUGUGUGCAUCCCAAAAGCACCACAUAUGGGAUAUUGGGAGCACAGUAAAAAUGAAUUGUUUGAGACAAUUGUAUAUACACCCUCUCUCCGCAUCAGUUACUCAUCCCAUCUCCAGUAGUAUCAGAAUCUCAAGUUUUAGUCUGAGGACAUUGCUCCUCAAGUUCUCUAGCAGCUAGGUAUAAACCAGUGACUAAGUUAUGGGCAAUGAGAUGUAAGCAAAAGUUUUGUGUGUGACUUCUAAGAGAGUUCCUUACUGGGGAAGAGGCAAAUAUCAUUUUCACCCUUCUACUUUUUCACUUUGCUGGCUUAUAACACAGAUGUGAUGGUUGGAGUUCUGGCAGCUAUUUUGGACUAGGAGGUGACCUUGAUGAUGUAAUGGAAGAAGAAGGUCUUGAUCUCAUUAUAAUUAAUAAGCCAUCAUAGCAAUUCUGGAUAGUUGAUUUCCAAAAUCAUUUUUUGAGGGAUAGAAAAUCUAUUUUGUUUAAUCCAGUGCUGUUUUAAAGGCUUUCUAUCUAAUGCAGAUGAAUCUGAUCAUAUCUAAUACAGAUAUAUUCAGGUCUUAAGGGAUGGGGAUGUGACUUUAAAUUCUGUAAGAGAAGGCACCUUAUAGACUUAUGAAAGAAAAUAGAAAUGGAAAAAUUGGACAAAAUCAGAAUAAGCAGUGAAGAAUGUAGGGCAAUUUUCUCAGCGUCAAAUGUUAAAAUCAUCUUGUUGCUGAUAUUUAUCUUUAAAACUUUCUGUACAGCAUCUGAGUCUUCUUCCAUUUUUUGAGUGUAAUAUAUUGUGAUCUUGGCUACUAGAUCAAUCAGACCACUCAGUAAUCAGACCACUCACUCUGGAACUUAAAUCAAAAGCAAAUGAUGCCAGGGAGGGAGAGCAGUAGAAAGUCCUUGGAUGUGCCAGGGGAAAGUGUUGACACACAGCAUCCAGUGUCAACAAUAUGGGACAGUGAGAUGUAGGGUUGAGAAAUUAGUGGUGAUAGCAACAGGGUUACUCUUUGCAGACGUUCUUUGGUUGGAUUUUGGCUGUAGUUUUGUGAAAAUUAACCAAAGGAAACCUCAUUUAAAAUGCAGCCAGGAGGCCAGCAGGGGGAGCUCUCUUACCCCACCACUUGUCAAAGACCACAGAAACUUUAGCUACUUUACUUUACUUACUUUACUUUAGAUACUUUAGCUACUACUUUACCAUCCCAGCAGGAAGAAGAAAGUUUUUCUCUUCCCAUGACAACAGCCCAACCAAUAAGAGCCUAUCACAACUCAGCCAACGAAAAACCACUAUACUUUGGACUCUCUGUUUACUCCUGUUUAAAGCAGCCACUCGGAUUCCACUGCCCCCUUCUUUUUUAAGGAAGCCUCACUUUCAUUUGUUCCCGAACUUGCCUAUUGUUUUGCCUUUACUUGCAUUUCCUGUAUUGCAGUUCUUUGGUCUUCCCAAAUAAAUCCAUUUUUGCUGGUAACAUGCCUGGCAGUUUUAUUGUUAAGGUUAACAGUUCUGGCUGUGUUCUGCUGCUUGGUUCUUGGUCUUCUCCAGUCUUCCUUAUCUGCAGUUUGGGUUUGCAUGGCUUCAGUUACCUACGGUCCACGGCAGUCUGGGCAGUUAGUCUUCCUUCUGAAGCAUUGUCAGAAAGUCAAUAGUAGUCUAACGCUGUGUUGCAAUGCCUGCAUCCUUUACUUCAUCUCAUUGCGUAGGUAUUUUAUUACCUCACAUCAUUACAAGAAGCAGGGUGAGUACAAUACAAUAAGACAUUUUCAGAGAGAGAGAAACUAUAUUCACAUAACUUUUAUUGAGUCUAUGUUACAACUGUUCUAUUUUUAUUUUUCAUUAUUGUCAUUAUCUCUUACUGUGUCUAAUGUUUAAGUUAAACUUUAUCGUAGGUUUGUAUGUAUAGGAAAAAAGUAGUACAUGCAGAGUUCGGUUCUAUCUUCGGUUUCAGGCAUCCAUUGGUGGGGGGAUCUCAGAACAUAUCCCCCAUGCAUAAGGGGAGAUUACUGUAAUUCAAAUCUGGGAGCUCCCCAACACCUUUUUAAAAAUCCUUUUACUUGCUUACAUUAGCCAGAGUCAGUUUGUGUUGAUUGCUAAAGUGAACUCUGUCUGAUACUCAUCUUCUAAUAAUCAUGCAGGAUGUAAUGCUGCAAUGACAAGCUUUGAUUUAAAUAAGAAAUUUCAACCUGUCUUUUUUCCGAAUUGAUUUUAAAUAACAUCCAUAUGUUUCUCCAGGGGCGAGAAGUCUUAGGAGCCUCUUUGAUUAGUCUUUUUGCCUUUCUAAAUUCAUGUUUCAAAACCAAUUCAUUUAAACUUGAAAAAGAUGAAUUUGGAUUGAAAUAAUGAACCCAUAUGUUUCAAAUGGAUUUUGAAUUUACCAAGAAAAAGACUCCCUAAAUCCACACUUGAUAAAUACUCACUGAAACCUAUUACAAAUGUGACUUUAUUUAAUGUGUAAUAAAGUAAUGCACAAUGAAUGGGACAUAGUUUCUGUGUUCAGGGAUGUCGUUGUUUCCAAGAUCUUGCCCAUUUUUCAAGGAAACUUCUAUUAAGUGCCUGGCUCAUAGUAGGUCCUUAAUAAACAGUUAUUGAUAAUUGAAUUCGAUAAGAAUAAUAGGAUAACUUUCAUGGAAUUCUGUUUAUGUAAAACUCUUGCCCCUUAGACGGAAAUAAUUUAGCAGCAGGAGGGUCAAUAGUAGUGGAAAAUGAUAUAUAAGCUGUGUAAUUUUUUAUGCUGAUUAACAUGAGGGCUAGUAGAUAUUUUAAACACAACACAAUUCUGCUUUCUGUUUGCAGUUUAUUUAACAUUUCAGUGUUCAUUUCCAAGCACACAAAACUUCCUUUUUGCUGCUAUCAUCAAUGAACAUUUUCUAAACAGGCAGAUGGAUCUUAUCAGGUGUGCAUUCAGAAUUUUCACCAUGCUGUAUUUCAUCCCUUGAAGUACAAUGCUUCCUGACCAUAUUAAGGAAGAGAUAUUAUUACUGUUUAUUUACUUUUAUGCUUAAUAUCCCUCUGCCACUGAUGGUUUGUUACGUAGAUUAAAAUUUGUCCUUAUUUUCUUUGAGAAGUAUAGAUUACCCAUGUUUAUAGUAAAAUAUCCUCAAAUAUCACAAAAUGAAAUUUGGAAAUCACUGGCUUCAGAGUUUUGUUCCUGAACAAUCACCAGCUUUUUACAUUUUUGUUUUAUCUUACAUUCUUUUUGACAAAACUGCUUUCAUUCCCUCCCCUCCCUCAUUGUCACAAAAGAAAUUCUCUACUUUUUUGCUGUGUUCACUUGUCUGUGUUCCCUCCCAGACCGGAGCUUCUCAAGGUCAGGGCUGCUGGCACUUUUCUUCUUUCAGUAACACUGUCACCUUGCCUGGAAUAUAUAGGUAGCAUAAUAGCCACUCAACGAAAGUCUAUUGUAGAGAUGCAAGAGAUAGAGAUGGACUGGAAGCUUUUUACAUGUGAGAUAGUGCACUUAAGUGGAAAAAGCACAGACUUUGGGGUCAGAAACAUCGUUUCAAAUGAUUUCUCUAUUCCUUGUGUAAUAAGUUAUACUACUUUAUUAUUUACAUAAUAAGUAAUAUUACUGGCUCUUAUACUGUCUGUGUCCUCAGUUACAAAGAAAAGAUGAGUUGUUGAGAAGAGUAAGAGGAAUAAUUGUGUAACUUAGUUCCCUGACAGAUGUAUGGUAGGCACCAGUAAUAUUGCCCCCCUCCUCCUUUUUUUACUGGCAUUAAUACUAGGGAGUAUUAAGCAUAUUAUUUUACUUUAGUAGUGAAAGCAUGGGGAAAGUGGUUGGGAAAACGGAGUUUAGGUGUUCAUUUUGACCUUGAGUAAGUUUGUAUAAGAUCUCUAAACUCUCUGGGUCUUUGUUUCUUCCAUCUUAAAAGGAAAAUAACAUCUAUCAAAGGAUAGAAGGUAAUAAAAUAAACAAGAAAAAAGGCCUUAAAAUUUUAGCAACCAUGGACAUAAAAGGUGUUACCCUCUUUGUUUCUUUUAAUUGUGCAUAGCACAAUAUAUUGCCAUUUGUUACAAUUAAAAAUAAAUGUUCUUAGGUACAGGUACUUAUUUUGAGGCUAAGAAGAUAUUACUAGAAUGUCCCCCAAGGGCUCACAGAAAAUGUUGAUUUAGACAUAAUGAUUACAUUGAAAAGUAAUCUUAUGGAAGAAAGUACUCUGGUUAAAGAAGAGAUUUUGAACAUGAUUGAACUAGAAGAUUUUGGACAGAUUGAAAAGAGAGCUAAGACAGGUGGUGAGGAAUGGGUUUUGGAAUAUCAGAUGUGAAAUGACAAGGACAGGAACAGAGAUUUAACUGUGGGGGGAAAAGUACUAGAAACAUAUAAUUGAUUUUCCAAAGGAAAACUGUUCAGCUUGUCUUUGUGUGUAGAAUUUUGCAAUAUGGUCUUUUAUACAUAGCUAACCCCUGACUAAUAAAGCAGGGAGCAACUUGUUUAUUAUUUUUCUUCAUCUGGUAAUAAACCUGUUGUCUUAUUUUGCUCUAUUGCAGUCAAGCUCUCAAAGUUCUCCUUCCAAUUCUUCACUGCCACUCUUCAAGAAAUUCUUUUUACUGUUUCAAACGAGAAAAAUAUGUAAAUGUUUGAAGAGGAAACCUUUAUCUGAAAGAAGACUAUCAGCAACCCUUCAUUAGAAUUUUCUUUUAGAAAUAAAAAUUCAGGCAGAGAAAUAUUCAAAGAGAACUAAAAGUUCCAAUUUGUGGUGUCUACACCCUCAGCACUUAAAUAUCUGCCAUCCACAUUGCCAGUUUUAGAGGAAAAUGCAGGCUGUUAGGAUUAUCAGUAAACACGCUAUUUCAUUCAUAUGGAUCAUUUUGAAAAAUGGACAUUGGCUUCUUGGUUUCUGUCCUGGGAACUCCUUCUGCCCUCGUCCUAAAGUUUGGAACUUGCCAUGGGUUUUCCUACAGCCCUAGAUUUCCUGGUCAUGAUCUGUCUUAGAGAUAUUGGCCAUUCUCACAUCCAUAAACUUUACUAAAGACUGCCAAAUUGAUGGUGCUAAUCUGAAGUUCUACGGUUUCAUCUCCUAUUCGUUUACAAACUAGAUACCUCUACCUGGAUGCCUUAUGGGCACUUCAAUCUCAGUAUUUCUAAAUUGUUUCCUCUUAUAACUUUUCCUUCCUCCUGUACUCUCUUAUUUGAUAGUAUUACUUUCUAUCCAGCAGCCACACAAGAAAUCAGGAAGUUGCUACUGACCCCCCCCUCGUGGAUACCAUACCACCCUUCUUACAUGGAAUCUUGCGAAUUUCCCCACCUAAACAGCUCUGGGAUAGGUUCUGUUCUCUUUGUCCUUAUAAUGCUCUUUGGGUUAACCCUCAUCCUCUCAUGCAGUUGAUUUUUACCUCAUCUGCCCCUCUCCAGGCAUAUCCUGCUGUGAUUCAUUCUUCAUCCUGCCACCAGAGUGAUCUCUUAAAAACUCACAUUUGACCAUGCCACCUAUUGGUGUAUAAUCCUUCAAUGGAGAACUAACUCUGACAGGGCAAAUAUCAAACUCUUUAAUGUAGCAUAUAAGCAACCCUGUAAUUUGGCACCUGCCAUCUUCACCCCCCACUCUUUCCCCUAUUGUCCCUUGUCUACAAUGCCAUUACACUCUCUUAACCAACCUGCCUUUGCAGAAUUCCUGCUAAUGUUAGGAGAGUCCAUUCAGGCACCCUUCUUUAGGAAGUCUUCCUGGACUCUCCUACUUGCUCUUACAGUGAUCCUCAGAAAAUGCCUCACUCUGAGCUUUUGUAACAGUUUUGCAUUUGUCUGUCAUCGCCCUCACCAUACUGCAUUUUGAUUAUAUCUUUGUGCCAGCUUCCAGGCUAUGUUGUGGGUGACUUGAGGACAGGAACCAAGGCUUGUUCUUCUUUAUAUCCAACAUGCUUAACACAGAGUUUGUACAGAAUAGUAACAAAAAUUAUCUUUUCAGUGAAUGAAAAAAUAUAUAGACAUGCAAUGAAGUUAUAAAGAGAGGAACGCUAUCUUUAAUAACAUUUGUCUAUGCCUUAUAUUUUGUUCUUCAUUCCUCAGUUUUACUAAUAUUAUAACCAAUAAGUCUCAGUGAACAAAAUCAUAGGUGAAGAGGGAAAGAAAAGAUACUGGGUCUUCCAGGUUGAAGAGUCAUUUUCUUGCAUUUCUCUCCAUUUCUAGAUCUAAACUCUAACUAGAUCUCUGAAAUUUAAACCUAAGUUAGAGUAAUUUGGAAGAUAAUGUAUAUCUGUUUAAACCUCUCAUUUUAAUAGUUUUACCACUGUUUAAACAGUUCAAAAAUCACUGUUAAAAUCUGUAUAAAAUAUUUAGGCCACAAUCAUUUGAAGACAAUUCUGAUCUACUCUUUGGAUGUGAUUAUAGAUGGCCUUAUUGCCUUUCCAUAUUUUUUGCUUUGGUUUAUUUAUUUUUUCUUCCAGAGAGUUAAUUUGCUGUAGUUAAUCUUAUAGUUACUAAUAAAACUAAGUUUAAGUCCUUUAUUUAAGCAUAAUAUAUUUUAAUGAAAUAAACUCAAAUAUUAAAAUAAGUAGUCAGAUGCCACCUUCUGGCUCUUGAAGAAAAGGAGAAAGAAAAUCAAUAGUUGUACACAAAUUGGUAUAUUGAAGGUGACUCUCAGUUCCUUCAGGUUGAUUUGUUCCCCACCCCUAAACACAUAUGGCAUAUCAUGCUGUAUCUUCAGGCUGUGUCAGCCACACAUAGUAUAGCAAUGGUAAGGAAGAAACACAAAAUGCAAGACUUUGAUCUUCAAAGUUACCUAAUUUCCCUUUGCUCAAAAGCAGUUGUUAGAGCUACAGAUUUAAAAAGUCUUCUAAAGAAAUGUAAAUGGCCGUCUGUGCAACUUCAGUCUCAGGCAGAAAUCUAGAGACCCAGGAAAUAUUGUCACCAUAAAUCCAAGUGGCAACAAAGCCCACAGAGGGAAAAGUGAAUCAUGUUUCUUUGGUGACUAGAAAUUAAGCUGGUGGAUUUCCCCCACUUCUAAAGGUGGGUUCCCCAAACCCCUACCUUCAGGAAAGUGAUCAAAAGUGAAUUCUAUCAGGUAAUAGAAGAGUUAUUUUUGAAACUGUGCUUUAUAUAUUCUCAUCAGAUUGAUGAUAUGGCUGAACCAUUAAUAAAGCUUGUUAGUAAAAUGGGUUUUUGAUGAUUAGGGAACAACUGUGAUAUCGGGGGUUUGUUUUUGUUGUUGUUUUUUGUGUUUCACAUGUGUCUGUGGUUGUCAUAGUUGAUUUUCUGGAAAAAUAAUAUAAAACUCAGGACAUGUAAAAUCUUGCUGGUGGGAAAUUUCCCAAGAAUUUGAAAAACAAUUUCAAAGAGCCCUCAGGUGCUUUACUGUUAAAUGGUAGAAAUGUAAAGUCAACAACCUUUUGUUUGGCAAAUCAUCUUCAUGAAUUUCUGAGUAUGCAAAUGUGAGUGAAACAUUAUUUGGGGUGUUGGAAUGGAGAGCUUAAUUGCUCUGCACAAGAAAUGAACCAGAACAGUAAGUUGGAGGCUGUCUGGUAGAGAUAGGAGCAGGAUGUAGAAAGUUAUAUUCAAAGUUGGCCAUGAUUAAUGAGAAAUUACUCAUGGGAGGAAAUGCCCAGUAGAAUGUAGAAUGAUGUCUGAUAACCAAUUUUAAGAUUUUAAAAAUAUUGCUUAUGUAAUUAUCGCAGCUUGUUGCCAAAAACCUUCAGUAAAUUAGGCUGUACAGGUACGGUCUUGUAUUAGGCAUAUUUUGGAGAAAUGAGAGAAACCAGGAGAAUGUUGUCUGUGAUUUGAAGUAAUGCAGAAGAGGAACAAGAUAAAGUGAAACUAAACUUUUGAAUGACACAAGAAAAAGAAACCAGUGGUAACUAGAAAAAACCAGGAAAUCGAGAAAGUCCUUAGACAUUAGCUAGUUGGGUUAAAGUCUUUUUACGGAAAGGUUAAAUGACAAGUUAAGCCCAGACAGUGGGAUAACUUUCAGUUUGGGGUAACUCUAUGGAAGCCUGUUGUCUCACAUAAACAAAUCCUUAAAAAUGUUUCAUGUAAUGAGUGAAUUCCAUGGCGUUCAUAAUAGUAACAUCCAGUGAAGCCUAGACAGAGGAAAGAUAUUAUCCACUUGGAUUUGUAGUUUGUUCUAUAUAGCAUAUGUGCUUUAAGCAUAAUUUCUUUACUUUUAAAAUUUUAAAUCCUGAAUUUUUGUUUAUGGUAUCACUUUUGAAUAGAAUUUAAUUGGGUUAUGCACUUAUAUAAAUCAAUGGCUUACAGACAUUUCUGUUUGCAGAAUUUGUUUUCUCACAAAACCUUAAAUGGGAAAAAAAUAAGUUUACAAAGACAAGCAAAUAGAAAUACUGUAGCUGAAGUAAAGGGUAGGUGUCACGUUAUGGGUGAAAUUAUAUCACCCUUGUCACCCUUGACCCUUGUCAUCCUAUGGUUUUAAAUUUGCUCAGAAUAAUAACCUCAUCAGACAGUGCUUUUUUUUUUCUUAAGUUUAUUUAUUUGAGAGACAAUGAGAGAGAAAGGGAGCACGUGCACAUGUGUGGGGGAGGGGCAGAGAGAGAGAGGGAGAGAGAGAAUCUCAAGCAGACUCUGGACUGUCACCACAGAACCUCAUGUGGGGCUUUAUCCCAUAAACCAUGAGAUCAUGACCCGAGUUGAAACCAAGACUCAGAUGCUUAAUUGACUGAGCCACCCAAGUGCCCCAUUAUCAGACAACUACUGACAUAAUUCACCAUAUUAUAUCUCUUUUGUAUUUGCUUUCUGGAGUGUUAAAAAUUAUUUUGCCAUUUGUUUGUCUUUCCUUUGACAGACUUUCUAUACCCUAUUUAAUUUGUACCCUUGGUCUUUUUUGCUUCUGUUGGGGAGGAAGACCUUCCUCUGCCCUUCAAGGUCCUUCUAGCUAGACUUAGAAUCAGAUUGCCAUGAGACAGAUUAACAGGAGAAAAUCAAAUUUAAUAGUGUACAUAUGGAGAAUCCACACAGACAUGAUGAAAUUUUAAAGACAAUGAGCUAACAUGAAGCUUAUGAGAGGUGAGAAGAGGAGUAGGGUCUAAGGAUACAAAGAAGAGGAAGGCCAUUAGUAGAGGGUGAAAGGAAAUGUUUUGAAAAACAAAGGUUUCACCCUAUUGUGAAGUUAAGUUUCUUAGGUAAAGGGGAGUCUGUUAAUGGUUCUCUUCCUGGUAUGGGCUCUCCUUUCCAAGUUUAGGCAGUUGAGGACCAGGAAGAGAGCUUUUCUUGCAUCUGAUGAGUUUUGAUUACUUUUAACUAAAAAUAAUGUUCAUGCCAUAGUGGCCCAUGUUGGGUCAGGCUGCCCUUGGCCACUUUCCACCAACCCUUUAAUGAUUCCCAAAUUAUAACUGAACCAGUGUCAUCUGUCUUCCUCUAUGCUCUUCUGAAUAUUCCCCUUGUUUCUUCCUAUAUGUUUUUCAGUUUGUCUGUGCUGUGUCCCCAUUUCUCAUUUUACUCUGCUUUCUGAAUUCCUAUAAGUUACUCAAAAUUCCUUUGCCAUUUGCUUUUCCCAUAAUGACUAACUUCCCAUAGCUGCCCCAUGAGGGAAGGCUAUUUAGUCAUUCAUUUUUUUAAGUGAAAUGACUCUAACUUUAUUUUGUUUUUUGAGAGAGAGAGAGAGAGAGAGAGAGAAUGAGUGGGGGAGGGGGCAGAGGGAGAGAACGAGGGAGAAUCUUAAGCAGGCUCCACAUUUGGCAUAGAGCCCACUGCAGGGCUCGGUCCUAUGACCUUGGGAUCAUGACCUGAGCUGAGAUCAAGAAUCAGAUGCUUAACUGACUGAGCCACCCAGGCACCCCUCAGUCAUUCAUAUAAUAAACACUUUUGGAAGAGCUUCUUAUGUGCUAAACCUAGUUUCAAGCAAUUCAGAAGUUACCUGUAAAAACAUAUCAUGGAAAUAAACACAAUGAGUUAAAUCUAAAUACAGAAAAAUAAAAUAUGAACUACAUUUCCAGUAUAGAAUCCUUCACUGAAGCCUAAAUGUUGUAGAAAGUCAAGGUGAACUACAUGCCAGUGCAGACUAGAGUUAACUAAGGAAAAAUUCACACAGUUAGAAGGAAUACUGAACAAUGGAAUCAGCAUUAAUUUACUAAGAGCAAAAUGUGCCCAUCUAUCUCAUGUCACAAUUUUAUCAGGGUUACUGGAAUGAGGAGUCCAAAAAAUGAUGUCAACAUAGUGUACUUGGUAUUUUGAAAGUAUUUUACAAAAUACCUAACAAUUUUCUUAUAGAUUAGAUAAAACAUAAAAUGUAUAUGAUUACAACUAGGCGGACUUAUUAAAUGACAGAACCAAAUGAUAUGGAUGAUGGGUUUAUAUAACACAUAAGGCGAGUUUCAUGGCCAUACCCAAACAUUCUCCUCUCUUCCCUUUUGUAUUUAUCAUUUUAGUUAUUUAAUCAGAUGGCCACGUGUAAAGCAAGUUUAUUAGGUGGGAAGAUAACACAAAUCUAGGAAGACCCCCUAACCCCAAUGGUAUGAAAAUCCUGGAGUAAUGGAUCAGAUACAAAACAAUGAAUAUCGAUUAUUAUAAUGGUCUAUACUAUUGACUCUAGUUCGCUGCCAAAAUAGUGGAUGAGAGUAAGGGGCUCAGCAGCAGCAAAGUGUAAAAAAGACAUGGGGUUUCCACAUUUCACUGAAUACAGGAUGUGUCAGGAUUAUAAGGGGCUGCCAAAGCAUGGUUAAUUCUGCUUAUUGUUAUGGGCUGAGUUGUGUCCCCGCAAAUUUAUAUGUUGAGACCCUAACCUCCAUUGUAAUGAUAUUUGGAGAUGUGACCUUUGGGAAGUUAGGUUUAGAUGAGGUCGUGAGAGUGUGGCUCUUGUGGUAGGACUAGUGCCCUUAUAAGAAGAGAUAUCAGAAUGCUUGCUCUUUCUUUCUGCUCAUAUGUGAGGACACAGUGAGAAGUGCUAUCUGAAAGCUACAAAGACAAUGCUCACCAGAACCCGUCUGUGUUGGCACCCUGAUCUUGGACUUCCAGCUUCCAGAACUCUGAGAAAAUUAAUUUCUGUUGCUCUAGCCCCCCAAUCUGUGGUAUUUAUCUUUCAUGGCACUUUGAGGCGAUAAAUAUGUCCAUCUUGCAUGAGUAGGAUUCCUUGAUCUUUAAAGAAAUGUAUUCAUUUUUUGAAAGCCUCUGAUUACAUUCAAUAAGUUCAGUUUAUUUUAUUUUAUUAUUUAUUUAUUUUAUUUAUAUUUAUUAUUUUAUUAAAAUAGUUAUUUCAUUAUGAUUUUUUUAAAGUUUAUUUUGCGAGAAAGAGAGAGUAAGCAGGGGAGGGACAGAAAGAGAGGGAGAGAGGGAACCCUAAGCAGACUGACAGCGGGAGCCUGAUGCAGGACUCAAACUUAUGAACCAUGAGAUCAUGACAAGAGCUGAAUUCAAGAGUUGGAUGCUUAACUUACUGAGCCACCCAGGCACCCCUGUUCUUUUUAUUUAAAUAUAAUUUCAGUUGUUCUUGGCACAUAAUGUCCUUUUGAGAUUGAGCCCCUCAGAAGACUAAUUCUAUGGCAGGCUUGCCCUCAGACUUAUACUCCAGAGAGGAGUAUAUAUAUAUAUAUAUAUAUAUAUAUAUAUAUAUAUACACACACACAUAUAUAUAUAUGCAUGCAUAUAUACACACACACAUAUAUAUGCAUAUACACACAUAUACAUAUACAUGUAUGUGUCUGUAUAUGUAUCUAUAUCUAUAUCAUCUAUAUAUAAUUUUUUUAAUGUUUGAGAGAGAGAGAGAGAGAGACAGUGUGAGUGGGGGAGGGGCAGAGAGAGAGGGAGACACAGAAUAUAAGUUUUAUUAACUAUAAAUAGCAUAAAUGUGUUUUCCAGUACAUAUUAGACCUGCACAUUUAGAUCAAAUUAUUUGGUUUGACCUGUGUCCUUUGAAAGUAUAUGUUCUCAGGGCGCCUGGGUGGCUCAGUCUGUUAAGCAUCUGACUUCAGCUCAGGUUAUGACCUUACGGCUCAUGGGUUCAAGUCCAGCUCCAGACUCUGUGCUGACAGCUCAGAGCCUGGGCCUGCUUCAGAUUCUAAUGCCAUGAAAUUGAACAUAUGCAUAUCUUAAGUAGCCACAAUAAAAUAGGUAUUGGAGCUGGAAGUUGAAGACAGAAUUGCAUAUGGAAAAAAUAGGGAGGUUUACAUGGCUACAGGGUCAAUUAUAUGAUUCAAAUUUGAGACCUACAUGGUAAAAAUUCAAUUUUUUUUUGUUUGCUAUACACACUUGGACUAUGACUAAUUUAUCACACCUCGUGAACUAAAUAAGUUGAAGAACUUAGUCUGAAAUCUAUUAUCAUAUUCAUUUCUUUAACACGUGUGAAAAUAUCGCUGAUGGCACUCCCAUGAAUUUCUGUGAAUUCCCUUUUUUAGUACUUUAGUAAGGAAGUGUGAAAGAAACCAUGGCCAAAUUAACGCUAAAACAUUUCCAUAGGCUACAAAAAAAUCUGCCUAGAAACCAGGCUUGGAGGAGAAACAAGAAGUCCAAUGUGAACUUUUGGUUAUUGUUGAGUGUUUUUGUUUUUCUCAAUGUGGGCCUGCGAAAAAGAGGUGAGAAGCAGUGCUGAGCCGUGGUCUCUAAGGAAAUCCUUUGCCUCCCGCUGUCUUGGAACUGGAGUGUGGUGAAUUGCUGGAGGUGAUACACAACAUAUGGAAGAGGGAUGGAUGUGGUGAGACAGACAUAAUUUAUCUGUCUUUCUCAUUUCUCUGCUAUUUUCCCACUCCUUCCUAUUUAUAAAUACUGUUAAAUUUCAUCUACUUUUCCCUCUCUUUCAUUUUGUAUUUGAUAACGUUGACUUCUAAUCCUUAUUAAUUCUGAUUUGAUUUUCAAACUUAGUUUGCUUUUGUGGAAAGAGAAACAGAAACCAACUGGCUCACUAAAACCCGUGAAAAUGGCAUAAAGAGUAAUACAAAGGGAUGGUAGGAUCUAGACUGCACGCAAAUAACCUAAAGAGAGCAAGAGAUGAAGGGAGAGGAAAGAAAAAGAAUCAAGGUAGAGGGCUUUCUCACCAGAUUUAAUUUCCAACAGUGUUUUGCAUUUCCCAUUCAAGAUCUAAGAGUAAAUGUGUAAGUGGGCAUUUUAGGAUAUAUGAAGACACACACACACAAAGGUUUCCUUUGGUGUAUUCUCCGAAACCUCUAUUCCACCAUAGGGAAUUUGACCCAAAGUACAUCUGACCCACACGACAGGUGAGCUGUAGAAUUUCUGCAAGGACUCUCAUAGAGAGGCGGAAGGUUAAUUUCCCCAGUACCUUAAGGAACCUCUGGUCACUGGCCACAAAACCAAUAGUUUAGUCAAUGUUGGACCUUCUUACCCUAAAUUCAAAUAUUUCUGUACCUGACUCCUUUGAUGCUUAAAAGACAUGUACCAUUUUUCUUUAAGGAAAGCCAAGAUAUGAAACAUUUAGUUUUUAUGUAAUAGGUAUAUAGGGACUAAGUUUUUAAAAGAUAUUUUGAGUCGCAGAAAAAUUGCAAAGAAUUCCUAAAUAUACUUUACUGAGGUUCCCCAAAUGCAAACAUACAUACACACACUUUUAUCCCUGAAAUGUGUAAGAAUAAUUUGCAGAGUGUCUCUUUACUCAUUAGGAUGUAACUUUUGCUCAGAUUUAUUCAUAUGAACGGCAAGGUUAUUUAACAUACAUGACAAAUUGAUAAACAAAGUUUGUAAACAAUUAUUUUGUAUAUAGGCUGUCAGGGACAUUUCUGUUGUGAAGUACAAGUGUAUUUUAUGUCUAUUUUAUUUUAAAUAAGCAAACACAGCUAACAAUAUUUGCAUAAUAACUAUGUGGAUAAAUUUAGAAGGUACAAAAUGUGAUUUAAUACCAUUUCUUGAAUGCCUGCUAUAAGCUAGGCACUCUACAAGGUGUGUGUGUGUGUUUGUGUGUGUGUAUCAACAAUGUGUCUAACAACAAUGUCUUAAGGAAGGUCUUAUUAUCCUCAUUUUGCAUUUAAAGAAACUGUACCUCAAAGAAAUUAAGUAACUUGCAUAUAGUUAUACAACUAGUAAAUACUGGAACUGUAAUUUUCAGAAAGCAUCUUUUUGAUAGAGUAUAUUUUAUAAAAAAACAAAGCCUAGUUUAUUGUUAGUCUUCAUCUUCCCACAAAUGAAGCCAGCCAAUUGCAAAUUUCAACACAAGUCUCUUGAAGAUGGCUUGAGAUGAACUUUAAUUUCUGUCAGUAAUUCAUUACUAAGUUAUAUCAACUGAUGCUUGGAGAAGUUAAGUAAAUGUCUCAAGGUCACACAAUAUCUGAAUGCUGGAAUUGGUGGGAUAUUCUGGAGAAAUGGUCUUGGCCCAUUAUGUUUCUGGAGGCAGUUGAAAAAUGGCUUUCUUGUCUUACAUAAUAAUUGUGUAUUCAUGAUUUUGAAAUUAUAUGUUGAGUCAGCUUUGAAAAUUUGUAUUUUUUCUGGAAAUUUAACUGUGGUUUUGAUAUUUUAAAUUUCAUUUAACAUGUUACUUUUAUAUUUUAUUGGAACAACCAGAGAAUUUUCAGUUGUUUCUCUGUGUUUGUUGAAUAUUCUUUUUCUUCUUUUGUUUAUGAACUUGGAUCUUUUACUUUAAAAUCAAUUUAUGUUGUUGGUCUUUUCUAAGAAUAAGUUCUUGAAUUUAUUUAUCACUGUACAUUUUUCUUUUCCUAAUUAAGUUUUUUUGCUUUUAUCUUUAUUUUUCUAGCUUCUUGAAUCAAACUUCACCAAUUAGAUUUUAACUGCCAAAUCCAAUGUGUUUUCCUUAGUUCCCAUGCUACUUGAUCUCUCUGUAGUAUUUAAUGUUUUUGGACAGAACUUUCUUCUUAAAAUAACUUUCUCCCAUAGAUUUUUUAACUCCAUAGUCCUUUUUCUCUCCUUACUUCUCAGUCUACUUUUCAUUUUCAUCAUUAGCUCAUCUUCUUCCUAUUUUCAAAUGAAAAUCCCCCCAAAUGUAGCUCUUGGUUCUGAACUCUUCCCUCUACUCUUGAGAUGACAACAACCUCUUGGACUUCAGCCACCAUUUUCAAGAAUAUGACCUUUAACAACCUUAUUGAAAUAUAAUUUAUACACCCUAACAUUCAUUCAUUGUAAAUGUACAAUUCAGUGAUUUUUAGUAAAUUUAUAGAAUUGUGCAAUCAUUGCCACAAUCCAGUUUUAGUACAUUUCCAUCACCCCAAAAAGUGCUCUUUUGCCCAUCUGUGGUUAAUUCCUGCUCCCACCCACAGUUCAAGGCAAAAACUGACCUGCUUUGUAUUUGUAUAAACUUACCUGUUUUGGGCAUUUUGUAUAAAUGGAAUCAGGCAAUCAGGGAGCCCUUUGUGUUUGCUUCAUUCACUUUGAAUAAUGUUUUUGAGGUUCAUCCAUGUACGGAUUGUUUGUUUGUUUCUCUUAUUGAGUAGUAUUUCAUUAUACAGGUGUCCCAUUUGUUUAUCUACUAGCCAGUCGAUGGACAUUUUGGGUUUUCCAGUUUUGGCUUAUUGUGAAUAAUUUAGCUAUAAGCAUUCAAAUCUUUGUGUGGGAAUAUGUUUUCAUUUUUCUUGGAUAGCUUUCUACAUGUGGAAUGGUAAGUUUUUGUUUUGCUUUUGAAGAAAAUUCCCAACUGUUUUCCAAGUGGCUGCUCCAUUUUACAUUCCCACAGCAGUUCAGUAGAGAUCCAGUUUGAACACAUCUUCACCAAUAUAUAGUUUUUCUCUCUUUUACUGUAGUCAUCCCCAUGGGUGUGAAGUAUCUUAUUUUGCUUUUAUGUAUGUAAUUUUUUUUUAACUUAGUACCAUCAAUCCUGGCCUGCUCUUAAAGGUCUAGGUACAUAUUUCUAGAAGCUUACUACUAUUUCCACUUGGAUAUUUCACAGUCACCUUAAUUUUAACAUGGGAAAAAACUAAACCUCUCUAUUGACUCCCUAAUAUUGGUUUACGUUUAGAGGUCCCUCUUCUUUAAAAAUAGUAGCAUUUUCUUUCCCAGUUUUAAACUUUUCAAAUCAUCCUCUAUGCUUCUUCUCCUGAGCUCCUUGUAUUUAAUUAGCCAGCAAAUUCUACAAAUUAUUUCUUAAUGUCAUCUAUAACAUUUUCUUCCUAUUUUCAUUACUUCAACUCCAGUCUAAGCUUUUUCUGAAAAGGUAUAUAAACAUUUUGCUCAUUGUAUUUCCACUGCUCUCUAUUUUGGAACUAUCAAGAUAUAGUAGCUUUUAUUAUUUUAUUUUAUUUUGGCCACAUCCCAUUAGGGACUCAAAAUUAAUUUAGUGUGUUACUCUUUAGUGUUAACUCUAUAGGGCUCCAACCCAACUUUUCCAUCUGAAUAAAUUCUUCAACUCCAGUUAUAGGGAGACUCCUCUGAACAUGUCUGUGCCUUUCAACCUGGAGGCUUUAGUAAAAACUACAUCUUACCCAUCUUAUUUGGAAUUAUCUUUCUUUGCCUGUCUGUCUUUUCACCAAUCUUUAGCAACAACUGAAGUCUCACUGUAUGAGUGAAGGGUUUACUAUCUGCCCAUACUUAUAUAAGCUAAUCCAGUGUGUUAAUUCCAUCUAUUCAUUUAUUUUUUGAAUACUUUGAGAACUUACUGGGAGCCAGGUUUUGUGCUAGGUGCUGAAAUGCGCCUAUUGCUAUAGCAGUAGAGCUGGAGACAGGAUAUUUUAAUAAAAAAACAAGGAGAGGCACAAAGCCCAGCUUGAGUUAGGCUGGGCAUAGGUGAUAAUGGGAGCAAAGACACAGAGGUAAGAAAUAGCCUGGUGUGAUUGGAAGUUACCAGCAGAAAGGGUCUACUGACACGUGGUAUCAGCAGAGAUUGGUGAACAUGAAUCUAGAGAAGAAUUUAGAGACCAAGGCAUGAACUGUCUUGUUUCUGGUGCUAACAGUUCAGACUCUAUGCUGUGGAUAGUGUGACCACACAGGACUUUAAACAGGGGAGUACAAUGGUCAGUCUUGUGUUUUAUGCCAUUCAUUUUGUCAAGUAUGUGAAGGACGACUUUGAUCAGGACAAGACUGUUGGAAGGGGAGCAGAAGGUGUUAUUUCUGUGAUGAGGUAGUGAAUACUUAAGCUAGAUGGCAGUCAUGGUGAUAAAGAGAACAGAUGACUAAAUGGUGAACAUUUUGUAGAUGUAAUUGGCUGGACUUAGUAGAUGUUUGAAUGUGGAAGGGAGAGAGAUGGAGAGAAAGAGUUGAAAAUAACUCCCAGAUUUCUGGCUUUUCUCGACAUACUAGUGGUGACACCAAAUUAGCCUAUUUUGUAUACCACUCAUGAAUCACUUAAUACUUUGUAGUGUACCUUUUAAUGGCUGUGAUAGCUAUCUUUCUACACCACUGAUCAAAGUAUUUGAGGGCAGAAUCUAGCUUCUAAAUGUUUUGCAAAAAUGAAAAUUCUUUGCUCUAUGAAGAAUAGUGCCUGCUCAUGUUUUUAAGUUAAGAAAUUGGAGAAAAAAGUAAAAAAAAUCCUUUCAGUAUCACCUCAAAAAUAUUACCACCUAAAGGAACACUGGAACAGAACUAGGAUUCAAUGCAAAAUGUGUUAAAACUUUCUCUUUUAACUCAUCAUAUUAUCAUGUAGACAUUUGUGAGUUUGAUUUAUAUAAUGAGUUGUAAUUUUGCCUAUAGCAUGUUAUUGUACAGAUGAACUAUAAGCUUGAAUCAAUGUUAUCAUUGGGAAUAAGUAGUAUGUUUCUAAAUUUCAAUAGAACAAUCCAUGCUGGAAAGAAAAAAACAGCCUUCCAUAUAUAUUUAACCUUGACUAUUAGUCUCAUGUCUCCAUUUCCUAAGAAUAAAGUCCCCAAAUACUACAUAAUGUAAGGAUUCUUUCUUACCUGGACUCUGACUUUCUCUCCAGUCUUGUCUCUAGUUAGUUCUCAAGGAGCAUCACUUUGUGGCAAUACCAACUGUUUGCAACUCAAAACAAAUUAUGCUAGGUCAUGACUUUAAGCCUCUGACAUAUUCUUUCCCUGCUAGGAAUGCCCUUACCCUACUGAAUUUCUCCUCAGUCUAAAGAUCAACCCAAGAUUAUCUUUCCCUAAUUCUUGUAAAGAGAGUUGACCAUCUUCUGAUUUCUGCUGUGCACAUUCCUGUUAAAAUUCCUACCGCCCUGUAUUGUAAAUUGUGGUUUUCGUGUCUACAUUCCUUCCACACUAGAUCCUUUUUGUAUUUGGGACUUUUUGUAUUUAGGGACUGUGUUUCAAUUAGUUUCUAAUCCUAGAUUCUGUUUUAGCACAUAAAUAAGACUCAGUUCAUGAUUAUUUAAUUCAGUUGACAUUGAAACAUUUCCAAUGAUCCAAUACCUUAGAUGGCCAAACCUAAUUUAAAGACUGAGGAAUUUAGAAAUCCUCCUGAAAGCAAUAGUGAACCUCUAAAAACAUUUGCCUUAUCCACAUUGCCUGAAUUGUUUUGAUAUGGACUUCUAUAGACUUUGAUAUGGAUUCUAUAGACUUCAUUAUAAUGUAAAGUAAGAUGAGAUGUAACCUAAGAGAGUUUUAAAAGAUCUCUUGAUGCUCUUCAUGUUUAAUUUGAAGGAAAAGUUAAAAAACAACAACAACAACAAUAAAACCCCCCCACAUAAACCUUCAGUGAGUCCUUGCUGGUUAUCUCAAGGAGGAGCAAGCAAAUCACAGCAGAAGUGGGAAACACAUUUUUCUCCAUUUUGACAGCCAAGUAGGGAGGAGUGAGAGACAGAAGCCAGAGAUCGGUUAUAUAAAUAAUUAAAGAACAUUGUUGCAUGCACCCAAAAUGUAAGUUGAAUUUGCAAAAUUUUGCCAAUGUGUAGAUAUAUUUCUUAAUUAUUUUGGAAGCAAUAAAAAAAUUCUUAAAUUUUUUAAUGCAAAUUAAACCCUUAGUUUCUUUUUAAAACGUGUAUAAUUUUUCUGUAGCAAUCUCCAACCCGGAAAUCUCUAUACAAGUUAAAAUGUCUCUUCAACUAAUGUCCUAGCCAGUGCCUUUUAAGAGAAGUCUGUAGGUCAUAGAGAUAUUUUUAUUGCAUAAUUUCUAAUUAAUAAGACAUGGAUAGGGGCGCCAGGGUGGCGCAGUCGGUUAAGCGUCCGACUUCAGCCGGGUCACGAUCUCGCGGUCCGUGAGUUCGAGCCCCGCGUCAGGCUCUGGGCUGAUGGCUCGGAGCCUGGAGCCUGUUUCCGAUUCUGUGUCUCCCUCUCUCUCUCUGCCCCUCCCCCGUUCAUGCUCUGUCUCUCUCUGUCCCAAAAAUAAAUAAACGUUGAAAAAAAAAUUAAAAAAAAAAAAAGACAUGGAUAUUUGAGAUGGUACGUUAAACACCCGAUUUGUAAAGUUCUUCAGUCCUUAGAAAAUUAACUGUCAUUCAACUAGUUCUGCCUGUUUCAGCCAGGACACUUUUUGACUGCAAGUUACAGUGAGCAAAGUUUUGGCUCACAUAACUGGAAAAUUCAGGGGUGCAGCUGGAGUCAGCUUAGUCUAGAUCAAGCUAUUCAGAGGGUGUCUGCAAAACUCACACUGUGUCUUUCUUCAGCAUAAAUCCUCUUUGCAAGUGAGCCAAUGACCACUAUCUUUGGCAAAAAUAUCAAGAAGAUUUUGUUGGGCUUAGUUUGGCUCACUGUGUUUGGUCAACUGGAUUUUUCUGAUGGGUCAGUGUGUCAUCGUUGCCCCUGGAGUGAGAGAAGGAUCAGUCUUGCCUGAACCAUGCAGAGUAGGCUUUCUACAGACAAAAAGUUCUCUAGUACUAGACAAAGUAGGGGGGGAGGGGUCCUGGAGAGACAAAAUCAAGAGAUGACAGCUAUAGUCAUUUCUGCCACUAUAGGAAGUUGAAGUAGAAAAUGAAUACCAUUUUUUUCCUGGCAAGUGAAAUACGGGUCAUUUAUAACAUUACACAUCAACUAUUUGGCCUUAGUUUUUAGUACCUAGGAAUAUGGAGCUUAUGGGACCACAGUUGAGCCUGAACUCCUGGAUUUGCUACUAUAUUUGCUACAUUACAAUAUGUUACCAAUAUAUUUGCCAAAUUACACACCCAGGGAGAUUCCAAGACCUGAUCUUGACACAUAUUCCCAGAGAAUCUACAUUAAACAUGCCUUUGAAAUACAGGGUUUUCAGAACGUGAAAAAGGUUUCUCUCUCUCUUUUUUAAGUGUUUAUUUAUUUUUGAGAGAGAGAGAGGGAAUGUAAGUGGGGAAGGGGCAGAGAGAGAGAGAGAGAGAGAGAGAGAGACAGAAUCUGAAGCAGGCUCCAGGCUUGGAGUUGUCAGCAAAGAACCCCACUUGGGGCCCGAACUCCCAAACCUCGAGAUCAUGACCUGAGCUGAAGUCAGAUGCUUAACCGACUGAGCCACUCAGGCAACCGGAACAUGGUCUCUUCUAUUGGGUCAUCUGUAAAACCUUUUCUGAAUGACAGAAAAAACUUUGUGAAACAUAAAUUUUACUAGAUAUAAAUUUCUAUAAAUUUUAUUAGAAUGGAAAGUAUAAUGUGUACCCUGACCAGCCUCCUGGAAACAUAAAUGUGCUAAUAAAUGGGAACGUGAAUUUGUUAGGCUUGAGCUCUAUAAAAAAACUUUUAUAAUAUCAAUGUAUCAAUCUGUUUUCUGUUGAUCCCUUUAUUGUAUACUACUUUAUUCAUAGUCUCCAAUUUUCACUUUCGUAAAGCUAAACAAUUGGUAAAAUAAAUCUAAUUAGUAUUUAUUAAUUUUUGUCUAGUAUAAAAAAAUCUAUUCCCAGGGCGCCUGGGUUGCUCAGUCGGUUGGGUGUCCAACUUCGGCUCAGGUCAUGAUCUCACAGUCCGUGAGUUCGAGCCCCGCGUCGGGCUCUGUGCUGACAGCUUGGAGCCUGGAGCCUGCUUCAGAUUCCGUGUCUCCCUCUCUCUCUGACCCCUCCCCCAUUCAUGCUCUGUCUCACUCUUUCUCAAAAAUAAAUAAACAUUAAAAAAAAUAAAAAAAAUCUGUUCCCUAGGUUUUUAGGGAUAAUCUAAAUGACAAUGGAAUAUGGUAACAAUCAUUAGGAAUUAAAGAUACUAUUUAAAAAAAUUUAGUUUCUCCUUAGAGCUCACUUUAGUUACUAUAUUUCUAAUAUACUAAACUAGAUAUUUUAUCUUCAGAAUAAAAUUUUACAACACUGUGUCCACAAGUAUAUCAUAUCAGUACAUCAUCAUCAUCAUUUUCAGUAUCCACCACAUUCAUUUUGCACACUGAAUAUUUAAAAUGUGCUCAAAAUAUUAUAUUAAUUUCAUACCUUAUAAGAACUGCAUAAAGCAGUAAAUAAAGCAAAAAAAAAAGUACUUAGGGCUAAGGUUGAACCCUAGUCAUAAAUGUUAAAUGGGAUAACCUAUAUGAAAAUGACUAGCUCACGGACGGGAACUUUUGUAGAUGUGCAAAGUAAUUUUCUUCCCCUUUGCAAUUCUUAUUUUCCUUUCCUUUUUCUUGUCCUUCUCUCUUUUCAUCUUUUCCACCCCUCCUUGUUUUUCCAUUUUUUCAUCCUUCCUUAUAAUUUCUUGCUUCUGAAGGGGAGCAUAAUUUGCCACCCAAAAUAUAUCUCUUUGUAAUAAGGAUAAUCUUGAGUUGGUUAUUAUUAUUAUUUUUUCAUUAUUUAAUAAUUGAAGUAUAGUUGGCAUUGAGUUGGUUAUAUAUAGUUUUUAAAGUUUAUUUAUUUAUUUAUUUUGAGAGAGGGAGAAAGAGAGCGUGGGUAGAGGGAGAGAGAUACAGGGAGGGUCAGAAAGAGAGGAAGAGAAAGAAUCCCAAGCACUGACGGUGCUGAGCCUGACUCAGGGCUUCAAACUCAUGAACUGUGAGAUCAUGAUACGAGGUUAAAUCUGAGUCAGAUGCUUAACCAACUGAGUCACUCAAGCACCUUAAGAAAGAGUACACACAAAAAACGCUCUGAAAAUGGAGUAGAAGUUACCCUUUUAUAAGAGACAUUUACAUUUAUAAGGAAAAUCCCCAUUUGUGUGUCCCUCUCUAUACCAAGAAGAGAAGUUUGACUCAAAAUCUCUAGAAACUAUUAUCAAUGGAGAAAGCAGAGACUUAAAUCUGCAUUAAUAACCUUACCCUCUUUUACUGUGCUUUACUUAGAAACCUCCCAUAAAUGGUUACCUACCCCCAAAUAUCUUCUUUUGUCUUUAGCUGGAGAUGGUAUUUAAAGUGGUGGAUUGGGCCAUUUUGGGGAGUCACUCAGUUUCCCUGGGUCAUUCUUAUGUAUAAGGGAGGAAUAUGUGUUAUGAAACCUCUGUUUUUCUCCUGUCUUUUAUUACAGGGGCUAUUGCUAAGAACCUAGAAGUGUAGAGGGAAAAUUAUUUUUCUUUCCCCAUAUUUCUCUCAGAUUAUCCUUCUUCUCUGUCUUGUUCUUAAGCUCCAUGUAACUCCUUUGAAAGCUUCAAGCUCAAAUCCUUCCAGGUUUAAGUCCAGUAGGUAAGACUCUGUGGAAGUUCUUCCCACACAUUCUGUAAUUCACUGUGGACUAACGUGGCAUCUGCUCUUAAACCAACCAGUGUUUCAAGAAUUUGGGUCAGGUCGUGCAGGAGUGGAAAUGUGUGGAGAGAAUGUGUGGAAAACGAGGUAGAAUAUUUUCCCUAAGGGAAACUUUGGGUCCUUUUACCAGAAGAAAAUGAUUGGAUGCUGGAUCAUCAAAACCUAACAAACAUUCACUACAUUUUUUUUCCUUUAAGGAAGUUCACAAUUUAGUUGCAGUGACAAAAUAUCUAAUGUAUAUAUGUGGUGAAAAUAAUGUAACUGAACCCAGGUUUAUGCCCAGCACACAGCAAAGGCAAUCACUGAGACAUCAGUAAGUAGCAGGGAAGAGUUUACUCUGAGAAGUAACUAAAUAAGAGACUGGAGGGCAGGCAACAAAUCCACUUUCCCAAAGGGUUGAGGUUGGGCAUAUUUAAGAAUAAGGGAUUUAAGGAUAAGAAUGUCAUAGUGUACAUAUGCUCAUUGGAUAUAGAAAAAAAGGAGGUUCCUCCUUUCUGAUCAUGUACAUUCAAAAAUCAUGUGUCUUCAUGGGCACACGUUCAAAAAUUGGCGAUGCAAGUGAGAGAGAUCUUGGGUUGUGUUAUCACAGGGUUUAAUUUCAUUCACUCUUGGUCCCUUCUGCACAGUUGCAAGAAUUCUUCCCAGUUUGCUCCAGUCCUAGCGAGUCUGCAAAACAGGCUUAUGAAUCAAUCCGGUUAGCCAGAGUUUUCUUAAUGCAGAAUGGUCAAGCACUUAACUUAAUGUGUUGGCUUUAAUAACUAAUAAGAAAUGUCAAGUGUAAUUGCUAACUGAUAAAUAAAUUCAUCUUUAUGAUGAUUUCUGUAGAGAGACAGUAUCUGUUAUGGUUAUAAACAUAGUCUAGAGCCAGAGACUCUGGGUUUAAUUCCAAAUCUACCACUUGAUAAGCUUAAAUUCUUAAAUUCUCUAUACCACAGUGUUCACAUAUAUUCUAGUAACAGUAUCUACCUUAUAUGGCCUUGAGUUAAUGCCUCUAAAGCACAUAGAACCUUGCUGACAUAAUAAACAAAGAGAAGAGUUAGCUACUAUUUUUAUUAUUUGAAAGGACAUCUAUUUCAGCUUGAGAAGACUAAGACAGUUUAGCUGAGAGAAAUGGGAAGAUCAUUCCAAGUAGAAACAGAUGGGUGGCUAAAAGUAUGAGGAAAGGCUCAUUCAUGUUCAAGGAACAAGUAUCCACAGAGAUCACAAUACAUAAACAUAAGAAUACACCUCUCAGAAUCUUUGUGAAGUGACUUUCUCACCUUGCUCCCUUUCCUUUGUGUCUUUUCACUUUAUACUCCUGUUUCUUUAGAUCACUCUCUUCCUCAUCUUUGAAGACCCAUGCUAUAAUUUACCUCUCCUAGGCAGGGAUGUAUUAUUGAAAAGAAGUCACUAUCUGAAAUUGUUGCUAGCCUAGUCACCCAGAUUUACAACUGAAGAUGUGAAAUCAACACAGGCCAAGCUAUAAUUCUUCCACUACUUCAUUGAUUUUCUCUUUCCAAGGGUCCUGGUGACUUCAUUUUUAGAUCCCAUGGAUAUUCCUCAAAUUGCUUGACUUCUUUGAGUUAUUUUAUCCUGCUAAUCACCCAGUCACUUUCUUCCAGAAGUGUUCCUUUCUUGGUGUCAUCGUGAUGUGACCUAUUGAGGCAUUCUUCCUACAUUGAUGGUCAUUCCUUCAUAGCCUACUUUCAGGAGCCUCCUCUUGUGCUCUUCACAUUACCACUCUUCAAGUUCUUUCCUGGGCCACUUUCUUUUGCCACUCUACAUAGUUCCUUGUUUUCUACUGUGACUCCAAAUACAAUUUAUGGGCUAUUGGCUCUCAGAUCUAUAUUUCCAAUACAGUUUUCUCUCCUGAGACAGAAAUCUGUGACGACGUCUGCCAACAUCUUCUAUCUGAUGUUUAAAAGGAAUUAAAAACCACAGCACACCUAAAAUGGAACUAUUUAUCUUCCCAAGAAGCCUAUUCUCUCCUCUUUUGCUCAUUACGGUCUGCCUAGAUGUCUAAUCUUACAUCAGCUUUUCACUUCAUCCUUAGCUCCUCUGUAUUACUAGCCUUCUAAAUGUCUUGGAUCUAUUCUCUUAACUACUGCAGAGCCAUAAUCUUGUCCUAUCUUUAUCCCCCUUACCUCCUACUCUAUUGCUAUCAUUGCCUCCAAAGUGGUAAAUCUGACUCCAGGCAUAUUCCUUUCUAACCUAUUAUCCACAGCUUUUUAUCCACAGCUUUUUUUUUUUUAAUUGUCUUCCUAAUGACCAAAUUUGAUUAGACCAUACCCCUGCCUGAGAUUAUUCAAUGGUCUCCUUAUUGCCUUUGAGCAAAAUUCAAAAUAUUACAGCCUUCCUGGUUUCAUCUUUAGUCCCAUUUUAUAUUACUGCCUCUAUCUUGCCCUGGUUUUAGCCACUAAACCCCUUUCUGCCCUCUGGGUUUCUUACGUGUUGUUCUCUCUCUCUCUCUCUCUCUCUCUCUCUCUCUCCCUCUCUCUCUCUCUCUCUCUCCCUCUCUCUUUCUCUCGAUUAUUUUUUUUCCUGUCUUUAGUUAAAUCAUUCUCUCUUUGACCCUCUUUAAUCCAUUGUUUCCAUUUCACUAAAUGCUCGAGAUUUUCCACAUGAUUCUGGUACCAAUUCAAUUUUGUCUCCUUUAAGAGUUCUUUGUCUUCUAAGACCAAGCACUUUGUUGUCCUGUCCUGGAAUAAUCCAUGGGGGAACCUCAGGAUUUCCCAACCAGUUGUCUUCAUCAUGGUCCCCAUUCAACUUUCAGUGUCUUUGGUAGUCUCCAUUUCAAUUAAUGAUCUUUCAUCCAGUCAGCUGUCCAUGUUAAAUUCUGGGAAUUAUCCUUGAUUCCGUCUUCUCUGUUAACAUGCAUUGUCAAUGAGCCUCCAGAUUUUCCUGAUUUUACUACCUAAAUAUUUCUCAAAUGUCAUCAUGUUUCCCUCUAUUGCUGCUCCCACUGUGUUAGUUUAGAUCCUCAUCAUUUCUGAUAUCAAUGACAAAAAUAGCUAAUACUUAUUUUUAUGGGAUGGUACUCUUCAGUGUUUUGCAUGCAUUAUUUUAGUUAAUUCUCAUGGAAAACUUCUUUGAAAUAGAGACAACUAUUUUUGCCUUUAUGUAGAUGAGAAACUGGAGAGUCAGAGAAGUUUGGCAACUUGUCUAAAGUCAUACAGCUACUCAGGGUUCAUUCCUUUUUAUAGGGGCUCUAAAAUAUAAUGGCUGAGAGUCCUUUGUUUUAUAAUGGUUACUCUUAAAGCCAGGUAGUUGUAUUUAAACUCUUCCUUGGACUUUUGUCAGAGUAUGUCACACAGCCUGCUUAAAAUCCUGUGUUCUAGAUUGAAAUCAUUAAAAACAUUUUCUAUGACUCUUCCCUGCUAACGCUGAUGCUGCCUUAAAGUGAAUUUGGGUCAAAAGAGUAGUAAUCAGACACAGUAACUACAGGCAGAACACUCUCUUGUCUCUCUUCCCUUUCUACAGUGGCGUAAGCUUCCUUAGAGCUUUGAAUCCCCAAACUCUGGAAGGGCUUUAGCAGGCUUAAUAUUUUGUUUUUCAGCCCACCUAAAGGAAAAUUCAAACAGUGCCUCCACUACAUAGCCACGCUCUCAUUUUCUACCUUAUCCUCACUAGCUCAUUAGAUGUCCACUGCUCGCCUCGGAAGCAGCUUUCCUAAUUAUGUCGGUGGCGCACAGCUUGUCUUCUUAAAGACUGCGUUUUUCACUCUGUUCGUGCCAUUUCACUGGAGAGGAAAUCUGCAUCUGCGCUCCUAUGGAAGCCAUAAGGUCACCACGUGAAAACUUGGAGGGCAAAAAAAUGUUGUCAGUAAUGAGAUCUCAGGCAUUUGGAAAGUUCACAGGGUCCUUUGUACAACACUGAAGAAUCCCUCUGUUUCCUCUGGUGCUGUUUCAUGCUAAUUUCAGAACACCAGCCAGUAUAAGGCAUCUCAACUCAAACUUCAGUUCACAGUGGAGCCUCUUUCAUCCUUUUUUACAGCGAGGCAGUUAGAUUUAUCUUGUUGAUCUGUGGAAAAAAAGGAAUAAAGAAACACAGUCACAUGAAUAUAACAGAUGGAACAAAUUGAAGGGUUUGCUCCUAUCACUUUUCUCCUUAUUAAAAGGAGAAGGGAAAACUGGUUUUCAACGGGGCACCAAUUAUUAUGAUUCUUUAAUAUUUUAAAAUUAUAUGACUUUCUAGAAACUCUAAGAGUUGCUGAUAUAGGCUGAAUAACAGUAAUAACAGAUUAAUUCUAUCACAAUUACAGGUUUUUGUCAUCACUUUGCCAUUGGUUUUUGCCUCAAGACUCCUCUGGUUACGUCUAGUGAAGGAGCAGAGAAAGCCAAAUUCACCAAUUCCCUGCUUUGUGACCUACUUGAUUGUACUACACAGAGAAAGUCACAGGGAUGGUGUAAAGGAAAUAACUGACUCUCUGACCUAGUGCUCUGUGCUGGGUUGCCACUGAAUCUUGUUUAGACUGUGACAUUUGAUUAGUGUAUGGAUAUGGUCGGGAAAUUCUGGAAUUUGCAGCCCCAUAGAGUCACCUCAUUAUAUUCCUCAUUAUAUUCCCCACUGUCCUAGUUUUCCAACGCUGUACAGUUCUACCUCUAGGAAUGUGACUUCACAGCCCAGGGAAGAAAGAACACUAGUAAACUUCAUGACAGAAUGGAUUCUAACUUCCCAGCUCCAAGAGUUUGAAUUACAGAAUCAAAGAGAUUCUAGCAAAAUUAUCUAGUCUGAUCCCCCAAAUUUAGGCUGCAGAGCAGCUAAGAGUCUUUCUCUUGCUCUUUCUUCAUUAGUCUUUUUUUUUAAAAAAGUGUUUUUUCUAUUGAGAAGUAAGUCAUAGCCUUAAAUUUGCCAGCCUUACAAGUAGGAAAGGAACAUUAAUACUAUUAUGUCCCCUAGGCUGUCAUAUAAGGUGAUCAACAAAAGAUCCUUUAUGGCUUGAGAAGUUGUUUUGUACAGUACAAAUCACCAAGUCCACUGUGCUGUGUUAUGAUUUAGUAAUUAUAUUGGUUUAAAGCACCAGAUCAUCUAUUUUUCAACUUUUUGGUGGUGUCCUACAGAUAAGGCCUUAGUAUAAGACCAUUUGUGGAAUUGUAGCAUAUGAAGCAUAUUUUAAAUAAUAGCUUGAAUAAAUGGUGAUUUUUACUUAAGAAUUAUGAUUUUGUCUAGGUUCUUAUAUAAUUACAUCAUUUCACUACUAUUGGACAAGGUUAAAUGUUAUAGGUCUCACUUUUUCUUCCUCAUACCUAACUACCUUCCCAAUUUCUCACAUUUCAGGCACAGCAUUACUUACUAUUUCUUUGGGGAAGCUUUCUCUGACUUAACCUUGAUCCCCACCCAGUCCUGUCUAUACCGUUUUACACUCAUCACAUAUUUUUCUUUCCUUUGUAGCCCUUAUCAAAAGUGUAAUUAUAUGCAAACUUACAGACUUACUGUCUGUCAGUAAUUUAAUGUGUGUCAUUCCCAGGUAAACUGUGAGCAUAACCAGAAUGGAGCUGUGUUUGUCGUGUUUGAUAUUAUAUCCUAUUGCGGUGGGCAAAUGGUAUGUACAUAUAAACAUUUACUGAAUUUAUAAAUGAUUUCCAAAGAUAUACUUAACAUUGGACCCAAUGCUUUAAGCAUAAUUUGUAACCAAAAAACUAUUAACUGUAAAAAUUUGGAGGGAAAAUUAUAAAGACUCCCUUCUGGAAGAAAAAGAUCAUGUAUAGAGGAUCAAGAAAAGAGAGUGAGAUUAACAACAGAUUCAUUAAUGAACAGCUGAGGUACUAAAAGUAAAUGCUACAAUAUUUUGAAAGUUCUGCAGGAAAAAUAUUUUACGCCUAGAAUCCUCUACCCAGUCAAAGCUGCAUCAAUUUUGAGGGUUAAAAAAAGGACAUUUUUGGAUAUUGAUGAAUUUAAGAAUUUUAUCAUUUUCAGAUUUUUUCUAUCAGGAUUACUGGAGGAUAUACUUUACUAAUCCGCAAUAACUAUACACACACAUGCACACACACACACAAGAGUAAGCCUUUCCCCUAUGCCAACAUAUUUAUCCCCAAAUCAAAAGUAAAACUGGAAAAUAAAAUCCAAGAUCUAUAUCUGGAAGGUGUUUGAGCCAGAAUUGAGCAGCUAUGGACAUACUUGGAGGGGGAAAGGAAGUUUAUAGGUAUUACCUUGAUGUUAAUAACAUUUUAAUGAGUUUGUUCAAAAGGUAGUGGUAACCAUCAUAACUUGUAAAGGAGGAGCAAAUUUCUAUACCAAUUAAGAAAGAACAUUUUGUCAGUCUAACCAUAGAGAGAAAGAGUGGGGGGAAAGCAAUAGAAAAACAAUAAAAGGUGUCAAGAUGAGUUCAAAUAUAUUGGUACUUAAAAUAUUGAAAAGAAGACACAAAGGAGAGGGUGAUCAUCUUGUUAUUGAUGCCAUUCUUUUUUUUAGAGAGAGAGUGAAAGAGAGAGAGAGAGAGAGAGAGAGAGAGAGCAUACAUAGGCACAUAAUUGGGGGAGGGACGGAGGGAGAGGGAGAGAGAAAAUCUCAAGCAGGUUCCGUGCUCACUGGGGAACCCAACGCGGGUGAGCCGAAAUCAACAUUCAGAUGCUCAACUAACUGAGCCUCCCAGGCACCCCUGGCUUUUUCUAAUGGUGGGAGAACCAGUUUUGAAUGGACUUGAGCACAUUUUAAUCUCUUUUUUCACCACUUUUUCUCCUUUGCCAAACUACUAACCCAUUAUUGUAAUUAAAAAAAAAAAAAUGAUGGGGGCUCCUGGGUGGCGCAGUCGGUUAAGUGUCCGACUUCAGCCAGGUCACGACCUCGCGGUCCGUGAGUUCGAGCCCUGCGUCAGGCUCUGGGCUGAUGGCUCCGAGCCUGGAGCCUGUUUCCAAUUCUGUGUCUCCCUCUCUCUCUGCCCCUCCCCCGUUCAUGCUCUGUCUCUCUCUGUCCCAAAAAAAAAAAAAAAAAAAAAAAAAUGGCAUCAAAACUGAGGCUUUUGAAUUACAAAUCACCCUCUUUGAUCAUGAGUUAGCAGCUUUUUUCGGUGUGUGUGUGUGUGUGUGUGUGUGUUUCUAGAUAUUCACAUGUAGCCAAUGAUAACAGUGAAUCAUUAAUUUACCAUAUAGAUCAUUUAGUGUAAAAAUUCAUUAUUGUGUAGUACUAAGUAUAAUUAAGAUUGAGGAUGAUAUUCAUGUUGAUUAUCACCUAUGUCAGUAGGCUACAGUAAAAAACAAACAAACAAACAAACAAACAAACAAACAAAACAAAACAGUGAGCCACAGAAGUCCAAAACCCUGACUGUAUAUAAAUUAAUAAAAGAUUUCAGUAGUGAAAAGUGUUAGGAUCAGAGUUAUGAUAGAGAUAAAUGAUCCUAAGAGCAGUGCUUUGGAAGAUUUUAAAAUAAAAAUAUAUAAUUAAAGAAAGGUGCGGAAGUUUGAAUUUGAGAUCAUUUAACACUUAAAGUGUUAAUAAAAUAAUCUUUUGAGUCUGAGUUUCACGAUUAGUUUAGAAUUUAAUUUUUGAGUUUAUGAGAAGUAACGAUAUAUUCUUUCUGCAGCCUUUUUUCCUUAUUUGACCUUCUGAUCCAUACAGGGCACAAACAAACUAUUAAGAGCUAUUUUAAAUUUAAAAAAUUUUUGAGAUAUUUCUAUAAAUUUAAAAAUAUAAAUUAGAAAAUUCUUCCUUCCAAUUCCUUUUGCCUUCGCAUUAUACUGUGAAGUGUUCAUAUUUUGCCACAUUAGCUGAAAGAGGAGUGUUGAUUUAUUCGAAUGGAAUGUGGCAAUAUUGUUUUGUAAAAGGUGCUGAUACAUGAUAGUCGCAAAAGAAAGAGAACGUUCUCCAGGGUUUUAUAUCUCCAAACUGAAGGAAGUGCAAAACUUAGUCAACUUUGGCAUGAUUUGAAUAAUUUUCACAUGCCCAUCUUCUGCAUGUGUUAUGGUGUAUCUGCUACCUUUCUGUAGAAAAAGAGAAAGGAGAGUUCAGUGCUGUUCUUGGUGUACUUGAACUGGUUUCCUCCCUCAAAUNNNNNNNNNNNNNNNNNNNNNNNNNNNNNNUUACAUGCCCAUCUUCUGCAUGUGUUAUGGUGUAUCUGCUACCUUUCUGUAGAAAAAGAGAAAGGAGAGUUCAGUGCUGUUCUUGGUGUACUUGAACUGGUUUCCUCCCUCAAAUAAACCCAGCAGGUAACAGUUGAUACAGAUGGAGAACCAAGUUUUAAUUACUGUCAAUAGCAUCGCCUUCUCCACUUUGCCAAAUGCUGCAUGUUUCUGGCAGGCCACUCGGAGAUUCUCCUCUUGGAGGCCUGCUUCUGCCUAAAUCAGUGUGCAUUCCCUUUGAUAUUCCCACAGUGUGCACAAUAUACCCUCGAACACACACUGCUCAGGGUAAUAUGUCUCUAAUGCGCUGAAAUCAAUGGGAACACAGCCUUUUUUGCCUGACAGUAUUGUCAGGGUGUAUUAUCUGGUUUAGGCUGUGGCUUCAGUUCAUAGCAGUCGUCAGUUAAAUUUCCCUUUCUGAAGCUGAGCAAAGUGUGGUAAUGUCACAGCCACAGGCGACUGCCGUUCAUAGGACGGUUACCGGAGAAGCAUAGCCUCCUGGCUUGUCACACUGUAUAUAUCUCAGGGUCUUCUCUUGCUUCCUAGUCAGAGGUUUCCAAGAAUGUUGCCUGGAGCAGUCAUGGGAUGCAAAAGAGAGAGAUUUUUGUUCUGCACUUAGCAACAUUACCACACUUCACACUCAGUUUCUGAUAAGGGAAAAUUUAACUGACUUGCUCUGAACUCCAUCUAUCAGAUAAUACACUCUGACAGGGCUGUGGAUAAAGGCUAGAAAACCUACUAAUUUAUAUUUCAUUAUCUCUGCACUUGGCUUAAUCUGUUAUCUUUUUCUAAGUGUUACAAAAAUGACAAGGAUUGCUGAACUGGAAGUGGAGAGGGGAACCCUGACCCCACAGGGGAUGCAAGAAGGCACACUAGAUAAUUCAGCAUCCUGUGUGAAGAAGCUGUAUGCUGAGGGAGAACCUUGGAGUCUGUAUCUGAGAUUGGAAGAGGCAGGGCAAUCUUGCACAGGUGAAGAGUGGAGGGGGCAUUUCUAGCAUCUGCUGCUUUGUUCUGGUCAACAGAAACCAAAAGAAGGAUAAUGGAAUUGUCAAAUAGCGAUGUGUUGGUGCCCAGGCACUUCCUCACCCCAGUCUCAGGCUUCAGAAGAAAAUCAUCUUUGUAGUACUUAGCCAUCAUUAUUGAAAAAGAUGCUUUUAAGUACUGAUGUAUGUUCAUUAGAACCAAUGAACUAACAGGGAUAUGUAGGGCUUAAUUAAUUCAGGGAGAACUCUCCUUUCUUCCAGUGUAGAGGACGGCCAGAUGUUAUAAACACUCCUUGAGGUGCUAGAAUGGGGCUUAAUUCCCAUCUGUAUGGGAAAUUAGCAGUUCAGUUCAGAAGUUCGUUACAAUAAGAAUAAACCCACAUUGGAAUUGCCCUCGCUUUGAAAAGGAAUUCUAAAAUACAGGUGCUAUAAAAUAGGGAUAAUAAGUCCCCUGGAAUUCUGAAGAAUAUUUUAAGCACUUGCUAAUAUUUAUUUGUCAGGAACUAGGUCAGACAUUGAGAAUAUGAACACUUGUUAAACUUUCUUGGAGCCUUUGCUUUUCUUUUUAAAAAAGAGCCAUGCAUUCAUCUUUGAGAGACAGUCUCCUGAUUCUCUUUUUGGUCUAUGUUGACAAGAAGCAUACAAAUAGGAGGCUGGGUAAAUGCAUACAGAUUUCAGUUCAAGGUUAUCUCACUCUGUAAGUUAUUCUGAGAGGAAUUCUAAGUCUCUUGGGGCAUGUGCAAAGUGGAACAUUAUGAGCUGUGUGUCUUUGUUCUCAGAGUGACCAAACUGCACUUCUUAGUAUGUAGUAAUGAUUCCUACGCUCAGAGCUUCUGCCUUCACAUCUGUAAAGUGGAGGGGUAAGGAGGAGGAAGAAGAUAUGGUCUAACCAUAUUUUAGGGAUGCAAAGUACCAUAAAGGAAGUUAUUAUAAUCACAGAAUUUUAGAGCUAAAAGGAACCAUGGAGAUAUUUAGAGGAAAAGAACCAAACUAGGAGUGAAACAUAUCUGGAUUCAAUCCUAGCUCUGCCAUUGACUCACUGCAUGUCACCGGGCAGAUACUUUCCCCUGAGGUCCCGGGGACAUCUUCUAUAAGAUGAGAAUAUGUGAAUAGUUUAUCCCUGAGAGUCCUUUCUGCUUUAAUUCCUUACCAUGGUAUCUACAGAAAUGGAAACAUGCCAGGGUUACACAGGUAAUUAAUGAGGCAACCAGUACCAGAUUAUUGGAUUUUUUUACUCUCUAGUGUUUCCUUCCUUCCUUCCUUCCUUCCUUCCUUCCUUCCUUCCUUCCUUCCUCUAUCCCUCCCUCCCUCCCUCCAUCUCUCCCUCCCUUCUUUCCAUCCUUCCAUCCUUCCUUCCUCUUUGUGAUCUGUUUUUGUUUUCUAAGUUCCUUCAAAUUCUUGAAAGAGUACCUUAAAGAUUCAAUGUCAGGUUAGUGGUCAUCAUAAAUAAAUGCUAGUUAUUAUAGAGUAGCUUCUGAUGGAUUCUUUAUUUAGACUUUAAGGCUAUGAAGCAGGUACUGAAACAAUCUGUAGACAUUUCAAAUCACGGUACUGCAGUGCUUAUUUAAAAUCCAAGAAUACCUCCAUGUGAUCUUUAAAAUAUGUCUUUCCCUAAUGAUGCACUCCAAAUAACCAUGUAAAGGUAAUGUCAGCUCCCAGGUUUUUCUGUUCACACAGAUGUGGUGCUCUGAUUUUAGGGCUUGCUGUAAAGCUACUGGAUAAGCUCUCAGAAAUCUGGCAAACUACUUCUGACACAGCCAGCUGAGACUCGCCUAGUUGUUUUGGCACCUUCUCCAGGAAACUCCUAUAGUUACCCCCAAGGGAGGUGGUGGGGAGGACCUCAUCAUUUUUUUUUUUUUCCACCUCCUACACACAGCCAAUUUUUGUUCCAGGGGGGUGUGUGUGUGUGUAUCCUUGAAUGCAGAUUGGGAAAUGGCCUUACUUCUGUCUUAUAGCUGCCAUUUCUAUUAAGUGCUGCUACUUUGCUGUGCGUAACCUUCUCUUUCUCUGGGGAGCCAUCCUGUCAACAUCAGUUAAUAAAGUAGACCCUGCAAUUUAUCAUUUAACUUUCAAGGUAACACACAAUUUUGAGGUGCUGAUGAAAGCCAUGUAAUAUUAUUUGGGAACAUCUCUCCAUUCCUGAUGUGUUUCUUUUCUGUGAAAGGAGAGCUUUGUAACUGCAAGUCUCUCUCCAACUCACUGUUCAUUUUAUACUUGAGAGAUGAGGAGGAUUGUUGGGCUGGUAGUAUUGGGAGCAAGAGCUGGGCUUGUGUGGGUCUGCUCCAUCUUUCUUUUUUCUCUUUCCCUUUUUUUCCCCGGAGUUGGGAGUGGGAAUACGUAGUCAGCUUGGGCCCAAUCUUGCCUGUGCCCUACAUGAACAAUUCUUCCUUAAUUCUGGGAUUCACUUAUGAGGCCAUUGGGAUUUCACACUAAAGGUCACUCUCCAUUCUUGCCCUUGUCUGUAAUAAUAGUGUCUUUGUCUUUCAUAUUAUUCAGACCUUGGGUAGCAAAGAGGGGGGUUAGUUGUUGGAACCCUCUUGGAGAAACUAUCUCCAACACAAAAAAAUAUUAAAAAGAUGGAUUAUCUUACCUAAGUGAACCUUAGGGACCUAAGAUAGGAACUUAUCUUACCUUAGGGACCAUCUACUAAGUGCUUAGGCAUGUUGUUAGUCACUGAAAAAAUAAAGACGAAUUAGGCAUUGCCCCCUUUUUUAAAAAAUUCCAGAGUGUAAUGGGGGAGAUUUAUAGNNNNNNNNNNNNNNNNNNNNNNNNNNNNNNNNNNNNNNNNNNNNNNNNNNNNNNNNNNNNNNNNNNNNNNNNNNNNNNNNNNNNNNNNNNNNNNNNNNNNNNNNNNNNNNNNNNNNNNNNNNNNNNNNNNNNNNNNNNNNNNNNNNNNNNNNNNNNNNNNNNNNNNNNNNNNNNNNNNNNNNNNNNNNNNNNNNNNNNNNNNNNNNNNNNNNNNNNNNNNNNNNNNNNNNNNNNNNNNNNNNNNNNNNNNNNNNNNNNNNNNNNNNNNNNNNNNNNNNNNNNNNNNNNNNNNNNNNNNNNNNNNNNNNNNNNNNNNNNNNNNNNNNNNNNNNNNNNNNNNNNNNNNNNNNNNNNNNNNNNNNNNNNNNNNNNNNNNNNNNNNNNNNNNNNNNNNNNNNNNNNNNGGCAAAAUAGCCUCAUUUUUCUAAUUUACAAAGUAGAAGUCACAGCAGCCACUUUGUAGGGUUUUUGUAAUGAUUAGAGUUUAAUGAAUUUAAGUCCUUGGCUUGAAGUAAAUGAAUAAUUAAAAAAUGGUAAAUUAUUAUUUAUAUUCUGGCAAACAUCUGCUUUUGGUUUGAGUAAUUUCUUGAGUCCGAAGCUUGUAAAAAUCUGUGUCUUUUGCAUAAGGAAAUAAUGUAUACCUUUUAAUCCAUUAUUGUUGUUGAUAUUCUGUAAUCACAGUUGAACAUGAUUAAAAUGUAGAUAGGAGUAGAUUAUAUUGGAGUUAAGUUUAGAAGAUGGAGUAAAAUGAGGAAAAGAUAGAAAAAAGGGGAAUGUUAAUUUAUAGAUAGUUAAUAGUCAGUUUUAAGACUUCUUAAGAGUAGACUUCUUAAAGAGUAGAUUCUAUUUAGACAAAUGUUUAUCAUUUAAGUGACUAUGCUUAUUGACUGGGAGCAAGUUAUAUUUGCAUCUGAAAUUUUUUUUUUAAUUUUUUUUUUCAACAUUUAUUUAUUUUUGGGACAGAGAGAGACAGAGCAUGAAUGGGGGAGGAGCAGAGAGAGAGGGAGACACAGAAUCGGAAACAGGCUCCAGGCUCUGAGCCAUCAGCCCAGAGCCCGACGCGGGGCUCGAACUCACGGACCGCGAGAUCGUGACCUGGCUGAAGUCGGACGCUUAACCGACUGCGCCACCCAGGCGCCCCUGCAUCUGAAAUUUUUAGCAAAAAUUAUUACCUUCUUUAUUUCUAUUUGAAAAAUCCUACGCAAUACUAGGAGUUACAGAAACAAGUGUUAUCAUAUCAACUAUCAUUCCUAGUAGACAAAAUUUUCUCUAUGUCAUGGAAUCCAAGGGAGGAUUUAUUCUUUGAGUGGCACAAUUCAAUUUUAGAAACAAUAAUAUAAAUUACUAAACAAUAGUUGGAAGAUUGUAUGCAUUGUACAUGAUUCAUGGUAAAUCAUAUGCUGUGUUCCUAUGUUUCUAGUUCUUAUUCUUAAACUAGAUUAACAUGGGGGUGAAAAAGGAGAGAGAGAGAGAGAGAAAGAGAGAGAUACAGAAUAUAAGAUUUUAACUCUGCCAUAAUACUCUCUUACUCUCUGCUUUCUGCCUUCUCUAACUUGCAAAAUUAAGUAGCAUUUUCUUUUGGAUCUCUUCACAUUCAUUCCUUAUUUUUAGAUUAGCCCAGAGAAAGGAGAAAUUAAAUUUGAUUUCUGGUUAGGCUGAUUAUCUGUAGACAAAAGUUCUUAUCCAUGGACCCUGAUGAAAUCAUAUCCCAUUCACUGCACUCCAUUGCACAGAUAUGCGAGUACUGCUAUCUUUAGCGGUAUGUAUGGUGAGGGUGGCUCUAAGCAAGUGUCUGGUCCUAGGGAACAACCCCAUGUACUCAUUCAGAGCCAGUGAAUUGCAUAUGACGUGUUGCAUUUUUAGUCACCACCUCUCUGCUUUCAUGCCUUCUCUGACUUUCUAGAGACGAUUUAGUUAAGCACAUACUGUGCUGAAGUAUGGGUCACCCCUACUAUGUGAAGCCAACAGUGUACUCCUCAAAGAGCCUGCUAUAGUAAAUCCCCUGCAAGUUCAUAGUUCAAGGAAUAUAGCACUCUAUAGAAUAAAGAGUUAUUGAAGUACUAGAAAAGCUGGAUGCAUUUAAUUCAGAGUUUUUAUUUUCUAGAGCAUGCACACACGUGCAUACAUGGUAAGUCCUGCCCUGCCACACUUUAGAUCUCUGGUUAUCCAUUCAUAUGCAACCCAUCUAAUAAUAUUGUAAACAUGCAUGUGUGCAUGUGGGCAUGUCCCUCCUCCCCUACAGACAUUCUCUUCUCUCCUUUUCCCAACAGGGAGGGGUCACAAUUGCUCCAGCUUCCACUAGGCAUUGGUUCUAAAUUUUUCUAUUUAUUUUAGUAUAGUUGGGCAAGGCAAGUUAUACAGACAACAUAUGUCUAUACUGUGAAAACAGUCCCCAAAUCUUAGAAGCUUAACCAAGAGUUAUGUUUUACUCAUGCCCAUUAUAUGCUACUGGGGGAUUCUACUCCAUUCAUACGUUCAAGAGACACACUGAUGAAAGUAAUGCCAGUUCAACCUGCAGCUUCAGCAGUCGCCUGAAGUGGGAAGAGAAAGAGUGGGUGGAGUUUCUCUUCUAUGUUUCACCUUCUAAGUGACACAUAUCAGAGUUCCCACUCACUACCAUUGGCUAGAACUAGUCAUGUGACCCCACCUAACUUCAAGAGGGAUGGGAAGAGUGAUUUACUGGGUAACAAGAAGGAGAGGGAAACCAGAUGUUCAUGUGUGCUGGUGAUGUCUACCACACAAGACCAGCAAAAUGACUGGCCGUCUUUGGUUGAGCUUUGAAAGACAAAACUACCUUGGUGACAUCUCCAUUAUCCUUGAAGUUUUAUUUAAAUUGUUUUUAAAUGGUGUUUUAAUUUUAUCAUUAUUAUUCUUUUUACUUUUGAGAGAGCACAGUGGGGGAAGGACAGAGAAGAUGGACAGAGGAUCUGAAGUGGGCUGUGCACAGCCUUAUGUGGGGCUUGAACUCAUGAACUGUGAGAUCAUGACCUGACCUGAAGUUGGACGCUCAACCUAGUGAGCUACCCAGGUGCCCUCCAUCAUCCUGGAAGUUUUAAAACUUCACUCAUGUCAGGACUUCCGCAGCUUGUCAAAUUCAGAGAAAGUCACCCACAUUGACUAAGUUAAAAAGAGACUGAAGGGUAAAUUAUCUUUAUCAUCAUGAUAGCCAAAAACAAAAACACAAAACCCAAACAAAAAUACACUAAUAUACACUAAAUAUACACUAAAAUACUUGCUACCAAAUCUUAUGGUUUCUCCAUACAGUAGAUACUAGUAUAUACAGGAGGGGAGGGGGAACUGUGGCUUAGUUAGAAUAUGCAACUUUCCUAGGUCUUUCUAACUGCCUGGGUCACUUUUUUUUGGGACCAUAUCAUUUUUGCCUAUCCUUUAAAGCAAUCCUUUUCCAAUAUUUGAGUAACUGAAAGCUGAGUUACUGAACAGAAGGUUACUUCUUUAGUAAAAAUAGAAUCCAAGCAAAAUGAGGUUAAAACUCAUAAAUUCCCAACCCCACUGUGAUGAGGUCUGGUGAGUCAUUCAUACCCCUCAGCAGGGUAUACAUAUCUCUCAAAUGACUAUAUCCAUAGCUGCCUUACACAGCAAUGCUCUCUUUCUCUCUCCCUCCCCUUCUUCCUUCCUUCCCUCCUCUCUCAAUAUUGAAUUACUAUAGCCUUAUGAUCACAUUUUUCCCUCUUUGAGUAUCUUUUAUAUCCCAUGCUAGUGAUAAAGAUAAUCCAAGCAGUUGAUUAGAUUUAGGCUUAUUAAUUUACCAUUACAUUCUAGUUCUGUCUUCCUGGACACUUUUUUUAAUGUUUAUUUUUGAAAGAGAGAGAGAGAUACAGCAUGAGCGGUAAAAGGGCAGAGAGAGAGGGAGACACAGAAUCUGAAGUGGGCUCCAAGCUCUGAGAUGUCAGCACAGAGCCUGACAUGGGGUUCGAACUUACGAGCUGUGAGAUCAUGGCCUGAGCUGAAGUUGGACACUUAACCGACUCAGCCACCCAAGAGCCCCUUCCUAGACACUUGUAUUAGAAUUCUGGGUACCCAUCUAAGACCUUUGCAAAGAUAAAGAUAUCCAUACAUGAUGGACUGAUAAACAUCUAUGAAUUUAUUAUAUGUGCCUGGCAUUAUUGUAAAUGCUACUUGUAUAUUAGUGGGAGAAAAAGAAAGACAUAGUUCAUAUUCUAAUAUGGGAAGAUAGGUAAGAAACAAAAUAAAUCAUGUGAUGUGGCAAAUAUUGAUAAACAAAGCAGGCACUGGAGGGGCAUGUAAUAUGAGAGAAGGCUUCACUUGAGAAGGUGGUAUCUGCCCUCAACCUGAUGGAUGUGAAGAAGCAGAUUAUGAGGAAGAAAAAGGGAAGAAUUUCGUAUACAAAGGGAACAGCAAACAGACCUUCUGGUAGAAGCAGAACUUGAGAGCAUCACAGAGUAAGUAGUGUCCUCAGAGGAGUUCAAGCUUCAGGUAGACCAGGGCUCUUAGUCUCAGACCAAUUUACAUUUUGAGUCAAAUAAUUAUUUGUUGUGGGAAAUGAUACUGUUCACUGUAAGAUGUUUAGCAAUAUUCUUGGCCUUUACCCACCAGGUGCUAGUAGCAUCUAUGCGGCUGUGAGAAUAAAAAAUAUCUCUAGACAUUGACAAACAUUUCCUGGGGGAGCAAAACCGCUCCUGUUUACUGAGUUAGAAUGAAAAGGUAAAGGGUGCACAAAACUCUAUCUAUCUAUUUAUCUACCUAUCCAUUCAUCACCUCUUGCCCUACUACCUAACUUAAAAAAGAAAAAGUUCGGGGUGCCUGGGUGGCUCAGUCGGUUAAGCGGCCGACUUUGGCUCAGGUCGUGAUCUCGCAGUCCGUGAGUUCGAGCCCCGUGUCGGGCUCUGUGCUGACCACUCAGAGCCUGGAGCCUGUUUCGGAUUCUGUGUCUCCCUCUCUCUCUGACCCUCCCCCGUUCAUGCUCUGUCUCUCUGUCUCAAAAAUAAAUAAACGUUAAAAAAAAUUAAAAAAAAAAAAAAAGAAAAAGUUCUGCCUAGUAAAGAAGAUUCCAUGUUGCCCUGUUUCUCACCAGCAUCCAUGAGGUGGAAUGGUGACUGCCUUCUCUCAUAUCAUUAGUUGCUGGAAACUCGGGGCUUGAGGUACUCAACCAUCUCUAGAUUGACUUUCCUGUUAGCCUGUUGAGACUUGCCAAGGAAAUAUUACAAGACAUUUCUCCAACACAAGAAACUCUGGAAUGCCUCUUUGGGGGCAUCUCUGGUAGGUAUUACUUCCAGGUCUUCCAGGCACCCAAGUGGCUUAUAGUUCAAAGCACUUUCCUUCAGGUCAGAUAUCCCAUUUAUAUUAGACCUGUUAACUGUCAGAGACUGGCCUUAUUGCUUGCAUUUCUAACCUCACGAUUGCCUCCUUGGAUUCCUUACAUUUUAUUGCCCAAAGCAAUAUUGUAGAAAGUUUUCGACUGCCUGGUCUUCACUCAUCAUUCACCAUUUAAACAAGAUCAUAAUAUGAUCGACUGCUAUCAAUUUGCCUUUAGUUCAUGAUGUUCUAAGGAUACUGGCUGAUUAGGUGUCCAGUGAUUCAUUGAUUGUCAAAUCUCAGGGUUGGUUCUCCGCUUUGGAUGUUGUUUGAUUCAUCUUGCCAGCAUAUCAAUCCACUGUCCUUCCUGGGAGAUUAUCCUCUUUGAUUGGGUUUGAAUAUGGUUUUAUGUUUGAUUGGUUUUCAUCUUCUUUUCUAAAAGUAUUCCCUUUAUUUAUAAAGGGAAGAUCUUAUCAGAAAGACAAAAUGAAUCGGUGAUGCACUAUGGCUUCAUCCUCAUGUGUGCUUAAUGCUCUCUUCAUGUGUUUCCAUUAAGAAAUCACUGAGAUUUACAGAUUUAUUCUUCUAUCAAAUACACUUUCAAGUAACAUGGACAGAGACAUUAAGUCCUUACUAUGUACAGUCAUUCAAAAAAUGUCUUCAGAUAUUUUACCUGCCUUCUUGAAGAUUUGCACUUGGUUUGUAUUUUAUUCAAAGUAUGUUUAUAAGUAGGGAAACUGUUUGAAUCAAACUUUUUUUUUUUUAAUUUUUUUUCAACGUUUAUUUAUUUUUGGGACAGAGAGAGACAGAGCAUGAACGGGCGAGGGGCAGAGAGAGAGGGAGACACAGAAUCGGAAACAGGCUCCAGGCUCUGAGCCAUCAGCCCAGAGCCUGACGCGGGGCUCGAACUCACAGAACGCGAGAUUGUGACCUGGCUGAAGUCGGACGCUUAACCGACUGCGCCACCCAGGCGCCCCUGAAUCAAACUUUCUAUGAAGCAUAUUUAGCACUGUUCCAUCACUUUCUCCUCUGGUAAAAAGUUAUUAUAGAUCUCUACCCAUUGUCAUGUAGCAUGUGUGGGAAGAAUAUAGGUCUGUGCCUCACUGACUUUGUACUUGACCACGUGGUAUAAAGAUGAUAUAUUUCACUCAGUGGUCAUAUCUGAGAUGAAGAUUUAACAGGCACCUGCAGUUUUCUCCCAGAUCUUUUGGUUCUUUCCCUUGGACACAAGAAUGGACACAUCACACUUAAGGGUUGUUGCUUUAGCCUGAAGAUGACCCUGAAGCAGACCCAAACUCAGUUGUCAUCGUGGGGCAGAACUAUAGCUGUGGGCUCACAUCUACUGACUUGUCACAUGAAAAGAAAUAAUUUUUGGAAGUCACUUAGCAUUAUUUUUGUAGGCAUAACCUAAAGAGAAGUGAGGAAUUCACACUCCCUUGUGACAGAAUAAAGACAAGACUCAAAAGUCCUAUAAAAUAAUUUAGAAAGUCUUGUAGUCUGCCUGUGCAAUAGACCAGAUCAUAAGCUAUCAAGAAAUUAAAGCCACGGUUAAUCAAAUGGAUUGACUUUAUAUCUUAAUUGUGGGUAAUGAUUAUUUCCCCUCAAUUAUGAAUAAACAAAGCAUUUUGUCUUCUAUUAGAUAUCCAACUACCUUUAUAUGUUGAUUGUGUAUCAUUUGCUGAUUGCCUAUUGUGUAUGGAAAUAAACUUUUUAUGUGUUAAGACUUUUGAAAAAAAUAUCUGUUUGGAUGGGAAAAUUGCAGAUUCAAAGGAAUGACCUAGAAAGCACAGAGUAGACAUGGUUUUCCUGUUGAAUAAUGCUUACUUAUUCAUUUGUUUGUUUUAAUAUAUGACCAUUCAUUGAGCACUUAACAUGAGUGAAGUAUGUUACUAAAGUAAUGUCCUUUGUUGGACAUUACCUUGUUGGAGCCUCAUAAUACUUGUGGAAGCUUGUUUCUAAUUUUAUACAUUUUCUAAAGAGAAAACUAGUUUUGCAAGACCAAGGAUCUCACCCAGUUUUUAAAUUUUUUUUUUAAUUUUUAAAUAUUUACAUCCAAAUUAGUUAGCAUAUAGUGCAACAGUGAUUUCAGGAGUAGAUUCCUUAGUGCCCCUUCCCCAUUUAGCCCAUCCCCCCUCCCACAACCCCUCCAGUAACCCUCAGUAUGUUCUCUAUAUUUAUGAGUCUCUUCUGUUUUGUCCCCCUCCCUGUAUUUAUAUUAUUUUUGUUUCCCUUCCCUCAUGUUCAUCUGUUUUGUCUCUUAAAGUCCUCAUAUGAAUGAAGUCAUAUGAUUUUUGUCUUUCACUGACUAAUUUCACUUAGCAUAAUACUCUCCAGUUCCAUCCGUGUGCAAAUGGCAAGAUUUCAUUCUUUUUGAUUGCCAAGUAAUACUCCAUUGUGUAUAUACCACAUCUUCUUUAUUCAUUCAUCCAUCGAUGGGCAUUUGGGCUCUUUCCAUACUUUGGCUAUUGUUGAUAGUGCUGCUAUAAACAUGGGGGUGCAUAUGUCCCUUUGAAAUAGCUCACCUGUAUCCCAUGGAUAAAUGCUUAGUAGUGAAGUUGCUGGGUCGUAGGGUAGUUCUACACCCAGUUUUAUAAAAUUAAAGUAUUUAAGUCAGAAAGGAGUUAUAUAUUUUCUUCAGUUUUAGAGCCCAGAAUUCUUUUUUUUUAAUUUUUUAAAUGUUUUUAUUUAUUUUUGAGGCAGAGAGAGACAGAGCAUGAGCAGGGGAGGGGCAGAGAAAGUGGGAGACACAGAAUCUGAAGCAGGCUCCAGGUUCUGAGUUGUCAGCAUAGAGCUCAACAUGAAGCUUGAACUCACUGCAAAAUCAUGACCUGAGCCAAAGUCGGAUGCUUCACCUACUGAGUCGCUCAGGCAUCCCUGGGUCUCUGAUAUCUCAGUCUGUAGGCAAUUGUACUAACAACAACAACCAUCUGGAAUUAAACAGCUAGAAAAAAGUCAGUAAGAAUGUGUUUGUUGAGUACCUUUGAGGGGAUUUAGAUUUAAACUAUGCAUAUUCUAAUUACGAAUGCUUCAACUGUAUCUCAGAGAUACAGUGGUCCAAUAAAAUGAAAGAAAAAAUAAAUAACUUCUUCUUGAGAAGCUAUUUUUAGAUGAGAAGAUCCUAUGGUAGGUCAAGCUCUGUAACGAGUUUUUGGUUUGAGAUAAUCCAGAAAUCCUUUAUAUUUCAUAAUGGUUGAGUGAUAUUUAGUAUUUUAAAAGGAGAAAUGUCUUCUGAUUAUUUGCCUAAGGCAAAUAUUAAUAUUAAUCUUCAUUGCCUGACCAUCAGCUAACUGAUUACGAGGAGAGUGAGCUAGAAAAGUAUCUCUGCUGAAGGGUGGGUUACAGAUAAUCAAGAAGGUGGUCAAUCUUCAAGCAUGAAUCUAAUGUUUAUGAUGCGAGUGCUAUUUGAGAUCCUAUAAAACCAGAACUCUUCUCACAGAAUAAUAAUGACUCACAAAUAUAAUUCAAUGCAUGUUUAUCUGCCUGGUUUCCACUGAAGAACCCAAACCAAAACAUUUCCUCAUUUUUAACUAGAUGACAAUCUUCGUCUUUGCCUUACUUUGGGUCCCAAGUGUUGACAUCACAAUUUGUAUAAGAAGCUAUCUUCCAGUUGUCUAGCAAAAUUUGUUUGACACCCUUUAGCUGAUAGGUACCUUUUAAUUGUUUUUUGUUCCAACAAAUGUUGACUCUUGUAUUUUGCUCCAAUCUUCUCUUUGUUUUAAUAGUCUAACAGAACAAUGUUCAAGUUUGAUAGCUGGUUUUCAGAGAGGAAACCAUCUUCUGCCUAUGGACUCCAUUUUAAGAUAAUUUCAUGAAGAAUGAAAAAUGUCCAGAAGCCAAAUGUAGUAUAUUGUUUUAUACUAUUACUAAGAUUGGAAAUACAAUUUAAUUUUAUCUAAGUUCCUAUUGUAUUAUAGAAAGAAUUUAUUAUUAGCUAAUAAGUUUGAUAGAAAACCAACAUUAUUUAAUUAUACUCAUUUGUAAUUGAAUUGUUAAAUCCUUAACACAAACCUGUAUUUUUUGCUCAACAAAAAACCUCAUAGGAUUCUCACAUAAUGAGGACAGUUCUCAGGAGAAUAAUUAUCGGUGGCUUGGCUUCCAUUUAAAUAUUUAAUACACAUCUUAAUUUUUGCUAAGUCAUUACUUAGCUCUAUUUGAUCCUUUAGAACUUCAUCCCAUUGUUCUCUAUCUGAAUUAGCUAUAAACAAGAACCUGGCAGAUAAACCCAAAGCAUCAUCUGAUUGAUGUCAGCACAGCCUGUAAAGCUUGGAAUAAUUUGGUCCUUGCCUAAUGUUUCAACAUCUUCUUACACCACUUUCUCUUAAUUUAUCUGUGCUACUCUAGCCUGCUUUCUAUUCUUAGGACCUUUGCACUCUUUAUUGCUUUAGGUAUGUUCUAACCAGCUGUUUCCUUUAAAAGGAAUGAUCUUCUCACUGGCUUUUCUCUUGUCAGGCUUAUUAUCAUCCUUCAUAGUUUCAAUGUCACCUUUUCUGAGACACCAUUCUGUUUACUCUAAUUAAAGUAGCUGUUGGAGCUUAGUAGGUUAAGUGUCCAACUCUUGAUUUUAGCUCUGGCAGUGGUCUCGUGAUUCGUGAGUUUGAGCCCCGCGUCAGGCUCCAAGCUGGCAGCCUGGAGCCUGCUUGGGAUUCUCUCUGCCCCUCCCCUGUACAUGCUGUCUCUGACGCUCUCUCAAAAUAAAUAAAUAAAACAUUAAAAGAAAACUAUAAAGUAACUAUUUCCCUUUGCUUUCUCUGCCAUUAACCUAUUUGUGUUCUUCUCUUAACACUUUGAUGGAUCUAUAAUUAUCUUCUCAUUUUAUUUGUCUGUUUCCCAUACAUUUUCUUGAUUGUAAAAUGUCAGUAUCUAGGAGCCCCAGUACAAGUGACUCAGCAAGAAUGUAAUAUUUGUAAGGACGGUCGUAACAGUCAUGUGUGUUUAGUAAUCAUGGGUAAUGGAUUUAAUCACAUGAUACAAGGCAAAGGAUAAAUCAGGCAGUGACCAUUUUAUGCAUUCUGCAGCCAGUGGGUUGAGAGUUUCACCAGGUCAGAGGAGGGCUGGGCCUCCUCAUUCUGGCUCUUAUUCUCUACAGCCCACAUGGCCUCAUCAUCAACACUGUCUAAAACUUACACCCUAAGUCUCACAUUGAAUGGACCCAAGUGACUGUAGAUUCUAAAGAUUGAAUGUCUGUGCAUGGGACCUAACAUAACCUAACCUGAAGCUUACAUGAGACAUGAUUUUUCAAUGGCAGGCCUUCCAUGAAUAUAAGAUACAUGUGAAUGAGGACUUUGUCUUUCUUUUCCGCUUACUCUCUAAAGACCAACACAAGCCUAGAGUUUAGUAGGUCGACAGUAAAAUUACUUGCAUGCAUGUCUCAAUGAAUGAAUGGACAGAAUCAAUGAAAAAGUGAAAAGCUGUGGAGCAUCCUUCUUUGGGUGUCAUGUAGAUGUAGAUUUUAACUUUCAGUAUUCAAAAGGCUAAAUUUUGUCUUACAAUGUUAAAUAAUUCUUUAUUUUGUUAACUGUGGAGCUUUUUCACCUCUUCUUACAUUCUUUCCAAGAUUCAGGCAUAUGCUUCAUCAAGAAAAGAACACUUUGCCUCAGUGGGUGGGCUGUGUGCUCUCAAAGCUAAAACUGAUGCUUUACAAGUAUUGCAAAAAAGAAAAUUAUCAGGGUAACAGGAACAGACUCAAGCAAUGCCUUCUGCCAGAUUCUCUCCAUAUUUGGCCCCUAGUAGGAGCAUGUGCCUGGGGGUGUGGAAAUGGGGAUGUCUUACAUGCAGUGGAUGUAAUGCAGCCUUUCACACAAGCACAGUGAGGAAAGGCAUUCUUAUACUUCUACUAUAUCCCUCCCAUAAACCCAAAGAGGACUUCCCUCCAUGGGUUUAAUUAAGCAAAAACACUCUGACCUGUCAGUCAGGGACUGGGUUCAUCCUAGGGCACUGACCUCCUUUUCUGAAGUGUCCCAGAUGAAGCCGCCAAGUUUCAUUCUGCUCUAAUUAAAAGUUGUGAAAAGAGGUUUUUUCUUUUUUUUUUUUUACAUUUAUUAUUUUUCUCUUGAAUAUAUUUGUAAUUUUAUUUAUUUAGGCACAUUCUUGAAUUGCCUUUGGAAACUUUGUUUCUUGAGACAGUAACUAUUCAUCAUGUGGUAAGCAUAUUUCUUAGUAUUGGAACAUUACAGUAAAAACCACGUUUCUACCAAUAGCUUAGAAUUGUAAUUCAAUACAUUUUCUUUACUUUUCCCUAUCAAAUUAAGAAUACAAUUUGCCUUCACAGAAUGUCAGAGGGAAUUCUUUGCUUCAGUGUUUCCUUCUGCUUAGACCACUGUUUCCUUCUGCUUAGGUGAUUAAUGGGUUCUUUCUGCUUAAAUCACUACUACCACCAUUAGUCAUUUUAGCUUGUGAAUAAAAUCUGUCAAUACUAAAUCAUACUUAGUGUAUGUCAUCAGCUCCUAUCCCAGCCUAUUAUGAAAUAAAGCUAGAGAGAAAGUAUUUUCCCAUGUAACUGCUCUUAUGCUGAGAAAUAUUAUCCCCAUAUUACAGCAUUAAAAACAUAAUAUAUAAAAAGGAAGUUUUCCAUGUUAGUUAAAGUUCACAUUUUUGGUGUCUUCUGUUUAACAUCUCAAGAGGUGGGAAAACAAACCAUUGACCUUCAAGAUUAUAGUUUCAAGGGGCGCCUGGGUGGCGCAGUCGGUUAAGCGUCCGACUUCAGCCAGGUCAGGAUCUUGCGGUCCGUGAGUUCGAGCCCCGCGUCAGGCUCUGGGCUGAUGGCUCAGAGCCUGGAGCCUGUUUCCGGUUCUGUGUCUCCCUCUCUCUGCCCCUCCUCCCCCGUUCAUGCUCUGUCUCUCUCUGUCCCAAAAAUAAAUAAACGUUGAAAAAAAAUUAAAAAAAAAAAAGAUUAUAGUUUCAAGCCGGAUAGUCACAGUGAUGGCUCAUAGGUGGUUGGAUAAAAGCUUAUGCACUGCUUCUUCACAUAUAAAACUUUCAGAAUAGAAGGAUUCUGAAAAGCUAAUAUGACAAACUGACAGUGACUCAUAAGGUAAAGUUUAUCAACAGUGUGUGAAAAGUGUGAAGUUACCUGAACUAGUAUCAACUUCCUGGCAGUAUCUGUUGGAGUCCAUUGGCAUAACUAUCACCUUUGCCUGCCCUUACUCUGGGGAUCAAUUAUAGCCUACCUGGACAUUUCCAGAAUGUUAGCAGAAACAGCAUUGUUUUAUGUUUUUCCUAUUGGGCCCGUGAUCUCUCAACCAGUAGCUUGUAUAUAUUAAUAUUUUUUUAUGUUUUUUUAAUCUUUGAUAAAUUGAUAGGUAACACAAAAUCUCACCCUAUCCAUAGGAUAAAUUUUGUGCACUUAUUUCAUGUGAUAGUUUCAGAUAAGUCUCUCUCUUCAGCUUUCCAGACAAGGAAUCAGUGGUCUAUAAGACUUCCAUCCUUUCAUGCACUUUGUGUAGAUUUUCAGGCUCUUACUAUUUCCCUUGUUUCCAGAUUCUUUCACUGACUGUGUUCUGGCCUAAUUAACUUUUUAUAAUCAGGACUUUGUGCUUUAUCAGCUGAAAUAAUAAAUAAGAAGUAUUCAGUUCUAAAAUGCAGGCUCUCACUAUUAUAACACACUAUCAAGUCUGUGGUUCUUCCUUAUUUUCCCAACAGUUAUGCAUUGUGUAUUAUGAUCACACUGAAUGGAGAUAAAUGUUAUAAUCAGAGAAUUUUAAAAUUAUAUGGUAAACAAGUAUUUUGAUAAACAUUUUGAUAUUUAGAAUUGUUGAAACAAAACCUCUAAAAGUUGCCCAGUCUUAAAAAAAGUAGAGAAAAGAGAAAAAAAAUCUAAAAAUGUUGUUUAUAUAAAGCUUCUCGGAAAUACUAAGUCAGUUUAAAAUGUGAGUUGUAAUGUUGAUCCUCUGGCUUCCUGUGGAGAGUCAGGAGGAAGAGUCCUUUUUAAUGUUGUGAUGAAGGAACCAGGGCAGCACAACUAAGUGAGAUGAGAGAAAUGACUAUGUAUUGAUUGGCUAACUUCAGGUAAGAAUAAAGGCAUCACCAUCAUUACCUUUGUUCAUUCCAAUUUGUACUAUUACUUGAUUUUGGUUUUGUGGACAUGGUUGGAAGAGGGAAUAUUUGGAAUCUUUGGCUAUUUAGUAUGGGGUUCUGACCCAUAUCAAAGGAAAGUAGAAAACUAUCCACACAAAGUGGGUUUCCACAAAUGACUUUAAGAUGAGAAAACCAAAAAGUAAAGAUUGAGCCUCAACAGCUGGAUGGUAAAUAUUCCAGUGAGUAGUUCUUUUCUGCUUCUUUCUUUCUUUUUCUUUCUUUCUUUCUUUCUUUCUUUCUUUCUUUCUUUCUUUCUUUCUUUCUUUCUUUCUUUCUCUUUUCCUUCCUUCCUUCCUUCCUUCCUUCCUUCCUUCCUUCCUUCCUUCCCUCCUCCCUCUUUUUAGCCAUCUGGUCCAUAAGACAGAGAGGAGGAGAGGGUUGAGCGAGAGGGCCAUUUCAGCAGGUGGCCUAUCUGGGACAGAAUGUCUGGGUCAUAUUGAGAAAAACUGAUUGGAUGUAGACCUGAAGAGACAAGAAGUGGCAGGGAAAGAAAAAGAACCAAAGUCAGGAGCAAACAAAGACAGUAGAAGGAUAGUUCCCUGGGGAAAAGUCAGAAAAUGUGAACCUAGCUUGAGUUGGAGACCUGUUCUGGUCCACCUGUGGAUAUUGAAAGCCCUGCAGAAGCUUCAUAGACCUGAAGGGUUUGAACAAAGAUUCUACUCCUACACACCUUCCUCCAAUCCUUGUCCAUGAGACACCCAUGCUGUUACAUUGGAAGCACUUGUUGCCUCUUUCCUUCAACAUCUCUCCUCAUGCUCACACUCUUUAGGGCCUCCGGGCACUACUUCAACAUUAACCUUGACUUUGUGCCUCUACUUUUAUUACUCCCCAUUUAAUUCCAAUUUAUUUGGCAUAAUGGAACUGGAAUUGCUAUUACAAACUAAGAGGACCCCUCUAAGUGGAACCAUUGCUUUAUGUUUUGACGUGGUUGCAAAAUAUUUUUCUUUAACAGUUUUCUCUCUUUCCACAUCCUGGCUUCUGGAAAUAGUUUUGUGAAGGGGUUUUCCCCCAGACUGAUGCUGUAGUUUUCAACUGGGUUUGUCCCCAGCAGGGUUUCUGUGUGGUGUCCAUGAGAAAGGUUUGAUUGCUUUACUCUAUUCUGUUAGCAAUCCCAUUCUGACAUAUAAGGGGAAACAAUUCUAAUCUGAGAAAAUAACACUGAAUAAUAAAUGUGCUGCAAUUUAGUUUUUCCUAAAAAACUCCUUGAGAGAGUGGAUCAACAGAACAUAUCUGUAUUAUCAGCAGUCUAAUUGGCCCAGGUCGAUUUAGGGUUAUGACUUCUUGCUCCAUAGUUCAGGUAGUAUGCUGUGUGUGUGUCUCAGUGUGUGGUGUGUUUAUAAAGAGCUAAAGAAAAAAAAAAGUUACUUUUUAGGAUCGCAGAAGAGCUGUUCACUCCAACUUAGAAAGACUGAUUGGUUUGCAAAUUAUGUCACAGUUUAUGAAAGGAAGAGUUUUUAAUUAUACUUUCCUGAUAUACUUGGAAUUUGUCGCCAAAAUAAGAAAGGCCAUACUAGAUCUGGAUAUGUUUGGAGGAGGAACUCAGUGUAGUGAUGAAAAUAUGGGACUUCAUUAUAGGAAUCUUGAUAUCAAAUAAAAGUUAAAGUGCCAGAAAGUAAAACCAGCAGCAAUUCAAUCAUCAUGUAAUUCAAAUUCAUAGUUUUCACACUUUUUUAUAUGUCAGACUCCGUAUAAAGGGUGAUAUAAAAAAGAAUAAGAGAUGGAUCCUGCUAUCUACAAACUAUUAACUCAUCCAAUCAAAAUUGUGGUUUAUUCUAUGCAAACCACUCUGCUAAGGGAAGGAAGACAAAUAACUCUAAUUCAUGACUGAUUAUAAUACCUUUCAAAGAAACACACUGGUAAAAAAAAGAAAUAAGAAGACCUAGAAUGUCAGAUCUGUAAUACCAAUCAAGAAAAGUAGAGUUUCUGCCCAGAGAUGAGCUAGAGUUGAAGUGAAUCAAAUAGAGCACAGAGGGUUUUAAUUUCUCAUUUUGCCAUCAUAUGUCAGGUUUAACUAUGAAUCCAGCACCAGUGAUUUAAAUACAGUGGAGAUUGCAUUGAAAUUACCCCCAAAUAUUGUGGGCUUGUAGAUUCUGGAUAGUUUCUCAUUUUAUUAUCAUGACCUUAGGAUACAGGUCCAGCUCUUCCUGAUACACCACACAUUGUAUUCUCUGAUGAUUCCUACUAUGUUUUCCUACAUAUGUGUGUCUCUAUACUACAUUGACCCUGAGCAUCAUUAUGCAUUUUCACAACUUGGGAGAGAAAAGAAAAUGCGAGUGAAUGAAAUGAAAAGCUAUGCGCAGCUCUGACUUGACGAUGGGCUUUAGUAUAAUUAUUUUCUUCUCACUUUGCCAGAGAUGUCUACAGGAAAUAAAAGCUAUUCUAUGAUAUUAUUAGUAUCAAAUUAAAAAUGCUAACAAAACCAGGUAACCAUUUACUGCAUACUUACAUGUCCUAAUCACUGUUUUGCAUGUUACAUACAUUGCUUUUUAAUCCUAUCACAGAUAGUGAGGUAAGGGGGAUUAUCAUUUUCUAGAUAAAGAACACUAGGAUUCGGAAUGAGGUUAGGCAAUUUGUCUAAAGUAGUAUAAAUAAUAAUUAGUGGAAAUUGGAAGUAAUAUUCACAUCCAAGUUUUAUGCCUUCCGUGCCUGUGAUUUACCUCUAUUUCUGAUUAUCAGUUCAGCAUUCUUAAUAACCUAGUGAUACCACCAGAAGGAACUGAGAGCUUCCCACUGAAGUCCCAUUGAGUCCAUUUGUGGUAUUCCCACUCCAUUCCUUUAGGUUCCAAUUCCCUUGUUCAGAUAAUCCUUGUUUCUGCCUUGUUUUGUGGCUCUCUUCCGUCUUUCUGCCUUCCGUAUUGAUGCUUCAUGUGGAUUCUGACUGGAUGUAUUACGGCUCUCCUCCAAGGCUCUUUUAUUUUGCAUGGUGUUUGGCUCUACCCUGGCUUCAGCCCAGUGACAGUUCUGACUCUCUGCCCCCAUCCUGAGUACUUGUGGUCUCCCCUCUGGAUCUUUUUAUUUUGUAUUUGCCUUAUUUCCUUCGUUGGCCUCUUCUCAAUAUAAGUCCAAGGAGAAACUCAGUUCUAUAGGGGGUGCCUUUUAGGCAAAGCUUCAAGUGGAAAUGUUAUUUGAGUAAAGGCCUAAAAAAUAGACCAGAAAAAAUGAAUAAUAAUUUAUAUUUUGGCUUUAAAGUUGAUGCAAUAUUGUGCAUAAAUUAUAUAAAUAAAAGUCAACAAAUUAAUGGGCUUAGAUUUUUUUUUAAAGAGAUGGUCACAGAAAUGAUUCUUUUUUUUUAAAGUUUAUUUAUUUAUUUUGAGAGAGAGAUAGAGAGGGAUGGAACAGAUAGAGAGAGAGAGCAAAGGAGAAAAAAGAAAGAAACAGAGAAUCUCAAGCAGGCUCUGCACAGAGCCCGACAUGGGGCUCCAUCUCACGGAACAUGAGAUCAUGACCUGUGUCAGAAUCAAGAGUCAGACACUUAACUAACUGAGCCACCCACGUCCCCCUAGAUUUGAGAUUCUUAUUAUUUAUUUACGCUUUGGAAAAAUUAUUCCAAUAACUACAUUGCUAGUUAUCUUUAUUGGUUGAAAGUGGCAGUCUCUAUAUUAGGAAGAAUUUUCCUGGUACAGAGCUGGGUUCAAAUAGAGAAUCACUAAGUUUUUGUUUAAUUAAAGCAUGCAUGAAUGUGAAUGUUCUCCAGAGCUCAUUCGAUGGGCUUCCCUGUCUUAUAGAGGGUGUAGUAUAGGGUUCCAGCAAGAAUUUGGAGAGGGAUUUUAAAAGGGGUAAAAAACACCAAUAAAUACAUCAUUUCUUAUCCAAUAAGCUCUGUGUGUAAUAAACAUUCUCAUUUUCUACUACUGAAAUAAAGAAAAAAGUUGUGCUGUAUAAAAGAUACCUUAUUUAACUUAGAUAUGGCCAUUAUUUAAAAAGUUGGCUGUGUUUCUAUAUAGUCUUUUAUUAACUGCAAUAUCCUCAGUUUGACUCUUUCAGAAUGAAAGCCCUAAGUCAGUGCUAUUAUUUAAUUUUUAAUUUAACCAAUGGAGUGCUUUUUACAUAGAAGAGCUUGAUGCACUAUUUUGCAUACUGGCGAUUCCCCUUUGCAAAGAGAUCUUACUUUGGUGCGAGUGAUGAACUUCGGAAGAUUGGCUAUGAAAAAAUAACUGCGAAGAUUCUAAGUAGUAUUGCUGUAUCCAGCGUAAUUAAUUUAUUUUGAUGACUUCCCAUGCUUUCUGGUGAGAACAGUGCCCCCUCUCUGCCCCCCCCCCCCCCCCCCCAUAAUGUGUCUUUAUUACAAUCUAGUAACUGCUGGGAAACUGCCUUCUCUAAAAUGCCUUUCCCUGUGGCUUAAAGUAAAGAUUUUUUUAAAUAAAUAAAUACAGUUUAUGUUGGGCAUCCACCACUUGAAGGGCUAAUGAUUAUUGACUAGCCUCCAGCAGGCAUCAGGGAGUCUUGCCUCAGGCCCUUCCAACUAGCCCCCAAACAUGCCGAAUGUUAACACAUGUUUCUGGAUUCUGGCUGGGAUUGGACACAAACAAGGCAGUCAGAAUGGACCAUUUAGUGUACAAGUCAAGAUGACAGAUCUCUGCUUAAUACAAGGAAGAGAAAAAUUCGUAUCUUAUUGAAAACGGCAGAAGAGCCCCGGGUGCUUUCACUUUGUGAUUCUGCAGCAAAAAAGUGGGUUGUGUCAAUAUAAGUCUAUGUCACCAGCUCACAGCUGCCACACUGAAUUGACCCUGUUCACAGCAGACAUAAAGGCCUUCCAUUUCCAAAUUCUCUCUAAUGCUCAUCUGUGAAUGGGAGCAGAAUGUGGAAAAAAGCCAACAAGUCUUCUUAACUAUAGUAGGAGAAGAGAGACCAAAUUGGCUUAAUGCAGCACAGAAAUCUGUGGUGUGAGUUCCACCACUGGGCAGCCAAACCAGGACUAUGUGAUCAUUUGGUGUCCUUGAAGGAGAAAGCUUUGACAACAUAAGCUUAUGCAAAUCAUUAGCCAGAAAUUGUUCAUGCCCUUCUAGAUUCUUCUGGACUGCAUAGGGCUAGAUUAAAUAGUACAGCCAUGUAUUUCAGAAAUAGAUGCUUGACAGCCUUUCUUAAAGUAGAUGCUACAGAAUUUAUGUGAAAUGUUAAUAGGAAUUCCUUGCAAAAGAGUUUCCAGCAUCAAAAUAUUUUUUUUGGAACGGCUUGGAGAAAACAGUUCAAUUGAUUUCUUCAUUUGAGGCCAUUUCAGUGACAUUUUGGGCCAAAACUAUGAAUAGCUAAGAGAGAUACUUAAAUUUUAUGGCUUAUUUGAAUGCAGAGUCCCCCCCAUUUUUUUUAAAGGAGUGGGUAUAAAGUGUUCUAUGGAACAUUCUUAAGGAAUUCUGGACUGUGAGGAGAAGCGGCUUUGAAAUUCCAUGAUCUAAGAUUUGAGUGUUUCCAAAUUAAAACAUACCUCUCACCCUUAUUUUAAGUUAAUAUGUUCAUUUCAGGAAAAGUAAAUUAGAUAUCAACUACAUGUUUGGAAUUAUGUCAAAAAUUGUGGCACAGGUUCAAAGAAUAUAACAUGGCAUAUAUUCUGCCAUGUGGAGCUCAUGAUCUGAUGACAUGUUGAGGACUUCUGCAAUAAAACAAAUAUCCUCCAGGUUAUGUAUAGGCUAUACUGCUUAUUAUUAUCAUUUUUGAAUAACAUAACCAUAAAAGAAUUCAAAGGGAAAAUUCUUAUCCUUAUAAAUUGGAGAGGACGGUACUCUAUCAUCCUCCUUGUAGACAGGACUGUAUACGAACCAUCCGAAUUUCUGUGGCUUCUAAAACUCAUUGGACUUGCUCUUUUCUCUAGGUAAUCUAGAAUUCAACUUCUCUCACAUGUUCAUCUUUAAUCAUCUGUCCUGUAUUUUGUUUGGUAAAGGCCAAGGAAGAAAAAUAUCUGUCCAAAAUUAACUAUCAUGAACUAUGUAAAUGGUUCAGAUUAUUAUGAUGUCUUCCCUAAUUGUAUAUAAAGCUAUAUGAAGAAGAGUUUGUCUCAACUUCAAUUGAAUCAUAUACAUAUACAUAUACAUAUACAUAGUUCCCAUUUGUAAACCCCAUGUAUUUACAGAUCCUGAUUAACCAUGGUGCCCAAUCCUGUCUUCAUAUGUAGUAUGAUUUAAAUACAUAUGCCUUAUUACUUAAUUUGGUUCAGAUAUUGGCAGACAAAAUUGAAAAAAAAUAGACAAAGGAGUAAGUUUUUAAAUAAUAUAAUUGAAAUAGCAAAUCAGCAAAGUACAAAAUAGGCAACAACAGAGACAGUCUAUCUCUAAAUAUGUUUCUAAUGGAAUUAAUAAAAGUUAUGACUAAAGAAAUACAGUGCCUGGCAUACUAGGUAAAAAUUAAUCUUUUUACUCUAUUAUUUCUUCUUUAUUUUUGAAAGAUUGUUGAAAGAUGGUUACUAGUUUCCCACGCCUACCCCAGGAUCUCAUAUAUGUCUUACCACUUCCUUUGUCCACCAUUGUUUCUAAAUAAAAGCCGGCUGUUCUGUUAUUGGGAGUCUUCUUCAUAUAUGAUGAGUCACUUUUUCUCUUUUCAAGAUUUUCUUUUUUCCAUUGUGUUCCAUCAUUCUAUGCUGGGUUUGAGUAUGGAUCUCUGUGUUUAUCCAGAAUUGGACUGAAUUAUUGAAUUGGAGUUUACUGAGGUUUGGAUAUGUAGACUAAUGUAUCUUUUAAUCAAAUUUGGGAAGUCUUUAUCUAUAAUUUUUUUGAAUUGUUUUCUCCUUUCUCUUUUUUCCCUCCUGGUAUUCUCAGUGCAUACUUGUUGGUAUAUUAUGGUGAAUCACACUUCUUGGAGGUCCUGUACAUAUUUCUUAGUUAUUUCUUCUCUAUGUUCUUUAUAUUGUAUGAUCUCCACUGAUCUCUAUUCAUAUUCUCCUGCAUGCUCAAAUCUACUUUUGUACUCCUAAGUGAGUUUUUCAUUUCAGUUAUUGGGCUUAAACUCCAGAAUUUCCAUUUUUAAAAUUUUUUUUCUAAUAUUUUCUUAGAUAAGAUUUUGUCAUCAAAGUUUCUAUAAUUCUUCAUAAUUUUUUUCCAUUAGUUCUUUGAGCAUAUUUAUAAUAGCUGCUUUGAAGUCUUUGGCUGGUAAGUCCAACAUCUGGUUCUUUCAGAGGCAAUUUUUAUUGCCUGAUUUUUAUUUUUCCUCUGAAUGGGUCACAUUUUCCCAUUUCUCUGUGUAUCUCGUUUUUGUUGUUGUUGCAAAUGGACAUUUUACAUAAUACAUUGUAGCUGCCAUUUGUAUAUACUGUUCUUCUCCCUCUGGAGAAUUUGUUUCUAGCAGACCUAUCUUGCAAGAAAUAUUAAAGCUCUUCAGGCUGAAAGCAAGUGACCAAACAGUACUUCAAAUAAAUCCACAUAAAAAAAAUGAAGAGCUCUGGAAAAGUUAUUAUGUAGUAAUUAUACAUUUUUUUAAACAUUUAUUUAUUUUUGAGAGACAGAGACAGAGCAUGAGUGGGGGAAGGGCAGAGAGAGAGAGACACAGAAUGCGAAGUAGGCUCCAGGCUCUGAGCUGUCUGAAAAGAGCCUGAUGCGGGACUCGAACUCACAAACGGUGAGAUCAUGACCUGAGCCGAAGUAAGGUGCUUAACUGACUGAGCCACCCAGGUGCCCCUGUAGUAAUUAUAAAAGGUACAUUAAUUCUAUUACUUCUUUUCAUUUAUUUAAAAAAAACAAUGUAAUAAAAUGUGGGGCUUAUGAUAUAUAUGAAUGUAUUAUUUUUGGAAUAACAUGACAAAAGAGGCAGGUAGCAACAAAUAAAGCUUUCUGUAGUAAGAAAAUGACACUAAAAGAAUCCAUAAAUUGAAAUUAAGAGAAGUAGAAAUGGUAAUUUCUGGUAAUUUAAUAAAUGUUAUUGCUCUACUUUCUGUUUUUAGCUGUUUGUUUAUUUAUUUAUUUAUUUAUUUAUUUAUUUAUUUAUUUAUUUUUUAACGUUUAUUUAUUUUUGAGACAGAGAGAGACAGAGCAUGAACGGGGGAGGGUCAGAGAGAGGGAGACACAGAAUCGGAAGCAGGCUCCAGGCUCUGAGCUGUCAGCACAGAGCCUGACACGGGGCUCAAACCCACGGACCACGAGAUCAUGACCUGAGCUGACCUCGGACGCUUAACCGACUGAGCCACCCAGGCGCCCCUGUUUUUAGCUUUUUAGAAAUACAUUACUGGGGCACCUGUUUUCUUAGUUGGUUAAGCAUCCAACUCUUGAUUUUGGCUCAAGUCAUGAUCUCAUGGUUUUGUGAGUUCAAACCCCAGAUCUGGCUCUGCGUUGGCAGCACAGAACAUGCUUGGGAUUCUCUUUGUCUCUCUUUCUCUCUCUCUCUCUCUCUCUCUCUCUCUCUCUCUCUCUGCCCCUCUCCUGCUCACAUGAUCUUUCUUUCUCUCAAAAUAAAUAAAUAAACUUAAAACAUUUAAAAAGGCAUUACUAUAGUACAUAAUAAUAAAAAUUUACUUUUGAAUUUUUCAUAGAUGUUGAUGCAGUGUGUAUAACAAUGAUAGCACAAAAGAGGGAAGAGAAACUAGGAAACUAGAGAAACUAAAAUUUCUAAAUCUUUCUGAAAUGAAGUUAGUGUAAAGAUAGUGUAAGUAGAUGAACAUUUUAAACACUAGAGCAACCAUCAAGAAAAUAACUCAGAAAAUAAAUAUCAUUAAUGGUCAUUAAAGUAACUAAAAUUUUACACUACCAAAUAUUCACUUAAUGUGAAAGAAAGCAGUAAAAGAAAAACAGAAACAUUUUGAUGUCUUUUUAGACAUCAGACACAUAGGAAUAAAAGCAAAAUGGCAGUGGUAAAUCCAACUAUAUAAAUAAUAACACUAACUAUAAAUGGAUUAAACAAUUCAAUUGGAAAAGAUUAUAAGACUGAUUUAAAAAAUUCAGGAUCCAGGGGCACCUGGGUGGCUCAGUCAGUUAAGCGUCUGACUUCAGCUCAGGUCAUGACCUCAUGGUUCGUGGGUUCAAGCCCCACCUUGGGCUCUGUGCUGACAGCUCAGAGCCUGGAGCCUGCUUUAGAUUCUGUGUUUCCCUCUCUCUCUGCCCCUCCCCCACUCGCAUUCUGUCUCUCUCUCUCAAAAUAAUAAAAACAUUAAAAAUUAAAAAAAAAGAAAUCAGGAUCCAGAGUCAUCUGGGUGGCUUAGUCAGUUAAGCGUCUGUCUCUUGAUUGCAGCUCAGGUCAUGAUCUCAUGGUUGGUGAGAUAGAGCGCAUGUCAGGCUCUGCCCUGACAGUAUAGAACCUGCUUGGGAUUCUCUGUCUGUUUCUCUCUCUGCCCCUCCUGUGCUUGUGCUCUCUCUCUCCCCCUCAAACUAAAUGUUAAUUAAAAAAAAUCAGGAUCCAAUCUUAUGCUGUUUACAAGAGACACACCUUAGAUUUAAACAUACAACUAAGCUGAGAGUAAAAGAAUGGGAAAAGAUACACCAUGCAAAUAGUAACCAUAAGAGUUGGAGUGCCUGUGGCAGUGUGAGAUAAAACUAAUAAUAAAAAAAACUGUUACUAGAGAUAAAAAGCGAUAUUCUAUAAGGAUAAAAGGGUUGUUUCAUAUAGCAAACAUUGUAAUUAUAAACAUAUAAGUACUUAUUAUAGCAGAAUGAUUUAUAAUAUGUAAAAGUUAUAAAUCACUUGAGUAUCCACUGAUGGAUGGGUAAGAAAAUACAGAAUCUCCAUACAAUGAAUUUUGUGUGGGGAGCAAUAAAAAAAAGAAGUACUCACAUGGAUGAGCCUUGGAAACACUGAAGUGAAAGGAGCCAGGAACAAAAUACCAUAUAUUUUAUGUGCCUACUUUCAUAUAGUUCUAUACAUUUCUAUAACAAGCAAAUAUAUAGAAGCAGGAAGUAGAUUAAUCAUUAGUUGAACUUGGAAAGGAGGGAGUGAGGAAGAGAAUGGGGAAUGCUAAUGAGUUUUCUUUAGGUGAGAUGAAAAUAUUCUAAAUUUAGAUGGUGUUGAUUGUUGCACAACUCUGUGAAUAAACAAAACCCAUCAAAUUGUACACCUAAAUGGAUAAGUUGUAUGGUAUUUUAAUUGUAUCUCAAAGCUGUUAAAAAAAAAGUGAGGCAACGGCCAUAAAUUUGCUGGUAACCAUUGAUGGAGUGUCCCACCCUGUAAUUCAGAAGAACAAGAAAAGCAAAAUAUUUAAUAAGCAAAUGCUGUAUCAUGCAUGGUUCAAUUGCUUUACACAUAUUAUUCAAUGUUUAUUCUCCUAAAACCAUAUGAAGUAGUUAUUCUGACUUCAUAUUAUUCUUACAGGUGAGGAAAUUGAAUACAAAGAUGUGUUAAAUAACUUACCCAAGGUUAUGGGAUAAUAGGGUCAGAAUCAGUAAUCAAAUUCACUCAAAUAUGCAUGCACCAUGUUAUACAGCUUUACUAAAUGUAGUACAAUUUGAUACUUUUUCACCCAUGAAAUCGACUUCCUCAUCUUUUGUGAUAAUUGCUUCAAUUUACUGAACAUUUACUAUGUACUGGGCACUAUUCAUUCACAUAUGUCCCCUUGCUCGUACUCCCAAUGACCUUAUGAAAGAGGCAUUAUUAUACACUGUUUUAGCGAUGAGCAAACUAAGGCUCAGAGAAUUUAAGGAACUCACUCAAUUGGUAAGUGAUAUAAUACACUUGAAAUGUUAGCACUCGUUUUUCUUUAACUUGACACUGGAUAAUUUUUCUAUGUAUUACUGAAAAUAGUGUUUUUGAAAUAAACUAGAAGCAUCAGUAGAGAAGUGGAAAGAAUGAAUCAUGAGAACUGGACUUUUGUCUCUUGAGCAGAGUUUCUCUUCAGGGAAUAUGGUUACUCCCUUGUGUGGGUGCUCGGCUGAAAGAAGCAAAUUAUAUAAAAUGUCUUUGAACACGAUAAAGUGUUAUAAAAUAUAAAGCAUUAUUAAUCUAAACUAGGUCAGAAUCAGUAAAUCCAUAAAGUUUUAUAACACCCUCUUUGCUCAUUAAGGUAGCAGUGUGGUUUCAAAUCAGUAAUUCACAGUGUAGUGAGAUGGUGUGGGUUGGUGUUAGAGAACAGAAUGUCAGGGUCUGAAAACUCUGAUCUGCAAACUACACCAGUGUGCAGUAUAACCUUAGGCAGGUCUCUUAACAUCUGCAUUUGCAAAAUUAUGAACAUAUUACUGACCUAUUUUAUAGAACUGUUUUUAAGAGGCUCUGAUAAAAAGUGAUUAUAAAGCACCUAUAAAGCACCUAUAAAGUAGAAUUAUAUGUAAAACUGUUUAAGCAUAGUUCAUGAAUUUUACUUAAAUAUUUAUUUCAAUAGCUAGGACUUUUUAAAUUCUAAAGUUUAAACUCUAAGUCUGAAAAUCGAUUAUUGCAAUUAAGAGAGGCUUCUAUUGUCUGACAUGGUGGCUCUAAAAGGAAUUCAGUGAUAAAGAUCUUACAAUUAACAUAUGACCAGAUAUUUUAUCGCAUUCAAAAUAAAAUAAUGGGGGAGAGCUUGCGGCCAACUCUUGGUUUUGGCUCAGGUCAUGAUCUCUCGGUUCGGUCCAUGAGAUCGAGGCCCAUGUGGGGCUCUGUGCUGACAGUGUGGAGCCUGCCUGGGAUUUUCUCUCUCUCCAUCUCUCCUGCCCCUCCCCUGCUUAGGUGUGUGAGUGCACUCUCUUUCCUUUCUCUCUGUCAGAAUAAGUAAAUAAACUUUAAAAAAAUAAAAAAUAAAAUAAAAUAAUGAAGCCAUACUUCAUAGUGACUGAUAUGUAUAUAGUGGGGUUAAAUAAAUUAUUAUGGCUUAUAGAACAUAAUUCUGAAAGAAAGUAUAUUUAGUUAUGAAUCUUUUAGUGAGAGUGGUUGAUGUGUAAGUUAUACCUUGAAAUAAAGUUUCUGCUGACUAUAAUUCAGAUGAUCUAUACUGCUAAUUGUUUUGUAUAAACAACUAUGAAAAUAAUGAUAGGUAUAAUUUAGUGGGAACUCUGUGUGAUCCAGCUACAUGCACCUUACGUAUGUUUGAUCCCCAUGUUAAUUAUAGAUAUCCAACACAUAUGGCAAAAUAUUCAGAUAAAUAUGGGUGUCCUGUAUAAGGAUAUACUUUGGUUUUUCUAAGAUAAGGCAGUGCUAUCAUCCUUUGUCAAUUUCUGUGUUUCAUCUAUUAACAUAUUCUUCUGAUGAUAAGAUGAACUUCAUUUAAUACUAUAAUAAUGGUUCUCAAAACCAGGGGCAGAGGGAGCGCCAACAGAGGGGCAGAGGGAGUGUCAGGGCAGAGCCCAACAUGGGACUCAAUCCCAGGAUCACAAGAUCAUGACUUAAGCUGAAAUCAAGAGUCCAAGGCUUAACUGAAUGAGCCACCAGGCACCCCAGAAACUGCCUUUUAAUAUGCCUUGCAAGUGAUCUUGAUGCAAGCUAAUGACAGAGAACCACUGUCACAGAGAGAAACUGAGGUUCCAGGCUUUCAUUCCUUCAUCAAGUGUUUGAAGCACCUAGUGGGUGCCAGGCACAUAGUAGUUUGGAGAGAGUGAUUUUGGUGUUCAUUUGCUCAAUUGAUUGGUCUGGCAAAAAGGAAGAUUUAAACAAGUGCCUAGGUAUGAUUAAUUUGAACUCGGUGUUUUAAGAACCAAUGGCUUACCAGGAGACAUCAAGAAAUAGUUCCAGGCAAACAUUAAGGGAAGAACUCCCAUGUUGGCAAUCAUACAGCUUCCUGGAAACACUGGUGGCUACUGGGAUGAGAGAUGAUGAAACUUUAGGGAAGGUAGACUUUCUUAACUGUAUGUCGUAUUUCAAAAAGUAGAAUUUGAAGCUGUGAAGGAGAUAUCCUCAAUCCUAGAACUCAGAGAUAAGACGUAUCAUAGUAUCAAUAACAGUAUCAUAGUGUCUUCAGCUGUAUAAACCAGACCAAUCUAUUUCCUCUUAUGCUGCUCUGGGAUGAUACAAGGCCAGACCCAUUAUAUUUUGUCUUAGUUCUGAUAGUGAUAAUAUCCGUGAAAAGUGAGAGUCACACUGUCUUCUUCAUAGGCUUGUCAAGGUCAGAUAGCGAAGGGCCUGGCUUGUAAAGGUGUGGUGGACAAUGCUGACUACCUAGUGAUAUUGAUUUUACUUUUUUAAAACAAUGGGACUCUUGAGGUUAGAGGGGCACACCUCAAUUGGCCUAAAACUGCCUUAUGUUUACACUGUGGUGGGUGUAACCAUGUUAGUGAGGUCUGGACAUAAAUUGUGGCACUUCUAUUCAUACUAUUAAAAGAAAGACAUGAGUCUGCAUUUCUGUUGGCUUUUCUCCUCCCCCCUGGACAGAAAAUGGCAAAAACAGCUGCAAAUACCUUAGAUCCAGAGCUGGAAGCUGGGUUUUGUGUGCUGCAGCACCUCCUUAUCUGCCCUAGCCUGCUCCCUCCCUUGGACUGUUCAGUGAGAGAAGUAUGAAUCCCUGUGUUGUUUAAGCCGUUGUGUUUUUAGUCUUGUUGCAGCUAAUUUAGGGUGUACCCUAAUUCAGCAUGGCCUGGGAAUCUUGUUAAUAUGUAGUUUGCAGUUCAGUAUGCCUGGGGUGGGGCCUAAGAUUAUGCAUUUCUAAUAAAUUCCUAAGUGAUGUUGAUUCUGCUGGUUCAUGGACUAUACUUGGAAUAGUAUGACCUUGAAUUUGGCAUUUAGUAAAGAUUAUUCAAUUUUUCUUUGCUCUUUGUCUGGCUUCAGUCUACUAUAAUAAAGUACCGUAGACCGGGUGGCUUAUAAGCAACAGAAAUUUGUAUCUCACAGUUGUGGUGGCUGGAAGUUCCAAAUCAAGUUUCCAGCAAGGUUUGGCUCUGGGAGGGUCUUUCUCCUGGUCGAUGACUUCUGACUUCUCAUUGUAUCCUCACAUGACGGAAAGAAAAUGAAACCUGAUUGUCUGGCCUCUUCUUGUAAGGGCACUAAUCUCAUUCAUGAGGGUUUCCACUCUCAUGAUUUAUUACCUCCUAAAGACCUUACCUCCAAAUACUAGCAUGUUGGGGAUUCGAUUUCAACUAUGAAUUUUUGAGGGAGGGGGCAUUCAGUUCAUAACACUCCCCUUUCUGAGCCCUUAUGAUGUAAGUGGCUCUUUUACAUUUCAAUUGAAUGUCACCAAAUGGUCCUCAUAGUGUAAAGAGAGGUUGCCAGAAAGCAGGAGAAGUUGUGUUGCUGGGUCCUGACUGCCUAUAAACAGUUAGUGUUCUGUGCUAGUAAAGACAACUUGGUCUACAUAGUAAUACAUAUUCCAUAACUUAUUUUAUAACUAUAAUAUAGCUUCAUGAUAGCAUUGUACUCAAACUUUGCCCAGCCAGAGCUCAAAUGUGUACUUGAGGUCAAAAGAGGGAAUGGUGGACCAUCACUGCUUCUCUCAUGCCACCCCUGACAGUAGCUCACAGCAUGCUCUUUGCUCAUGUUGGGUCUGGUAUUAGGAUCACAUGGAAAAGCACAAUAGGCGGUCUUAUCGGACUCCCUCCCAAAGAAGAAGCAUUUCCCUACUCUUCUGCAUGCCUCCCUCCUUCCACAGCCAUGUGGCUUGGCUAGAAUUGAGACUUACAUAGAAGUGAAGAGUAAAUUCAUCUUCAUUUUUAUUCCUAUGUGUACAGUUUUUUUAUGGUAACCACAACAGAGCUCUUGAAAAAUUGCUAGUGUGUUUUCAAUCUGCAAAGAAGGAAGAAAGCAGAAAGCUCUUAUUUUCUUCAUGCCCAGCUACUUCUGUGUUCUGUGGAAUUUCUCAUAGGCAAAAUGUAAGUGGGUGUCUAUGCACUAUGAUUUCAGGCGCACUUGAAAGCUCUUCUGUCAAAAAAAACCCACCUCAUUUGCACAGUGAUACUUAAAUGCCAAAAGAAUGACCUUUUUGGGGACAUAUGGGUAUUGACCUCAAGAUCAUGGUCUCUCUAAAGAUUUAUGUAUAGGAGUCUGUGUAGGUACAAAUUCACUAAAAUUAUUGGUGGUAUUUUAUAUUUCAGUGUAACCAUUCAUUCCUUUUAAGAGAAAACUCUAAGUUUUCAUUAAAUUCCUAAAGGUGUUUGUGAUUCAAAAAACUUUUUUUUUUAAUUUUUUUUUUAAUUUUUUUCAACAUUUAUUUAUUUUUGGAACAGAGAGAGACAGAGCAUGAACGGGGGAGGGGCAGAGAGAGAGGGAGACACAGAAUCGGAAGCAGGCUCCAGGCUCUGAGCCAUCAGCCCAGAGCCUGACGAGGGGCUCGAACUCACGGACCACGAGAUCGUGACCUGGCUGAAGUCGGACGCUUAACCGACUGCGCCACCCAGGCGCCCCUCAAAAAACUUUUAAGAAACAGAAGCACUUCUGCUUAAGGCACCAGGAUGUUAUUCAUCUAUAUGUUAGGAAUUAAUUUAAGAUAAUUUAUGGACAAUAACUUUUGAUGAGAAGAAAGUAUUAGAAUUUUACUUAAUGAUGAAAAUGACAGGGAAAAUAUGUGCUAGGAAGAAAAAGAUGGAGGCAUCAGUUGGAUGAUUUUGCCCAUGAAUGGAAGAGGGAAAAAAAAAAUAGACUGCUCUCUCUGUCUUGGACCCUUAAUACUUUAACCUGAACAAUUAUAACAUAACCCUAGCAUGUUUACCCCUCCAUACUUGGUUUUCUUCAAUUCAAGCCGUACAUUCAAAACUAGCAUAUCAGGAUUCAUCUGUAAAAUAUUACUUUCACUGUUGUAUUACUCUGCUCAAAAGUUCUUCUGCCACCCUUUAGCUGCUAAAUAAAAUCCAGUUACCUUAGCCUGAGAUUCAGAAUUCUCUGGUUGUUACCAAACAACACUCGCACUUUCAGCUAUUGCUCCUACCACCUCUAAAUACCUUAAGUUUUAACUAAACUUAACACUUGUCAUUUCCCAAACAACCUGUGUUUUUCCGUUUCUAUACCUUUGCCAAUAUGAAGGUUCUAUCAUCAUGUCCUCUUUUGCUAAAUCCCAACCAUCCUUAAGAUUGUUCAAAUAAUCUUUCCUGAUGUGCUAGAUUGUUCUGUUGCAGAAUUGGUCAAACUGGGUCUGUGUUUUCUGGGCGUCUCUUUCCUGUGAAUUUCCAGUUAGAAUUCGCCAAAGGAAUUAGUGAGUUUUGAGAGAUGUAAAUAAGGCAGCAGCCAUUACCCUUUGAAGGUCUUUGCAGUCAGAAAAUAUAAUAGAUGCAGAAUUGUCUGGAAGGAAGGGAUAGGCACCUCCUUAAUGGUGGUUAGGGUACUUUGGCCUACUUCCAUCAGAUAGGGACAGUGCUUUCAUCUUAUUUUGGAUUUGCCAUCCCCCAAAACAAGGCUUCUGCUCCAUUCAUGGAGAGACAGAAUGACUUAUUUAUUAUCAUAGAUUUCUGUACAGCAUUGCUUUUGACCAAGAACUGAUUUUAUAAUCAAUUAAGUCUGUUCAUGGCAUUCACUGGUCAUGGUAACCUGUUUCCCAAUACCUUAAAACAGAUGUCUUUAUGAAAUAGUGGAAUAGCUUUUAUUAAGGCUCAGUUAUGGCACCAGCUAGAUGGCAACAUCUUUUAGGACUGGGAAAAUGUCCUUCAAAAUGAAUCAGUAACGGAUAUGAUACUGUUUCUUUCACAGGUAGGAAUCAUGGCUUUGAGAUUCAGGGAUAGAAAUGGAAAUGGCCUCUCUCACUGUUACAUUUAAUUGUCCACUAGUAAAAUUUUUGCUUCCUGUCCUUAUAAUCUUGGGUUCGUGUUUAGUUGUCUUGAAUUCCAAGAGAGAAUAUAGUAAUGGUCCCAUUACAUUGGAAACUAAGACUACUACCUGACCUCAUACUAGUGAUCCAAUAUUCUACUGAAUGGGAUGAUUGAUUGCCAUAUAAAGGAAAAAUCAGGUUGCUAGUACACAUAAGGGCAGAUAGGAGUAAUAUAGAUUGCAUAUGUUCCCCUAGGGCACUUCUUAAUGCUUUCAUGUUCUGUGAUAAAAGGUAAUGCAUAAAUAUAAUAUCACAAUACAGGCUGGAAUGCUAAAGGCACAAGAACAAAGGUUGGAGUCAUCCCACCUGUCAGGGAACCAUGACUAACUGGCAUGGGCAGAGCCAGUGUGAGACAAAUAAGGCACCCAUGUCAGGCAUACAACUUAAGGGAGCACCACAAAAUUCAGGAAUGUAAAUAAAUAAUAUUUUAACCCAAUAUUAAAAAAAAUCAAAAUUACUGCAAGAAGUCCAUGAUGAAAAAAAUAUAUAUUAACAUUCUAAAUAAAGGUAGGAUCUGACCCUGACCUUGAAGAACUCACCUCACUGACAGCACACUGUUAGUUCUCAUGCUGAGUUGUUCUGAGUUGUUCUAUUGCCAGCUUGGUCAAGCUGGGAAUUAUGCUUCCGGUAGGAUUUCAGGUAGGAAUUGACCAAGGAAGGAUUUGCUCAAGAUUUAGGAGUCAGAAGUGAAGCAUGAGUCAUUAUUUCCAGAAGGUCUUUGCUCUCAGAUGGAUGGAUGAAGAAGUACAUGGUGGCUUGUAGCUUGUCUAUUUUUUCUAUGCUGCCAGCAGCAUUUUCUUUCUGCAACCGCCUUUAGACCCACAGAAACAUAUCUACCCAGAGGCACGUCCUAUAGACCUCAGUGAGCUUCCCUUUCUCAAAACGAACAGAGAGUUUUAGGAGGACUGGGUAGUGCCUCUUUCCCUGAACCAGUAACUCCACUUUCCAGACCUUUGUUCUGCCAGUAACACCCACCAUUAUGUAAGGUCUAAUUAUUUAAAUAAUUCCCCUAUUCCUUUGCAUUGAAAGUUACUCUGCUUUCCUGUCUAAACACUGACUGAUAGAUGUGAUUUUCUCAGAAGUGCCACAGGUCCCAAGUUCAUUAUUUGAAAAACUUGCAGCCAGAUGUGUUUUGGCAUUCAGAUUAGUGUGUCUUUUAGAAAGACAGUAUGGUACGUACGUACACCAUGUGAUGUUUAAUAGCUUUGUGGGAUUUAGGACAGUGCCUCAAAUUCAAACUCAGUCAUAAAUUAUGCUCUUCCUGUCUCAGUUUCCUUACCUGUGAAAUUGGGGCAGUAGUACCUUCCUCUAAAGUGUUACUGCAAAUCUCUUGCUUAUCUAAUGCUUAUAAAGCAUUUAGCCUGCAUAUAGUAAGUACUUAGUAAGUCAUAGCUAGGAUUAUUAUUUUGUUUCAUCAUACCAAUGAUUAUGAACUACUCCAUCCUUUACCCUCAUCUAAUGGAGUGCCUACUUUUCCGUACAUGCUGAAAACAUUUGUGUUGCAAGAAUAAAUCAUGGAACAUAUUAUUCAAAAGAUGCCAGUUUUGGGUAACUUGAUAUUUUAAGAGGUCCAAUUUGGGGUAUGAAGAUCUGGAGAAACUCAUAAAUGUUGCAUGAAAAAGUCCCUGUUCUGUACCUUUUAUAGGUGGGUCACAGUCUCUUGGGCAUUCUUAAGGAUUAAGAAAACAAUCUAAGAGAAGAAUUCCCAGAUUGGACCAAUCCAAAGCAGACUCAAAUAGACAACCAAGAGAGCAAGACCCUGCCUUCCCAGUCUUCAGUAGUUUCUUCCAGUCUCUACCAGUUUCUUCAGGUAGUAAUGUUAACUAAUGUUCCUCAGUUUACAGGGAGGCUCCAUAAGCUAAGCAGAUCUGGUUGCACAGAAAGUCCUACCUAGACAAAUGUGUGUGAAUUUAGCUAUAUGAAACUCAAAUGUACUCUUGUUUUGUUUCCUCUCCUUCUGAGUGGUCUACAGCAGGCUAUUCCAUGUAAAAAUUCAGCCAUUGUGUCUCUUACCUUUUACUGCCACAUUCAAGGUAAUAUAGGGAGUGUUUUAGGGGCUUUGACUAUCUCAUUUAAUUCCAAAUAAUGCUUUCUUGGUGAUAACAUCAAUGCUAGUUUUUCUUUUCCCAAGGGUGUGCAAAUCAUAUUAGCUUCUAAAAUCACAAUUAUUGUAUAAACUUGAGGUUACUUUUCAUUAUAUCUUAUAAAUGCCAGUAGGAUGUCAACUGGUCUGUUUUUCACUUUUUGUUUUGUUUUUGGUACAAAUGUAUUAUUUCUAUGAUUUUUAUGUGUCCUUAUUUGCAAAAUAUAACUUGAAAUAUAACUUGGACUAUUAUAUUUCAUUGUCAGUUUUACUUCUAACCAAUCAUUUUUCUCCCCAACAUAUUUACUGGACUUUAUCUCUCUAUAGAAAGAUCAACAUUUGGGGUUCAGACACAUGAUUGUAAAUUAUGUUACAUGGCUAGUAUUUCUUUUUUUUUUUUUUUUAAUUUUUUUUUCAACGUUUAUUUAUUUUUGGGACAGAGAUAGUAUUUCUUGAUGUAACCGUAUCGAAAUAAAAAAGUCAGUAUUUCUUAGAAACCAUCUAUCAAAUUAUUGCAAGAACACAUGCAUAAUAGUUUUCUGUAUACAGAUUUCAAGGUUUCAGCUGGAAAGUUGAUUAUUCUUCUGGGUUUCUUCUGUCUUCUAAGGUCAGAGAAGUAAUGACAUGUCUGUGCCCUUUCAACCAAAGGAAGCAGAGCUUAGAGUUCUUGCCCAAGAGGAAAGGUAGUUGACUUCUGGAAGAGGGUAUAUUUAUAACCCUUUUGGAAUAAACAUAGACCCUUCAGGAACUUGUGAGAGUGGCAUUGAAUGUGACAGUUGACCACUCUGGAAUGUCUUAGUAGAUCUGGAAGAUUCUUGUAUAGUCAUUUACAUUUCUAGACUUUCCAGUCAUGUAGUCCUGACUUGGCACAUUUUGAGAGUCGAAUUGGACAUGGAGUUCAGCACCCAGGUUUUCAUUAAUUUUUUUUUAAAUUUAUUUUUGAGAGAGAGGAGGGGAGGGGCAGAGAGAAAGGGUGAGAGAAAAUCCCAAGCAGGCUCCACACUAUCAGCACAGAGCCCGAUGUGGGACUGGAACCCACAAACUGUGAGAUCAUGACCUGAGCAGAAACGAAGAGUUGGAUACUUAACUGAUUGAGCCAUCCAGGUGCCCUGCAGUUUUUCAUUUUUAAAUGGCCCAUAGGUGCUAUCUUAUGGAAAUUGUUUAUAAGUAGGUUCAAUGUUAAUUUAUUACUUCAUGCAUGCUAGCAAUUUGUGUGAAAUACUAUUUGGCUAAAUAUCUCCGGUGGGUCAUAUAUUAGAUGUCCAGAACUUUCUACAGGUUGUUUGAUCAUGAACAUUAAGAAUUUUCAUCACUAUAUAAUGUAUAUUUAUCCCCACUCAUGUAUGCAGUGUUAAGUCAUAUUAAUGAUGUGUGAUGUAGAAAAUAAAAACACAGAUGAUAGUCAAUUUUCAAACAGGUCUGAGUUUCACCAGGAAAUGAAAUAGAAAUGCUCCCCUCAUUUAAUUUUACAAAGUUUACUCUUACAUUUUCUUUGAUAUAAAGGUACUUUAGAAAGGAAAAAUCUAGGCAAUUGCAUAGGAGACUGAAUUCCUAAAUUCCAUCCAACUUGUUAAAAACAUUAUUUAGUGUAUGAAGGUUAGUUUCCUGAAUUAUAAUAUGUAUCUCUAUGUAUGUAUGUAUGUAUGUAUGUAUGUAUCUCUUUCUCUCUCUCUUUCUCUCUCUCUCUCCUCUCAAUCUAUUAGAUUUCAUCUAUGUAUCUAUAUGGGUUAGGCAAAAUGCUUAUUUAAAUUGUCUGUAUUUUAUUUGUUCAAGAAGUAUUACUGAGCAUCUUCAAUGAGAUGAGUUAAUUUCUGGAUAAACCAACAAAUAAUGCAAAAAAAGCCAUUGUUCCAGUACUUAGGGAAUUUAUAGUCUAAUACUGGCAUAACAAAUAUGUUGUGCUGAACAUAAGUUUCUACUCUAAAUGCUUUAUUAAGAAGGCUUUUAGGGGCACCUGGUGGCUCAGUCAAUUAAGUGUUAGGCUCUUGAUUUUGGUUCAGGUCAUGAUCUCCUGGUUCACGGAUCAAGCCCUGCAUUGGGCUCUGCUCUGAUAGCACGGAUGCUGCCUCGGAUCCUCUCUUUCUGACCCUCCCCCUAUUCAUUCACUUUAUCUCUCUCAAGGUAAAUAAGCAUCAGAAGAGGAGGAGGAGGAGGAGGAGGAGGAAGAAGAAGAAGAAGAAGACGAAGAAGAAGAAGAAGAAGAAGAAGAAGAAGAAGAAGAAGAAGAAGAAGGCAGCUUCUAAAGCAGAGACAAUAAAAAAUUUCUGUAAUGAAUUAGUAAUUCCAGCCAAAAAUAACAUAGAAAUGGGAGUGGCAGCAGGCAUGACUCAUACUUGCUGUUAUCCAUUUAAUCUCUAAGAUUCAAUGACCUCACUACUCAUUUCUAAAGAUUAGCCACCCAAUUCUCUAUAAUACUGGAUUAAGAGAAAUAGGAGAACAAACAUGUUGGCAAGUGAGGCUUUUUUUUUUUCUUAUAAUAAUAGCUAAGUACAUCAGCUAUUGAUAAACAUAUGUUAGCAUUUACCUAUUCAUUCUGUUGGAGAAAACUGGAUAACUCUUAAGUGUUUUGCCCUCCAGGCUUACAUUAAAAGUUAAUUAUCACCACGUGGGACAGGCCUCCAGAGGCCAUGGCAGCCUUGAACUAAUAUCAGCAAAACGUGCAUCUCACAUUAGUCCCUGAGUUGCUUACCUCUCACAAUAGAAUGCUUUCUCCUUGAGUGAAUGCUUACAAGUUAAAACCACAUCACUUUCUGAGUAGUGAGUUGAAGAACAACAACUUCUAGCUGAAGAAGAAUAAAAUUAGAACCCUGCAUUACAUAGUUAAGGACAAGGGCACCAUGAGAGAGAUUUAGCAUCACAUAUAAAUGAAGAGCUGUAAUUAGCUACCUUGUCAAUAACUGAAAAUUUAGUGGUGUGUGUGUGUGUGUGUGUGUGUGUGUAUGUCCAUAUGUCUGUCUCUGUCAGUCUCUUGCAAAUAUGCUUCUUCAUCUUGGUUGUCUGUGCAAACUUGCCAUGGGUACUUAUGAGCAAUAUAGUCUAAUAGUAGCCUUCAAGAACAAAGAUAGUUUAAGUAGAGAUGCAAUAAAAAAUGCUUUAGUAGGCCAUAAAUCACUCUUGUCCCUAAAUCCCUCUUUGACUUGCUUGCAAAAGACCCUUGAUUUUUUCUAUCAUAUAUUAAUUCUCAAUCCAUUAAAUAGAAGCAGCCUGUGCAUGGACCAAUGAUGACUGUUUAUGCACCUGAGGUCUAAAAUUAAAUUAAAUUUAAAACGGAAAAGCCCCAUCAAGGUUUUGGAUUGCUUUGGAGACUACCAAAAGCACAACCUCUCAUUCACUGUUGUGGUACUUACUGUUGUGGUACUUACACAUUGGUCUCAGUGAUUUAUCAUUAAUGUAGACUUCAGGUUAUUUUUGAUAUCUUUAGUUUUAUUCCCCCCCCCCCAGUUUGACUAUAAGUCCUUUGAGGGAAAGAACUUUUUCUUCACAGUUCUAUAGUAGUGCAGAGUGUAGUAUCUUAUAUUUGGGAUAUAGCAGAGAAUGUAAGUGUCCUGUAAUCCCUGGGAACUCAUUUACUAGUCUGGAACGUAAUGGAUUAUUCAGUUGCUCUCCCAAGAGUCUAUGUUUUCCUACACUGGCUGCUGGUUUGAAAUGUUUUGAGAUAUUAGUGUUUUCUUUGUAUGGGCUGAUGGUUAUAAUCUCUUUAAAAAUAAAAUUACUGUUAGAGAACAAUAAGAUGGUUACCAGAGGGAGGUGAGUGGGGAGAUGAGUGAAAUACAUGUAGGGUAUUAAGAGUACACUUAUCUUCACAAGCACUGGAUAAUAUAUGGAACUGUUUAAUCAUUAUUUUGUACACCUGAAACUAAUAUACACUGUAUGUUAACUACACUGAAAUGAAAAUAAAAAAGAAAAGGGAAGGAACAAUAUGGGCUGGCAAACACUUUAUGUUGCCAAGUGAGAACUUUUUUAGAAAUCACUAUCUAUUUUGGAAAAGGUUACUUUAUUCAUUUAUUUAUUUUUAAAUAUAAUUUAUUGCCAAGUUAGCUAACAUACAGUGUAUACAGGGUGCUCUUGGUAUCAGGAGUAGAUUCCAUGAUUCAUCGCUUACAUACAACACCCAGUGCUCAUCCCAACAAGUGCCCUCCUCAGUGCCUUUCACCUACUUCUCCCUCUCCCCCACCCCCAUCAUCAACCCUUAGUUUGUUCUCUGUAUUUAAGAGUCUCUUAUGGUUUGCCUUCCUCUCUGUUUGAAACUACCUUCCCCUUCCCUUCCCCCAUGGUCUGUUUAAGGCUCAAAUUCCACAUAUGAGUGAAAACAUAUCAUAUCUAUCUUUCUCUGACUGACUUAUUUCACUUAGCAUAAUACCCUUCAGUUCCGUCCAUGUUGCUGCAAAUGGCAGGAUUUCAUUCUUUCUCAUUACCGAGCAGUAUUCCAUUGUAUAUAUAAGUCACAUCUUCUUUAUCCAUUCAUCUGUUGAUGGACAUUUGGGCUCUUUCCAUAAUUUGGCUAUUGUUGAUAGCACUGCUGUAAACAUUGGGGUACAUUUGCCCCUAUGAAUCAGCACUCCUGUAUCUUUUAGAUACAUUCCUACUAGGGCUAUUGCUGGGUUGUAGGGUAAUACUAUUUUGAAUUUUGGGGGGAACCUCCAUACUUUUAUCCACAGUGGCUGCACGAGUUUGCAUUCCCACCAACAGUGCAAGAGGGUUCCCGUUUCUCCACAUCCUUGCCAACAUCUGUUGUUUCCUGAGUUGUUAAUCUUAGCCACUCUGACUGGUGUGAGGUGGUAUCUCAAUGUGGUUUUGAUUUGUAUUUCCCUGAUGAUGAGCGGUAUCGAGCAUCUUUUCAUGGGUUGGUUGGCCGUCUGGAUGUCUUCUUUGGAAAAGUAUCUCUUCAUGUCUUCUGCCCAUUUUUCACUGGAUUAUUUGUUUUUUGGGUGUUGACUUUGGUAAAUUCUUUAUAGAUUUUGUAUACUAACCCUUUAUCUGAUAUGUCAUUUGCAGAUAUCUUCUCCCAUUCCAUCAGUUGCCUUUUAGUUUUGUUGAUUGUUUCCUUUACAGUGCAGAAGCUUUUUAUCUUGAUGAAGUCCCAAUAGUUCAUUUUUGCUUUUAUUUCCCUUGCCUUCAGAGAUGUGUCAAGUAAUAAGUUGCUGCAGCUGAGGUCAAAGAGGUUGUUGCCUGUUUUCUCUUCUAGUUUUGAUGUUUUUUUGUCUCACAUUUAGGUCUUUCAUCCAUUUUGAGCUUAUUUUUGUGUAUGGUGUAAGAAAGUGGUCUGGUUUCUUUCUUCUGAAUGUUGCUGUCCAGUUCUCCCAGAACCAUUUGUUAAAGAGGCUGUCUUUUGGAAAAAGGUUACUUUAAUGUUAAAAAAGAAUGACAAUGCAUAAAUUUGGCCUUAUGAAAAAAAAUAACACUACUGAAAUGCAUUUAUAAAAGCUAUCUUUGUUUUUGAACCAAAAGACAGGUUUACCUUUGUUGAAAUAUUAGUAACAAUCUUCAGCCAGUGAAGAAAGUUUUCAUACUGAAGUUUAUACUUUAAUAUAAAGCAGCUUGAAUUUAUAUGCUCAUGUACCAAUCAUGUAGAAUAAUAUAAUAUGUCCUAAUAAUUAAGAACAGGAUCUAAUUACUAUCAUUUUCACCCUAUAAAGAAUAUGUAACAUCCAUAUUUCUGUUUUCACUUACAGCUCCUUUGAACUUACUUAAACCUUUAUAAGCAUAAUAUUUAAUGAAUUUAUUUGUUCAAUGAUAACUGUUAAGACUAUAUGACCAUUCUGUGAAUGGUUCAGUAUAUUUUUGUAUUACAUUUUAUGUGAGUUGGGGACCAGGGAUCAUACCUGUUUAAUUUACUGAGUUCAUUAUCAAGUGUAUGGAGAGUCUUGACAAUGUUUUUUGAUGAAGAUGCUCCACCACCCAGAAUGAGGGAAGGGGAUCAACCAUUAAGGCAUUUCAAAGGGAGACAUUAAAUAAUUGUGGUGGAGAAAGAUGGUAAUGAUGGCUAUAUAUGCAGGAGAAUAAAAUGAGAUAUGAGAAAACAAAGAGGAUAGGAAAAUAACUCACACAAGGAAUUGAAUUAGACCAGUAAAACAUCUGAAAAUCUACUACUCGCAUCAAUGUCAAAAAAUCCAAAGAGAACAGGUGAUCUGAGCAUGCUGCUGACAUCCAUCUUCGCACCCUCUUGGUCUAUAAAAUACUUCUUUAGCUUCCUUGAACAAAGACACCACGGUGGGCUACACAAGGUGUAGCAAAGGAAAGGAAAGCUGUUCCGACUCCUCUGCAUGCAUUAGUCAUUUUCUUCCUCUGAGUCUGUGUCUUAAUUGCCUUGCCUGUCUUAUUAGAUUGAAAACCCACUGGGUUGGGACCAUUGCUACUAAGGGGUACAGCACCAAGCUUGGCAGGUGAUCAGCACUCAAUAAAUGUCUAUUGCUACCAUAAACCAAUGUAUAAAUCUCAGAAAUAGGCAUAAUAAUGGACCUGACAGAUUAAUGCCCAGGGCUAUUUUUGUACAGCAGCAUGGGCUAGCCAAAUCAAAAUCAGACAUCUCAGAUUCAAUUCUUCUCAGUUUUGCAUGUAAUUCUCAGCCUUUCACAUUUUUGUCCUGUGACAGACAGGAAGAAAUGAGUCAACUUUUCAACAGAAUUGAAUUAAGAAGCAUUCUUCCCUCCCCACCUUUUUGUUUGUUUGUUUCUUAAAUACUAUUGACCCAUUAUGUAGAUGGCAUUGCUUUUUUAAAUUAUUGGUAGAGUGUUUUCAAAUGCUGCAGCAUUUAUAUGGUAUUUAUACUCAAUAUUUCAAGUCCUCUUCUUUGUGGGGGAUUUUUCUCUAUGAGCAAAAAACUACUUAAGGAAACCAUAUAAUUAAUACUCUAAUGUGUUCUCUGAGGUGACUAAGAAAGAGUUAUUAUCAGUUUUUCUCUUCGGAUGACAAAAUUAACAUGUGAAGAAGAAAUUGUGUGACUUAAGCAAGAUUGCCCAGAGAAACAGUAAUGAAAUCCUGAGUAGAAUUCCCCUUGAAAACAGAGCACUUCACAGAAAGAUAGAAACAAGCAAAAACCUGGGGGUCAUUGAAGCUUUUUUCAGUUGUAACAAAAUACAAUAAUCUUCAAAUUCCAUUUUUCCUUCCUUGAACUGGCGGCUUUGUCUACCUGUGAGAUAAGAUUUUUUUCCCCUGUCUUUGUAAAGCUCCACUGUAACUACAAUCUACUAUUAGUUUCCUUUUCUUAGAUAUUUUUAUACUUCUUUUCUUGGUCAGUGUGUAAAAAGUCACCCACAUUAGAUAAUAUGAUCAUGAAAUUAUUUAAAAAUUGAUUGCAGUGAAUUCUUGGGGUGCCUGGGUGGCUCAAUCAGUUGAGCAUCUGACUCUUGGUUUUGGCUCUGAUCAUGAUCCCAGGGUUGUGGGAUCGAGCCCUGUGUUGGUUUCUGCACUGAGUGUGGAGCCUGCUUGGGGUAAUCUCUCUCUCUCUCUCCCUCUGCCUCUCCUCCCCUCUGGUCCUCUCUCCCUAUGGCAUGUGCUCUCUCUCUCUCAAAUUAAAAAAAAAUAAUAAUAACAAAAUAAUUUAAAAAUUUCAAUAAAUUAUUUAAUCUCCCUAACUUCUUUCUAUGGCAAGAUGACUAUAAGUAAAAGAAUCAAUUAAAUUAUCUAUUCUCAGAUCUAGUUUUUUUUUUAAAUAAAUAUAAAAACAAAGCCACAGUUGACCAUAUGACCCAUCAAAGUUAAUAAGAGAAAGUUGGGUAUUGAGGGUAUGGACUGAAUAUAUAACUGGAUCCUACAGUGACAUAAAAGGAAGAGUCUAGGAUUCACAUUUACACUCCAUAAAGCAAAAGGGAUAAGAGAGGCAAUUGUUUAUGUAACUUAGAUUAAAAAAAAUGUCUUUGUCUCUAUCAUUAAGAUAUUUCAGGUAUUUCCAGAAUAUUGCCAGCAAAUAUACCCGCCCAUAUAGAAUACUCCACUAGGCACUUGAGACUCUAGGGUAGAAUGGCAAGUCAAAGAAAAUAUUUUCAUGCAAAUAUUAUUUUACAAAUAUAUUUGCAUAAAAAUAAAAUUUUGAUUUAUCACUUAUUUUUUUAAAAAAAUAUUUUCAAGUGCUUGUAGUAUAUUAAGCAGUUAACUAAGCUUUAUGUAUUAAUUUUUAUUCCUUUUAACCUCCCUUCCUGCAAAGUAGAUUUAUGGAUGCUCCAUGUCUUUUGUUUGAAAUAAAGAUGGGUAACAAACAAGGUAUAUAAAUGUCUAUAAUAAAAAAACCACACAGAAGGAAAAACAAACAAACAAACGAGCAAAAACAAAACAAAACUUGUCCAAAAAGAUUUUGAAGUUUAUAAGUUUGGGUGACUGGAGGAAUGGUGGAACCAUUAAUGGAAAUACCAACUCUCAAGUCAGGAGAAUAAAUAAUUUGUGAAGGGACACUUAACAACUUCAGUUUUAACUAUGAUGUGAAUAUGAGACUGUCAUAGAACAUUCAGACAGGGCUUACACCUGUCAUUGUAUAGAACAGGAUCAGAAUUUGAAGGAAAUACUAGUCCUGAGUACCCAACUUUAGUCAUCGUCAGCCAAAAUAUGUUAAUUUAAUAUUUGUCUAUUUUAUUUUGUCCAUAUAACCAACUACAGUCAAUAAAAACUAGAAGUCAAAAUGCUCAAUACAUCUGGAGGAAAGAAAGAGGAAUUUUUCCUUUUAGAGGCAUAAUUGAAAGUGCUUCUCUACUAUGUACUUGAUUAUCUGACAUUCUGCUCUGUUCUCAAGUCUGGAAUACUUUUCUUCCAAGAUACAUUAAAGCAAAGGAAUAUGAGAAGAAUUAGAAAAAUAUCUGUUUUCUCUGAAAUUAUAUUUAUUUUGUAGUAUUUCUAAAGUUGCUGAAAUCUAUGCAAGGUCUUAUUUUGAGGUAUUGCAAGUCCUGUGUUCAUAAAAGAAUGAUUAAAUCUUUGUUAUUUGGCUUGCUAAGAGAGCUACAAAGCAUUAGAAUAACCAAACCAAACCAAAAAGCCCUGAAAAAUGUUUAGACCAUGGUGCCAUCAUAAUCUCAACAUCUUCCAUUGGCUCUGAUUAAUUUCCCAACAUGAAUAUUCUGUUUCUGUUUUUCCUGGUCCUUAUCCAGGAGUCUCUGGACCUCAGGAAUCAUGGGUCAGUUGGUACAACUUAGAGGUUAUGAGACAGAUGGAUAUACAGUGAGAUGUUGGCCCCAAAUUCUAUUUGUCCUUUGUUCAUAUGGAUUUUUUAUUUGUCCAAUUUGAUUACAGAGGCAUUAAUCUCUCCAUAGGACUCUCUCUGCCAAGGCUUAAUGGAUUUUCCAAGAUGAAAGUCUUAACCUAGGAGUAUCUUUAAAUGAGAGUUUAUAGCAUGGAAUUCAUGAGCUGUGCCAUGCUAUCAGAAAGACUUGAGUUCCCAUACAAAUCAUGCCACUCCUUAACAAUGUGGCUUAGACAAAUCACUUAGCCCUUUGUAAAUUUCAGUCUCCUCCUCUAUAACAUCAAGAUAACAAAGGUAUUGUGAGGUUUGUUAUGAGUAUUAAAUGAAAUAGUAGAAACUAUCUGUAGUUGAACAUAAUAAGUAGACAAUAAAUAGGGUAUUAUUAUUGUUACACUAAUCUUUACUUGUGCAGGCCAAAUAUAAAGGCAGAUUGGGAAAUUGGUGCAGAAGAAUACCAGUAAAAAGAGGUACAAAUGAUGAGAAAUACAAUGAUUCUUUUAGUAAUAAGUCAGAGUUCUGCAUAAAAUUAUUUCUUGGUUUCUUCAUUCUGUUUCUCCUUUCCUGAUCAAGUCCCAGUUCUGUCAAUAGCUGAAUUGCCUGCCGCUUUUUGGCCUUUGACCUUCAAUAAGUCAGUUUAGGAACAUUUUUAAUUUUUCAAAUUAUGUAAAUGAAUCCAGUAUUGUGUCCAGCUCUGGGAGUUUAAUUUGAAUAUGUUCUUCUCUUUGUAAUCUUUCUAAAAUGCAGUUAUGAGAAGAUUAUCUACCGCUCCAUAACCUGAGCAGACCAUGGUAUACACUAAAUUCAAAAGAUCCUCCAGCCUACUCUCCCUUCCCGGGUCCCACAUAUUCUAGCAUCCAGGCACACCAUUACACCAUGAUGGUUUUAUGUUACGUCUUCUCACAUAUUGCUUUUUGAUUAAUCUGGUAGUUCCUUAACUAUUUCAAGGAUUCUGCUUUUCUUCUAAAGCCUUACCUAAUACAACAAAAUGAAAUAAGUUGUUACUCCUUGCUUCUUAUCACCAUUGUGCCUUUAAUAGAGCCCCAUUAUUGCAUUGAUCAUAUCAUAUUGCAAUUAUCUGUUAAUUUACUUAUUUACCAAGAUCUGACCUACCUAAAGAGCCCGAGCUGUAAGGAUUAAGAAGAAUUGUUAAAUGAAAAAUGCCCACAAAUCAAUUGAUAUUCAUUUGCCAUUAAUUGCCACUCAAUAAACGUUUGAUGACUUAAUUACACAGUUGACCCUUGAACAAGAUGGGUUUGAACUGCAAGAGUCUCCUUAUAUGCAGAUUGUUUUCAUAAAUACAGUAUAGUACUGUAAAUGAACUUUCUUUCUUAUGACUUUUCUUAAGAUUUUAUUUUUUUAAAGUUAUCUCUACACCCAACGUAGGGCUUGAACCCACAACCCCAAGAUCAAAAGUAGCAUGCUCUACCAACUGAGCCAGCCAGGCGCCUCCCUUACGAUAUGCAUAGUAACAUUUUCUUUUUUCUGGCUUCCUUUAUUGUAAGAAUACAGUAUAUAAUACAUAUAGCAUAUAAAAUCUGUGUUAAUGUCUUAUCAGUAAGGCUUCCAGCCAACAGUAAGCUAUUAGUAGUUAGGUUUUCAGAGAGUCAAGAGCUAUAUGCAGAUUUCGACCAGAAAGAGAGUCAGUGCCCCUAACACCUGCAUUGUUGAAGGGUCAACUGUAUAUCCUCAAAUGCUUUGAAAGCUCCUUAGUAUUACCAACAUCACAGAUUCCAUAGUAUAAUCUCAGAUUAGUUGCUUAAUAACUAUCUAUUAAACGUUUGGAGUGACUUGAAUUUUUUUAAAGGAUUUUCUAUUUUAAAGUUAAUUUUUCCAGAAGCAUAGGUCUUUAUUUGUGGAGUCAAGGAUGUCUAAUGGAGUGCCCUUCAGCCAUCCUUCUUAAGACCAAAUAAUAAUAGCUAACAGAGAUUGAACAUUUAUCAUGUUCCAAGUACUUUGUCAAGGUUUAUAUUAUUUGUUACAACAAACCUGCAAUGUAGCUACCAUUUUCAUUCUCAUUGAAUAGUAAAGGUAUAGAGAUUUUAACUUGCUCAAUAUCACACCAUUAGUAAUUCAUAGAGCUGAGAUUUAAGCUUGGAAAAUCUGUCGAUGAAGACUGUACUCUUAAUCACUAUGUUAUAUUGCCACUUAAGGCAAGCCAGGCUCUAGUAACCUGAAUGAGAACUCUCAACAGUCACAUUAAUACCACACCUUUUCUUCUCCAACACAACCAAGAAAGCCCCUCCUUGUGUUUUAUACAUUAUCUCCCACAUUCUUAAAAAUGUUUAUCCUAGAAAGGAGACUUCCAGAAUCUAAGCAAUAUGUUUUGCAUAUGCAAAUUGUCAGAUAUUCUAUCCAGCAUUCUUUAAAUUAUUUGCUUCAGUGUUUGUUGCUGUCUUUAAAAAUUAGCACAGAAAUGAUGUUUAUAUUCAUUGCCACCAGCUAAAAGCGUUGGAGUCCUACAGUGCAGCUUGAGGGAUUUUGUAGGUUUUCUUUUUUCCAUUAAUAUUUAAGCUUAAGCUAAGGCAGACAAAACUGAAUAUAUAACAAAUAACCAUCAAGGUUACUCUUUAUGGGUCAAACAUAAUGACAGUUUCAAUUAUUAAAAUUCGCAGCAUCUGAAGGCAAUAAUUUUUACUGUGAAUACUUUGCAAGUUCUUUCUCAAACUUGUUGGUUUUUCAGUUUUAGUGAGACAAACUUGGGAUAGUAUUCAGCAAUUGGCUAAACUUGGAUUUUACCUUUUUGCCUUCUUAAAACAUUUCACAUGUCCUACAUCAAUAGCAAAUAAGCUGCGGGUUGAUAUCUACUCAUUUGUGUAUCAAAAUGAAUUAGAAGCAACAAGUCCUGAGAUUCAAGGAGUGUGGUCAGGGGUCUCUUCUCUGUGGAGGAAACACCAUGGACCCUUGGGACCACUUGAACUUAAUUUAUGUUGAACUAAAAUGAUACCUAUUCAUGAUGUGUCCCAAAUACAUCGGCAUCCUUUGAGUAACCCAGAGUGAAUGGUCCCAUCUAUGAAAUCUGCUGGAAUUCCCAAAUAUGUGACAUAGACUCUACCUUCUCUUUAUCCACAUCCAGCCACAUUUCUUUUUUACCUUCACCUUCUUGGUUUUUUCUUGUUUCUAACAACUCUGACAGCUCUCUGUCACUCUCUGAUUUGAGACAAACAUGUCUUCUCUCCUGAAGGCAAAGACAGGUUACCAUUGUCUCCAGGAGACCACCCCCCCCCAUAAGCCUCAGUGAAUCCUAUUUCUAGUAAAACCAUGAGUCUGAAUUCUGAACACUGAGGCCCUUUCUCAAACUCUCUCAAUCUCAGACCCUUUAUUUCUUCAUUUGGAGCUUUAUCCCUCGAUGCCUUAUCCCAUAGCCAAUCUCCCUGCAUGCGUCUUCAGCCCGCCAGAAUAAUGACAGAUUUUAAGGAUGGAAAAGAUUGACAUCUAGAUCAAUAGCUAAGAUGCAGGGUCACCGAAACAUGGGAUUUUCCCUUAUUGUAAUCACAUGUCAUGUGCUGAGGUUCUCGAAGGAACUAUACAGAGAAGAAAAGGCUAGAAAACCUAGCACUUGGGCUAGGACUUGAAGCAGUCCUCUGGUGAGCCAUGGUGGUUAUGGGGAAUAUUUCCUCUACCUGAGUCAGAAACAGGUCUAAGAUCUGGAGCAUAGUAGACAAGAGCUGAGUUUUCUUCUUUGGCUUUUAGCUCACAUUCAAAUUUCAUAAAUUACCUCAGCUAUGGUGUGUAGAGGGCUAAGUGCAUGGAAGAAGCAAAGGCAAGAGCAGGAGAAUCAAUAGAAAGGAGGAUGACUCUGGCCUGUGCUGAGAUUUCUAGGCAUUUCAAAAGGUACAAUAAACUCUCUUUUCUCAGGAAAAAUAUCCUGAGAGAAUAAGUGGUAACUGUAUCUCUCUUUCAAGUUAUUAUCAGUUAAUUUUCACAACAAAACCGUAACAUGGCUGCCAUUAUUAUUUUCAUUGAAAAGUUGAGGCACGUGUAUUUUAGCCUGUCUUACAAUGAAAGAGAGAGAGAGAGAGACAGAAAGAGAGAUAUUCUUCUUACAUUGUUGGGGGGUGGGGUGUAGACAUAAUAGAGACAGCAACACCAUUAAUGUCAAACUCCCAAACCUCGUAAGUUUAUUCAGUCUGGUUUGGUGGGUCUAAUCUGCAUGCUGUAUUUGGGGAGUUAGUGAGAAGUACAGAGGGCCAAAGAAAUGCUUUUGAAGUUGUACUCCUAGGUCAGACAGGUCACCCCUGGUGGACUAAGCAGGAGGAAGUGAAGUGGGUACUCACCCUCUGCAUUCAGGAUGUAGAGAAACCAUGUAGCAAGAACAUAUUAGUUAGGACAUCAGUGAGUGAUCCCACCACCACUAAUGCAACUUGAUGGUUUCUUGGGCUUUUUAUUUCAGUUUGCAAUGGCUCCACCUGGGGCUGCAUAGUGUUUCAAUUUAUCUACAUUUCUCUUAGUUUCUGGGUAGAAAUACUAGAAGCAUGUCUGGUAGGUGGACUUCAUCAAAUGUCAGAAUAUGAGAUAGAUGGAAGCUCACAUUCAAGAGGAGAAAAGAAACAUCCAGGUUCUCAGGUCUCUGCAGAUUGAGCAAGCGCUGACACUGGUGCUCAUAGUCCCAGCUUGAGCUUCAGUAAGAAUGCCUUUUGUUCAGUAUACUCUAAAUGGUAGGGGAACAUGACGGCUUUGGGACUUGUAUCAAUCUUAAGAGCUUUGUGUUACCUAAUCUUUACCAAUUCCAUUUUUCACAAACCUGAGAACAACAAAAAAUGAGGGUGAUGAAGUUCUGUGUAUCUGUCUGUCUGUCUCCCUACUUAUUUACUUAGAAAAAGCAAAUGCUAAAUAACCUCCUGUGUGCGGGGUAUUUACUGCUUUAGGGCACAAUCUGUUGCAGAACAGUUAAAACUGUUGCUAAGGCAUCUAUUGUCGUAAUAUAUGCCUCGGCAGCCCUGUGUUCUGUCUUGCUCCGCAUCUGUGAGCACAGUGAUUUAUUGGUAAUACUAAUCUUCUUUGAAAGUCCUAGUGCUGCUAAGUCAAACAUAUUUGAAGAGGGGAAAAACAGUUUCAUUUUCUGUUGUUUGUUUCUGUGGAAUUUCUUAUGGCUGCUUGAGAAAACAUUUCAUUUUGAAAGAGGACAUGUACUUGUGUAGCUGAGUAAGAAAUGAGGAGUGGCAUCUUCUUUAGGAUUCUAUUCGUAUGAAAUUUGCCCCGGUGCUUUCAUCUUCUUAGGACACCGUAUUCCAGAGAAUCGCACGGUUAUUAUCACCAUUGUCGUCAUCAUCAUUGCGGAUGAGCCUUACUGCACAGUCAUUACGUGCAGUCUUUAAGAAAAAAGAAAUAAGUUUGAAAACAGAGACCCUAUAUGAAAACACAACCUGACUCUUCCCUUCAAAGAGGGAAGUUCUAAGAAGAGAAUUCCCACCCUCAUUUUACCUUCUUUUUUCUGUCCUCUGGUAGAGUAUUAGUAAAACUAGGAGAGCUCAGUACUGAUUGGACUUCAGUGACCAGUGGAUUGGGUAGGUCAUUGCAUCGAAACUCAGAUAUUGCAAUAGUUAGUUGGGGGGAGGGUUAGGGUCUUGGAGACAGCUACUCAGCUUAGGGUACUUGGGGUUUGCACACUCAGCUGUAACCUAGAUUGAUCUCAAGGUGAAAAUUGGAGUGUGGGCAACAGCCAGCAGGAAACUUGACUUUUGUUUGAGACAUACAUUGUAUCCUUCAUCCCGAGAAACACAUAAACACCUCCCCCCCCCCACCCACACACAACCAAGAGCAUUUUACUUUUAUUUUCAUUUGCCCUCUUGUCGUAAUGCUGCCUUCACCUCCCUAUUCACACUAAGGUAAAAGUGAGUGAUAACAGCUCCCAAAGGUAAUUGCUCUUAGUUAGAUAUAAACUGUCAAAUAAAUGCAGUUCUGAAUUGAGGACAUUACUCAUCCAGUGGGAAGAUGGUUUGGUUUGUGUGAAGAAAGUCACCAAAGAUAAGGCAGGGACUUCUGACACUAGUUUGGAAAGGGACUAUAAUUAGCAACAUUGUGAAUUCUGAAGGCAGAUUGACCUGAAGUUAUAUUCAGCCUCAUCACUUACUUCAGUGCUAACAUUGGGCAAAUUUGUCAGUCUUUCUAAGAGCCAGUUUCCAUUAAAGUAGAGACAAUAAUAGUUAAUACAUUCUCAGGAGUAUAGUACAUAUUAGAUGACAUAAUGCAUGUAAAAUGCAAGUCACUGUCUGGCCACAAGCUAGUAUUUGUUGUUAUUUAUAUGAAAUAGAUGAUAGCAUGCCUUUGUGUAAAGUUAGUAAUGAAUGAUUCCAUUAUCUGAAACUGCAGACUCCGUUGAUUUGAAUUCUUCUCACUAAGAUGAAAUAUUUCUUUCUUUUUCUUCUGGUUAGGCUUAGAUAUGGAACAAUGAACACAAAAGGAAACCUUAAAAAUAAAUGCAUACAAAAACUAAUAUGAGAGAUUAUCUACCCAAUAAGCUAGUUGAGUGUAUACUUAAAGUAGCAAUGACCACAAAUGUACAGUAAUUGCAUCCCAUUUUUAUUAAAUGAGGGAUCACAUCAAUCUUGUCAAAAUUCAAGAAACAAACAGAAAAAGUGAAUAUAGGUGGAUUUUAAUAAUCUGAUUUUUAAAAUCCAAGACUAUAAACCAAAUAGUCAUAUACCAGAGAUAGAAGUUUUGAUUCAACUCAACCAAUUUUUUCAAAAUAUUGAGCCACUGAAACAUUUUACAAACUCUGUAGACUUUAUAAUACUCUGGAACUAUGGCUUUACUAAUUUUUUAACUGACUGAACAAGCCCGACUGCUUACAGCCUAAGUUUCUUCAUCUACCACAUGCAUAAGAUUGAUUUUAGUAUUGAAAGAGCAUAUUCAUAAAUUGCUAGAUACAGGAACAUAAUCAGUACUUGGUGGUAUUGUGAUUGUUACUGGGUACUUACUAGGUUCAAGGCCUCGUUUCUUCAAAGAACCCAUAGUUGGCAACAACCCGUUUUAGCAACACUUUCCUCCUGUAAAGCACCUCUUUAAUUUUGUUUACUGUUAAGAUAGAAUAGAGUCAAUGAAAGUCUGAGUGUGUUUUUACUCACCCAGGAAACAACCAACAAACCAAAGCAAGCAGCAUCCUCUGCAGUACCUUAUACAAUAGGUACAGACUUUGCCUAUUUUGUCUCAACAUUUGAAGGGCAAGGAGUUAAUUCUCUACAACCUGGAAAGGCUUCAUUUGCAGGCUCUGUACCUCUGGAUGAAUAAUGAAUGUUAAUUAACGAUGACAAUGACAAUGGCAUCAUUCCAUGUUUUACUUUUUUGCACUUUAUCCAUCUCUAAGCCUUUUCCUCCUGAUGUGGGCUCCCUAUUAUUUUAUUCAUUAUUUUAUUCCUGGAAACUUAUGCUUUGUUAAAAUACAGCAGAUAUCUUCUUGUGUGUUACCAUAGCAAAUUGCAUAAGAAUUUACACCAUAAAUUAUUCAUUACAGCCAAUUUAGUAUAAUUAUUAAUUCCAGCAUACAUUGGUGCCUGAUUACAUCUCAGUGCUCAUUGCUGGAUCUUGACCAUGUUCUGCUGAAAAUAAUGAUCUGUCAUGGCUAAUCAGGAUCUAAAAAGCCCCACUAAAAGGCGAAAAUGUUUAAUUAAUAUCGGUUUAAUAAAACAAUGAUUGAUCCAAUUGUUACAAUCUGUCAGAGAUGCUUCCGAAGGUAAUCCAAAAUCUAACUGGUAAUGAAUUUAAGAGUUAGCAGUGGUGUACAAGCAAUCAACGUGCCUUCCAAUUCAAGGGCAAAUUGGGAUGUACUCUUCCCUUGGUAUCUUUCUGCAAAAGUAAAUCAGCUCUCCUUUCACUGGGAAGCUUUGCUCCCAACAUCAGUUCUGGUAUUUCAAGCUUUCAUGCCUUCUGCUCCCAAUGAGCCCUUUCCUUGCAUUAAAGAUGCAUCCUGUAUUGUACGUGAAUGUUCCAAGCUGCACUGCCUCCCACGCAGAUCUCAUUUUAACUCUAAGUUGAACUGAGCAAAGUUUGCAGUUGUAUUUCCCACUGGGAUUAACUUUAGUGUGGAAUAUGACUAGGAAUUCAGUUCCAAAGCCCUUUGGCUGCAAAACCAUGUAGUCUAAAUAUCCAUGGAGCAUCACUGAAUAGAUAUGACCCAAUUUUGAUUUGAAUUUUGUUGGGGGAAGAGCUCUUGAAAUGUAGAGCAGAAAUCAGUCCUAUGUGCAAUAAGAUGGAUUUUAUUAUGCAAACUUAUUGGAUAUAUUUUUAACAGUUUAUCUUUGUUUUUCUAUUGAGUGCCCUCAGGAUUAAGAGUGAGAGAUAAUACUUAUUUAAAAAUCUACAGGAUAAAUUUAAUGGCUUAUUUUUUUAAUCAUAGAGGAGAAAAUAAACUAUGAUAACAUCUCUGUUACUGAGGGCCAAUAAUAUGCUAGGCACUGUGUGUGUAUUUGUGUGUAUACUCUCAGUGGCCUUUAGAAAUAGGUAAUAGAUUCACCAGUUUCAAGAAGAGAAAGUUGAAGCUGGAGGUUCUCAUCUAGUAAAUGGAUGAGUAGGGGCAGAAACUCAGGUCUGCCUGAUCUCCUACCACUUACGGUAGCACAGUUUAUUAGAGUACAGCUCUAGACCAGGGACAUAAAGCAAGGGCUGUCUGAAUAGCUAAACUGAUUGGCUUUUUAUUCUUUCCUUGUUAGACCGAGGGUGCAUUUCAAUGCUUCAUUUUUGAAACACAUACGUGGACGAGAUGAAUGAGGGGAAAGAGGCAGAACUUAGAUACUUGCUACCAAUUCAAUAUCAGAUUUUGAUUAACUUGGCUGUGUAUUUGUCUCUGUUUCAAGGGACAUACACUUGUAGAUAUCAGACCCAUGUACUAUAGAGAUAAGUCAUAUUACAAAACUCUACAUCCAUCACAUUUCAAUUCUCAGACCUCUCCUACCAAUGCCCUGUGUGUUUUCCCAAAAAAACGUUCAGAAGUCACUUCUAAAGCAACUUUUUUUGUGUGAAUUUUGUUUUAAGUACCUUCCCAGAGCUUGUUAGGACUGGGACUUUCAGAAACUUGUCAGUUGUUUGCCUUGAAGGCUCAGGGGCAGUGGAUACCUCAAUAACACUUUGAGGGGCCACCUUAGAAAAACACAGACAGACAGAUGCUAUCAUCUUUGCCCUGCAGUUCAGUGCACACAAACUGAAGGUGUUCUGUACCACCUGAGAAUUCACUAAUGUCUUCAGGGCUAACCCCACGUGUUGCACAUUCAGCUCACCCUGGAGUUCUUCAACACCGCAAAUAUAACUUACAUGUAAGAGGAGAGGUUAUGGCUGUGUUUAUAUAUAACCAUUCUGUUUGCUUCUGGGAUUUCAUUAUACUUAGUGGCAUAUCAUGCAAGUUUAGAGUCUUUCCUGGAACUGCUCAGUAUAGUCCUUUAGCAUUGCUAAAGCUUGCUAUACUUUUCUCUUAUUUUCACAAGUUUAUUGGGUCGCUAAAAAGCUGAGAGAAAAACUCUCAGGAGAAAGAACGUGAAAGAUAGCUAGUGAGGGAACAAAGAAUAGAAGAACCAGGCAGAAUAAGGAAAGAGGAGCCAUAAGAGUAGAUAGUCAAAACUGCAAAAAGAAUUCUAGCUGCACUAAUCUGUCUUUUUAUAAACAUAAUUUGUAUCAAUAUUUUUCAUCAAAGAGCCAAGUAAACUGCUUGAUUAUUCACUAAUGAAUCAAUAGCAUAAUUCUUAUUCUUACCCUCUAGGAGCAGAUAAUCAGAUAAUACAAAAUAAUUAUUAUCUCUCGCUUAAUUUAACUUCAGUUUAUUGGAUGCCAGAAGAAAGUUUUAGGAAAUGCCCACUUGCAAGUUUUAUACCUAUAGCUGGAUAAAAGAAGGGAAGUUAUUUAUUGGAUUUAUUCCUAAUCUAGGUAUAUUUACGUUUUCAUGAAAGUCCAUUGAACAAUGUAAAACAGGAACAUGAUUUAAGAUUACCUAAUAUAACAUGACUGUCAUAUUUCUAUACCUUGAAAGUGCUAUUCAUCUUUUGGAAGAUAACUUUAGGAAAUAUAGGAAAUGGUUCACACCUUCCCUUCCAAAUGGGAACUUUAUCCAACCUUUUUAAAAAAAAAAAAUUUUUUUAAUGUUUAUUUAUCUUUGAGAGGGAGAGACAGAGACAGAGCAUGAGUAGAGGAGGGGCAGAGAGAGAGGGAGACACAAAUUCCAAAGCAGGCUCCAGGCUCCAGAGCCUGACACAGGGCUCAAACCCACAAACCACGAAAUCAUGACCAGAGCUGAAGUAGGAUGCUUAACCGACUAAGCCACCCAGGCGCUCCUUCCAACCUUAUCUUUACGGUCAUCAGAAAAGGAGAUGUAAGUGUUAGGUGUGUAUGUGAAAUACUUUGGUAAAAUAUUGAUGUGCUUUUCUCUUUUGCAUUGUUGCACAUAGCAUAUUUAUAGUCAGGUCAAGACAGCCCUCUAUUUCAGAAAUAAGAUUUGGGGUAUUAUAACAGAAAUGGAAAGAGAAAAGUUUUAAGUUUUUAUUUUUUUAUUUUUUAGAGACAGGGAACACUAGCAGGGGAGAGGGGUAGAGGGAGAGAAAGAGAGAAUCUUAAGCAGGCACCACACUUAGCAUGGAGCCCAAUGUGGGGCUCAUCCUGGGGCUAGAUCCCACAACCUUGGGAUUAUGACCUGAGAUGAAAUCAAAAGUCAAUCACUUAAUCAACUGAGCCACCCAGGUGCCCCUGAAAAGAGAAAUAUUUAAUUUUCAUUUUCUGACAUUCAAUGUACAAUUUGCUGUACUAUCUUCUUCAACACAUUAAAAGCCAACUUGAAUUCUAGACAGCAAAUUUUUUCACAUAUUACCUGAGGUAGAAUUUAGGAAAAAAGAGAAAGAGAAAAUAAUUGAAAGAAGUUCAACCCUUGCACACAGAGGGUGGAGGGAUUAAGAGAAGAGGCUGAGGAAGACGUUAGAUGGUCAAAUGUGUAGCAGAUUCAGACCAGGAGUGACAUGUGCUAUGGACAUGAGAAGCUGUAGCCUUCCCCCACUUUGGAGCUCUGAAGGAAGGUAACUGUUCAGAGUUGUACAGCAUCAACAAUGGACAGUCCACCUUAGUUAAGAAGUUGGAAUUGCCUUGCUAUGGAGAGUUCAAGUUUAAAAUUCCAAGAUUUCUGCUAAUUCUCAUGUGGGUAAGGAGUGUUUGCCAUGGGGAAAGCUGUGGUGAAAGGGAGAUAAUGCCAAAGCAGAGGCUGAGGUAGGCUAUUUUAGGACAGAAGACAAGAUGGCCUACAAGGCGGGAAUCUUCAGCAGUGGAAAAUGGAGAGCCCAGUGAGAGACAAGACUGUACAUACUAUUAUCUAUCAAUAAUGGCAGCCCACUCUGGAAGAUGCCCAGAGAUCAGACCAGUUAUCCCUCAAAGGUCACCAGGUUUUAUACAUGAGGUAACCACCUCCUUUCCCCCAAUGCCAUGAGGUCAUACAAUUUAUUCUUCCUAUACAGAGACCUCAUGGUGGAGAAGGACCAGGGAACAUCAUGGUGGAAAUAGGACACUGAAGAUGAAAAAAAAUCUCAGAAGUCUGAAUGAUGUCUAAAUAUCUUUAUUUAAUCAUAAAUUAGUUAAUAAUCAUAAAUUGUAUGAGACUUUUGAAAACUAGGGUAUGAUAAAAUAUCAGUAAAAGCAACAUACACACAAAUUCCAAAAUUUCUAGCAAAUCUAAUUGUUGGGAAAUUUGUAACCCUGUUGGAAAAAAAGAGAAAGAUUUAGGUCAUAGCAGUGAUACAUAUCUUAAUGUGAGUGAUUCUAUCAGAUCUUUUUCUUUUUCUUUUUUUUUUUUUAAGUUGAUAUAUUCGUUUUGAGAGAGAGAGAGCACGAGCAUGGGAGAGAGAGGGAGAGGGAGAGAGAGAGAAUCCCAAGCAGGUUCCAUGCUGUCAGCACAGAGCCCGACAGAGGGCUCGAUCUCACAAAGUGUGAGAUCAUGACCUGAGCCCAAAGCAAGAGUCUGAAGCUUAACCAAUUGAGCCACUCUGGCGCCCCCUAUCGGAUCUUUUUCUAAAAGUACAUUGAAUGGGUUGAGGGGUAAAAAUUGGUAUGGGGGAAAGAACAAAAGGCCACUGACCAAAUUAAUCAAGACUUUACUGUUCUCUUUUACCCCCUUGAGGAUGCUUUAUCAGUACUCCAAGUUUUUAUUAUGAUUAAUGCUCUAUUAGUAAGGUGAUAGAAAUAUUGAUAAUUAUUACUGAUAAUUUAUAAUCACAGUUAAUAAAGGAGAUAUUUUACUAGCAAAGCCUAACAUCCCAUCUUAAUAGGGAUUAGGCAAAAAGCUUCUGACAAUCACAUCUGUGCUUUUUACCAAUCAGGGAAAUGAGAGGAACAAAGGCUCAAACUGCUGAGAAGUAAUGACCUUAAAAAUAUUGAACCAACCAGACGGACACAAGCUGUAAACCAGCAGUAUGGACAUACAGGUGCACAGUAGCAAAUGCAGCUCUUUUUAUCAGGCUUCUGUCUGGUAACUCAAGGUACAUUUGUUUCCUAAAAAAACAAAUCAGGAAAAAGGCAGUAAAAAUAGUGAGUGCGUCUAGGUAGGGAAUUCAUGAGACGUUAAAGCUGCCCAAAUAUUGAUUGCUAUCACAUUAGCAACACAAUUAAAGUAGUUUAAAAUGGGCAUUGUUUUCAUAAUUGUGGGCUUUUAAAAAUUUAAAAUACACGAAGAAAAGGUUAUCUAUAGUUCCGUCUUCCAAAGAUGAUGACCAACUCUUAACAUUUGUAUCUUGCAUUUUUUUUUCCUUAACAGGUAUUUUGUAUACUUCCUUUACUUUUCUAUUUGAGGCAUUAUUGUUUAUGAUUAAACAUUAAAAAAAAAAACCAAACUAUGUAGGUAGAUCACUGUUGUUUGUUUUAAAAACACAUGAAGCUGGGUAUGCCUGGGUGGCUCAGUUGGUUGGACGUCCGACUUUGGCUCUGGUCGUGAUCUCGUGGUUUGUGGGUUCUAGCUCUGUGUCAGGCUCUGUGCUGACAGCUCAGAGCCUGGAGCCUGCUUCGGAUUGUGUCUCUCAAUCUUUCCGUUCUUCCCCUGCUUGUGCUCUGUCCCUCUCUCUGCCAAAAAUAAAUAAACAUUAAAAAACUUUGAAAAAAAAAGAUUUAUUUUUUUUUCAAUAUAUGAAAUUUAUUUUCAAAUUGGUUUCCAUACAACACCCAGUGCUCAUCCCAAAAGGUGCCCUCCUCAAUACCCAUCACCCACCCUCCCUUCCCUCCCACCCCCCAUCAACCCUCAGUUUGUUCUCAGUUUUUAAGAGUCUCUUAUGCUUUGGCUCUCUCCCACUCUAACCUCUUUUUUUUUUUUNNNNNNNNNNNNNNNNNNNNNNNNNNNNNNNNNNNNNNNNNNNNNNNNNNNNNNNNNNNNNNNNNNNNNNNNNNNNNNNNNNNNNNNNNNNNNNNNNNNNNNNNNNNNNNNNNNNNNNNNNNNNNNNNNNNNNNNNNNNNNNNNNNNNNNNNNNNNNNNNNNNNNNNNNNNNNNNNNNNNNNNNNNNNNNNNNNNNNNNNNNNNNNNNNNNNNNNNNNNNNNNNNNNNNNNNNNNNNNNNNNNNNNNNNNNNNNNNNNNNNNNNNNNNNNNNNNNNNNNNNNNNNNNNNNNNNNNNNNNNNNNNNNNNNNNNNNNNNNNNNNNNNNNNNNNNNNNNNNNNNNNNNNNNNNNNNNNNNNNNNNNNNNNNNNNNNNNNNNNNNNNNNNNNNNNNNNNNNNNNNNNNNNNNNNNNNNNNNNNNNNNNNNNNNNNNNNNNNNNNNNNNNNNNNNNNNNNNNNNNNNNNNNNNNNNNNNNNNNNNNNNNNNNNNNNNNNNNNNNNNNNNNNNNNNNNNNNNNNNNNNNNNNNNNNNNNNAAAAAAAAAAGAUUUAAAAACACCUGAAACUGAAGUAUCAUUCUGCCUUACUGUGACCAGAUAGGCACUUUGAAAAAUUAUUGUCACCAAAAUGUUUUUGUGAAUUAAGUAAGGGGCGCUUUCCCUUGUGUGCAUCUGUGUAUUUGUAGUGUGUGUAUGUGAAGAGAUUGGGCAUAUUGGCACCUAGAAGCUUGAAGAAGUGGCUCUGAAGAGGUGAUACUCAGACCUUUAAGGAGGGUGUGCUACCCCCUGCUGAGGGCACAGGAAGCCUUUUUCCGGAGAGCUGGAAGGAGCUGGAAGCUGGAAAGCACUGUCACUGCUGGAGUAGAGCCCUGUUGCUGAGGCAAUGCUGGCAGUAAUAGCAACCAAAACAGAAAUGGAGAGUCUCCUCUUCCUCCGCCAGCCUUGCAAUCUCCAUGAGAAGACCUUAACAGAAAGCCAGCUGGCAAAACCCAAGUGUAGUUUACAAAAUCCCAGCCCUAGCAUCAUGCAGGAGAGUGCAAAAAAGAAAAGUUUGGAGCCGAAGGAUAAAGGAAUUUAUGUAUAUGUAUACACACACACACGCACGCACACACACACACCACAUAUAUACUUAUGCCCUGCAGAGGCUCACUUGACCUGGCACAUGAGUCAGAGAACUGUACCAUUUAUGAACACCUGAAUCGUUUAUAGAGAGACCACAUCUGCCUCAUCUUGGAAAAGAAACAUCUAUACUUGCAGCUCCCUCUCUAGGGCUGAGAUGAGUUUGGCAUCUCAUUACUAUACCUCUUUUUAAGUUUUCUAACUUUUGCUCUCAAGCUUCCCUAAGGUUUUGGACUCGCAUUUAGAUAAGUAUAUAUUACACCCAUGUCUAUUCCACAUACCUCUGCUAGGAGCUAAGAACCCGACUAAUAGGUUUUCUAUGUCUUUUCCAAAAUAUUUGGUGUACAUCUCAUUUUAGAAUAUUAUUUAUGAGUAAAACAUGUUCUUAAUAACUCUUCACCCCAAAAGACCAUCAUAUUAUUUUCUUUCAGCAUUUUUAAAGAAGUUACUUAAUGACCCUCUAGAUUUCCUUGUUUUUGUUGAGAAGACACCUGCUAGUCUUGCUGUUCCUUUGAAGAUAAUGUGUCUUUACUCUGGAUGCUUUUAAGAUGUUACUUAGUUUUCAAUCGUUUGUGAUAUAUUUAGGUUUGGUUUUCUUUGAGUUUUGGAAUUUGUAGAUCUUCCUGGACCUGGAAAUUGAUUUUUUUAUCAGUAUUGUAAAAUACUUAACCAUUACUUUUUAAAUAUUGUUUUUUUCUCUUUUCUUCCCAUUACACUCUUUAAGCACAUGUUAUACUAUUUGUAUGUGUCCUACAGGUCUAAUAUAUUCUGUUCUGUUUUAGUACAAGUGUUUUCUAUGGAUCAUUCUUUUAGUUUGCUAAUUCUGUUGCAAACAAUCUUCCGUUCUGGAUUUUCAUUCAGGUCAGAUAUUCUAUUUUUUUUUAUUCUAACAGGUCCAUUUGAUUUUUUAUAGGUUAUAAUUCUAACUGAAAUUUUAUAACUUUAGUCUGAUUUUGCCCAUCAUUUUUCCUAUUUUCAUGAACAAAUUAAUCAUAUUUUAAAAGUUCUUUGCUAAUUGCAAUAACUAUAUCUGUUUUAUUAUGUAUUAUUGUCUUGGUUAUCUGCCACAUAGUCCUGUAUGCCUCGAGGUUUUAUUGCACCUUUAUUGUGUUAAAAAAGUUCCAGAUAACGUUAUCGUCCAUCAGAGAGGAUUUUCCCUUUCUUUUACCAGGCAGUUAGAAUGGGAAUCUCAUUACUUUUAUCCAACUAUGGGCUGCCUGGGUUAAGGCUUGAGAAUUGUACGUUAGUGAGAUGUGGCUAAUUGUUCAUUCUUGUUCCUAGGAUGUAGUUGUCAAGGGCUCUCAACAGAGAUUUUCUGGGAAUUUCUUCCUGCUGUUAAGAGACUUUUAUUUCAGUUUUUUAGUAUUAUACCAUGCACAGGUUUACAGUUUGGCGGAUAUCUUACAGGGUGGGCCACCUUGAUGAUCAAGGCUCUUCAAGUGUACAAUUUUGUCAUUCCAGAUCUGUGCAAUGCUUAAAAAUACAGCUAGAAGCUGAACAUCCCUCUUCCUGGGGACAAGAAUGGAUUCUCGGCCUCUAAUUGUGCUCAGAUUGUCAAAUAUUCCCAGGUGGAAAGUCUCGAAGGUAGCCCUGUAACAGCAGGAACACAUUCUACUUGCCCAGGGGCAAAGCAAAAAUGCUCUUUUUAACUUCACACUACCUUCCAAGAUUUGGAUUUUUAAUAACAUUUUGGCUUGUUAUUGUUUUGAUUUCUGAGAAAGAAAGAAGAAGCAAGCGGAGUGCUGUUGCAGACUGUUUUCUUGUCUCCCAUAUUACCAGAGUCUGAGAAGUCUAAACCUGCAGGUGGGGAGAUUAGGCCUCACAGCAUCCUUAUUAUGAUCUUUUCUUAUGCAAAUGGCAUACUAGUAGUCCAGAAAAUUGAUGAUUCUGGAGCUGUUGGCUAUAUUUCUUUGCAGGGCAGCGUUUUGGGCCAAGCAAAUAAAUAUUUAGGUAUAGUAGCAGGGAAGCUUCUCACAACACCUAUGCUAUUAAAAAGGGAACAUAUAUGAUAAAAUAUAGCAGACAUUGAGGAAAGACCCAGAUGUCCAAUCAGGUAUUACCACACCUAAUAAUGUAGCGUAAACAUAUUAUAAGAUGUUAUAUAUUUUUGUGAACAAGCUAAAUGUACCUUGUUCAAGUUUUCCUUACCAGUCCUAUAGCAUGGCUCACAUAAAGUAACUUUGCACUUUUGGGUCAUGCAAACUUUGUAAAUGCACAUUCGUCAUUUUUAUAUUUUAUAUCAGCUUUGGUAAUCUUCUGCUUAUUGCUGGUCCUCUUGAGAGGGAGUAAAAAUCAUUAAACUUCCUGGCUCCUGAGGAAGAUUUUUCUGGGCUCCAACUAAACAAGGGUCUUUGCUUGGGAGAAGGUUCAUGUGUUCCCUACUAUAAAUUCAGUUUUGUCCAUGAUGACUAUACAUGUGUACACACACACACACACACACACACACACACACCCCGAAGGUAACCAUGAAUUUUCUGAUUAUAACACAGAUAUGUAGAUAUACUUUCACCCUCUGGAAGAUUGUAGCCUAUUAGGGAUAGUAAAUGAGAUUAUGAAAUCUGAUGACAUUCUUUUAGGACCUAUGCUAAGUAACCAAAGCAAUGGGGAAGGCAAAACCUCAUUAGGGGCAGAAAUGACUCAUGAUCAGGCUAAAAUAACCCUGGCUUAAGAAUCCAGGGAUCUGAUUUUUAAGACUUUUUUUUUUUUUUUUUUUUUUUUACCACAGUGAGCUUCAGCAAGUCAAUUAAAAUACAGUUGGUUCUCAGUUAUAGCAUGAAAAGACUGAAUGAGAUAAUUUCCUUAAUAAUCAUUUGCUAACCAUAAAUUGAAUAUCUAUCCUACAUUAGGCAUUUUAUUAGGUUCAAAUCAUCUUAAUUUCUUCUGGCUCUAAAAGUUGAAGGGACUAUGGAUUCAAAGGAAAGAGUAAUAUUUGUGGGCUUAGAUCUAUAAACUGAGGAAUGCUUCUGAGAGCCAGAGGAAAAGGGAAACCAGCUGGGCCUUGAAUGAUGGGUGUGGCAUACAAUAGGAGAUGAGCUGUGAGUCUAGAAGCUACCUCCCAUGCACAGUCUAGGAAAAACUCUUCUUAAGGAGGACUGGAGAACAGAUUUUUGACAAAGCUUUGAUGGCUCACACAGCCUGUGCCAAUAGGCAUCUGCAAAGGGGUGUGUUCUUGUGUGACCCCUGUGUGCUUGUCCUUUGCAAGUCAGCCAUACAACAAAGUAACACUGUGCCCUUCACUAUUACUUUUAAGAGGUAUAAAUCCAAACAUUAUAUAUAUUAUAUAUAUAAUUAUAAUAUAAUAUAUAGUAUAUAAAUGUAUGCCAUAUAUAUAACAUAUUUUAUAUAUAAUGUGUAUAUUCAUAUAUACAUAUAUUUAUUAGCAACAAGGUAUUUGAGCGCUUGAAUCUUCCAAACUGUAUAGGGAUGCCAGUGAUCAAGUUCUGGCAACUUUGUUUCAUUUGUGGACUUUGGUAUUGGCAUGUAUACACAGCAUCAGGCUUUUACUGGAGAUGUUUGUGCAAACUUGGGUAAAGUCUAAACAUUUUUUUUUUAAACAUUUAUUUACUAUUGGGAGACAGAGAGAUACAGAGCAUGAGCAGGGAUGGGGCAGAGGGGGGGGGGGGGACACAGAACCNNNNNNNNNNNNNNNNNNNNNNNNNNNNNNNNNNNNNNNNNNNNNNNNNNNNNNNNNNNNNNNNNNNNNNNNNNNNNNNNNNNNNNNNNNNNNNNNNNNNNNNNNNNNNNNNNNNNNNNNNNNNNNNNNNNNNNNNNNNNNNNNNGAAAGAUUGAGAGACACAAUCCGAAGCAGGCUCCAGGCUCUGAGCUGUCAGCACAGAGCCUGAUGUGGGGCUCGAACUCACAAACUACGAGAUCAUGACCUGAGCUGAAGUCAGACGCUUAACCGACUAAGCCACCCAGGCGCCCCAAGUCUAAACAUUUUAAAGAAAAUGAGCAUUUGGUUACAAGAUUUUACUUUAUUUUAAUAUUUGUUAAUGUUUAUUAGGUUUGAGAGACAGAGAGAGAGACAGAGCAUGAGCAGGGGAGGGGAGAGAGAGAGGGAGACACAGAGUCCAAAGCAGCCUCCAGGCUCUGAACUGUCAGCACAGAGCCCUACCGGGGGCUCAAACUCAUGAACCAUGAGAUCAUGACCUGAGCCAAAGUUGGAUGCUUAACCGAGUGAGCCACCCAGGUGCCCCACAAGAUUUAUGUUAAAAGACUUCUGGAGUAACUCUUCUGAAGAAAAACAGGUAUACCAUUCUUUGCUAGGCUAUCAUAUAUAUAUAUACAUACACAUACAUAUAUAUAUAUAGACUAUGCUAUCAUAUAUAUAUAUAUAUAGAGAGAGAGAGAGAGAGAGAUACCUAUCUAUAUUAUCUAGAUAUAUCUAUAUCAUCAUAGAUAUAUAUCUAUCAUAUAUAUGUAGAUACCUACCUAUGUCAUCUAACUACUUAACCAUCUUAAUCAUCUUCGUAUCUAUGUAUAAUAUCUAUAUACAUGUUUAUGUUUUGGGGUUUUUUAAUGUUUAUUUAUUUUUGACAGAGAGAUGAAGACAGAGCAUGAGCAGGGGAGGGGCAGAGAGAGAGGGAGAUACAGAACUUGAUGUGGGCUCCAGGCUCUGAGCUGUCAGCAUAGAGCCUGAUGCGGGGCUUGAACUCAUGAACUAUGAGAUCAUGACCUGAGCCAAAGUUGGUUGCUGACUGAGCCACGAAGGUGCCCCCACGUUUAUGUUUUUGGCUAUUAGUCAUAUUUGGUGAUUUUAAAAAUUAUAAGUGCAUCCUAGGAGGAUAGUACAGUGAGGAGACAGAAUGUAGGGAAAGAAGUGUAUCCUUGCUAAUAGAAGAGAUAUUUCAGUUGUUACAUUGCUACUAUUUAACAUAUAUAUAUAUAUAUAUAUAUAUAUAUAUAUAUGUAGGAUGAAGCCUGAUAUUCGAAAGAGAAAGAAAAAUAGUCAUAAUUCAAUAGCAUUUACAAUCAAGUUUCAAAUAACUGUCAAAACUUUCCUUCAAAUGCUAAUAAAUAAGUUAGUUAUUCUCUUCUCAUAUCAAGGGACUGUGCUCUAUGACACACAAUAAACGCUCUGUAAAAGAAAGUUCACAUACCUUUAGGAUAUGCCCGACUGUAAGCAAAACGGGAAGAGAAGGAAUAAGAUGAAGCAUUUGCCGAAGUUAUCAUGCACUUGAAGCUUCUUUGUGUCCUGGGCUCUGAGAAUUUUAUCAACAGAGUGAAUAAAAACAGAACCCACCAGAGCCCCUGUGAGAAUGCCUCGGGGAACUGCCUGACCUGUGGCAUUAGGGACUUGACUGAGGGAGCCCUAAGUGCAAAUCCUACAGCUCAGGUUUCUGGAGGCUGUAGAUUCUGACUGGGAAAAACAAAAUAAAGCAAAACAAAGCACCACUACCACUGCCAUCAGUACUGCCACGUUAGUCUAAAUACUUUCUGAUCUUUGAAUUAUCCAUUUGCACCUCUGCCACUCCUAGCUGCUCCUCGUCAGACUCAACUCACAGCCAACCUUAGUGAUACCCUUCCAAAACAGGUUCAUGCGGAGAAAUAUGCACACAGAAGAGUCCUGUAUCAGAGAAGUGUGGGCCAAUGAGUUUUCAUGAACAAUUUCCUCCACAUAACGGUGAGUUAGGUUGAGCAAUGUAACAUUACCAGGACCCCAGAAACCCCCCUUGGGCCCCCUUCCUAUCACUGCCUCCAAGGGUACGCCCAUUCUGAAGUGAAACACUGUAGACUAAUCUGCGUGUUUGGGGUCGGUAUAUACACAAUUUGUGCUCUUUUGAAACUGGCUUCUUUUGCUGAACAUUAUGUUGAUAUAUUCACUCAUUUUGCCGUAUUUAGUUACAGAAUUUUCAUUUUUCCUACUGUAUUCCAUUAUGUGAAUACAUAAUUCCAUCACAUAAUUCCAUUAUGUGAUGUACAAUAAGUACAUCCACAAUGUACUUAUUCUUGCAACUCUUGAUGAACGUUUAGGGAAUGUUUUUUGAAAUGGUAACUUGUAAAGGGCCACAGAGGAACCCCUCUGCCCAAAUACACCUUUGCUCAGAACCCUCCAUGCUGAAAUUCCUUAGUGAAACAUUCCCUUUGGCUCACACCUUAACUGUAAGCUCAUUAAUGGGGCUUAUUCUUUCCUCUAUGAGUUGGCUUCUAUUCCUUGUCCAGCUCUCCUCUGUCGCUCUUUCCCUUGAUCUCUGCCAAAGCUACACUUAGCAACUUCCAUCUCUUUUCCUCUGUGUGUUUCAUUCUGGAUAAUUUCUAUUGCUAAGUUUUAAAGAUCAUUGUGUUCUUUUUCCUGUAGUGUCUAAUCUGCUGUUAUUUUCAUCCAUUGAUAUUUUUUGUAAGUAUUGUAUUUUUUAUCUCUAGGCAUUCAUUUUUUAAAAAAAUAUCUUUCAUUUCUUGCCUUGUCAUGCUUACACUGUCCUCUACGUUCUGGAAUGCAUGGCAUACGUUUAUGAUAGCUCUUUUAAACUCUGUUUAAUUUUAUAAUGUAUUAAUUCUUGUGUGUUUCUAUUAAGUGGUUGUCUCCUGUUUACGAGUAAUAUUUUCCUGCUCCUUUUCAUCUGCCUGUUAAUUUCUGAUUGGUUGCCAGACAUCCGGAGUCUUAUAUUGUUGCUUGCUGGAUUAUUUCUUCAAUUCUUUUAAUAGUUUGGGUUUUGUUCUGGGAUGCAGCUAAGGUUGAUCCUAUUGAGACUUGUUUGUGAGCUUUGCUAGGAAGGAUAAGACAGCUUGGAGUCCAGGGCUCCUUUAGCCCCACUAAUGAGGCAACACCCUCCUGGAUUCUGCACAGUGUGUGUGAGGAGGGCUAACCACUCUGGCUGCUGGGGACACAAACUCUUCCUUACCCUGUAUGAACUCCAGUGAUGGUUUCAUCUGUUUCCAUCUUAUGAUUCUUUCUCCAGUCUCAGUAGUUUCCUCGUUUUUAUGUGCAGUUAAGUAAUCAGGGGACACAAUGGAGGUCUACAGAGUUUUGUCUGUGUAGUUUUCUGUUCUACAGCACUCUGCUCUGGAAUUGUAGCCACCUUGGCCUCCCAGAAUUCCAUAUUUUGCCUCUGCAACUCAGGGAGUCUGCUGUGAUCCAUUUGGCUUGCCUUAUCAGAUAUUGUGAUCUGCAAAGUCUCUCAAAGCAGUGAGGUGGGGUACUUGCAUCUUACUUGUUUUCCUUUCUCUGGGUCAGUGUCCAGUGCUGCCUACUGUCUAAUAACUAGAAAAUGUUUCAUCUAUUUUCCAGUAUUUAAUUGUUUAAAAUGGGAAGGUAAAUCCUCUUCAUUCCAUCUCGGCUAGAAGCAGAAAUUACCACCCUAACCUACUUUAAUUUGUCAGCAAAUCCUGCUUUCUGUUGCUAAGGUUGACACGUGCUCUUCCCUUUGUCUAUCUCUCUUAUCUCAUUUUCCUUAGCUCACCUAAAUCCUACUCAUUUUUAUGGUUUUUUUUUUCUUUUUUUAAGUAGGCUCCACUCCCAGUGUGGAGCCCAGUGCAGGGCUUGAGCUAACAACCCCAAAUCAAGACCUGAGCUGAGAUUAAGAGUUGGACACUUAACCAACCGAGCCAGGUGCCCCUCCUCUUUAUGGCCUUAAUGUAAUAACAGUAAUUUACACUGCUGCAUAUGUCAUAUGCCAGUUGUGUGUACUGUUUCAUUUCACUUUCUUCUAAGCAGUGGUGUGUAUUCUUGUUUUUAUCUUUGCGACAGUGAAUUUAGUGCGGCUACAAUUAUAUUCAUUUUAUAGAGAGGUAAUGAGGCUCAAAGACAUGGACUCCCUUGUUGGAGAUCACAUGACUCAUAGGUGACAGGCUUGGAUUUGAACUUGGGAGGCCUGGCUUUAAGACUUUGUUUGAACUCAUCAGGGUGCCUGGGUGGCUUAGUUGGUUAAGUGUCUGACUUUGGCUCAGGUCAUGAUCUCACAGUUUGUGAGUUCAAGCCCUGCAUCUAUCUGAUUCGGAUCCUCUGUGUCCCUCUCUCUCUCUGCAACUGCCUCAUUCAUGCUCUCUCUCUCUCAUAAAUAAAUAAACAUUUAAAAACAACAACAACAACAACAUUGAAUUCCUAACCACAACUCUGAACUUUCUUUUCUAGGUAUACUUAUUCUAAAAUAUUUUUUUAAGUUUUAUUUAUUUAUUUUGAGAGAAACAGAAACAGUGUGAGCAGGGGAGGGGUAGAGAGAGGGAGAGAGAGAAUCUCAAGCAGGCUCCGCACUGUCAGCGCGGAGCCCGACGCAGGGUUCGAACCCAUGAAACCAUGAGAUCAUGACCUGAGCUGAAACUGAGAGUCGGAUGUUUAACUGACUGAGCUACCCAGGCAUCUUUCCUAGGUAUACUUAUUCUAGAAUGAUUUUGUUAAUCCUUAAGUUUUGUGCUAUGUUAGUUUUGUAGAUAUGUUUCUAUAACACCUAAACUUUUCCAAAUUUAAUCUUAUCAUUCCAUGUUAACACCACCUGUUUACUUGCCUGCAUCCUCUGUUUGACUGUAUAAUCUGGGAGGGCAGAGACUACUGUUUUGGCAAUCAUCACAUUAGUGUCAUCUACAACAUGAAAGGCAAUCAACAAAUGCUGAUUGAAUGAAUGAAUGAAGGAAGGAAUAAUAUCUUGAUGAGAAGAUACAAUAAUUUUUAUCAAGGUCUUUAUUAGAAAUGGAUUCAGUUGUUGAGUUUAGCUAACUAAAUACUGUUUCCUAUAUUCCCAAGAGAAGGAGUCACAGAAAAAAAUAUGUUUUAGACAUGAGUGGGGAAGUUAGGAAAGGACUGUGUCUUUAGGCCUGGCCCCUUGAUGGUGAGCCUGUCUGUAUACCACAGCAGGGGCUCAAAAACUCAAGAGGAAAGGGGCUUGAGGAGAGAAGAGAUAGAAACAGAAGGGAAUAGGGAGUUGUUGAAUAGACAACACUGAUAUUUUGCCUAGGGCUGGCCUGCUUACUAAAAAAGAGUCCUUGAUCACAUCCUAUUCUAAACCCGUGAUCUCUUAAGUUUGGGAGUCAUUUUGUUUGUUGGGCAUAGGUAAAUAGCUAUUCUAUCAGUCUAAAUAAAUUACUUAGUCAAUAAAGGUGCAUUUUAAUGACAGAGGAAAAUUGCUAUUCUUUUGAGAAUGCUUGAUCUUCUUUCCAGCGAUGUAAAGGAGCACAGAAUAAGUGAACAUAGUCAAAUGUGAAAGUGGCUGUAUUUCAUAUUUUAUACUAGGCUGUUUAAAUAAUGGCUGUGUAUUAUCACUGCCUUUUCUCUUCUUACGCAGACUACACCAGAACGAGGGGAUCAUUAUGAAAAUUAAUUUUACCUUUUGUGAUCUAAGUAUCCUUUAUAUAUGUGGUUCCCCCUUUUAAUUUAGAAAAACUUUCUUCUAUGCUAUUCUAUGUGAUCAAAGCAGCAAUAACAUAGUGGGAAUUCAGCGGUCAUUGCUACCUUGCUUUAUACUUCUACACUUGAUCUUAGCCAAAAGGCCAAGAAAUGAUUACUUUAUAUUUCUGAGCCUCAAAUACUCAUAUAUAAAAUUAUUAUAUCUUUCAUUAAUAUUAUAACUCCAUUGAUUUUCAUAUUGUGCUUCAUGGAAACCUAGGAUUUUACAGAGGCACCAUAGAGUAAAAUAUGGAAGGAAAGGUAGGGGAGACCAAGCAGGGCUCUAAGACUCUUACCUUUACACAAACUCAGAGUGCUUUGCUUCUUCUCUUUUAUCUGUGAAGGAGGAUUUGCAUUAAACCAUCCUCACUCCCUCCCCUGGUACCAUUAUAAUGAACUGACCUGAAAAUAAGUGCAUUAAGUGGCCAUAGAACAUAAAGACACUAAUUAGUUCACUUGGGGAUCAAAUCCAUGAUAACAGACUUAUUCAUGCUUUUCUCUAUCCCCAAAACUAUUCAGAUAAAAGCAAAGGGAGGGGGAAAUAAAUCUAUCAUAUAUAUGACAAUCUUCAAGAACAAACACUUGAAGUUUCAAAUAUGAUCUGGUUGAUUCUGUCACGGGGAAAGAAUCUUAUCACUAGUUAAGAAUAAGUAAUAAUUGAGUCUGGACCCAUAGCAAAUAAUAUUUCACAACAAAAGAAAUGCAAAUAGCCAAUAAACAUUUAAAAGGUUUAGUCUCUCUGAUGAUCAAAGGAAUUUACAGUAAUAUUCUGAGACACUAUUUUAGAUUUUUAAAUUGACAAAUGUUUUAAAAAUUAUAUACAGUGAUGAUGGGGGAGGCUGGGAUCCUCUCUUCAUGCAGUGCACAUUAGUAAAUUAUUUCGGGAGAGCAGUUUGAUAUUAUGCAAAAUCCUUAAAAAUAUUAUUGUACUUUGACCAAUAUAUUCUAUUUCCAGAAUCAUCCUAAGGAUAUAAUCACACAUGUGACAAGAGUAUAUACUCAAGUUUUAUUGUAGUGGUGUAUAUAACUUAGGCUCUUUUACUUCAUAACGAACAGAUGCAAGUUGAGCUCCAGGUGUUAUGGGUUUGUUGUAAAGCUACAAGGGUAAACAAGGGAAACAGAAAAACUUGUUCAGCCAGGUCUAAGUGAGAGUGGCAUGAAAUUUGGAAUAAAGGGCAGGGGGAGGGAGUCAUUUAGGACAUGUUGAAAUAUCCCCAGGAGUUUCAUCUUGCCCCAUCCUUAGUAGCAUGUGCCUAUUGCACUGUCCUUUAAGAAAUUGUCACCUCAGUUAAGUUGCUGUUUAUUGAUGCUUCUGACUCUUGUCUGAAUCUUUAUUCUCUCACUACCUCAUGACUGCUGUUCCUAGAUUCAGUUUAGUUACUUUCUCUUUAUAUUUUGGUUUCUGCCUUUACAAGGAGACUCUGACCUCUUUGCAUGCCUUUAUUAUACCUUCAUAAAUCAACCAAUCAAUCAAUCAAUCAAUCAGUCAAAUGAAUGAGCUUCUUCCAGACACCUCACUGACUGCUGUUCAACUCUAUAGAGUGGUUGCUCUUUUGUCUGGUUCCCAGUACUGCUGCAAACAGGUGUUUCCGGAAAGGGCCACAGUGGUUGGUUUCUGACGAAUGGAUUGUUGAGUGUGCCCGUACUUGGAGGAAAGCAAAUUUUCAUCCAAGACACAGUAUCAUUGGUAAAGGCCCAAAUGGGGAACAAUUUAGCUAUUCAAAAAUAGGGGAAUUGGCACAUAUACUACACACACAAAUGAUAACAUGCAACUAUGGGCAUAUUUUGAUGACAUUGUGAUUAAGGGAGUGUGUACAGGUAUCAAUUUAAAGUGAAAAAAUAUUCAAAACUAUACUGAGUAGUGUCUAUUUUAGAUUAUGUGAGCAUAGAAUAAAACAUUGGGAGUAAAAUACACUAGACUGUUUAGCGAUUACCAAAUGGUAAGAUAUAGUGAUCUCUAUUUUCUGCUUUAUAUAUUUGUUUUCCAAAUUUCAUCUUAGUCUAUUUUACUUUUAUAAUAAUGAUAUUUUAUAAAAUAGAAGUAAAGAAUGAUUGAUUUGAAAUACAAAAAUUUAAAAUCAGAUGAAAGAAAUGUUUAUAAAAUUUCCCAUGAGACAGAUUGUCCUGAGAUGCUUGUAUUUAUGCAAACAGGAGCUGAGAAUCAUUAACUUCCGUAGCAGAGUUCAUCCCUUAGGAAAAGGACUGCACGUAUAGAGUUCUUCUGUGUUCCUCUAGAGUUCUUUUCUCUAAAAUAUUACAAUAAACUUAUCUCUUGUUUUUCAUCCACUCCCAGACAGCCCUUCUUGUCAUUUUACAACCAAACAACCAAUGAAUUACUAUGAUGAUGCAAAUGUUCAUAUAUUUGUUCCUUAGAGAAGUCAUACGUUUAUUAUUUUCUGGAAACCUUCUCAUUGCUUCCCCAAAGGGCAGUGGAAUAAACACAGAGCCAGCCAUGUCUCCAGGGGACUAUUUACUCAUAUUUAAAGAUACACAAGAAAAAAGUGGUCUAGUUAUUUAUGUGUAUCUGACACAUCUCGCUGGUAGAUGGUGAGCUUCUGGGACCUAGGAACAGCACUUGACUCUUUGUAUCAUUUCAGCAACUAGUCCAUAACAGAUCAUAGAAAAACUGAAUUUUAAAUCUGCAAAGAUAUUAGAAAUCAGAUGAUCCCCUUCUGUAGCUGAGGAGACAGAAAGUCCUAGCAAAUAAAUGGUUCUUUCAAGAUCAAACAAGUUAAUGGAACAACUGACACAAAAACCAAUAUUUUCUGAUGUUCAUCUGUAUAGGGAAGAAGAAAGAAGUUGGAUUUUUUGGUUUAGAAAAGAUUACAUUUUUUUUUUUUCUGAAAUGAAAGCACAUAGAAUCAAAGGUGGUAAACAUGGAGAAGAAUACAAUAGCUACUGGUGCUAAGUUAGGUUUUUGGGUAAGCUUCUGUCAAGAUAGGAUGAAAGGGUGCAAGAUAUUUACUGAAAGAAAUAGUGGUGAAAAAUAAAGACAAGGGAGUGGUGAAGGAAAGGAGGGUCUUCAGAUCACAGUGUACGUCACAUCUCUGAAGGAGAUGGGACAGGAAGAAGGUUUAGGUGGGGGGCAUCUCAAAUUGCAGGACAGUUCCAGAUUUUUAGCUAGGCUGUUGGAGAGUACUCAAGCCAAAUUCAACCAUUAAAGGAACUCCAUGUUUUGUGAGAAUGGCCUUCUUUAGCAUCAUUGCAGUGUUCAGUCAUUGGAGCAGCUGUCUGGAAGUGUCACACUGGUGCAUACUCAGUGGAUCUGGAAGGAGCAGCUGGGGCUGUCCAUCAAUGACACAUCCUGUGAGAGAAAAUCUGGGUGUACAUUUUCAUGGCUACCCCAACAACUGGGGACUUACUGUGUGCCAGGCACCCUGGUUAUAUAUGUAUAUGCAUUAUCUCAUGUCAUCAUUUGAACAACAAAUGAGGAAAUUGGGACUGAGAAAAAGUUAAUAGCUUGUAUGAGAUCACAUAUUUGGUAAAUGACAGAAUUAGUAUUAGUAUAAAUAUAUGUACUAAUUUACACGCUUAAAAUACACUAUUUUGUCUAUGAUGGCUAUGGAAUUUUGCAUGAAGGCAGAGACCCCAGUGUUGAGUAUUGCAUAUCUUAAUUAGUAUUAACUCACAUCCAGUUAAUCUGAGAACUGUAAAUCCACCAUACUUAGUUUCAGGAAUUUCCCAGCCUAUAUUAACUUAAUACUUUACACUCAAAAUUCAGUAUUAGAGAAAGAUAAAUAACUGAAAAAAAAUUGUAACAAAAAUUAAAUUUGUUGACUAGAAUUAAAAGUUAGGGAUCCUAAAUACUCUUGUUUUUUCAACUGUCUUAGUGUGUUACACUCUUUCUAUAUGAAAGUAGAAGAAAAUCUUGCUCAUUCAGAGACUAGAAGCCUCUACUAUCAUCUGCAUCUGAACUAUGUGUAGCUAGUGAAUAUCCCUAGAUAAAAAUAAUUAAGUGGCUUGGGAUUCCCAUGAGAAUGGUUCUCGAUUUUCUUCUUUCCAGUUCUUUCUCUUCUGCCUCUCUCUAUAUUUAGGUAGUAAAAAGAUUAGUACAUUUGAUGCCAAAAAUAUAUUACUAUGACCACAUUCAAAAAUACAUUACUAUGACCACAUUCAAAUGAAUGGACAACUAUCUUAAGAAAUAAACUUACAUCAAAAGAAGAUUAGUCAAUGAAAAGAUCAUGGAAUUAACCAAUCAAAUAAAGAAAAAACAAACAAAAAAACCCCUAUAAAUAACAAACAAUAUAUUUUCAAAGCCUGAAUACCUACUUGGGCAUUUUAAUGUCAAGUGGUCUAUCAGGUAAGAUAGAAAAACAAUAUGUGGAUGAUUUGUAUCACUUUUGAAGCAAAAGAAGGUUUUCAAACAUGUGUAAUAAAGGUAACUAUAAAGCAGCUCAGGCAAUAAGGGUGGUCCAGAACUCCAAACCACUCAACAUGUCAUAAAUUCUGCUGUGUAAGGAAGCCAUUUGCCAAGCAGAAUUUGUUCCUUGAAGUAGGCAUCUCUGUAGAACUAGGAAGAUGGGAUGAUACUGGGGGGUAGUACAGCUAGAAUAAAAAGAAGGGAGUUUUGCUUUUUAUAAACAGGUGAACUUCAACUUGUGUAUUUGACAGCUUAUGAGAUUCUAUAGAGCUCUUAUUUUUCCGGCCUACAGGUGGCUGGUUGGUGUUUUUAUUUUGUCUGAUUUUGUUUAAAAAAAACAACAACAUUGCAAACAGAUUCAAGUUUCUGUUUUUUCCACUUUUAAGUACUGCUCACAGAGGACAGUUCAAUUGCACUGGGAGUGACUUUAGCACCCUGAUGAUGUAAACAGAUUUUCCUGUUCCUUUUGCCAUCAAAGGGAAGUAAAGCUAGUUGGUGUAAGGAGGUGAAAAGGAAUGGUUAGCAACAGGAUCUUUUUACCUAUGUCUCUACUCAUAUAUACAUUCCUAGAAACAUGUAGUUCCUAUUAUCUCUCUCUCUCUUUUAAUUAGAGAGAGAGAGAGAGAGAGAGAGAGAGAGAGAGAGAGAGAAUCUCAAGCAGGCUCAAUAUUCAGCACAGAGCCUGAUGUGGGGCUUGAUCCCACAAUCCUGGGAUCAUGACCUGAGCCGAAAUCGAGUUGGAUGCUCAACUGACUGAGCCACCCAGGUGCUUCCAUAUUAUUUCUUUUUAACGGAGUUCUAAGUUGGAAAAUUUGAGUCAUAGCCUCCUCAGCCUCAAUCCUAAAGAAGCUUUCAUAACCAGUGGGUUGUAUGUUCAUAUGAAAAGAUUAAUGAGAUAAAAAACAUAUGGAACACUAUUUUGCUAUAAAAUAUUGUACCAAAUUCUUGUCAACUUUAAAAUACUAUGAUUGUUUUCUUUAUUCUUAGCUGUGUGACACGUGGUUGGCAUGCAAAGAAACAUUAAUACAACUUUACUAUAAAGACUAGUACUGAUGGCUAUUUUUGAGGACACAUGAACAGAAACUAGCAGUUUUGAUUUGGAGAGUGGAUUAAAAAGGACCAUUAUAAUGAAAGCUCCUUUUAAUCUAAAUCCUAUUUUAAACAGGUGCAUCCUCUGAAUCUGUAUGUUAACAUUACUGAUACCAAGAUUGGAUGUUUACUGACUUGCUGUUUUAAAAACUCUUUCAAAUGUUGCUGUGUAACAAAUUAAAUCUAAAUUUAUUUUUUUUUAAUUUUUUUUUCAACGUUUAUUUAUUUUUGGGACAGAGAAAGACAGAGCAUGAACGGGGGAGGGGCAGAGAGAGAGGGAGACACAGAAUCAGAAACAGGCUCUGAGCCAUCAGCCCAGAGCCUGACGCGGGGCUCGAACUCACGGAGUGCGAGAUCGUGACCUGGCUGAAGUCGGACGCUUAACCGACUGCGCCACCCAGGCGCCCCUCAAAUUAAAUCUAAAUUUAAAUGAUUAGAGGGAGUGACUUUCUAUAUGAUUAACAUGAUAAUCUAAUAGGGUCUCUAUAUUCUGAUAUUUUUAUGACAUAAUCAUAAUCAUUUGAAGACCUCAUGCACUAUUAGUAGUAUAUUUUUAAUGCGCAUUCAGUAUUUGAGAACUUAUUUUGAAGGCAGGGUUAUUUCUAUUUUAUGCAGAAAUCUGACAGAGUUCUACUAAUGACUUGAUCAGGCAUCCCAAGAAAUUAUAACAGGGCACAUAUUCCCAAUGAUGAAAAUUGUAGUCAAUUUAAAUACAAGAUGAAUAUUAAUAGGAUGCUUUGUUCCCUUUCAAAUACCUUUCCUGUUUUACUUUCUUUCUUGGGUCAGUGGUCUUUAAGCUGAGUUCUGAAUCAUUGGUACAGCCUUACCUUUUAUAAAAUUAUGCAUGAAAUCCAUACAUAUCCUAUGAGACCCUCUAGACUAAAUUGUAUUAAUUCUUGUAUUUGCUAAAUGUUCUUCCUCUUGCUGUGCCGCAUGCAUUCAAUUAUGGGAAAUGGGAAUGCUUUAAAAUACCACAUUCUGGCAUGAAGUGUUUUGAAAAUCUUUGGGGAACAUUAGUUUGCCUUUAAUAACAGGUCCAAAAUUGUGCCUACUGGGCCUCUCCGGUGGAAACAAAGUCUGCACAUUGCUAUGAAAAACAGUGUUGUCAUAUGGCUGAUAGCUGUCAAAUGGAGAAUAGCUCUGUAGCACAGGAGAGAGGAUCAGGAGGAGGAGGAGGAGGAGGAGAAAAUAGGCAUUCAAAGGUGAGAACUACUUUUUGUUUUCCCCUGGAAGACAUUUUUUUUAAGACAACAAGAAGAAAGUAUUUUAUUUUUUGGUCCCAUUCUCCCCAGGCUUUACAAAACGUAGAUGCUCUGUUGUCAAGUUGGAAAAUUAGAGCUAUGAUUACCUUAAAAAAGUUUUACUUGUCAGAAUUUCUUCCCAGCAUGUAAAACACCUCUUUGUAGUGUCUCCCGCCACAUUUUCACUUCUAUAAGACAUACCGUGGAGAACACCUUGUCCAAAAGAGUCAGCAUCAAUGCUUUUCAUGCCAUGCCAAUUGAUUCUAAGAACUUUCCACUUCGUUUUCCACUGGGCAAAUCUUUGCUACUUUUUGGAGUAUGACAAAUGUAAUUUCAUUCUGAAAUAACCGAAGAGAAACAGAGAACUAAAGGGAUUUGGGAUUGAAUCUAUGAGAUAAAUUGAAAUUCAAUGGACACAAGUGCCUGGGUAAAAGGUCUGGCCCAAAGAAAUAAACAGAAAAGUAUUUCAAGAUUAAUACUUGAUAAUGAAUGAAAAAUGAUUGUCAGUAUGGCAAUGUGUUAAUAGAAAAAAAAAGAGCAAAAUAUAAAAUAGGGGAAGUUUUUAUCCAAUAACUCUCAAUAUCUCCGUAUCUCUAAAAGUUUUCUCUUUUAAUAGCACCUGAGCAAAGCCAGCUUCUCAUAUAAUUCAUUGUCCCCAUCUGUUACUCACUAUUAAGAUCUGAUUACAAAAAUAUAGUGUAAUAUAUUAUAAAGACCCUGGAAAGUAGGAUAAGAAGUAAGACAUUAGUUCAAGACCUGAUUCUGCUUCUUACUGAAUGUGUGUUUUGACCAGUGGUGUGAUAAAUAUCUAACUAGUGACUCUUUAGGGGAAAUAAAAAGUUUGAAAUGUAUGCUUUCCUUGAUUACAUAAUCCUAACAUGGCCAAUUUCAAGCUAGCAACAUGAUGUCACUUAAUGUAGAGUUGAGGAGAAAUGUGGACAAUUGGCUUUUAUAACUAGGUAGGAGCUGGCUUCAUCACGUUCUUGCCUUGGACAGAUAUAUCACUGUUCUGUUUUUUAUUCUGUAAAACUGAUAUAAUAAUGUGUAUCUCAAAGAAAGUUCAGAGGAUUAAAUGAACAAAAUACUAGUACCUCUAGAUCAUUAGAGAAAUGUAUUAAGGUUAAAGGUUAGGGCACUGGAUGGCUCAGUCCGUUAAGCCUCCAAUUUUGUUUUUUGUUUUUUGUUUAUUUAUUUAUUUAUUUUUCAAUAUAUGAAAUUUAUUGUCAAAUUAGUUUCCAUACAACACCCAGUGCUCAUCCCAAAAGGUGCCCUCCUCAAUACCCAUCACCCACCCUCCUCUCCCUCCCACCCCCCAUCAACCCUCAGCUUGUUCUCAGUUUUUAAGAGUCUCUUAUGCUUUGGCUCUCUCCCACUCUAACCUCUUUUUUUUUUUUCCUUCCCCUCCCCCAUGGGUUUCUGUUAAGUUUCUCAGGAUCCACAUAAGAGUGAAAACAUAUGGUAUCUGUCUUUUUCUGUAUGUAAGCCUCCAAUUUUGAUUUCUGCUCAGGGCACGAUCCCACGGUUUGUGAGAUAAAGCCCUGUGCUGGGCUCUUCACUGACAGCAUGGAGCCUGCUUGGAAUUCUCUCUCUCCAUCUCUCUCUGCCCCUCCCCAUCUCAAAAUAAAUAAAUAAAUAAACAUUUUUGUUUUAUAAAAGAUUAAAGGUCAAGCUGAAAGUCCAUUAGAUUCCUAGUCCACAUUUCAGUAAUGUCCAGAUAGAGAAGAGAUGUCAAUUACAUUUAUGAGUACACAAAACUAGGAAGAAUAGUUGGCAGAAUAGAAGACAGAUUGUGAAUAAAAAUUUUUUGAAAGAUCUGAGUAAUGGCUAUAUAACAAUAGAAAAUUUACUGAUAACACUUAUAUGUACAUGUGCAUCUAAAAAUUAAAACACAUAAGCAAAAGGAGGAACUCAUUUUAAAGACAGGCUUAGGGGUUUUAUAAGACAGUUAUUUUGUGUAUGCAAUUGACAUGGUGUCAGCAAAGAUUGCAUACUCAGACUAAAUUGAUAAGGCACUUAAUUCAAUUAAGGAAGUAAAAAUUUCUCUCCAAUUAAGAGUGGCAACUCACACCUGGAAAAUAUGUCUUUGGGUCUAAGUGUUGAACAUUAAGAAUAUGACAGAAACGUGCAACACAGGAGAGGUAGAUCGAACAGAUCCAGACAAGACUUAAUAUAUAUCUAUAUCUAUAUCUAUAUCUAUAUCUAUAUCUAUAUCUAUAUCUAUAUCAUCUAUAUCUAUCUUGAAGAAAUUGCAAAUGUCUAGCUCAGGAAAACAAAGAUGCAAUGAAAAUGUGAUUGCUACCAUAAAACAUGUGAAAGUUCAUCUUAUGUAUGAUUUCAGAGAUAAAAAACAGUGCUAAAAAGUUUCAGGAAAAUGAUUUUGCCUCAGUAUAAGAACUUUCUAAAGAUGACAUUAUCUUUUUUGGGAAACUGGGCUCUCCAAAAUGAUGGCUAAUCAUAUAGCAAAUGGAUGAUUAGAGGAGAAGAAUGGGAUUCAAGGCUUAGAAGCAUGGUUGUACUUUAUGACAUCAAGCUAUCUUUCAAUUUUAAAUUGUUACAUUUUUGAGUUUCUGUUUUUAAAGAACAAUAGGGGAAAAAAGAAUACUGCCUGAAGUCUAGGGGUGGGCGGCAACCUAGAAAACUUUCAAUGUUCAUUUGUCACCAUAAUUUCCAAAAUGUUCAGAAAUCAGUAUGAAAAAUCAGGUGGCUAAGAAUGUGAGCCAAAGCACCUACCUUAGAAUAUCACAUGCGAGAUCUUGGCUGUCAGGGAAGGCAACAGCAAGGGAAGCACUGCCGUGAGUAGAAUUUUACAAUGUGAUGUGUUAACUAUUAUCUUCAUUCAGCCAGCUACAGUUAUGACACUGCAUGUUAGUAUAAAGACCCUGGUUUUUAUCUACACACAACUGUGUAGUCAAGAUUUAGAGUCGUUUCAACAUACACAUACAGAUCUCUGAAGAAUGAUGCGUGUUUGUUGACCAUUUCCUGGUCCCUCCUUAUGAAGAUUAUUUUAAAUUUGCCCAAUGUAUGCUUAUAGUUUGAGCAGUACCUGAUCUGGGUAAAUAUUUGUGAGCCUCUGAUGGUUAGUCAUCCAUUAUAUAUUUCAAAUGAACUGACAUUUUAUGUUAUUACUCUGCUUCAGAUUCAUACAGUUCUUGGCUUCUUUCCUUCCCUAAAUGGACAUUGACAGCAGCUAGGAUUCCCAGAAUGAAGCCUUGGUACUAAUAGAGCAAAGACGCUUUUUCCCCCAUUAUCUAUCAAUACCAUAUUCAUUAGCUUUGGCUUAAGUCAAUCUUUAAUUCAAUUACUGGUUUGCUGAGGAAGAGGCUUUGGUAACCUACAAUUAGUGUUCAGAUUUUUUAUUUGCUAAUCCCUUAACCUUGGUGUCUGCAUAUUGUGCUUUGCCCAAGUCCUCAACAACUACCCUGACGUGACAUGCAGAUUUAUCUAAAACCACUGUAGGUAUGGUCUUUGGGAGACUGCCAUGAAUUUUUUUUAUUAAGUUAUGAAGGACCUGUGUCCCACGUCCUGGAAGUUCUAAAUGUCUAAGUGAAUGCUUUUUAAACAGUUUUUAUUUUAAUUCCUGAUAAUAAUGCAGUGUUGUAUUAUUUUCAGGUGCACAAUAUAGUAAUUCAACACUCCCAUACAACACCGUAUGCUCAUCACAAGUGUCCUCCCUAAUCCCCAUCACCUAUUUAACUCAUCCCUCACCUCCCACCCUUCCCUCUGGUAACCAUCAGUUUGUUCUCUACAAUUAAGAGUCUGUUUCUUGAUUUAUGUGUGUGUGUCUCUCUCUCCCUCUCUUAUUUUUUCCCUUUGCUUAUUUGUUUUGUUUCUUAAAUUCCACAUAUGAGUGCUUAAUUGGGACCUCUUUCAGGCUCUGUGUUUGAGGGUAUUGGAAAAGAUCAUGAGCAUCCUUGAUGUUUGCUGAUCUGGAUAUGUAGGAAGCCCGAAAAUUACAAUAAACAGUAUACAGCCAUUAACCAUUUGUUGCUUGUUGCCACGAAUUUGAUGCUGAUGAGCAUGUAGUUGAGAGGGUUUUGUCAGUCCAAAUUUAUUGCUGGAAUGUCUUUCUGAUUGGCCUGUUUACAUUGACAAGUGGUAAGCUUCUGAGAAAACAGCUUUUGGCAAAAGCUGAAGACUCCUUCCUUGUAUCUUUCUGUUAGACUAGAGUUUCUAAUCCCUGUUAUCAGUGUUUAAUGUGAAGGAUUUGAGGUAUCACCAAAUAUGAGCACACAGACCUGAACCAAGUGAAGUACCAAAAUCUUGAACUUAAAUUCUAUCCCUUAAAACCUCGUAGGAGUCCUUUAUCUGGCAAGCCAACUUUUAUCUCAUAUGGUAAGCUUCCAACUCUACCAGUUUCUAGAGACCUAGUGGGUAUUUUUCCAAUUGUUCUGGGUCUUUCUUGCCAAGUUUGGAAGCUUCUUUCUCCUCACUGAUACAGGUUUUGUUAAUUGGAAUAGGUUGGGGAACUAUGCUUGCGUUGGCAAUCAUAACUCCUGCAAAACCCCCAUUACUUUUCUAGAAGCCCUUUUGUAUCAGGGACUGUACUUUCAGGUGACUGGCAACCCUGUCAUCCACAGUACUCAGAAAUACUUUCUUGAAAGUCUUCAAUAUUUCAGUCACUUACCAAAUCAUUGCUUGCCUUAAUAAGGAUGCUUCAGCAUUACCAGGUGGGAGUUUAUAUCAACCUCAGUGUCUUUCUUCCAUUCCAUUCAUGCCUUUAACCAAAUUUUAGGGAUGGGUUCAGCCAAAUUUUAAAGACUUCCUAUCCCAGUUAUAAACAUUCUCUAGGAUAAAUUUUCUGAGGAAAAUAAUGUAUAUUUAUUGAAUUAAUGAAUUGAUUGAUGAUGAGUUAAUUGUGCACUUUUUAAAAACUACCAUGCUUUAUAGAACAUCCUUUUAUUAAACGGUGCUCUACAAACCACAUGCAAAUGAAUCUUCUUAGAUGCUUACUACUGUAUACUAUAGUGCCUGUGGAAGGCAGCUUCAAAGAUGGCCCCCAGUGAUCCUUAUUUCCUAGUAUUCAUAUGAACUGGUCAUAUUUAAUAGGAUACAGUAGAAGUGAUGAUAGGUCACUUCUGAGAAUUGGAUAUAAAAGGCACUAUGGGUCCCAUCUUUGUCACUUAGCCUCUCUCUCUUGGAUAUCUCGCUUUGGCAAAAGCCAGCUGCCAUGUAGAAAAGCCCUGUGAAACCACAUGUGAUAAGGAACUAAAGCCUCUGGGAAUAACUAAUGAGGACUGAGGCUACCUGAUGACAGCCACAUGAGUAGGAUAUCUUGGAAAGAGCUCCUCUGGGUCCAUGCAAUUCUUCAGUGAUAAAGUCCCAGCUGACAAUGUCACUGUAGCCUUAUGAAAGACCCUAUGCCUGAGCCACCCUGCCAAGUCACCUCUAGAUUUCUGACCUCAGAAACUGUGUGAGAUAAUGAAUAUUUGCUGUUUUAUACUGCUAAGUUUGGGAGUUGAUUCUAAUGUGGCAUGGUAACUAAUACAGGUCUAAUCAUAUAUCUACUGAAUCAGAACAUCCAGAUGGUAAAGCCCAGGAAACUUCACUCUUAGCAAACACGGCAAGGUGAUGGUAACUUUGCAUGUUGAUAUUGAAGAACUAUAGUGUUAUUAGUGUUUUUCUAAUUAACUAUAGACUCCCAUUCUGUACUAAUUCACUACUAAAUACCCCUGAUCUGAUAACAUAUGAAUAGUUCCAGUUUCUACUCAAUGCUUUCUGUACAGUGCCCAAGGACUUCCAAAAUUGUUUGUGUUGUAACUGUUCUGCAUUUCUCAAUCUAGGUAUUGAGAAAGAAACCAUAUUGAGUUGAUCAGAUUUAGACAUUUGUAGCUUCAUGUGGUUUUUUUGAAUGCCUCCUGAAAGCAUGAUUGUGACUACUUGCUCUGUACCUUUAAGUAUAACCACCGAAAUCAAAGAAAACCCCCUUUACCAUCAUUACUUCGAUGACUAGGAAAUGUUCCGAUUCCCUUCUCUCCAGUCCACUUUUCUUUACCAGAGCACAGGACCCAACUCUGUAAGAUCAAAGAACCUCUUUUCUUUUUUUUUUCAAAGCUAGCAAGCCAUUAAUAUCCAUGUCUGUAAAGUAAUCCAAAUGAAUAUUUCAAAAGUGACUUGUAUAAUUAGCAGAAUUUGCCAACAGUGUCAGUGUUCACCGGAGGACUGUCUGUAGGGGAGUCGGAGGAGCCUGGGGUGGCAGCCAUAGGCAGUAGUGAUUCAGGAGAGUUGCCUUCAUUCCUCUGAAUUGAGGCUGCUUUAUUUCUGAAUUGAACAUGCCUUUUUUCCUUUAUAAAACAGGAAUUAAUUAGAAACUAUAAAGAGUCACUUUGUAAAUUUUGAGCAUUUUGAGAAUGAAUAUUAUCACCAUCACCUUGGGUUUAUAACCACACUGUAGAAGUUGAAAGUCCUAUUUUAUUACCCCCUUCCCCUCGACCCAGUCAGGAUUCACUCAUGAAAGCGGAACCAAUAGGAGAAUAAUAGAAUAAGAGACUUAUUAUAGGAUACUACACUUUUGUGGAAGGCACUAGAGAUGCAAGGGUCCACAAAUAAAAGUUAAAAGAUCUAAAAAAUGUUAACCAGCACUCCUGGAGCACUGGGAUAGGUCGACAAGUCAGCUUGCUGCCAGAGUGAGACUAGGAAGGGGAACCCACGGAAAAUUCAACAAAGAGUUGGUGGCUUCUUGUACCUACUGCCCCUGUGAGUUCACAACUAAGUGUCUGGUGAUAUGCGUAUGAUUGCUAUUGGUCAACAAGGCCAGAAGUUAAGAAGAAAGCUGGAUAUGAAGUGAGGAGAGCAAGGUAAGGCAGAAUAUUCUAGUACUUAUGCAUCAGUUUGUCAUUGCAUCUGACCCCUAAAUCUUUAGACUAAUGUCAGCUGCUUCACUCAAGCCUACAUAGCCUCACACAACCUCCCUUUUGGCCAACUUUAAUCUAGACCCACAUAGGGAAAGAGAUUCUGGGAAACACCGUUCCCAAUGUAAUCAAAAUGACAAUAGAAAAACCCAGUAUCAUCACCUCCCCAUCAAAAUAUGAAACCAUCAUGUUUAUUUUGAAAUUUGUGAUAUAAGAUGUAAAGUAGGAGUAAGAACACUGGCUUUAGUGUCAAGAGACUUGGACUCUAUCUCUUUUGUAACGAAUUUUGUGAGUUUAGUCUCCUUACCUUCCUUUACUGGGCCUCAGUGUUCUCAUUUUUUUUUAAUAUGUAAUGGUAGGGUAGGGAAGCAGUGAACCAAGGAAUUUUGAAAUGGCUUCUAUUCAUGAUGUUCUAUUGUUUCUAACUAGAUAUACUUUUUCACUUCUAGCUUUUAAGUUCUAUGGUUCAAAAAUCAAUUCAUAUCUAGUAGAGUUCUCUUAUUUUUAAAGUACAUAUCUUCCAUUAAAAUUUGCUCUCUAAAUCACUAUAAAAAAUCAUCUGCCCUUAGUUAUAAAUCUAGAAGCAAAACUACAUUGAAGGCUGUUCUCUUUUAUUGUGUCUUAAACAUAUUGUGGGGCCAGAACUAGAUGUCUCAAAGAAUUGUGUGUGACUCAGAAGUCUAGAAGUAUAUUCACCUAGGCUGUACAUUGUAGUCAUAUGAGGACAUUUUUAAAAAUACCAAUUCCUGAAUUUUGUCACCAGAGAUUUUUCUUUAAUUGGUCGGGAGUAAAACUCUGGUGUCAUUUUGCUAUCCAGGCAAUUCUAAUGUCCAGUCAGCAUUAAGAAACACUAAAUUAGCCGCUCUGAUAGAAAUAAAAAUAUAAGACUCAUUUUAUCUGGCAAUAGCUAUUUAUAAAAACAUCCAUUUUCAAAAUCAAGCUAUAUAAUUCACUUAUGUGGAACUGGAGAUCUGAGAUUUGUAGGAGAGAAUCGUCAGUAGGUCUGCUUUGUGCUUUCCACACUGUAGUAUACUUGAGUAGAAUUAUUUACCAAUAGAUUUAAUACAAAAUGGAAUUGAGAAGAUCCAGUCAACACUAUGAGUAAAUCAUGUAUUAAUUUUUUAAUCACUAAAAAAACAAUUAUAGGAUUCUUACCCCUAUCUCCUGUUAGUCCUGCUACUGUUUCUCUUUUGUCUUCAGUUUAUUUUUGUGCCAUUAUAUUUGCACAUUCAUGCCUUGGAGAACACUACUGAAUGGAAAGUUUUUCGUUUUUUUGUACCGUGCCCUAAAUACCCAUCAAUAAUCUGCAGAUGGUUCAGUAUUUGAGAUGCUAUAAUAAGCUGAGCACCAUUUUCUGUCCUUCCUCUUUAGCUUCUUGUGUCAAUAAAGACAAAGCUCUUGACUCAUAAUACCUUAUUUUAUCUUAGUCAGUUGAAGUCACAGGGAUCUUGACUUUAGGACAAUAUCUUGUUCCUGGCCCCAUUGGUCUCCUUGGUUCAAGUGACCAUACCUUCAAUAACUAGUUUAAUCUUAGCUCAGGUUCUAAUAAAUCUUCUAGUGUUGAGUGUCUGAAAUAUGAGGAUAUUAAUCUUGCGAACAUAAGCUUGAGGAAGAAGAAAUAAUUUCUUGGUAUUCAUAUGCCAAAGAUGUUCUUUGAGAAAUAAUGAGCUGAUUUUAUUCUUUAUCUUUUUCUUUUCCUUGGCUUUAUUUAUUUAUUUAUUUAUUUAUUUAUUUAUUUAUUCAUUUAUUUAUUUAUGAGUGUAUGCAUGCACAUGGGAAGGGGGCAGAAAGAUAAAGAGAGAGAGAGAAAAUCUCAAGCAGGCUCCAUGCUCAGUGCAGAGCCUGACAUGGGGCGAGAUCUCACAAUGGUGAGAUAAUGAUCUGAGCUGAAAGCAAGAGUCAGAAGCGUAACCAACUGGGCUACCCUACCCAGCCACUCUCCUUGGUUUUGUUUUAAGAAUUCUGUCUUCUCUCCUAGUGGUGGGGCAAAAACAAAGUAUGCAAAAGUUUAUGGGAUUCAAAUUGAUGAUGUUUAUGUAUGGAAAACUUUCCAGUCCAUUCAAGUAUAUUUCUAUUUAGCUAGACACACAAACUAGUGGUUUACCUAAUUAUUCUUAAACUCUUAAAGUUCUAAAAAUGUAGAGCUUGAAUUACAAGAAGAUGACCAAAUACAUUACCUACCCAAUGUGUCACAACUUUGCUGGCAACAAUGCAGAUGGUUAUUACGAGAAAAGUAUCUCUUAUGUUUACCUCUUUUGGGACUCAUACCUGGCAGGUUCAUCUGGUCAGUACCUUUGAUUCUAUUUUAAAUGUGACUCUAUGCUGGGCCAAUAAGCCAGCCCAUCAGAAUAAUUUGGUAAAGUGAAGCAGAGCAAAUGACUAUAAUUACUAAUAAUUAACAAAUACUAUGAUCUGUCAAUCAUAGGUCCAAGAAAUUUACACACAUUUUGUAAUUUAAAAUUUAAAACAAUCCUAUUAUGUAGAUGCUCUCAUUAUUCUCUUUUUACACGUUGAGGAGCCUAUCCAAGACACAUUAAAGUAGAGUAGCUGCAAUAUGAAUCUGGAAAGACUGCAUUCAGUGUCCAAGUUCUUAAUCAGCUCAUGCCACUAUUAAUCCAUUUUGUCAUCCAUCCAUCUAUCCAUAAAAAGAUGUGCUGUCCUGAAAGUCAUGGUAAAGAGUCUGCUAAAAUGUGCAGAAUAUUUUUUGUUUGGUCUUCCAGGUUCUUUGUUUAUCUUUCUCUGCUCUACUCCUGGCCACAGGAGGCCAUUUUAUAUCACCUAGGUUUCCUUGCUCAGUAGUCCUCUUAGAUUUAGCUGAUGGAAAGUUCUAGCAGAUGAAACUAUGGAAGACAGGAAGUCCCAAGUAUUUCUUCCCCACUUACCCUACUUUGAUGCCCUGCCUCUGGGCACAGCUGUAGUCUCCCACGACUAAUGCUUUUGUCUAGUGUUUUCCUUAGCUACAUUUCCAAUUUUCAGCUAGUAUCUGUUGGUGUGCGGACUUGUGUAGUUUAGUCUGAACUGUGUUAUUUAAAAAUUGCCAGCAUUUUAUGACUGGGUAAUUUGACACACAUACAAAAGAAUAGUGUUCUUGCUUUUCUUGAAAAAUGAAGUUCUGGCAACACAGAGUCUGAAAUUACCUUAAGGUAAAAAGCAGCUGGGCUGAUUUGAAGCCAUGUUCUCUCUCUCUCUCUACUCUACUUACUUUGUCAGGGCCUAAUAGCUAGAGUCAUUUGAUAUUGCCACCCUGCUCUUGUCAGUUGGAUUGGCCACUUGAAGUGUACAGCCGGAGCAGCCAUUGUUCUGGUCUGAUGUUUGGAAGCAGAAGGAGAGAAUGUUGAAGUUGGCAGAGAGGAAUAUGGGCUAGAGACCAUGAAGUUCUCCACCAAUGGAGAAAAAAAGCUUUCUUUCCUGUGUUUCUAGUUCCCACUUCCAGUUUGUUCAGUUACAAAAUCACACCCCUGAGUCAUCCAAUGGGAGACAUAAGGUUUUACAACCUUAAGGAAUUUAGCUUUGUUUCGAGGAGAGUUUGCUUCUGAUUAUUGAAGUAAAGUGUUGGGUAUAAAGAGUACAAAUUUAGGACAAAGUCCUGAAUACAGAUCAUGGUUUUCUGAAUGGUAUAAACAGAGCCUAAAAUUUAAACAUUUAAAAAUAUUUCUCCAGGAUAAAUAAAUAUUUUCCCCCCGGGUACUGGAAAUCUGUUAGAUUGGGUAUUUACAACAAUAAAGUGCAACACUUAAUAGAUUCUUAAAUACACUGUGUCCACCUAAUUCCCAAGCUUUGUAGCUUCCUGUUAGUAUUUUUCAUUAACCUGUACUUGCCUUUUUUUUUUUUUUAAAUUUGAUACACAAGUGACAGGAAUAUUGACCUUCUUUAUACAUUUAAGGCAUGGAUUCCAGUUGUAUAAAACAAAGAAAGAAAGGCAAAAGAAAAUCUCAAAAAUGUUAUUUUGCUUCAGAGAUGAGAUACCAAUUACUGCAAGACAAGAUUCUUACCAAUGUGUUGUUUUAAAUAUGUUCUUUAUGAGGGGGCAAGAAAAAUAGGGCACGGGGAAAGAGUAUACAAUUUGCUUCACUUUUAGUUUUGCUUAUAUUUGUCUCCCACCAAAGACUGUAGAAUAUGAAGUUACUCUAAACUCCCAUAAUUCCUUAAAAUGAAAAUUUGUUUGACAUUUUUCUUUUUGGGAAGUCUUUCCUAAUCUAUCAGUUUUUAAUGAACUAAGCACCAAACAGCAGACUUGGGUGUUGAUUUGUUUUGAUUAGCAUAUUCUCCCACUACAACUUCUCACUGCCUUUCAUUUCAUGGUAAACACUUCACAAAUGACUCCUAUCUAACAUUUCAAACCUCAGAGCUGAUAAGAAAGGCAAGGGAAGUGAAUGACACAUUGAGUAAGCCAGAGUAGUCUCAAUAAUUUGCCAUAGAUAUGAUAAAGAAAAAAACUGCUUUAUUCUCAGAUACCUCUCAGUUCUUCAGAGCUGAGUAAAUAUUAUGUGAGCAAAACCAUGAAAUGGAAUGAGGUGUGAUGACUGGAGUCCCAACAGAAGAAUUGUCAGAAAUAAACUAUAUGGCAAGAGUCCUUAAAUAUAAGAGCAAAACUGACAUGGCCGUUUGGUAGCUGAUCAGUAGUGAAUGUGUCUCUUCGUUACAUUUGUCUUUUAUCAUUAUCAUUAUUAUUAUUUAUAUAAUCAUUUAUCUAUUAGUGUAAUUUUUCAGUUGAAGAAAAUUAGUGUCACAAACCAGAAUGCCUUCCUUAAUUUGUACCCAAGCCAGUGCCAGUCAAUAUUCACAGAAUUCCCAGCGCCCUGUCAAUGCACUUCAACCCUUCCUUGUUGAGUCUUUCUUAAUUGACUCCACUGAAGCAAAUCCAAUUUCUGCUCUCAGUCCUUGUACACAUAUGUGAAGACUGCUAAAUUUAAACUAUUUCUGCUCAAUUUUGUGCUGUCAACUCUUGACACACCAGACAGAAUGAGAUCACCUGAAUUUGCUUUAUGUCUUAUUUUAAGAUCAUUUAAUUGGAAUGAUUUUGUGCCAUUGUUUCAGGAUAGUAUUAAAGUGAUAUCCUAGAGGUGAAAAACAAAUACAUUAUUCGACUCCAUCAUCCAAUCUCUCUGAAACCACCUUCUUUGCUUUGUCUGCCUGAUUUGAUUUAUAUAUGAGACAUAAGUGUCAAUAACAUGUUUUUGAUGGUUGCAAUACUGCCAGGAAAAUGGAUAUAGUUGAACAUUAGGCUAUAAAGAGGGGCAUGAAAUAUAAUUCAGAUGGGCUUCAUGACACUUGUCCCUCAUAUGACACACAUUCUUUUCAUUUCCAAUUUCACUGAAACAAGCAGAAAGAACGGUUUCCAAUCCGUCCCACCUCAUAAAAAUAGACCUGUGUUUAAUUCUUCAGGACCUAAAAUUAUCCUUUGGAUAUUGUCAGCCAAUCAUCCAAGGAAAACGUUCCUAGCCAAAGGAAUAGAAAUCUUCUAGGUAUUGAGAUGGCUAAAAUAUUACUGUUAUCUUGUUUUUAAUGAUUGCACAAAAUAUUACAUAAAACAAAAUGUGAUGAUAAUAGUGAGAUAGUCUGGCACCUCUAUCUUUUUUUUUUUUAUUAUUAAAUUGUGUCAUUUUCUCAGUAGUAUACUGCAGUUUGCAAAUGUAGUAUUUUUGAAUAGGAGAACACCUGAUCACAGACCCUGAUUUUUUAAAAAUAUAGUAAAGGAACUGUGUUUGUCAAAGCCCCAAAGCCUCAUUAUUUGUAACCAAAGAUCUUAUAGGAAAGAUGUUAGUUUUAUUUCUGAUUACAGUGGAUGAUGGCUGAGCAAGCUGGGUUAUAAAUGUUAUAUCUCUAAAACAGAGCAGCUUGAUAUAAAGUCAGCUGCCUAAAUUUUAGACAUUUGGAUAGUUUCUAGAACCUAUUGAUUAUGUCACGUCAAGAUUGUUAUGAAUAAGGUAAGUGUCUCUACAGAAAUUACAGUCUACUCUUCAAAAAUUUGAGAACUGAGUCAAGAAUGAUUUUUAGUUUAAGUCUACUGGUAAAAAAAAUUACAUGUCAUCUGUUUUUUCAAAAGUCCUAUUAGAGAGAUAGUAAAGUUUAUAAUUAUUUUGUCCUAGGCUUUGGAAAAAUUAAACUUGCAUUAUCUCUUGCAUCUUCUAUAUAUACUAGUUAAUAAAUGCAUAAUUUAAAUCUUGCAAAAAAUAAAAGAAUCCAAAAUGAGGCAUAUUCUUUUGGACUUACUCAAAGGUGAGUUACUUUCUGUUUAUAUUAAAUUUUUUAUAUUUUCCUCUUCAGUUCACGAGUGACUUCUAGGAAGGCACACAUUAUGGAUUAGGGUCAGUGGACCCCAUUUAUGUUUCUGUGUGAUCAAAGACCCCUGUAUGGUACAGUCAUUGAACUGAAAAUCAACAACCAACAACAUUAAGAUUGUCCAACUUAUGACUAGUGUCAGUGGAGCUAUGUGACUGUUGGUGGAUAUUUAAAAUGUAUUUUAAUUAGAAAAAAAUGUCGGAAUUGCACUUUUCUCCCUUUUAAACUCUUCAACUAUCAGUAAGGGAAACAUGCAGCUGGGAUUAAUAUUUACAUAAGUUUUGUUCUUGCAUAAACACGUAACUGUUGAGAACAGGGAUGUUUGAGAAUAGGAUAUUUUCAAAAAGGUAUUUGACUUGAUUUCCUGUAUCUAUUAGGUUACAGAUCAACUCUGUCUUUUUACUUGACCAACUGCAACAGCUAGGAUGUGGAUUCGUGUCUCCCUAAGAGAUACUCCUCACAAUGAAUUUUCCCCCAACUUCAUUCUUCCCUAAUGGCAGCUUGAUUGAUGCAAAACAUAAGCAGUUUAUUUAUCUAUAUUCUCAGAGAUUCCUUAAGCAGACGGAUAACACCACAGUGAGGAAUCCUUAGUUCUGCCAAGCUUGGAAGCCUAAUGCAGACAAAAAUAAUUUUUUUCCACAGUCUGAGCAAUCUUAGCAGACAAGAAAGGAUUAAUAAAUAUAAGGAGAAGUAAAGGCACUAAGAGGCUACUGAUAUUUGUCAAGCAUCUACAAUGAGGCCAAUACUAUGUUAGAAGAUUUAUGUAUACUGCUUGAUUUGGUUUUCAGCAGAAUCAUAUGAGUUAAGUUUUACUAGUUCAUUGUGCAAAUGAAUAAAAUGAAGCCCAGAAAGGUGAAAUAAUUUUCUUAAGGCAAUACAGUGAGUAGCCAAACUCAUCUGACUCUCUUCAUAAGGAUAGUGUCCAUGAAUUUUUUCCAUUAUACCAUGCCAUCAUGAAACUUAUGAAGAUAUACAUGUUUCUUAAUAAACGUAAUAAACAUUACAACAAAUAAGAUAAUUUGCUUUUUCAGAUCAGCGUGAAUACUUUUGGUACUGAGAACCUCAUCACAAUACCCAUUUCCUUCAUUUGUCCUAGAGUCCAGUGUCCUUGUCAUUUGACUACAUUGCUUUAGCUUCACUAACCUUUUUCUUUUCUUCUACUUUCUGUCUUUUGUUUACCUACUUUUUGGCUCUUGUUAACAACCAUUAAAGGACACUUAAAAAUUAGGAAUGUAGAAUAGUGUUAUUUAAUGCUAGGGAAAGGGGGCUGGGAAUUUAAAACAAUAUCUAAAAAUUAUCCUAUGUACUUAUGUUUAUAAUUUUCAAAGUUUUUGCAAGUCUAACGGUGGAUUGUCUUUGUCCUGAAGGCACAUUAAAAUUGAAAUGGAAUUUUUCUCAAAAUGGCUUUUUUUGGUACUGACAUAUGAAAUCAACAAUGGUUGCAUAAGGGUUCCUCAAGUUCCAGCUUGAGUUGGCUGUCACACUCACAAAAAUACCUUAGAUAAUUGGUUCCUGACCUACUUGUGCCUAUGAGCAUUCAAAUGAAGCAUCGUUGUCUAUCUAUAAGUCAGAAUGCUUCACUGUCUGAUUUCUCUUGUUGAAAGGGCAACUAGGUAACCAUCCUUUGUGAUUCAAGAUUUUGAAUAAUCACUAUUAGAGUGAGAAAGUAUGAAGUGUUGCACUAAAGCGAGUAUACAUAUGGUAUACAGGUACCUACAAAACUUUUAAUACCAGUAAUUAUGGUGCGUUGGAAGUUUCCUGUCAAUACUACUCACAUGCUAAAUAUAUUAUCUAUUGGAAUCCGUUUAAAAAAUUUUUUUUAAAUGUUCAUUUAUUUUUGACAGAGAGAGAGACAGAGCAUGAGAGGGGGAGGGGCAGAAAGAGAGGGAGACACAGAAUCCAAAGCAGGCUCCAGGCUCUGAGCUAUCAGCACAGAGGCUGAUGCGGGGCUCAAACCCACAGGCCGGGGGAUCAUGACCUGAUCCGAAGUCGGACGCUCAACCGACCGAGCCACCCAGGCACCCCUAUUGUAAUUUUGACAUGAGUUUUAUGUGAAUGGAGACUCUCAAUAGGCCAAAUUAGGCUCUACAUAAUUUACAAAUCUCCCUCUUCCACUGCCUCACCAACUUCAUGAUGAACAGUGACAUUUAUUACCUGGUAAUAGUUUUUUUGUUUUGUUUUUGUUUUAAAGAAACAGAAUGAGAUAGACAAAGAGACCUCUAUUUUCCCUCUUCUUCCUUUCUUUGAUUUUUUAUCAGUCAUCUUUCAAAAAGAAGGAGGAGGGAAGAAGGAGGAGGAGGAGGAGGAGGAGGAGGAGGAGGAGGAGCAACAACAGGGAACAUGUUUAGUUUCCAUCAUGUAUAAAGAUAUGCAACUGAUCCAGAAAUUGCAGAAUUUCAUAAAGCCAGAAAUUAAGCAUUUUGAAAGUCUUUUUAUAGAAGUUCUUUGCUUAGUUUUUUUAAAUCUAAUGACUAAAAGUUUUUUUUNUUUUUUUUCCCUUCUUCUCGAGAGUAUUUCAGAAUCUGACCCCUCCUCCCAACCCACCAAAAAAGGAUACAUGCCUUCCAUGAGCUUUCCUAAAGCAUCUGUUAGAUAUGGAAUGAUCCAUUUGUAUCUACUAUGAAGUACCCACCUUAAUUCACAACAGGAACAAGGGGAGAGAAGGAGAGCACAAUGAGGUAGUGGCCCAUAGUUUAUCAUGCUGUCAAGCACUGUAAUCAAAAGAAAUUAUAGAGACCAAGGUUAGAGAAAUAAUGCAAUUUUAAUAAAUAAAAACUGUGCUUUGAUGUGGCACACAGAGUGGAGGCAAACUAUGUUUGUUUGUUUUUCUUUUAACCUGGAACUGGUGUGCAAAAUUUUCAGUGUGAUGUUCUAAAUGUGAUAAAUAAUCCAAGAAUAUGAAGAAAACUUAGUGUUUAUUUUGUCCAAAGUCAGUGGGUGAAUGCACUUCAGUGUAUCAUGAUGAUUUCUGGGUAAAAUCUUGCUUCUUGUACAUUGCCUGUUGACUAAAGACAUAUAGAACAAAUCUAGUCCCUCUAUAUCUUUCAGUCCAAUGGUUUCUGAAGAUAGAUGACAUUCCUCUUAGGUUAUACCAAAGGUUCAAGAAUACAGGUGCUGUUGGGGAUUACUUGAAAUAUAUUAGACAGCUGACAAACUAGAAAUACAUUUAUAUCUGCUGUUAAUAUAUAGGCUAUUUUACAUGUUUAUUUUGAGAUAUUUUUGAGGUUGAUGAUAUCAAGUAUCUUGGCCAUUUUCAUGUUGCUCUAAAACUAGGGACAUAGUUUAACUAAUUUUUGGUACAGGCAAUUAAACAAUUAUCUUUCAGGGAAAGUUUAAAUUUUGGUUUUAGGGACAUGGAAUAACCUUUGUCUAAAGAUUCAGUUGCCAUGUUCAUACUAAUGUGUGUAUAUAUAAAAUCAAAGUUUCAAUGGCCACUGUGCCUCUAAAAGGUUAUAUAUCUUUUCAUUAGGAUCACACAAUUAAUUCUAAUUUUUCCCCUAUGUUUUCUGGUAUCAUUUCUCUUUAUUAUCAAAAGCCUCAUACUUCUUCUCAUUCUAUUUUUUAGUGUAUAAAAUAAACACUUUAAAAUUUAUUCUUUGCUUCAUCCUAGCAUGAAUUGCCACUUCCAUUAGCAUGUAUCAAUUCAAUGGGGCUCUUUACGAUUUUAUGGUUUUCUAAUAUGUGUGUAUUUGUUGAUAUGCAAUAUUAACACAAAUUGAGUAUUUAUUAUCAUUUAUUACCUUAAAUCCUAUGCUUCUGAUUUAUGUGACUAGGAAAUUAAAAAUAACCAGGUCCUAUUCUAGCUAAAAUUUAUAUUUUUAAAUUAGUUAAAUAUAAAGAUGAUAGAGCCCAAAUAUGUUCGUGAAAAUGUCACUUUCCCUGUGCUAAAAAGUAUAAUUAAACUAAAAUUCAGAUUCAAAUGGACUUAUCCCUGGAAUACCUUCUGCUUGAAUGUUUUUUGCCCUUAAUUUAAUUGGCAAUAGUCAAAAUGUUACUUAAAAUGUCUGACUUAACAUGCUUGGUUACUUUCCUUUUGUUAUUACUUUACUUUCUUUUCCUUCUCUUCUUUUGUGCUCACAAAGGUAUUAAGAAUAUCACUCAUUAAUGCUUGUAUUCAUUCCUUUAGUUAUCCACUCAUAUAUUCAAACAUCAAACACUUAUUUAGUAGGUACUGCAUGUUCGGCAUUAGAUGAACUAGCAUCUUCCCUAUUCCCAAGGAGCUACCCACUCACUCUCCUAUAGCAUGCACGGAUAGGGGUCAGACCUUAGCCACUGCUUCUGUGAGCCAAGAUUUGCUUUAGAACAGUGCCUCUUGGAGCACCUGGUGGUUCAGUCAUUUAAACGUCCAACUCUUGAUUUCAGCUAAGGUCAUGAUCUCACAGUUUGUGGGUUUGAGCCCUGCAUCAGGCUUCGCACUGACAACUUGGAGCCUGCUUGGGAUUCUCUCUCUCCCCUCUCUCUCUGCCACCCUCCCUCAAAAUAAAUACAUAAACUUGAAAAAAAAAAGAACAGUGCUUCUUAAAUCACGAUGUGUUCACCAGCCACUAGGUGAUAUAAUUAACUUUCAGAUUCUGAUUCAGUAAUUCUGGGGUGGGCCUGGGAUUUUGCAUUUUUAAUAAACUCCCAGAUGAUGCAGAAGCCCUUGGCCUGGGGAACAUACUUUGGGGGCCACAGCUUUAGAUUAGAGAAUAGAUUUGGUUCCUUUGAACUGAUUUGUCUGUCCACUGCAGAAUCAAGACAUUUGCUUCUAUAAAUAAAGGUAUUUUGACAGAACCUAAACCCAGGACACAUUAGUUUUGCAAUUAUGGACUUGUCCUCUCCAUUUUUAUGGCACUUAUCACACUGUAAUAUCAUUGAUUGCUGGCACCUCAUUUACUAUAUUUAAUUUCCUUGUGAGUUGGCAUUAAAUUAUAGUUAGGUUUGCACUUCUACCAUCUGUCAUGGUGUUUACUGCUCAAUGAUUAUUUGAUGAAUAAAUGUAGUAAUAGGUAACACUGUCAGAGUAACAUCUAUUCUUACUUUUGACUUCUUUUCCUUAUUGCCUAAGGGUAAGAAAGAGCCUUUUUCCUGACACAUUGUUAUUAGGUUCAUUUUUCCACUCUGCCUAAAUUCAGCUAGCCAUCCCAAGGAGUGGAGUGUUCAGAAUUAAGUUAACUGGUAUUGGGUUUGAUGUGACAUGAAGAGAUUGUCAGGAAUUUAAGAAAGGGACAAAAAGAAAGUCUUAUGUCCCAGAUAAGAUAAACUAGGAAAUGAGACAAAUAUUAGAAUUGCCAAGUGUAGGGGUGGCUGGAUGGUUCAGUUGGUUAAGUGUCUGACUCUUGACUUUGGCUCAGGUUAAGAUUUCAUGGUUUGUGCGACUGAGCACCAGUACAGAGACUGCUUAGGAUUCUCUCUCUCUCUCUGUGUAUGCCAUUCUUCCACUUGCUCGCAAUCUAAAUAAAUAAAUAAACUAAAAAAAUAAAGAAAGAAUUCCCAAGUGUCUGGAGUGGGAUGGCUGAAAGUAAAGACCAGAGCCAAUGGAAGUUGUGCCAAGUAAUAAGGUGUGUUAGAGGAUAGUAUCCAGACAUAUUCUCCUAGAAAAAUUGUACAAUGAAGAGAGGCCAUUAGCUUUGCUAGAAGGGUGCGACCCAUGCCUUCUUUUCCGGUCCUAAAUUGUAGUGUUAGCACUGGUAUGGGGACCAGCAUAGAGGGAGCUGUGGAAAAUACGUCGGUGGAUGUGUUUAGGUUUCCACUUGACCUUGAAUAUUCAGAGCCCUAGACAGAUUCUUGUACCAAUCAGACAGUGACCUUAUAAAUUUCUUAUGAGAAUUUGCGAGAGUAGUCCAGCAAUCAUUUCAACUUCAAGGAUAAUAAUAAUGGUAGACAUCUAUAUACUGCUUCAUUGAAAUAGGGACUUUGGAAGUAUAAGAAGUCUUAGGAAUCAGUAAUAAAUGCUUUCUGUGUAAGGCAUAGAGCUAAAUAAUUUAAGAAAAAUAGCAAUGUGUCAGAAUUGUUGCUUUACAGUUAAUACAAUCCCAUCUUUCUCCUUUGAAGAUGUCAUAAUAAUAAUAGUAGUAGUAGUUACACUUACAGCUUACUAUGUGCCAGGGUUUUUUCCUAAUUCUUUGUAUCUGUUAAUUCAUUUAAUUCCUUUGACAGAGAUACUGUUAUCACCAUUUUAUGGAUAAGGCAAUAAAGGCACAGCAUAUUUGGGUAGUUUGCCCAACGUUACAAAAUACUGAGUAGUAAAACUGAGGUUUUGAACCUGAGUAGCUUUGAUUCUAGGAUCUGCUCUUUGAACUACUAUAUGCCACUGUCAAUCACAAAAAUGAUUGUUUCUCAUAAAGUUUACAUGUGAAAAACAUACACUUAAAAUUUAUUUAUUUAAAUAUAAUUGAAAACAUAAUACAGUUCUCAUUGAAAUUGUGUUUUGUGAAAUUGAAUUGAAACAAAUUUCUAUUCCUUGGUGCCUAACAGUGUAUCAUGUAUGCAAAUCGUAGAAUGGUUGCUGAGAAAUGUCACAAAAAUCUUAUCUAUAUCUAUGAGACACAUUCCAUGAUGAUUCUCUUAAUAUUCUGAAGGAAAAAAAAUGGGAGCAAUCCACUAAUUCGUAAGUAAUUGAGCAAUUAUCCAAAGAGUAACUGGUAAUGGACUCAUGCCAAACUCUGUGGAGAUCUCUGGAACUGGGAUUCCCUACUUGCCUAUCUCUUGUUCAGCAAUCUGAUCAAUGAUUAGAACAAUGGAAGAAGAAAGGCUUAGCACUCUUGCAGGGAAUGCAAAGCUAGAAAGGGUGUCUGUUAGUUUAGAUGAUAGUUGUGUGCCCAAGAAACAUCAUUACCAGGUAGGAACUAUAGGCUGAAACUAAUAAAAUGAAAAUUUAUUGGGUUAUUGUAAACUCUUGUUUAUUGCACAUUUACAGGAUAGAGAAAUUUAUGGCAGAAAUUCCUGUGGUUUUAUUUGACUACCUGCUCAAUAUGAGCCAAUAUGGUGUUAACAGAUGUUUUAAAAAGUUAAUGCAUUCUUAAGCUGCAUUAAUAGAGGUAGAGAGUCAAGUUCAAGGGUGGUAAUAGUUUCACUAUAAUCUGAACUGCUCAGACCGUGUCUUGAAUAUUAUAUUCAGUUCUGUAGGCUGCGUGUUAAGAGUUGCUGAAAAGGUGGAUUAUACCUAGAGGCUGACUAGAAUGUUGAAGAGAUUGGAAACCACAGUGUUUAAGAAAUUGGGCUCAUCUAACCUGAGGAAGAAAAUGAUAAGGCCUAGUGAAAGUUCAAAUUUUAAAUGCUUUCCUUUCUUGAAGAGAGAUGUUAAUACAAUACAGUUCUAUAGAGAAGUAGAUCCAAUAGGUUAGAAGUUAAGGAAUUAGGUAUCUUCUUACAGCUGUGGCAGAGAAAAGAUAGAAUAAGACACCUUGAAAAUGAUGUGGAGUGGGGAAGAAUAAGUGAUCACUGCAUAAAAAUUGUUUUUUUAAUAGGAGUUUUGGGGGGCACCUGAAUAGCUCAAUUGGUUGAGUGCCCAACUCUUGACUUCAACUCAGGUCAUGAUCUGAGGGUUGUGGGAUUGACCCUGCGUGGGGCUCUGCACUGAGCAUGGAGCCUGCUUGAGAUUCUCUCUCUCUUUCCCUCCCUCUGCCCCUCUCCCACACUCACACACUCUCUCUCUAAAAGUAAAUGAAAUAAAAUAAGAAAAUAGCAAUUUUUAUUGUAAAUGUGAUAGUGCUCAAUAAAAAAACUGAAAAACAAUUUGGAGGGUAUUAAAUAAAAAUUAAAAAUUCUCUUCCCCCUCAGGAUCCUUGGCCUAUUAAUUACCACAUGGAUGAUAUAACUAUUGUUAACACUUUCUUCUACAUAUUCCUUAAAAAAAUGUCUGUGCACAUACAAGAUCACACAGACAGAUAGACAAAAAGGAAUAGAAAUAUAUACGUGUACAAGUUUGUUUUUCUUUUUACACUAAAGGGAUCAUACUGUAUAUAGUUUUCUGAAGCUUAUGUUUUGAAUAUAUCUUUUCCUAUCAGUGAAAUGAGACAUGGUUUACUCUUUUAUAUUGCUUAGGGUUUCUUUAUUACUCAAAAUCAUGUUGAUAAAUAUUUAGGUGUUUUUCUUUUUCAUCAUAGUGAUUAUGAGCUUGAGUAUAGUACCUAGCCUUUUGCAAAUAGUAUUUAUUUUUUUAGUCCUAAUUGCUAGAAUUGCCAAUUUAAUUGCUAGAGCAAUGAGGUAUGAAUGAUUUAAGCUUUUGAGAUAUUUUAUGAAAUUAAUCUUAACAAAGAUUGUAAAGUUAGACUUCCACCAGCAGUGUAUAAGCAAUUCCAUGUAUCUCCACGUGAUCAAUAAGAGAAAAUAUGACCAGAGUUUUAUCAUUAUUUAUUUUAUUUUAUUUUUUUUAAUGUUUGAGAGACAAAGAGAGUGAAAGUGGGAGAGGGGCAGAGAAAGAGGGAGACACAGAAUCUGAAGCAGGCUCCAGGCUCCAAGCUGUCAGCAGGGUGCCUGAUGUGAGACUUGAACUCACUAACUCUAAGAUCAUGACCUGAGCUCAAGUCAGAUGCUUAACCGAAUGAGCCACCCAGGCACCCCUAUCAUUAUUUUUAUAGUUUCCAAUCUGAUGGAUGAAACAGGGCAUUUUGUUUUGAUUUCUAUUAAUAGUGAAGUUAAGCAUCAUUUAGUGUGUUUAUUAUUCACCCAUGCUUUUUCUUGUGUUUGUUCUUUUGUGAAUUCCCAUUCAUGUCCUUUGCCUGUUUUUCUAAUGGAUUGUCUUAUUUUCAAAACAUUGAAUACAAUUUAUUUAAAUAUUAAGAAUUCUUUCACUUUUUUAUACAUAAUGCACAUAGUUUUUCUGUCCUAAUAUUUGACUUUUAAUUUUUAUGUUAGUUGUCAUAUGAGUGGUCUCCAUUCUCUAUUAUAUUUUGGUUUUGAUUACCAGCAAAAUGGAAGAAAAGCUAAAAAUAUUCCAUGAAGGAAACCAACUGAUUAAGGAAGCCAUAGUCUCCCUUGGUUUCUCAAUAAUACCUACUCUUUCCUGGGUAUCAAGAUAUCUGAAAAAACUGAACUGAUAAAAAUAGUGAUCCAAUUUUUAAAUAUAUUUGAUGAAGGGAAACUCAAUGAAAAUCUUUAAAAUUAUUCUAGAUAUUAAGGAAAACUUUACAAGAUAAAAUUCUGUAAUUUUUAAGAAUUAGAAACAAUGAUCAUCCCUUCGUUCAUUAAAAGUCAACUUGAGAUUUAUUUUAAAAUCAUAGCUUUAACCAUAUAGACAAAAAGUGUGUGAGUUGAUAUUUUUUCAAUUCAAAGUUUAUGUCAGUCAUUUUACAUUGAUAUGUGUGCAUGAGUGUGUGUGUAUGUGUUUGUGCAUGCGUGUGUGUGUGUGUGUGUGUGUGUGUGUGUGUUGGCUUAAAUGUAUGAAUUUUUAUUUAUUUUGACUUCCUUUAUCAUGUGCCUCUGGGUUAAUACCUGUUGGGUGUUAGAACAUCAAGGCACGCCGUAAAUGUGAGCCUUUGUGUGCUGCCUAAUUUAUGUGUGAUCGCUAACGUAUGUACCUGAAGUUUCUGGUGAAUUGUGGCCAAAGAAUGAUGUAUAAACUGAAAGGAUUGCAUUAAACUGUGAAGGACUAGGACAGUGCCAAUGGGAGCACUUUGUUCUCCGUUCUCCAUACUAAUGCUGUAAUACAGAAAGAAAUCAAGCAUCUCACGGAAUAAUAUUCCUUUGUAACACAUUUUAUAAGCAAGAUUUCACUGGUGUUGAAUUUUCACUACUGGGCUAUCUUACUGUCAGCUUAUAUUUUAGUAAUUGGAUUAUUAGUAUGAAAAUAAUGUACAUAUCAUUAAAAGGUAUGUGGAAUGUAAAAAUACAGAGGACAGUGACAAUUUAAUUUCUCUGUUUAUAUGAGUUUAGAACAAAAAGCAAUGCCUGUAAACUUAUCAAACUGUAGAUAUACAUAGACAAGGCUGACAAAUGUCCAGACUGGAUCCUUGGAUUCGGAACUGGGAGUUUGGACAGCAGAUGUUCAACCUCUUUCCAUGAAGGAAUCUGAAGAAUAAAACCAAACAUUCUUUUCUCUUAAAGUAUUUAUAUGGAAACUAAAAUUCAUACAUAAUCAAAUACUCAUUUUCUCAAAAAAACUUUUAGUGGACACCUAUUUUGGGUCCCAUUCCCAAAGCUAUCUUGCUUAAGUUUUCAGAUAGUGAAAACUAUUUUCAGCCUUCACUUACAAUAAUUGAGUGAAAAUUAAAAGAGCAAAAAACCCAACAUUCUUCAGUUAAUUAGCUCAGCAAUUAUUAAAAUACCUGAUGACACCCAAUGCUGACAAGGAAAUACAGAAGCUACAGCUUUGAACAAUUUUAGUGGAACUAUAAAUCGAUACCACCACUUUGGAAAGGCAGUUGGCAAAAUUAUCAAGAUCUAAAAUGUGCAUAUUAUUGGACCAGCAUUAAUAAUAACAGUUUAUUUAACAGAAACACUGUAACCAUUUGAAGACAGAUGCUUGAGAAUACUGAGUGCAUAAUUGCCGGCAAUAGUGGUAAGUUAUCACUUAUAAUGAUUACUAAGAGUGUUAAUAACA
RNAcentral lists this long non-coding RNA (288621 nucleotides) under Lynx pardinus (Iberian lynx). The stretch from base 215676 to 215760 matches the Rfam family "tRNA". Lineage: Eukaryota; Metazoa; Chordata; Mammalia; Carnivora; Felidae. The record is from RNAcentral.